Molecule: long non-coding RNA, 212086 nt
Filed under: Vitis vinifera (wine grape)
Lineage: Eukaryota; Viridiplantae; Streptophyta; Magnoliopsida; Vitales; Vitaceae
Description: long non-coding RNA (VVIN_LNC006587)
Source: RNAcentral
CUCGAUCUAAUAUCAUAAGGAUACUAAAGUGUAGUUGACUCUUUAUAGUUAGAUUUUGAGUCAACUUUAAAAUUGGAUUUUAGGGGAGCCAACACUUCCCUACGGGUCCUAGUGGUUCCCACUCAAACUCAUAUUCCUUGGUAAAAAAUAUUUGAGGAAUAGUUGGAUUCUUUAUUUAUAUGUGUGUAUAAGAGCAUUUUGGUAAAUACGGAAGGUUGCACUAGUACAUAUAAAUAGCGUUUUUAGAUUCGAAUAAUUAAUUAAUUGGAGCUCAAUAGAACAAAUUAGUUAAUUAGGACCCAAUGAGUUAGAUUAAGUAACCCAAACGUAAGAUGAGCUCAAGUCACUCAAGCUAAGAGGUAAGCCUAUAUAAACUCCUUAAAGGGUUUAAGACUUAGUACUUUUCAUCCAUUCAAUCUUCUAUCUUAAUAUCUUAAUAAAACCAAAAUGAGAGUGUAGAGUAUAAAAAUAAAAAUGAAAAAGAACUUCUCAUGAGAAGUGAGGUUUGCCUCAACUCUCCUUAUUCAAACCAUUAUCACAUCUUUGGAUUUGAAAUUAUAUCAAAUAAACAUUCAAAUUGUUUUUCUCAAUGGAGAACUAAAUAAGAAGAUCUAUAUAGAUCAACUGACUUGUUUUAUGGCAACUAAAUAGAAAGGCAAAGUUAACAACUACAAAGGUCCAUUUAUAACUUACAAUAAUCAUCUAAACAAUGGUAUAUUACACUAAUGGGUUUAUGAUGGUCUAAGAACACUAUUGCAUGUUUGUUAAAUGGUGUAAGGGUAGAUUCUAUAUUCUAUUUUUUGUAUACGAAUGAAAUGUUGGUUAGGGAUGAUAAUGAGAUGGUUGUCUCUAAAGUGUGGUGGUCGUCAACUUUUAAAAUGAACAACAUGCUUAAAGCAAACUAUGUGUUCAAAGUUAUGAUCCUAAUCAAUCAAUCAAGAAGACUUUUUGGUUUGUUUUACAAAUCAUACACAAUGAAUAUUCUUGAAAAAAUUCUAGAAGUAAAAUUGAAAAUCUAUUGGCAUUCAUAUAGAGAAAGAUAAGACCUUAAGCUUUAACAUGUGUCAUAAGACUUUAGAUGAAUAGGAAAAGAUCACUCAAGGUUCCUAUAUGCUAGCAUUGUUAGUAGCUUAAAGUAUCCAAUGAUGUGCACAUGAACUAAUACUUGUUAUAUAAUUAGGCUAGUAGCUUCCAAUUAGAUCUAAACCUUGUUUACGAAAAAGCAAUGAACUGGAUGAUUUCGUACCUCAAAGUCACCAUAGGCUAUAUAAUUUGCUAUUAAGGAUUGAAUUUGGACUUGAUUAGCUAUGACAAUGAUAAUUGAUGUAGCAUCAUAAAUGAACCCAAAUCCACAUAUGGUUAUAAUUUUAUAUAUGCUCUAUGAUGUUAGCAUAUAUUGGUGAAAUAGAAAACAAUCAUGUAUAACAUUGUCUAACAUGCAUGGAGUUGGGAGUACAUUACUUGUCGUUUAGGAAAGUGACUAGUUUAUGAUGUUCAUACAUAUUUUUCACAAUAUUGCUUGUUCUUUUGAGCAUACUACUAUUUAUUGUGAUAGCAUGGUAACUUUAGCCUAUGUCAAAGACCCCCCCAAGUAUCAUAGUUGAACCAAUCACAUCAAUCUUAAAUAUUAGUUUAUAUGAGACAUGGUUACAUAGGAACAUAUUUCUACUUGAUGCAUGGUUAAAAAUCCCACCCUCCCCUCCCCCCUUGUUAACUAAGCUAAUACGUAAAGAUGUUUAUUAGGGUCAAGUUGAGAGCAUUGGAUUAUGUAGAUAAUGAUUACAUAGGAGUUAAGUUAAGAGAAUUUGAUCAUGUAGAUUAUGAUUACAUAUUGUAUAUUUCAAUUAACCAUUAUACCUAUGAUUUAUUCAUUGUCCAAUCUUGUUUGAUGGUGGCAUUUAAUUAUUUGUUUUACUUUAUCGACAUGCACUUUCAUUACUUUGCGCAACUGAAACAUAAUGAGUCUAAACCACUUAGAUAGUGUGUUAGGUCAUUGAUAUUUGUAGUACUCCUUUUGUAUCCAAUAUGACUUACAUGUUAGUAGCGACCAAGUAUAGAUAGUCCUAUUGUCUACAUUUGUAAUGGAGUCAAUUGCCAAAUCUUGUUAAUGUAGUGCUUGAUUUAGUAAGCAUGUGCAAAACUUCAAUUCUUUACUUGAUGUAAUUAAACUAAGAUUUGUAUGAUAUAGAAUAUCUAAGGUACACUCAUAAUGAAGAUCUCCAUGUUAGCAUGUAUAUUCAUACUAUAUCUUCUUCGCAAUCAAACAAGAAUGAAUGAAUAUAUUCCUAGCUACUUCCUCAUCUUGUGCAUUAAUCUUAUAGGUCAUUAUAUAUGCUAACUUUUAUGCCCUUGUGAUUUUCAGUCAUAAGUUACAUAUAUGGUGUAGUUUGAAAUAUUUUUCUAAGGGGAUUAACCAUGUUUAACUCAAUGUGAAUAAAUGUGUUUAAGAUAUAACGAGACACCUUUUAGGGAUGAAUUACACUGGUUAAAAUGAAAUUUAGUUUAAUACUCUUACACCUUUCUUAUCAAUGUGUUCAAAAGUUGUACAAUCCAUUAGUCAAUAUAAACAUGGAUGGUAAUGAUAUAGUUAAGAGAAAUGCAUGAUGUUAUUUUGCCUACUGUGCAUGAGUGGGAGACAAUGGAGUUUCUAUUUCAUGAGAUACUCUUAGUAGAACUUCAUCAACUAAGAACUUGAGAGUAAGUUGCAUACUUAUCAGUUAAGAUUCCUCUUGUGGGAGGAGGUUCAUAUUAGAUUUGGUGAGAAUCUAUAAGAGUUGUUUGUCUUUUUGUAAUUCCAAUUCAACUCCUUUUGCAUGUUUUCAAUUUAGUUUGUGGCAGUUGUUAAAUACUUCUACUUUAGUUUUUAGCAAUUAUAAUUUUUUAAAGCUUGCUAUUUAGGUUUAGAUUUACUGUAUGCUUAUUAGAUAUCUUAAUUCUUAUUGUAUUCUCCUUGGUUAAUAAUCUUCCAAUUUGAUCGUGGAGUUCAAAGAUUUUAACCAAAAUAGGGAUUAGGGUUUUCAAAGUUAGGAAAAGUAUUUAAUAUAAUUAAUUUUUGAAUAAGUUUGCAAGCUAAAUCUUUCAAUUGAACCUAAUGAGUUUACAUACUAAAUCUCUUAUUUUCGGCCUUGGUUGUUUCCACUCUUUGCAAUUUAAUUAGUUUUUUUUUUCAAAUAUAUAUAUAUAUAUAUUUAUAAUUCAUUUUGUGUACCUAUAUACUCAUGUUUUUGAGUAAUUAUGAGUUGUAUUGUUAUAUUUAGUAGAAUUUGACAAACUAAAAAUACUUACCUUUGAACAAUUGAGUCCAACAACACAUUUGUGUGGAUAGUUCAUAGCUACCAACUUGAUUCUUCAUGCCUCCUCUAUUAGGUUGACUAAGAAAAUGGUUUAAUUUCACAAGAACACCUUAAGAAUAAAAAUGUCAAGAAAAAAGGAAGGAAAAUUAUGCUUCAUCUAAUUUGACUCCAAGACUUAAAGGAAAAAACAUAAUAAUAUAAUAGUUAUUAUAAUGAAUAUAAUAAAAAGAAAAUUUGUCAUGUUCUUCCCAAUACUCAUAAAACCCCUUUCAAUGAAACUUUGUAAGCUAUACUAAUACAAAAUAAUGGUCCAUAUAGUAAAAGCUCAAUAAAUGAAUGUUUGAUAAAUUAAUAAUCUUACUUAUAAAACAAAAUAUUCUAGUCUUAACUCAAGCCAAUGUACUAAAUUAGUAAUCUUGCUAAAUGCAUAAGAUAAAAAUAUUUUCAAAAAUCUUUAAGGGCUUAAGAAAUAUAAACUAAUAAUUGAUGAAGUAUAAACAAAAAAUCAUAGUAUAGCAAAUAGAACUUCAUAAUAUAGUAUUAAGUAAUUUUUUAUAACUUUUAUUUUUCUAAAUUCACUUCUUUUAGAAUUAUUACAUAUUUGAAAUAGCUUUAUCUUUUACAACAUUAAGUUUUGAUGCCACAUCUUUGUUGGGGAGUCUUUUUUUCUUUUACAAUCAAUAACUAUUUUUUUUUUCUUCAGUCUCUCAGGUUUCUAUGUAUUAACUUUUUACCACGUGUACUAUUUUUAAAUUUAUAAGUCAUACAUGUACAAAUAAUGUACAAUAACAACAUAAUACUCUUCAUCAAUUAAUAAAUAACCAUUUAUCUAUAAAUUAAUAACCUUGCUAAGAUCAUUUUUUUUCUUGGUCCUAAGAGUAUUAUUUUAUAAGAGUUUUUCUCUAUAUAGUUCCUUCAUUGUAGGAAUUUCUUUAGGUUAAUAUUACUAAAGUUGUAAUUUAGAAAAAAAAAAAUAUUAUGGAAACUAAGAGAAAUUUGAAAGCUAUAAAUUAGUGUUUUAUAUCAUUCUUUUUUCCUAUGAAUGCCAAAGCCAUUGUCAAAUAAAAAGAGUAAAUAAAGUAAUUAAUCAAGUAAUUAGUUGAAAGCGAAAUAGGUGACUUAAAACUAUUGCUUUGGUACAUGUUUGUUUGAGGUAUAGUAGAUCGUAAGAAAUAAAAUCCUCUAGCUAUGUUUAUUUGAUAGAAUAAAAAAGUGAGUGUGUGGUUGCUCUACAGGAGAAGACCACACGUUAGCCAAAGAAUAAGUAACUAGAAAGCUUACACAAGUGUUAAAUGAUCAAUUUCUCACCUAAGCACAUUAAUGAGAACUAAAUGUUGAAUUAAACCAUACUCAUGCACCCAUACUAAGACCCAUGCCUCCAUGUGGGGAGACCCUAAUUGGUCCCUAAAAGGAGAAGUUUAAUAAUGGCCACAUCCUCUAUGCCAUGUUAGUAUUCCAAAAACAUAGAAAGUUAACCUUUGAGUUGAUGCUUAUUUGUCUGGUAGUUUCCACAUUCUUCUUACUAAAUUGACAUUUGAAGGCUCUACGACCAUAAGGAGCCUAGAGUGCUCCCUUUAGGUUCCUUAUGAUUGUAAGGUCCUAACCAUCCAUUGAAGUAAGAAAGUGAACUAAGAGUUGGAAAAAUGGUGUCAUCUAUGGUGAAGAUACAAAAAUUCAGCUCACCAAAAAAUCACAAUAAAGCUACUAAAAAACACCCCACCCCUAGGCAAAGACCUUCAUUUAAGUACUCCUUGAGGUCUACCCAAAUCAAAGACCUAACGUUGAAGAAAUGAAGUCAACUAAACUUGGUUUCAUGCAUGAUAAGGUUGAAAAGCCUGCAUAAAAACCUACAGAAAGCUUGCUCCUUUAUAAGAAUAACCUGAACCUACAAGGGAAGAAGACCUAUAAAAGGAAAUCAUAAACAACAAAGAAAAAAAAGUCCCUCCCUCCUUUGAAAAAGAUUUCUUUGAAUGCAGAAACCUAUUUUUUUUGUAUCAAAAAAUUGGUGGAAUAAAAAUUUUCAAUUAUCUAUAAAGAGUUUUAGCUUCUUCAUAUGGGAAUGCAUUAAAAGCCUUGAAGACAUUGUUUAGAUCUAUAGCAAUAAUUGGGCAAUAGAAAACUAUGCAAUAGAGUUUUGGUAGGGAAAUGCAAUCAUGAUAGAAAUGAAGUGGAGCAAUGAGUGAGAACAAACCCUUCAAUAGAUGGAAGAGCUCAUUAAAAUAAGUGACUAACUCACUCAAGAAAAUGUUGCCUUUAGGGUAAGGGUAGACAAAUACCAAUGUGAUUUUGACCAAAAACUCUCAUUGGCAAGCACCAAUAAGAUGCAAGUUAAUGAAUAAUAGUUAUCGAAGCAACUAGACCAACAUCUAGAUUAAAUUGGGAGAGAAAGGUGGGAGAAACAUUAAUUAAACUAACCAAACAGACCACCUUGCCAAAGGCCCCAAUGCUCUAAGGGAUUCUUGCCACCAGAGCUACCACAAAAUGCAUAAUCUUGGUGAAUAAGGUGAUUGAGCCCAAGUCCCUUUAGAAGGAGAAUGAGGCCAUAUGAGAGUUUUCCCUCCCUAAGUUCAAUUUCUUUCAAUGAAACUAAAGACACCCUAGACUAUUCAUGCAUUUCUAUGCAUGUGAUAAUCUUAGAGAAGGGAAACGAUCGACUUUUAUGCAAAAUCUUCCCCUCCAUCCUCCAAGGACUAACUUUAUUUUGUCUUUAUCAACUUACCUUAGAGUUUGUUCCUAAUAUCGAGACCCUAAGGGUGAAGUCUACCUCUUAGUACAUGCACUUAAAAAGACAAAAUAAAAGCCUCAAAUAACCCAAGGUAGUUAUAGCUACCAUUCAUGGUGGAUCAUCUACUAGAUUUGAGCAACUAGGCAAGGUAUCAAGAUGUUACAGAAGCAUAUGGCGAUUGAAGCAAAAGUCCUCACAUCCUUGCAUGAAGCAACUACCACUUGCCCACAUGUCAUAUGCUUCUCUAAUAAAGGCUUAAGAGGAGUCCAAACCCUGCUCAAGAUCCAUUGGUUAUUACUUUAAGAAUUAUUGACUACAACAUGCACCUAUUCUUAGUUGACCUAACGAAUUUAGUUAACAUGCUAAAUAUAUUAGCCCAUCUAUGAACAAGUGAAUAUGGACGAAGGAAAACUAGUGUCAAGUCUAGGGUCAUUGGUGGGACUAGACAAAGUCCUAUGUGGCUCAACUGGGGAAGUCGCCCUAAUGGUUCCAAUUGGUUGUUGCCAUAUAAUGACACAAUUCUUUGUUAUGGAUAUCCUUUUCCCGAUAAUGCCAUUAUGGGAUGACCAUGGAUAUAAAACCUAAGAGGAACACUAUUCACAUACCAUCACACCAUUAAAUUCCUAAUACUACAAGGAAUAUGGGAAAUAUAUCAAGACUAGGUGGCAUCAUGAGUAUGCUACACCAUAGCCCUUAAAGCGGUCAUCAAGUGCAUCAACUGGGACCCUUAGGAAGUUCAUAAAUCAAAAAUCAAAUACAAAUUAGUAGGUGACCCGAGAAGGCAAUUAGAGAACCUAAGGAGUCAUUAUUCUAGAGCCCCUAAACCUAGGAGGUUCCUUCUAGCCCAUGCAAAAAAAAAAAAGAAAAAGGAUUCAGAUGGCUACUAGAAAAGAACACAUCUUUACUAGGAAACUACAAGACAUUGUGGGCAUCGAUCCCCAAGUUACAUCUCAUCGACUCAACAUAAACCCUAGUGGUUAGCUCCUUAAAGACAUUAGAUUGUGAAAAAAAGGUAUCUAGGCUCUUAUAUGCUAGAUUUGGUCAUCUAGGUCUUCUAACAACAAAUAGAAGUUAGUAUGCUAGUGUACAUUAAUAAAAUGUUAGUAACAAGUAAGAAGAGGAAUGAGUACUUGAUCGACCUCCUAAGAACAUUUCAAGCUCUUCAAAAGUAUUAAAUGAAGCUAAAUCAGUGAAGUGCACCUUUAAUGUAGGGUAUGGAAAGUUCCUUAGGUACUUGGUUAUAUACAAAGGAAUGAAAGCUAACCCAGGCCAAAUAAAAUCAACUUUGGAGAUACCAAUGACCAAAAGGGCUAGAGAAGUCCAAAAGCUAACUAACAAGAUUGGUUCUUGAAAUAGAUUUAUAUAUUGAACAACAACUAUGUGUCACCCUUUCUUCGACAUUAGCAAGAAGGGAAAAUGGACUAAAAGAACCAAAAAAUGCAACUAAGCCUAUGAAUCACUAAAGCAUUACAUGAUGCUAACCCCCAUUCUAGAUAAACCCUAGGAUAAGGAGGUCUUACAAGGUCUCGAUAGCAGUAGUAAGUGGAGUGUUAUCUCAAAAAAAGAGGAAAAGAGGAGCAACCAAUGUACUAUAUCUAACAGACCCUCUUAGAUGUGGAAACCUGAGAUAUUUAUAAAUAUUGAAAAAUUGGUGCUUGCCCUUUAGAUCACCACAUUGAAGCUUCAAUGUUACUUCCAAGCGCAUGUUAUUAAGGUAAGAACUAAGUGAUGAGAACUCAAACUUAAUACUUUAAUGGCUUUAAAGAGCCUACUUUAGUGUAUUUGAGGUACUAAAAAAUUAACCUAAGGUUUUGUUUUUUUUAUAACACCUUAGAAAAUUAUGUUUGAUGCAUUCUGUGACCGUUCUACAUGUUUUAAGGUGUUUUUUUGUUAGGAUAGAAUCCUUAAAAGCAUGACAUGAUGUAAUAAAUUUGGAAUUCAUUAUUUAUUUAAUGAUGUUCUAGUUUCACUUUUAUCUAUCCUUAUUCCAUGUAUUGUACUUUAUGAGUAUUCUUGCCUACAUAUUUUGCAUUGUACAUGACUUAGGUGCAUUAGGAGUUGCACAGAAGAUUUAAGUCAUGGGUUUCUUGCAAAUAGAUUAUUUGUUCAGAGUCGGUUCAUGAGCCUAGGCAAACCAUUAGAGGUUGUAGAGCACCACCUCCUAAUUGGAGGGAUGGUUAGUCUUGGCCAUGGGAUGAGUUUCCCAUGAUAAGUGCACUAGUGUGUAUGGUUGCACAUUGGAUGGGACCUAUGGUGAGUUAUGACUUAAGCCUAUCAAGUAGUCAUGACUCCACCGAGCUGUUUCAUUGUAUUAUCUCUCAACCUUGAGAGAAUAUUGAGUUUGUGCUAAAGUUAAUAAUGGCUUUGAUUUAUGGGUGAGGUCGUAAGUUGAUCAUAUAUUCCCUAUGGAUUAGGUCAAUGUUGAUGGAAGUCGGUAACAAUAGGUAUUCUUAAUAAAGGCACCAUGAUAUCUCUUAGGAUUGAGACAGUGUGUCCCAUUGGGUGAUCAUAAGGAGGUGUGUUCAUGGAAACUAUGGCUAUAGUAGUUCCUUAAGUGGAAUUUGACAUAGACUCUUUGAGAUUUAAGAUAUGUUAAUUGAACACACAAUAGGAAGAUUUGUAGCUCAAGGAUGGUAGAAGUAGUCUUGAAAAGCUGAUGGCUUUCACCUUGUUAGACUACGAACACCAAUUCAUGGGGAGACUAAACAUAAUGGACAGUAGGUCACGGACCCGAGCACUUAGUGUCUUCGUUGUUAGUUACAUAGGAUACCGGAGUUUAGUUGAUUCUCUAUAGUGCGAUAUUGAAUCAACUUUAAAAUUGGACUAUGAGGGAUCCAUGGUAUUCCUAUAGGUCCCAAUGGCCCCCGCUAUGAGCUUAUAUACCUUGUUGGAAUGGGUAAUGAGGGUUGGAUUGACUCUAGGUUCACUUUUGUGCAUAAGGGCAUUUUGGUAAUUAUGUAAGGUUAUAUAGGAGUAAAUGAACAAGGCCUCUAGAUUAGGCUAAUUGAUUAAUUAGUAGGUCCUAUUAGGUUAAUUAAUCAAUUAGAACCCAUUUUGGGCUAGAUUAAGUGACACAACCCAAGUGGGCUCAAGUCACUUAAGCCCACUUAGAAACCCUAUAAAUACCCCUUAGGAGUUAGGGUUUCCAUAACUUUUGUCUUCCAUCAUCCAGAGAGAUAGAGAGUCAUAGCCUUCACCCUCUUUUCCUCCUCAUUGGAAAUGUGCCAAGAUCAAGGUUCAAGUCAUCGGGCGGAAGACUUCGAGUUUACGAGACUUCUGGGAUUUCAAUUUUCAUCUUCACCAUGUGGAUUUGAUUCGAGAACACCUGAAUCUAAUGUAUAGUUUUUGUUAGCACUUUUUGAAUCCUUUUAAAGUAUAAAAAUGUUAUUUUUCCGUUGUGCAUAGGAUUUAGAAAAAACCUAAGAUAUUUAUGCAUGUUCCUAACCUGAUUCGGACUAGGGAAACAGAGAGAGAUUCAGGUUUUUCCCAUCAUUUUUGGUGCAAUAGAACCUUGUUAGGAACUCAUAGAGACAAAAAUGCCCAAGUAAGGAGGAAAUACAGAUUGCACACCCAAAAGGUGUGCAAGACUCAAUCAUGCACUUCUUUCUUUGUGUAGAGCCACAUAGUGCACCUCCCAUGUAUACCUUAAAGACUAAACAUACAAGACCUCUCUAAUGCUUUGGACCAAAUUUUAUACCCUAUUCAAGCAACUCAAUCUACAAACCUCUUAAGUGCUUUAAGCCAAGAUGUUGUGCACCCCCUCACUUGAGUCAACAGGAUGUGUAGUAGUGCAACCCCUUGAUGUCAUCUAAAUUACAAACCAUUCUUACCUCUACAAUAGCUAAGUACUUAAUAAUUCUUCUAAUGAUUGGCUCACCCACCAAAGUAGUAUGUUGUUCAUACCUCAAAGUCUUCAAUUGUACUACCAAAAUGUACUCUGACCAAAUUACAUAGAGAAAAAGGUGCAACUACCGACCAUAAGCUAACACAUCAAGAAUGAAGGUGGGUUGAUUGUAAUGACAAAGGACUUGACCCUUAGUAUAAGAAGAGACAAGUCUAGAGGAGUGGUGUCGGAGUAUUAGAAUGACCGGGAAGGGAGGGGGGGCAUUUUUUUGUAUAUAAAUGGAGGAUUGUGAAUAUACAAGUGGAAGCAAAUUAUAGAAAGUGAAAUUGUAGAUAAGUUUUUCUUCUUAUAGGAAGAGAAGUAGGAAUAAGAGUAACUUAAUGUAAUUUAAGUUUUUAGUUUUCCACUGUAAUCUUUUCUUUUCAUUAUAAACUUUCCCUAAUUUCUAGUUUAAUGAAUUUUCUAAUCUUUUUAAUUAUUCUUACAUUUCAGUUUUUCAAUUUCAACUUACAAAUUUGCAUUUUUAGUUCUUUACUUAAUUUUUAACAUGCUUAGAUAACCUUUAACACUCUAAGGGGUGAGAGGAGCUCAAGUCUCCCAUAUCUUAGUUUAGCUGUCUAUUGGUUUAUCUGUGCAUUAGUUACAAACAAUAUGAUCUCUAUCAGUAGUUAUAAUGACCAAAACAAGUAACCAUGGGGAAAAAGUCUAUGUUGCAUUGGUUGUGAGCAUUGUAAGUCAAGCAACUUUGGAAGCAUACUUAGGCAUUGUUUUAAUGAUUCUUUCAACUAAGUAUAGGCCUAUUGCCAUGAAAAGAAUCUUAUCUAAAUCAUUUGGUUGUAAGGAUAUAUAUAUAUAUAUAUAAAGAGCAAUUAGAGAGAGAUUAACCUUUUUAAGGUGGUUCUUGUUCAUUUGAAGCAGGAAACCUUUUUUGUAUAAAUCCUUGCUUUGAGCCUAAAUCUGAAAGCAUAAGUUUAAAGCCUUGUUGGUGAGUUGUAUCUGAAAGUGGUGAUCCUAGUGAAUCUCUAGGUUUGAGGUUUUCUUUCCUUUAAUUUUCUAUCUUUUAAACUUUGUGUGUGUAUGUCCUUUUUAUUUAUAAAAUCAUUUUUCUAAUCUUUUAGCUGCCAUUCACACUCCUGAAGCUAUUACCUUAGUUGCUACCAAUUUAAAGUUCCUUGUGGAGGCAACCUAACAACUAUACCACUAUUAAUUUUUUUAUUUUUUGGUUAAGGAGUUGAGAGUUUCAAUGAAUGAUCUAGUUUAAUUUCUCUUUGUAAAACUUAACUGUUAAAUAUAUUUCCAAGUUUUGAUAAAAGAAAUGAACUAGAGAAUGACAAACCAAAAAUUAGUGUCGUCACUAGGGAACUUUCAACAUUGAUGACUCUAGGUAUUUUUGUGUAUAUGCUUGUUGUUUUAGAAGCUUAACAAGUAUAUUUCACCCAUUCCCCACCUAUCUUUUAGUUGGAUUUUUUUCUUUUUUUACUUAAUUUGUUUUCUUUGGAUUUUCUUUUUAUUCUCAGUUUUCAUUUUUAGUUGUUAAAUCCAACAUUUCAAACAUUUUCUUUAAAGUGAUAUGAUGUCACUACAAGAAAAAAGAGAUAUGGUGACAUUUAUAAUGAGUCAUUAUAAACAUAGGGUGUCGCUACAACAUAGCGUCACCUUAUCCACUGACACCAUAGAGGGUACCAAUUGGUGACGUAUUUGGAAGCGACACCAAAGCAAAUAAAUGGUGACACAUUCAGAAGCGACACCAUAUAUUUUUAGUUAUACUUAAUUUAGUUAUAUAUAAGGUGUCAUAUUAAAUGCAUCACCUUUUAGUUAUGGUGUCACAUUAAAUGCAUCACCUUUGAGUUAUGGUGUCACAUCAUUGUAAAUGAUUAUGGAAGAUAUGGUUGUUUUUUAUUAAUUAGCCUGUUGAUUUUUGUAAUGCUUAUUAACAAAUAAGAUCAACUUAUGUAUAUUUUGUCCAUAAAUAUAAUAAUCAUAUCAUAUUUAACUUAUAUUUUCGUAAUGCUUAUGGAUUAACCUGUAAUACAUUACAUCAUGCAGUGAUAUUUGUAUAUCAAAUGUUUACAAAAUGAUAGUACAUCAAACCCACCGAAACUAAAAAAAAAAAAGUGAAUACAUAUUAAAAUAUGAUUUAGAAAUGUUAAGCAUUCCAACAUUCAUGUAUACCUGCAUUUCAUAUGCAUAAAACCGGCUAAUCAUAAAAUGACACAAGAGUUGCAUCCAAAAACCCAAAAUUCUCAAUACCAAAUAAAGUAACAUUGAUGUCCUAUAAUAUAUGACAUAAGAGUCACAUCUAAAAACCCAAAAUGUUGUUGUUUCUUUCUCCUUUCUUUUUAUUCUUCAUAAUGUCUUCCCAAGAGUGUAUACCUGCAUUUCAUAGUUUAAUGAGAUUUAGAGUUUUAUUGAAAAUAAAAAUUAAUUGAUGUUAUAAAAAAUAAACAAAUCUAAGUACUAAUGUUUUCUUUUUUUCUUUUUCCCAUUUUGAUAUAAAAAUAAUUUGUAAAGAAUAAGUAAUGUUAUACAAUACCAAUGGAAAAUUCAUAUAACAACUAAGAGACUCGCCAUGCAUGAUCAUGAUUUAUCAAUAUGAUUCAUAAUUAGUUAUAACACAAAAGAAGUUAAUUCUCCUCUAAUUUCAUCAAAUUCUACUUGAGAAUAUGAUAUUUUUUUUUAGUUUUUUGUUUAUCAUAAAACUGAAAUCAAAUGAGAAUAACAUUAAUAUUAUAAUAAUUAGAAGUAUGAAACUAAGUACAAUUCAUUAAAUGAGUAAAAUAUUUAAUACAAUAAUUGUAAAAUCAACAAUUAUCUCUUUAAUGAAUCUCAUAACAAAGCAGUCACAUUUGAACUCAAAUAAAAACAAUUCAAGAAAAUAAAAAAUAAAGAAAAACUAGAAAAUAAAAAAAUAAAUCUAAAAUUUUAGAAAAUAGUAAUCUUCCACUUAAAAUCUGCACUUUUUAAAUUUAUUUUUUAUAAUUCAUUGUGCUUUUAAAAAUCAUUUUUAACAUUUAAUUCUUUUUAUAUAUUUUUUUAUUUCUUGGAAGGAUUUUUUUAAUUUCAAUAUUUUUUUAAUGUUCAUUUUGUGAAAUAACAAUGUCCAUUAAAUUUCAUCUCAAUUAUAUAAAAUAAAAUUUUAGUAACAAAAUAUAAAAAUGUUUUCAACUACUAAUAUGAGAGGACAUGAUAUUAUAACAAGCUUGAAGAUUGUGUAUAUAAGACAAAAAACCUAAUUCAUUAUUAAAAAAUAUUAAGAAAAAAAUUAGUAUGAGAAAGAAUUAAAGAACCUUUCAUAAAAAUUAUUAAUUUUUCAGUCAUAACUCCAAUUAAUAUUUAUUUUUUCUAAUUAAAAUAAUUAAUAAAAAAUUUGGAUAUGAAAAAUAUGUUCAAAUAAAAAUAAUAAAAGAUUAAAAACAUCAAAGGAAAAGAUAUUCAAUAUUUUAAAUUUUACUUUUGAUAAUCUUUAGAUCAAUAAAUUAUCAAAUAUCUUUUUAGAAAAAGGAAAAAUGAAGAAAAUGAAGAGUUUUAUGGAAGGGAUUGGAAAAUUUUUUGUAAUAAAAGGAUUUUAUAGAAAUUUCCUAACCUUGAAAGGAAAAUUUCAUCAUCAAUUUCAAAUUACUCCAAAAUUUGGUCAAUGCAUAUAAACAAUAAGAAAAGAAGACAAAAAUAAAACAAAUUUUUAGAAUCCUUUUGAGGGAGAUGACAAUAUUGAGAAUAAUUUUCUCAAAAAUUAUGGAAGGAAAAUUUAUGUAAUAAAAGGAUUUUAUAGAAAUUUUUUAACCUUGAAAGAGAAAUUUCAUCAUCAAUCUCAAAUUACUCUAAAUUUUGGUGAACACAUAUAAAAACAAUAAGAAAAGAAGGUAAAAAUAAAAAUAAAAAAACAUAUUUUAAGGAUUAAGUAAAAUAUGAAUAGAACAAGAUGAGAUAUUAACCAUAAUACCAUGUAAAAGAAUUUUAAAAAAAAAAAUCAAAAUAUGAGAUUUGAUCAUUUUUAUAAUUAUAAAAAAUUUCAUUCCUAUUUAAAUUUUAAAAAACAAUUCAUUUUCAUUAAUAAAUAGAAAAUAAAAUUAAUUUCUCAUUGUUAAUUCCAACAUUCUAAACCAACUCCAACAUGAGAUGGAAACUAUUUCAUUUUUCCUUUUGUGGGAGAUGACAAUAUUGAGAAUAAUUUUCUAAAAAAUUAUUUUUCAAAUAUCACCAAUACAUAUCCUCAUCACAAUAUACUAUAAUAUUCCUAGAAAACAAACAUAAAAUCUCAUCAAAAGAAAUUUCUUAUAAGAUCAAAAGAAAAUUUCAUACUGUAAAAUGUUUAUCCCUCAUUUUGAGUAUGAAAGAUAUUAAAAAAUCAUUCAUUUAUCAUAUUUUCAUUCGUUUUGGGGUUUGUGGAUUUAACAAUGAAAUAAAAGAUAUGGUGGAAUGCUAAACCUAAUUUUUACUUUCCUGCAACUCAAUAAAAAAAACACUAUUUACACAAUCUACAUUACAAAUAUACCAAAUCAAUGAAUGUAAAUCAGUUAUGCUAAUAAAGAUUUUGGUUUUAAUAAAAAAGAAAAAGAAAAUGAUAGAUCUAAGAGAUUUUGGGUUACCUGAGAGUCCAUGAAGUAGAGAAGAGCAGUUGUGUGUGAACUAUGGGUGUGAGAAGAGAGGUAGAAGAAAGUUAUGGUUAUGGGUUAUGGAAUGAGAUUUUUUUGGAUUGUGGGAAUGUGGAAACAAUGAGUUUUUUUUAUAUACAAUCAUUAUUCUCAAAGUGGGCCCAUUUAGUUAUAAUAUUUUAAAAUUUUUAUUUUAUAUGGUGUCACUUUUUUAAAACUGACACUAAACUUAAAAUUAAUAUCAUCUAUCCUAAUUAAAAAUUUUUAUAUGAUGUGUCACCUUUAUGAAUUUUAAUUCAUAUGGUGUCAUUAUUUUAAAAGUGACACCAUAAAUAGUGACACCAUAAAUUAUUUUUGUUGUAGUGUGUAUUAGGGAAAUGAUUUUAAAGGAAGGGUACUAAGAGUGAGUUUGAGAGUGAUUCUAUGAAGUGUUUCUAACAUUUCUAACACUUGAGUGAUAAAAUGAUGAUCUUCAAGGCAUCAUCAGAGGGCUUCUCAAUAUCUCUUCUACUGAAAAAAAUUUCUUGACUGAAAGUGGCUCUUAACUAGAGGGGAGGGCAUCCCAAAAAUUUUAGGAAACCAUGAAGAAAAAUUUAUCAAAAUGGAUGCUUCCAAUCUACCUGUGGGAAGUAAAGAAAAAGUGAAGAGCCAUUGGUUAGCUAGAAGCUAGCCAAAAACUUGUAAAUAGCUUUCAUUUUUUAUUUUCUUUAUUAUUUUUGUUUUUAUUGCUUUGGCCAAUUUAGUGUGUAGGAGUACCAUCAUAAGAACUCAAGUAUAAAUUUCUCUAUACUCUAUUGGUUUUAUCAUGCUUCAGAGUAGGUGUACAUUGUUAGCACCAGGAAAGUGUAGGACAUAUAGGAAUUGCGCACUUUUGAGGUUUGCUAACCCAACUUGUAUGAUGACUUAAAUUGCGUAUCUCAAAUUGUACACUUUGAAAGCAUGACUGAAACUCCACACCCUAAGAGAUUAAUUUAAGCGCAACUAAAAACUGCACACCUUUAAGCAACCAUUGAUAUUGCCCAGCUUAAAUUACACACCAUAAGCACGCCAUCCAUAAUAAAAAUGCCUUCCCAAAUAAAACCAUAAUUGCUUAGAGACUUUUGUCCACCCCACCAUCAUAUCAAUUGAGCAUUUGAAGCCAACCAAACUAAUUAUUAUCCAAAGACAGAAAAUUAAUUAAACAGGAUUAGUAUAAAAGAAAAUAACUUGACUUAUAAACAAAAGCAAGGGAGAUGCAAUGGCAAACACAAAGCAAUUUAAAAGGGGCAAGCGAGUAAAGAAACUAACAGUGAUAUAUUAUGAGUUGCCAUAAGUUGAAGUGACUUCCACUUCGGAAAGCCCAAGGCCUUUUAGCCAAUACCGUCAAAGGGGCUUUAUCAUCAUCAGAAUAAAUAUCAUCAUCAGAAUCUUUAGCAUCACCGAAAUUGCAUGUGGCAAGGUCAGGAUAACGUUUAACCAGAUACAGUGCUACAUCUGCAUAUUAUAAAAUUGUACAUGGGAACCCGACAGUAAUUCAUAUCAAGAAAAUAGAUAGGGGAUGGUAAAUAUAGCUCACCAUGAAACCCCACCAUUAGUGCUCUGCGCAGAAGUUCGAUUCCAGGCGAAUUUGAGAAAGGAUAUGGAUCUACAUCAUCUCUGGUGACGCUAAAUAAAUAUAAAGUCAGCUCUUUAUGACCAUACCUAACAGCGCUGUGAAGAGGCGCUAAAUUGCUGUGGCUGCAGAUAUUGGGCAAGCUUGGGUUUUUGUUCACUAACAACUUGGCUGCUUUUAUAUUGCCAGCCCUUGCAGCUUUGAAAAGGGCAGUGGCGCCAUCAGAAUCUCGCAGAGCCAGUGCCUCUCUUGGGACAAACUCAACCAACUUCUCCACGAAACCCAUUCUGGCCUCUCCUAACUCAACUGCUAUGUGAAGCAUUGGGGAAUCAUCUGUUCCGAUCGGAGCGGAGAAUGAUUUUGGAUCAUCCUCCAAUAAUUUUGAAGCACUUUUCCAGUCACCAUUGAGCACAGCUUUGUGCAGUUCCAAGUAGUAGAUUAAUUCUGGUUCAUAGAAUUCUGCAGUCACAAAACCAAAAGAAGUAUAGGUCAGCCUAGAUUUCCCUGAUAUGUAUAUUUCUUCAACGUUCACAACAUCCUAAUACUAAAAUUAUUUAUAAAAAAUAAAUCAUUUCAGUUAUGUUUGGUUCUUAAAAAAUUUGACAAAAAAUAAAAGGGAAAGAAAGUAAAUUAAAAAAAUAGAAGGUAAGAAAGAGUGAAAUAAAAUAGAUCCAAAAUCAAUAAAUUAUUUAUUUUUAUAUGCUACUCAUUUCACUUAUUUUAACUAUUCAAUAUAAAAAUUAAAUAAUUUAAAAUUUCAUAAAUUUAUAAUUAAUUUAAAUUAUAUUUGAUUUUCUUAAAUAUUUUCCUCAAUACAACCAAAUAUGAGAAAAUCAUUUUCCUUGAUAUCUUUUUUUUGCUAAUUAUUUUCUUGGGCUUCUUUGUUUACCUCUAAUCAACAUCUUUAUAUCUUUCAAUAAUAGUUUGAACCUCCAAUAAGCUACACGAAUUAAAAUUUAAUUUUCUUCCAUUUUUUUUUUUAACAGCAGGUUGUAAAACACUUCUACUUGUAUACUAAUUAUGCCCAAAAGUUGCAGGAGGACCUCAAACGGAAAUGGACAUGAACAUGGUUUUCAGCAUCUUACCGGAGCUACUAGUCCUUUGCAAAGAUGAAGAUAAAACCGCUGAAACAUUUUCAUCAGUAUCCUGCGCCAUAUUGAUGCUGCUACAGUUAGGAUUGUUUGGGCUGUCAUCGAUUACCGAGAGUGGUAAUGAAGAGGAAGCCAUUACAGUGAACUCCUCAUCAUGCUCAGCAAUGUCCGUGUUACUGUUUUUAGGACUGUUUGCGCUGUUGUCAUUUCUAAGACGUAGUGAAGAAGAAGAAGCCAUUACAACAAAUUCCUUAUCGUUCUUAUAGUCAUUGCCAUGUUUAGCGAAGUUAUUCUAAUGUGUAAUAGAAAACCUAAACAAAAUCUGCAGUUGACAAAGGUCAAAAUUAACUUACCUCGCAGAUGGAUUUGUUAUCCAUGAUAGAAGAUUAUAUUUAACUAUAUCGAGGCAGGGAAGAUACUCUCAUCCAAAGAGAAACAACAGCAGCCCUUUUUCCUACUGUCUUCAAAAGAUACAGGAAAUAGGCCAGGAACCAUUGAAGCAUAACAGGUGCAAUGGUAGAGUCUUCCAAGUCAACUUUGUUUAUUUAGUUGAGUAAUUGGUAAGCACUAGAUAGCGUUGAAACGUUAUGACUGGUGGAUGAAAAUGGAAAAUAAUAGGCAUAUAUGAUUUAUUCAUAUAUAAAAUAAACAACGAAAAUUAGGGGGUAACUUCGAGCUGUUUGUUUUCACAUGAUUUCUUCUCUCCGUGUUGCUGGGCAUGGAUCUCCACUGACAUAGAAGCAACUAGGUCUUUUCUUUUGCUUUUUCUUUUUAAUUUUUCAUGUUUUAUUUUAAGAUGAUAUCCAGAAGUAGUAGGUAUGGUAUAUGAAUUUCACUUAGAAUGAUAAACAUUCAUAGAGCCAAAUGUAAAUCCGUACUAUUGGGCAUAAUAUUAUCGAGCCAUGCUUGGUUACCGAAAAUUACUCCAAGGUAUCAUACCCACCUUUUAGGCCAAUAAAAUUAAGAAACAUGGCAAGGAAAUUAAAAAAAACCAAUUCUCCAGGUUUAGCAAGGUUGCCGAGGGAAUUAAUCAUGUGCACCACACAUUGCUAUCAUCAUUUACAAUAACCAAUUAUAUAAAAUCUGUUGAAAUAUUUUAUAUAAUUAACUUUUGGAAUUUUUUUAUCAGGUAGUAAAAUAAAGAAAAUUUAGGAAAAAAUAUUUUUAUAAAAUGAUAAAGUUUGACAAAAACGAUAAAUUUUUUGUAAAGUAUUGAAAAGGAUACAAGGCUAUGAAUUCAUAAUUGUAUGAUAACCUUUUAGUAUUUCAAUCUUUGAAUUUUUUUUGGAGAUUAUUUCCAUAAAUUCUAAGGAGAAUUGUGUUUCCACCCUAGCUGGGUUGGAUAAUUGAGGUAAGGUCCUCCUAUCACCCAUAAUUAAAUUCAAAACCCAAGGAAAGAAUAGAAAUUGAGAGGAAGGAUAUCGCUUUUAAAAAAUCCCUAAAAUACCCUUAACUAUCAAAUGAAAAAGCUACCAGUCACUCUUACCUUUCUCUUUUCUUUCUUUGACUUUUUCACCAUUCUCUCACUUAUUUAUUAGUGGGAUCAAGUUAAAUGAUUUACCAAUUAUUUUUCUUCAACAAAUUGAACAUGAAAGAUAAAUAGUUAAAAAUUAUUAUUGUCAAAUGCAUUUUUGAAGUAAAUAAUUUUUAAAUACCUUAUCAAAUAUUAUUCUUUUUUUCAAACUUACAUAAUAUAUAAUAAAUAUUAUUAUUUAUUUCAAACUUAUAUUAUUUCUUAUAUAUAUUAAACAAUUUGUAAACAUCUCAUAAAAUAUUAGUAUUCUUUAUUUGUUCUAACUUGUAAAUUAGACAUCAUUAAAUUUUUUUUUUCAAACUUAUAAAAUAUAUAAUAAAUAUUUUUUAAAUACCUAAGCAAAUAUUUUUUUUGUUUCUUACUUAAAAAAUAAUAAAUAUGUUGUAUAUUAUUUCUCAUUGGUCUUAAUGGCAUAGUUUGGUAAAAAAAACAAAAAAGAGAAAAAAAAAAAACAAUCAAUAAUCGUUCUAAUGUCAAACUCAAGUUGAUUAAAAAACAUACAAAACCUAUUAGGAGUCCUGUACACCCUUGUACACUUGACAUAUUUCCCUUAUACAAUUAGUGUAAUAUCAUACAGUGGUGCAAAUUUCAUUUCCCUCCUAAUUUAUUGUCCAUGUAGGUGUAUUAAACAUAUUUUUAAUCAUUUGGUUGAGAAAAUUGUGGAUGACUUAUGGUUAAAUUUUUUUCCACCGACAUCAUUAUUGGGGAAAACAUUAGAAUUUCCAUAUGGGAAUUAAAUAAAGUGUAUGACAUGAGUAUACAAUUCUUGGGCGACAAGGAAAAUAAAGGAGUAAUUCAUAAUCGAUUGAAAUUUUUCACAAAUACUAGUUUUGUACAUCCUUGUACACUUAAUAUAUUUCUCUUAUAUAAUUAGUGUAAUGAGUAUACAAUUCUUGGGUGACAAGGAAAAUAAAGGAGUAAUUCAUAAUUGAUUGAAAAUUUUCACAAAUGCUAGCAUUGUACAUCCUUGUACACUUAAUAUAUUUCUCUUGUACAAUUAGUGUAGUACCCUUGUACAGUUAAUGUAACACCCUUGUACAGUGGUACAAAUUUCAUAUUCUUCCUAAAUUAUGUAUCCACGUAGGUGUGUUAACCAUGUUUCUAAUUGUUUGGUUGAGAAAAUAUUGGAUGACUCUGGGUCAAAUUUUUUUCCCUAAACAUCAUUGCUAGGGAAAGUAUUGAAAUUUUUAUGUGAGAGUUAAAUAAAGUGUAUGACAUGAGUGUACAAUAUGUUGGCAACAAGGAAAGUAAAAUGGAGUGGUUCAAAAUCGAUUGAAAUCUUUCACAAAAGGUAACCUUAUACACCCUUGUACACUUAGUACAUUUUCAUUGUACAGUUAGUGUAAUACCCUUGUACAAUGACACAAAUUUCAUAUCUCUCUAAGUUAUGUGUUCACAUAGGUGUAUUAAUCAUAUUUUCAAUGGUUUGAUUGAGAAAAUGGUGAAUGACUUAGGGUCAAAUUUUUUUCUCCAAACAUCAUUACCGUAGAAAGUAUUGAAAUUUCCAUGUAGAAGUUAAAUAAAGCGUAUGACUUAGGAUUAAACUCUUUUAAGUCUUUUUAUUAUUUUCAUAUGAAAAAAUAGUAUUAAACAAGGUUUUGAAUUUUCAUUUUUAAAAAUAGUUUUCAUUUUUUAAUUAAACAUAUUUUCUAAAAGAGACCAUAUAGAAAAUAAAAAUUAUUUAAAAAAUAAUAAAAAAUAAAAAAUAGAAAAAUAUUUUUAAACCAAACUCAAACACAAUCUAUAUAAUUUUUAUUUUUAUUUAUCUGAAAUGAGUAAAUAUACCUUUUAACCCUUUUAUUUAAGAAAAAUUUAAUAUCUACUAUAUAUAGUUAUAAUUCACUUCUAAAAUUAAGUCAUACAAAAACAUUUUAAUUGUAUAUUUAAAAUAAAAACUCUUCAUCCAUCCUAUUUCUCUCUUUUACUCUUUUUUUUUGGAUAAAUUUUCAAUUAAUUCAAAUCAUUAAAAAAAAAUCUUUAUUAAACAAAUUUACAACAUUUCAUAUAACUUAUUACUAAAAGUCAUGUUCAAAAAGUUAUUAAAACAAGAAAGAAAGAAUUUUUUUAAAAAUAAAAAAGUAAAAAAUUGAACCUUUUAGUUUAUAAUAGGAAAAAGAAAAUUUUAAAAUACUUUUUAGUAUAAAAGAAAAGAAAAUAGUGAAUGUAUUUAUUUUAAAUAGUGUUUUAAUCAUUAAAUUAUUUACUUCUAAAAUAUAAAAGAUAAUUUUUAUUUAUUUAAAUUAACAUUUUUUAGAAAACAUUUUUCAAAAUAGUUUUUAAAUCAUCAAUAUAAUUUUUGUUUAUUUAUAAUUUAAAAAUAUAAAAUAAUGUUAAUUUUUCAAUUAUUUAUAAAAAAGUUUAAAAAAACCAAUGAAAAAUAAAAAAAUGGUUAAAGAAGAGAGAAUGUGUUAAUAGUGGCAUGUAAAGAGUGGUAGAAUAAAGACAAAAAUGAGUAAAGGGGUAUUUGUGUCCAUUAUCAUCUCAUCUCCUUGUAAUCAAUUAUGAGUGAUAGGAGGACUUUAGCUUAAUUAUCCACCCCAACUGGGGUGAAAACACAAUUCUCCCUAAAUUCUAUAUUCCAAAAACAAUGAUAAUAUUUACACAAUAUUAUUGUCAUUCAAAGUGGGAAAAAAAUAUACAAAUAAAAAUUUCAAAAAAAAUUAGAGAUUACAAAGAAUAUAAGGAUACGAUGAAUGUGAGGAUUGUCAUAUUUUUCAUACCCUCCUCACAUUCUUCAUGCCCCAACUCAUUUGAAUAUUUUAAUCUUUUAAUUUUUCCAAACAUUAUUUACUUCAAUUGCAAGUGUAAUUAGUGUUUUUACACAAUAUUAUUGUCAAAUGAAGUAAAAAAAAAAUUCAAAAUUAAAAUUUUUAAAACAUUUAGAGGGUACAAAAAUGUGAAGAGGGUACAAAGAAUGUGAAGAGCCUCGCAUUUCUUGUACCCUCCUCACAUUCUUCAUACCUAUUGCAAUUUUAAAAUUUUUUAAUCUUUCAAUUUUUUCGAACAUUAUUUGCUUCAAUUUCAAGUGUAAUUAAGAUUUUUACCCAAUAUUAUCAUCUAGUGAUGUGAAGAAAAACUUAAAAUUAAAAAAUUUUAGAGGGUGCAAAAAAUGUGAGAAUAGUAUGAUGAAUGUGAGGAGGGUGCAAGGAAUGUAAAAAGGGUAUGAGAAAUGUGAGGGUACAAGAAAUGAAUAUAUAUAUAUAUAUCAUACUCUCCUCACUUUAUUUGUACCCCUACAAAUUUUUUAAUAUUUUAAUCUUUUAAUUUUUUUGAACAUUAUUUGCUUCAAUUUCAAGUGUAAUUAGUCUUUUUACAAUAUAUUAUUGUCAAGUUACUUAAAAAUAAAAAUUUAAAACAAUUUAGAGGGUACAACAAAUGUGAGGAGGGUGCGAGAAAUGUGAAGAGGGUACAAGAAAUGAAAAAACAAUAAAAAAUAAAUUUCUUGUACUCUCCUCACAUUCUUUGUAUUCCCACCAAUUUUUGAAUAUUUUAAUUUUUUUCGAAUAUUAUUUGCUUCAAUUUCAACAAAAUUCUUGUACCCUCCUCACAUUUUUCAUACCCCACCAAUUUUGUAAAAUUUCAAUAUUUUAAAUUUUUUUUAACAUUAUUUAUUUCAAUUUCAAGUGUAUUGAGUCUUUUUACACAAUAUUAUUGUUGAGUGAAGUGAAAAAAAACAUAAAAUUAAAAUUUUCAAAAAAUUUAAACAAAAAAUGUCAAAAGGGUAUGAAGAAUGUGAAUAUGGUACAUGAAAUGUGAGGGUAUAAGAAAUGAAAAAACUAAAUUCUCAUACCCUUUUCACAUUUCUCGUACCUUCCUCACAUUCUUUGUAACUUCACAAACUUUUGAAUACUUUAAUCUUUUAAUUUUAACUCAUCUAACCCUUAUAAACAGUGUCAUCAAGGAAUAUGAGCUCAAAAUAAGAACCAUUGGGAUCCAUAGGAGUACUAGCUCUCUUAGAAUAAUAUUUUGAAAUUGAUUCAACAUCUCACUACAAAGAGUCAACUGCACUUUAAUACCCUAUGUAUAUUACAACAAGACACCAAGUACUUGGAUAUGUGAUCUACUAUCUAUUGCAUGCAAACUCUCUAUAAACCGGUGUCUGUAAUCUAAUAAGGUAGUGUUGUCACCUAUCAAAAUUACCCCUCAAAUCCUUUAGUUACAGAUCUCACUUAUUAUGUGAUCAAAUGACAUUCUACCUCCAAAGAGCAUAUGUUAAAUUCCACUAAAGGAAUUACUAUGGCCACAUAUUUCAUUAUCACAUGUCCUCUGGAUCACCCCAGGGGACAUAUUGUCUCAAUCCCAUGAGAUAUCAUGGUGCCUCUAUUGAGAAUACCUAUUGUCAUCAACCUCCAUAAACAGUGACCCAAUUCAUAGGGAUAUAUGACCACUUUAGGGUUUCACUCAUAGGUUAAAGUCUUCUAUUAAUUUUGGCACAAACUCAAUAUCCUCUAAGGUUGAGAGUCUAUGCAUUAUAGUAGCUUGGUGAAUCAUGACAAUUGAUAGUCUUGCAUCAUGAUUCACCGUAGGUCCUAUCUAGUGUGUAUCACAUACACUAGUACACUCAUCAUAGGAAACCCAUCCCAAUGACCAAGACCAGUCAUCCCUCCAAUUAGGAGGUAAUGCACUAUAGUCUUUCCACUUUGGAAAGCCCAAGGCCUUUUAGCCUAUACCAUCAAAGGGGCAAAAUCAUCAUUAGAAAGCAUCAUCGUGGCAAGCGGAAUCGAAAUUGCAUGUGGCAAGGUCAGGAUAACAUUUAACCAAAUACAGUGCUACAUCUACAUAUUGUAAAAUUGUACAUGGGAACACAACAAUAAUUCAUAUCAAGAAAGUAGAUAGGGGAUAGUAAAUAUAGCUCACCAUGAAAUCUCACCAUUAGAGCUAUGUACAGAAGUUUGAAUCCAGGCAAGUCUGGGGGAAGGACUUGGAUCUACAUAUCUUUGGUGACGCUUAAUAAAUAUAAAGUUAGAUCUUCAUGACCAUAGCUAACAGCGGAGUGAAGUGGCGUUUAAUUGUUGCAUUGGCAAAUAUUGGGCAAGCUUGGCUUUUUGUUCACUAACAACUUGGCUGUUUUAUAUUGCCAGCCCUCAGAAUGUUGAAAAAGGCAAUGGCGUUAUCAGAGUCCUGCAAAUCCAGUGCCUCACUUGGCAUGAACUCAACCAACUUCUCCACAAAACCCAUGUUGGCCACUCCUAACUCAAUUGCUAAGUGAAGCACUGGGGCACCAUCUGUUCCAAUCAGGGCAGAGAUUGAAUUUGAAUAAUGCCUCAAGAAUAUUGAAGCACUUUUCCAAUCACCAUUGAGUACAGCUUGGUAUAGUUCCAAAAAAAAGGUUAAAUCUUUUUUAAAUAAUUUUGCAGUCACAAAACCAAAAGAUGUAUAGGUCAGCAUAGAUUUCCCUGAUAUGUAUCUUUAUUUCUUCAACAUUCACAACCUCCUAAUACUAAAAUUAUCUUUUAAAAAAAUAAAUCAUUUAAGUUAUGUUUCCUUCUCAAAAAAUUUGAGAAAAAAUACAAAAAAAAAAAUAAACAAAAAAAAUAGAAAGAAGGAAAAAGUGAAAAAUAAAAAUAAAAAAUAGACUUAAAAUCAAUAAAUUAAUUAUUUUUAUAUGUUAUUUUAAACUCAUUUUCCUUGAUAUCUCUUCUUUCCUAAGUAUUUUCUUGGAACCAAACAUAAAAGUUUUAUCUAAAUUUACCUCUAAUCAAAAUCUUCAUAUCUUUCAAUAAUAGUUUGAACCUUUAAUAAACUGCACCAAUUAAAAUUUAAUUUAAUUUAGUUUCUUUUUUUUGCUUUUUUUUAAUAGUGGGUUUUAAAACACUUCAACUUACAUAAUAAAUAUGCCCAAAAGUUGCAGGAGGACCUCAAACGGAAAUGGACAUGAACAUGGUUUUCAGCAUUUUACCGGAGUUGCUAGAGGAAACCACUUAAACAUAUUCAUCGGUAAGGUGAGCAAUUUCGAUGACCUUAUUUCUUUCCGAUGAUGAAGGGGAAGAGACUGAAGCAUAUUCAUCAGCAUUAUGCACCAUAUUGAUGCUACUACAGUUAAGAUUGUUUGGACUUGUAGGAAGAGUGUAAAAAAAAUUUUAUUCUAUUUUAUUCGAUUAGUCUUAUUUUUUGGGAAGAAUCCUGUUGGGAAUUAUAUUUAUUUUAUUUUAUUCUAUUAGUCUUAUAUUUAUGGGAAAAGUCCUAUUGGGAUUGUGCUAGUGGAGUCUCACUUCUUUCAUAAGUAGAAUCCCCUUCCACUUUGAGUCAUGUUCUGAUUACAAGUGUUAGUGGCCUAUAAAAGAAGGUCACCUCUCACUCUCUAAAUAUGAAUACCAAUUUUUUAGAGAGUCUUUUCAUACAUCUAUCUGGAUGAAUAUUUUCAAAACUCGAGUUGUACACAUCUCGCUUACUGAGUACACCCAAGGCGAGAUAUGGUUGUUGAAUCCUGGAGGUAGACCACUGGUACCUUAUAGCAUCGAGUUCGUCUUUGAAGAAGGUGGAUCUAUUUCAAGGACGGUGUUUGUCAUGCCUCAGUCGAUAAGUUUUUCUUCUUAUUAAUUCUAUUCUUUGUUUGUGUCUUUUGGGCUAGUCAUUUGUUUCCAUACCCUUAAAUCCAAUAAUCUUGAAAUAUAUCCAAACGGAAGCUUCUCUAGUUCACACCUAUCCUGACACCUCUAAAAUUGAUCCCUUCAAUGGGACAUUCUUUAAGAAAUGGCAGGAAAGGGUUUUAUCUACGAUUGAUGUAGAGAACUUGGGACACAUUUUGACUUACCCAAAACCAGAAUAUGGUUCUCAUCUGUUACCAACUUGGGAAACUGGAAAUAAACAAGUUAGUCAUGCUAUUCAGAGUACCCUUUCUAAUGAACUUUUUUAUAUUUAUCGUUAAUUUAAAGUUGCAAAAGAAAUUUGGGAUGCAAUGAAUAAAAAAUAUAUUUUGGAAGAUGCAGGAACUCAGAAAUAUGCCAUAAGGAAUUUUAGAAAUUUCCAAAUGACCGAGGAUAGAGAUGUAUCAUCUCAAAUCCAUGACUAUCACUUGUUGAUUAAUGACUUAGCUAUUGAAGACAUUAAAUUACCCGAACCUUUUGUGGCUGGUUAUUUAGUAGAGACUCUUCUAGAGUCUUGGAAAGACUAUAAAAAUAACAUGAAACAUAAAAUGAAACACAUGUCCCUAGAGGAUGUCAUAAUCCAUAUUAGGAUUGAGGAAGAAAACCGAAAUAGGGACAAUGUUAAGAAAGUUAAGGAAUUGUCUUCUAAGCCUAAUGUAGUAGAAGGAAAACCUAAACCCAAAAACAAUAGGUCCAGGAAACAAAACUCUAGGACCAAACCCUAUGCAUCAAACAAGGUCCAGAACUCAACUAUUAAAAAAUGGGGUAAUUGCUUUGUCUGUGGCAAGUCUGACACCAUGCAGUUCAAUGUCGCCACAGGAAGAGAACUAAGAAGUCCCAUUCAAAGGCAAAUCUGGCAGAGACAGGGGUGAUCAUAGUAGUAAUGUCCUCUAAGGUGAGCAUGGUCACCAAUAUGAAGGACCGGGUGGUAGACUCUAGGGCUACCAGGCACAUCUAUGGGAAUAGAAGUGCAUUUACUUCCUAUACCACUAUAAAGGAAGGAGACGAACAAGUGUUCAUGGGUGAUUCUAGAUCUACUACAAUGAUUGGCAAAGGGAAAGUUCUCGUUAAGCUAACCUCUGGAAAAGUGCUUGCCCUUAGUGAUGUUCUUCAUGUGCCAGAUAUCCGCUAGAACUUGGUGUCAGUAUCUCUGCUUGGGAAAGCAGGAGUGAGGAUCUUGUUUGACUUUGAUAAAAUAGUUUUAACCAAGAAUAAUGCAUUUAUGGGAAAGGGCUAUUGUAAUCAAGGUUUAUUUAUGUUGAAUGUUUCUAAUAUUAUCAAUAAUAAUGCAUCUUCUUCUUCUGCUUACAUAGUUGAUUCUUGUGAUAUUUGGCAUGGUAGACUAGGACAUGUGAACUUUUCAUAUAUGAAGAAAAUGGUUGAAUUGAGUUUAAUCCCUAAACUAUCAUUAGAAAACCAUGGAAAAUAUGAAUCUUGUGUAGAAUCUAGAACCACAAAGAAAUCUUGUAAAUCAGUUGAAAGAGAAUCAGAUCUACUAAGUUUAAUACAUAGUGACUUAGGAGACCUAAAAAAAUACAAUGACUAGAGGUGGUAAACGGUUCUACAUAACUUUCCUAGAUGACUACUCAAGGUAUAUAAGGGUAUAUCUUUUGAGAAACAAAGAUGAAGUAAGAGAUGCUUUCAUAAAGUACAAAAAUGAAGUGGAAAAUCAACUAAGCAAGAAAAUUAAAAGGCUUAGAACAUAUAGGGGAGGAGAGUAUGAGUCCAACCCCUUUAAUUCUUUUUGUGAAGAUCAUGUGAUCAUUCAUGAAACUACUCCUCCUUAUUCCCUUGAGUCUAAUGAAGUAGCAGAAAGGAAAAAUAGGACCUUAAAAGAAAUUAUGAAUGCAAUGUUGGUAAGUUCAGGAGCACCUUUGAACUUGUGGGGGGAAGUUAUCCUAUCCACAUGUCAUAUUCAAAAUAGAAUAUCUUACAAGAAAACUGGUAAAACUCCUUAUGAGUUGUGGAAGGGUUAUGCACCUAAUAUAGCAUACCUGAAAGUGUGGGGGUGUUUAGCUAAAUUUCUUCUCCCUGAACGUAAAAACGAAAACUAGGUCCUAAAACCUUUGAUGCAAUGUUCAUUGGCCAUGCUGAGAAUAGUACGAUAUAUAGGUUUCUUGUUACUAAGUUAGAUAACAGCCUUGUAGAUGUCAAUACUAUAAUAGAAACAAAGAAUGCAAGUUUCUUUGAAAACAUCUUUCCUAUGAAACUAAAUGGUGAACAACAAGUUUAGAAAACAAGUAGAGACAAGUCUAUUGAACCUUCUGAAUUUGAACUUAGAAUGAGUAAAAGAGAUAGGAAAUAAAAAAACCUUGGAGAUGGUUUCUACUCCUUCCUAAAAGAUGAGGACCCUAGAUCCUAUAAAGAAACUAUAACUUCUCUUGAUACACCAUUCUGAAAGGAGGCCAUUAACAGUGAAAUCGAAUCAAUCAUGUACAACCAUACAUGGGAGUUAGUAGAUUUACCUCCUUGUGAAAAGACUAUUUGUUGUAAGUGGAUCUUUAAAUGAAAGUUAAAACAAGAUGGGUCCAUAGAGAAGUAUAAAGUUUGUUAAUUUGCCAAAGGCUUUAAACAAAGGAAUGAUGUAGAUUACUUUGACACCUUUGCCCUAAUGACUAGAAUAGCGUCAAUUAGUGUAUUGAUCAAUCUAGCUUCCAUUCAUAAUUUGGUGAUACACCAAAUGGAUGUCAAAAAUGCAUUCUUGAAUGGGGAUCUAGAAGAGGAAAUUUAUAUGGAACAACCUGAGGGUUGUGUAGUUCCAGGGAAGGAGAAAAAGGUGUGUAAGUUGGUUAAAUCAUUAGAUGGAUUAAAACAAGUUCCCAAACAAUGGCACAACAAGUUUGAUCAUGUGUUAAUAACUAAUGGAUAUUCCAUUAAUGAUGCUGAUAAGUGUAUCUACAGCAAGUAUGAGAAUAACACAUGUGUAAUCAUCUGCCUUUAUGUUGAUGACAUGUUGAUCUUUGGAACUAGCCUAGAGGUUGUGCGUGAGACCAAGAAAUUCCUAGGUUCUAAGUUUGAUAUGAAAGACCUAGAAGAGGCAGAGGUGAUUCUAGGAAUUAAAAUAACUAAAACACCUAAUGGGCUUAAACUUUCUCAAGAGCACUAUGUUGAAAAGAUCCUAAGGAAGUUUGAACACUUUGAUUGUAAACCAGUGUCAACUCUUUAUGAUCCCAGCUCACAGCUGAAGAAAAAUAGAGAACAUAGUGUUGCCCAAAUAGAGUAUGCUCAGAUCAUAGGGAUCUUAAUGUACUUAAUGAAUUGUACCAGACCUGACAUUGCUUAUGCAGUAGGUAGAUUGAGUCGGUACACCCAAAGUCCUAAUAAGGACCAUUGGACUGUUGUUCGUAGAGUCCUUAAGUAUUUGAGAGGCACCAUUAACUAUGGUUUGUGCUUAGUGGAUUUCCAAUUGUCCUUAAAGGAUUUAGUGAUGCAAAUUGGAUCUUAGAUUCAAAUGAGAUGAAAUCCACUAGUGGAUAUGUUUUCAUCCUUGGUGGAAGUGCAGUUUCUUGGAAGUCUGCCAAGCAAACUUGCAUUACUCGGUCUACUAUGGAGGUUGAGUUUAUGGCCUUAGAAAAGGCAAGUUUUGAGGUUAAGUGGCUUAGAAACCUCUUAACAGAUAUCUCUUUUUGGACGAGACCGGACCUGUCUAUGUCUAUACAUUGUGAUAGUCAAGCUGCAAUCGCUAAGAGUAAAAUAUUUAAUGGGAAUAACAAACAUAUACGCCUAAGGCACAAUAUUAUGUGGUAACUGCUUGAAAUAGGGGUUAUAUCCCUAGAAUUUGUGAGGUCAGAGUUGAAUUUGGAUGAUCCUUUGACCAAACCACUAAAUAAAAAACUAGUGGAAGAAACAUCGAAGGGGAUGGGGCUUAUGCCUAUUACAGAAGUCAAGAGUGGUGGUAACCCAACCUAUUAAAAUGGAAAUUCCAUGAAGUAGGUUCAUGUGGAUAAUAACAAAUCACUUGUUGACUUGAGGCACUUUAUUAACUCUAAUUGUAUGAGAGUCUAUCCCUAUGGUGUAGAUAGAGCGUAUUCAACAUUGAUUAAGGUUGAGUGUUUACUCUUAAUGAAUACCAUAUUCCUUAUGGAUGGUAUGUUUAAAUGCAUAACAUACUAGAUAGAUUCACCUAUAUGAGAGUGGAGGUGGGGUCGCUUCCUAUGAGAACUUAGGCAGGUUCUCUAGAGCUCUCAUGAAUAUCCAGGUAGGGUGCAUGACCUAUUUGUGCCAACCCGUUUGUACAGCUCGUAGUGUAGUUGAGAAAACCAAUGUGGAUAAAAGUCCCUUGAGUUACAUCGAGAAACAGUGGUUCAUAGAAAUUUAUUUUCACCGUGUUUUGUGAUUCAAUACUUAUUUGUCCUAAGAAUGGUUCAUAGCCUUUGGGCAAUAGUACUAAUGGAUUGGAUUCUUUUUUCCUCCAAAAAAAGAAAAAAAAAAUCACAUUUACACUAUGUGGGGGAUUGUAUGAAGUGUGUAAAUAAUUUUUUUUUUGAUUUUAUUCUAUUAGUCUUAUAUUUUUGGGAAGAAUCCUAUUGGGAAUUAUUUUUAUUUUAUUAGUCUUAUAUUUUUAGGAAGGGUCCUAUUGGGAUUGUGCUAGUGGAGUCCCAUACCUUUUAUAAAUAGAAUCCCCUUUCACUUUGAGUCAUGUUAUAAUUACAAGUAGAGUCCCAUUGGGACUGUGUUAGUGGCCUAUAAAAGAAGGUCACCCCUCACUCUCUAAAUAUGAAUACCAAUGUUUCAGAGAUUUUUUCAAAGAAUUUUUCAAAGUCUUUUCAUACAUCUAUCUGGAUGAAUUUUUUCAAAACCUGAGUUGUACACAUCUCGCUUAUAGAGUACACCAAAGGUGAGAUUUGGCUGUUGAAUCCUGGAGGUAGACCACUAAUACCCUACUGCACCGAGUUCGUCUUCGAGGAGGUUGGAUCUAUUUCAAGGACAGUGUUUGUCACACCUUAGCCGAUAAGUUUUUCUUCUCAUUAAUUAUGUUCUUUGUUUGUGUCUUUUGGGCUAGUCAUUUGUUUCCAUAUCCUUAAAUCCAACAGGACUGUCAUCGAUUAUGAGAGUGGUAAUGAAGAGGAAGCCAUUACAUCAAAUUCCUCCUCAUGCUCAGCAAUGUCGAUUUUACUGUUGUUAGGACUAUUUGCGCUGUUGUCAUCUUUAGGAUGUGGUGAAGAAGAAGAAGCCAUUAUAUCAAAUUCCUUAUCAUGUUGAUAGCCAUUCCCAUGUUUAGUGAAGUUAUUAUAAUGUGUAACAGAAAACCUAAACAAAAUCUGAAGUUGACAGAGGUCAACAUUAACUAACUUACCUCGCAGAUGGAUUUGUUAUCCACGAUGGAAGAAAUAUUUAACUAUACCAAGGCAAAGAAGAUACUCUUAUCCAAAGAUAAACAACAACAACCCAUUUUUCCCACUAUCCUCAAAAGAUACAUAAAAUCGACCAAGGACCAUUGAAGCAUAAGAGGUGAAAUGGUGAAGUCUUCCAAGUCAACUUUGUUUAUUAAUUAGUUGAGUAUUUUCUAAGAAGUAGAUAGUGUUGAAACGUUGACCGGUGGAUGACAAUUGAAAAUAAUAAGCAUAUAUGAUUUAUCCAUUUUUUAAUGGUAGGAUUUCCCUCAAGCUAUUGUCAAAUAUAGAUAUAACCCCCUUGGUGCCCUGUUUGCAUCACAUCAUUAGUUUUGAUUUUUCUUUUUUUAUAGAAAUUAUGCCUAAUUGACAAAACUCUUAAUUAUAUAUUUAUAUAUAUAUAUAUAUGAAAAUUUCACCGAAAUAUCGCAUUUUAGUUGUUGUAGAAAUGAAAUAGGGUUGCAAAAUAUCGGAGGGGUGAAAUUAAAAAAAAAAAAUCAGCAUGUUUUGUCGAUAUUUUGGAUUUUUACCUAUUUAUCAACAAUUUUGCCGAUUUUUCAAUUUGGUCAAUGCGCAGGUGGUCUGGUCAAUGCGUAGUGAAAUGGUCAAACCCUUAAAAAUCUUAAAAUGUGACUUGUUGUAGGCACUAGGACUCUAAUCCAAACCCAAAACAAACAAACAUAGCCUUGGUCGACCAGUAGGCUAACUUGCCUAUUUAUUAAAGUAAAGGCACCAUAUAAAUAUAUCAUAAAACCGUCAUAAAAAAGAUAUUAAAAGAAUAUUUUAAUAAACAAAUUAUUUCUAAUUAUUUUAUUUUAAAUUUCAUUUAAUUGAUCACUAAAAAUAUAAAAAAUGUAGCUAUAAUUUUCUUAACAGAUUUUUUUUAUAUCAUUUAUAUAUUAAUUAAAUAUAAAAAUAUGAAUAUUAAAAAAAUUAUGCAUAUAUGAUCAUUUAUUUUAUAUCAUCUAAUACAAUUGAAAUUAAAUGGAUUAUAAUUUUAAAAUUAGAUAUACUAUAAUCAAAUAUUACAACAUUAUUGUUGAAUAAUAUUUAAUAUAAUUUAAUAAUAAAUAUAUAUUUAUAAAAUUCAUAUUUUUUUAUCAACCAUAUGAAAUUAUUAUCAAAUAUGAUUAACUAUAUCAUAUACAUAUACCAUUUUCUUUUUAUAAAAUAACUUUAAAAUAUCAAUUAUUGCUUAUUAUAUCGUUUUUAUAGUUUUCUUAUCAAUUUUGGGCUUACUGAUAUUUUGUGUCAAAAUAUCUAUCGAUAUAUCUAAUAUAUCCAUAAAAUCAAAGUACCGAUCUAUCUAUGAUUAUCGAUAUUUUUAUCUUUAUAUAUAUGCCUUUUAAGUAUGGUAAUAGCUAGAAAAAUAAAGUACGAUGUCAAAAUUACUAAGAAGGUUACUUGACCAAUUGACAAGGUAAAAUGUCAAGAAUACUUAAAUAUGAGUAAUCAUGGUAAAAAUACAAUAAACUUACUGGAAAUAAAUUCUUUUCAUUCAAUGUAUAACAACAUUUGUGAUUGAGGAAUAGGGUUACUAGAAGUUAGGAGUUGCAGGAUGACCUCAAGUGACCCAUAUAAGGCAUUUUUACUCAUUACACAUGGUUUAUAUAUAUAAGACCUACAAUUAGGUCUAUAGAAGAUGAAUUGAAAAGAUAAUUUAGACAUUUCAUCAUGUUUUGUCUUCGUACAUAGAAAUUUUCAGACUUACUCAACCUUUGCGCAAUUACAUUUAGGUUUUAUUCCUUAAACAAUAUAUUUUUUUAAAUUAAACUAGAAAAAUUGGAUGAAAAUGAAAUUCAUGCUUUUGGACAUAAACAACAUGCAAUUGUAUGCAUUAAUAGAAAUUUUGCAUUUAACAAUCUUUGUAGUAGUUACUUUUUUAGGCGUUAUGAACUCUUAAACAUAAUUUUCCUUUUCUUUUUCUUAUUAAAACUAGAAGUCUUAGAUAAAAAUAUGGCUUCUUGCUUAUGAGAUUCUCUUCAAUCUCUAAGAGAUAUUUGGUGAUAUGGGUAGAUCAACUAGUCAAGUUGCUCUUAAAACUAUUAUGAAUACCAAGAUGACAGAAGGAACUCUCAUUAGAAAUUAUAUGACUCAUAUAACUAGACUCUUUAACAAGAUGGGGAUUCUUAGAGCUAAAAUCAAUGGUGAGACCAAGGUCAAUAUGAUCUUAGAGACCUUAUUGGAUUCCUUCAAACAGUUAAAGCUCAACUAUUCCAUGGAUAAGAUGUUGAUGAACUAGCCAGAGUUGAUGAGGGAACUCUAAAUGGUUGAGGGGAUUUUCAAAGAACAAAGGGUUGUUCAUAUGGUAGUUAGAGGUUCUUUAGGUUUUUCUAACAAUAAAAAGAAGAAAUAGAAAAACACUAAAUAGGGAAUGUCCAAGGUUAGGAAAGGAAAUAACAAAGGAAAGGGCAAGUGCUUCCUUUGUGGCAAAAAGGUCAUUAGAGAAAAAAUCACUUCACUACCUAAACAAAAAAAAAAAAAGGAACAUUUCAUUCACUUUUAGUUGAAUCUUGCUUAGUGGUGGAUUCUACCAUUUCAUGGUAGAUAGAUUUUAGGGCUACUGACCAUAUUUGUAAUUAACUAUUCCAUGAAUAAGAUAUUGAUGAACUAGCCAUAGUUGAAGAGGGAACUCUAAAUGGUUGAGGGGAUUUUCAAAGAACAAAGGGUUGUUCAUAUGGCAGUUAGAGGUUCUUCAAGUUUUUCUAAUGAUAAAAAGAAGAAGAAUAAGAACAAUUUCAAAAAAACAUUGAAUAGGGAAAGUCCAAGGUUAGGAAAGGAAAGGGAAAGUGCUUCCUUUAUGGCAAAAAGGGUCAUUUGAAAAAAAUAUGACUUAACUUCCUAAAGAAAAAAAAUUACAUUUCGUUCACUUUUAGUUGAAUCUUGCUCAAUAGUGGAAUCCACCAAUUCACGAUAGAUAGAUUUUGGGGCCAUUGACCAUAUUUGUAAUUCUUUACAAGGAUUCUAACUAAGGAGAACAUUGAAUGAAAGCAACAUAUACUUGAUUCUAGCUUCUUAUGCAAGAAUAGUAGUGUAGGCGCUAAGAGAUGUUACCCUAGUAUUAGGCAUAAAUUUUAAAAGGUGUGAUUUAGGCGUGCCUAGGUGCAAGGCAGCACAACGCGAAGCUCUAGCACCUUGCCUUACUCUAAGCACAACUCACUAAGGAAGGCACUACUUAAGGGUGUAAGACCCUCGCCUUCAGUUAGGUGUAAAGCUCUGGAGACGUGUGCUUCUUCCAUUUUUUUUCUUCUAGAGAGGUGUGUCUUCCAUUCUUUUCAUCCAUUCUUCUUCUUAUUCUUUUCUUUAUCACGAUCUAUUAGGGCCUUUUUUUUUUUUUUUUAUUUCACCUCAAAACACAACAUUUUUAGUUGAACAAUUUUAUUUAUUUUUUAAAUAUCUAAGCUAUAAUCGGAUUGUGACAAAGAAAAGAAGAAGAAGAACUGAAGAAAAAGAGAUGAGAAAAAAUAUAUAUAUGUAUUGCUCCAAGUUUUAUGAGCUUUCUCAAUUAGAUUUUUUUCUUUUUCUUUUUGGAUAAUAUUUGAUGAAAUAUGUGCUUAGGACAAAUAAAUGGUUAUUAAUUUUAAUUAUAUUAUAUGUGAAUUAUGGUGCACCUCACUUCACUACAAUUUGCACCUUAGGUUGCACCUUACACCUAGGCUCCAUGAGGACAUUAUGCCUUAGAUGUGUCUUGCACCUUUUAGAACUAUGGUAUUAGAUAAUAAAGGUCAUCUUAAACUUAAGCAUUAUAUUUACUUACUUGAGUCUAGAAAGAAUCUUAUUUUUAGUUUUUGACUAAGUAAACACAAUUACUUGGUUUAUUUUAAUGAAAAGGUUUUUAUUAGAAAAAAAAAUUCAUUUAUUUGUUCAGGCCCAUUUGGAUGACGAUCUAUAUCAUAUCACUUCAUCUCAUUUAUGAUUGUGUUGAGAAAAUCAAAUCUCAUUAAAGAGGAAAGUACCUAGCAUUAAUCAAACCUUGUUAUGACAUCUUAACCUAGGUCAUAUUAAUCUAAAUAAGAUCCAAAGAUUAGCUAAGUUUGGAACAUUGCACUUUUUUGUUCUAGAGGAUCUUCUAGUAUAUGAAUCCUGUAUAGAAUGUAAAAUGAUUGACAAACCCUUUAUAACUAAAAGACUUAGAGACAAAGAUUAUUUGGAAGUAAUGCAUGCUAAUGUGUAUAGACCUUUUAAUGUCCAUGUACAUGGAGGACAUGAAUAUUUCAUUACCUUUAUUGAUGAUUACUCUAGGUAUGGUUAUUUUUAUCUUAUGCAUAUGAAAUUUGAUGUCUUGGAUAAGUUCAAGAAGUUCAAGGUGGAAUUGAAAAAGUAUUUGUUGGGAACUUCAAAUUACUCCAUUCCCUGGCCUCGAACCACAUAGGGUGCAUGCAUCUAUCCUAGGCUUUUCUCAAUCUAAUGUAGUGGGAAUAUAUAGUAUCAAGAACUAUAUUAAGAUCUAGAUCUAGAGGUUAAAGUAUCACACCUACAAUCUGGAUGUUCCAAGAUCAAUGCAUGUUUGAUGCAAAUUCUAAAACUGCGGUAGUCAUCGUAGAAUUUGUCUACCCAAGAGUCUUCUAUUUGAUCUCUCCCUCCAUGGGUCUAAGCAUAAGAGAAGGGUAGGCUUCUCUCUCUCCCAUGAGGGUAGCUAGGGUUUCUCUUUGGAGGCUUUCUCUCUAGAGGCUUUCUACUUCAAAAUGAUAGGCAAAAGUUUGAAACCCUAAACCUUAAAAGGGUAUUUAUUGGGCGCCUUGUGGGUUUCAAUUACUUGAUCUCAAAUUAGGCUUAAGUCACUAAUCUAGCCUACCUAGGUCCUACUUAAUUAAUUAGGCCUAUUAGUUGUCUCUUCAUUCCAUCGAUUACUGGUAUUGUGUGUGAUACCAGACACACCGACAACCAAUUAGUUGCAUUUUGCAUAAUUUCCUUACAAACAAUCCUAGGAGUGAUAUUGCCCAUGAUAAGAUCGAACUACACAUUUUUAUUAUGGUGGCAUUACUACACGGAAUAAACCAAAAGGGAGUUUGGUUCCUUAGUGAAAUUUUUUAGUACAUUAUUUCCCUACCACAACAACGACAAUCAAUUCUACCCACCAGAAUUAUUUUCCACAGUUAACCGCCAAAUUCAAUUUUGUCACCAUUUGGCAUAUGAUUAAAAGGUUGUAUGUUUUGGUAGAGUGGGGUCACAUCAUAUUUCAAAAUAAGUCUAAAAGUGUGUUUGACAAUAAUUUUAGGAAGUGUUUUUAAUCUUUCUAAUAUUUAAAAUUUUUUAUCUUUCAAGUAUUAAAAAUAUUAGAAACACUUCUUAUAAUCAUUGUCAAACGCACUUUAAGUAUAGGAUACACAGUUUUUUCCCCAUUAUAGACAAAAUAAAUAAAUAAAUCUAAAUGUCACUCCAUCUCAUUUAACUUAGAUAGUCAAAGUAUGUCUGUGUGUUUUUAUAAAUUUUUUGUGGCCAUUUUUAGCAAGGAUAUAUUCAUGAAAAAAAUUACUGAAUAAAAAAAGUAAUUGAUUUAUGAUUCAAUAUUCAAAUCCAUAGUUGAACUGUAAUGUGACAAAUAUAUAAUUUAUAUAUAUAUAUAUAUAUAAAUUAAAAAAAUAUAUAAAAAUUAAAUUAUGUACAAAUAAUUAAAUAUUUUCCUUAAUAUUAGAAUAGUAUAUCAUAAUCAUCAUAAAAUAUAAAUGUGCUAAUAUUUUUAUUUUAUUAAAUAGUAAUAUUAUAGUAUUUAAUUAUAAAAAUAUUAUAUAUAAAUAUUUAAUACAUUUAUUAUUAAUAACUAACAAUGUACUACUACAUUCAAAUCAUUUGCCUAGAGGCCAUUUAUUCCUGAUGUGAAUCUUUUUUUAGCAGAAAAAUGUGUGAUAUUUGAAGAUGAAAAAGUCGAGAAAAAGUGUGACAUACUAUGUGGGGCACUAAUAGACAACCAUUGAUGUGAGCUGAUAUGCUGUAUCUACACUUUUAUCUUCAAAUAUCACACAUUUUUUGUUUUCAAUGCUAGAGAUUAGAAUUACAAGGUUUUAAUCAUGUAAAUAUUGUUUAUUUUAAGUCCAAAGGACAUGUUCAUAAAAUUUAAAAAACUCAUAUAUAUAAGAUAUCAAUAACUUUUUCCUUUUGUUGGAUGUGGGAUAUUACAAUCAUCUUCUAAGAUGUGUUUCCAUAGGAUUGUAGUACUAAACAAAGAGACAUCCCUCACGAUAUCAAAGAAACUUAGUUAUGAAUUGAUUCUAGUAUCAUUUAUAAUGAUCAAGGAAAAAAGUUUCUUAAAUUAUAUAUUAAUGAACUCCUCUCAACCUUGUAAACAUAUUUUAAGGUUAUUAGAAUCCCUUAAGCCUAAAGUGGAUAUUAUUAAUUUACAUAAUUAAUUAAGAGUGAGUUGCUAUUAGAAAUUGUUUACACAAUUCCAUACUCUAUGCAUUGUUGACGAUUUAUACGUAUUUUUAUGGCAUGUCCAACUUAUUGGUAUUAAUUACCAACGGUCCCGCAUGUUUGAAAAAUAUUGAUAUGAUAGAACCAUCUUUAAAUUAUUAAAUUAUUAGUCAUAAAUAUAUAUUAAUGUACCACCAACCACCUGUGUAGCUUGCUGUGCUAAAUUAUUCUCAUAUCCUUUUCAACAUCAAAUAAGUGGAUAUAUGAGCACCGACAUGCUAUGUGAUUCUAAGCUAUUCCCAUUUCUUUUUCAAUGCAGAAUCUUAUUUAAUGUAAGCUUGAAUUUUAUCUCUUCCACAUGCUAAAUUAUUUAAUGCAAAAUAAGUGGAUAAAAUAUUCAUUUUUUUAAAUUAGCCGAUGAAGGAUCUCAAACCAAUCAAAGUGGAAAUUUUAGAGUCAAUUAUAGUGAAGGACUACAACUGAAAUACUAUUUUGUUUCAAUGCUACUUAAAAAUUGUGUUGUUUUUUUGGCUUAGCAAAAUUGUAGUUUAAAAUAUAUGGAGAAACAAACUUUUAAUUAACAUUUUAUAUUAGAUAUGAUAACGUUUAAUACAAAUGGACAAGAGAAAAUCAACAUCUAUGCAAUUGAUACAACUUUAUUGGUAUGAUUGAAGAUUAAGAGUAUGCCUACUGGUGUAAUUUAAAAAUUGUUUUUUAUUUUUAAAAUAGGAAAUUGUCUUUAAAAAUUCAUAACAUUAUUUAACCAUUGUUUCUUAUUUCCACUCUUCAAGAACAAAGGAAAAUGGAAAAUAAAUUUUAAAAAACCAGUAAAAAUUCUUUUCAUCAAUUUUUAAAAAGGAAAACAUAAAGAAAAACCAUAAAUAGAAAAUAAAAUUAAAUCUAAUAUCUUUCUUUUUCGAUCCUCAUUACCCAAUAUCAAUACCAAAAAUUUUCAAAAUGAUAUUUCUUUGAAUUUCAUGUGUUUUUCUAAAUUUCCUUCAACUUCUCUAAAAUUUUUCAUCAAGUAAAUGAAUUCAAAAUCAUAUUGUAAUUUAUUUAUAUUGAAAAAUUAUUUCAAACUUAAAAACCAAAUUAGUACUAUAAAGUUAUAAAACUCAAUAACAUUAAAAAAUUAUAGACCAAAAUUCAUUUGAAUGACUCGGCUAGUUUAUUUUUUUUGUAUAUAAUCAUAUUUUUGUAAAUUUUUAUACAAGCCAAGUCUAGCACUUUUUAAAAAUAAUUUUAAACUCAAAUUGUGACUCAAUUAAAUUUAUGGAUAAAAAAUAGUUUACUUUAUUAUUUCUUUUCUACUCAUAAUUACAUUUUUAUAGACUUUCUCACCAAAGAAAUGAACUUCAAAUCAUGAGACAAUUUGUAUUAAGUUUAUUAAUAAGUUUAAUAAUUUGUAAAAAUAAUUUUAAAAUAAAAAAAUUGAUGAAAUUAAUUGUAGAUUAAAUCAAAACAUUACAUAAUAUUCCUUUAUGCAUGUACUGUGUAAAACUUCACUCAUUUAUAUAUUAAAAUUUCAAAUUUUAUUUUGUAUAAUUUCAUUUGAAAUAAAAUAUUAUUAAUAACUAGUUUUAAAUUAUUAUUAUUUAUUUUUUACAAAAAAAUCAAUUAUGCUUUCAUAAAGAUGUUAAUAUCCAGAUUUUUAUAGUAUACACAAAAAUAGUAUAUUCUUUUAUAAUAAAAAAAUUAAUUUAUAGCUUUAUUAUAAUAUUACUAUUUGUAUUUUACCAAAACAAUCAUUUUAAAAAAAACUAUUUGCAAUUAAAAAAAUAUUUUCAUUUUUAGUAAAACAUGAAUUAAAUUUAAUUGAUAUUAUAUAAAUUCAAUUUAUAAUAUUUUUAUGAAAUCAAAAUGGAAAAUUAUUUUUAAAGUAAUUUAUUCAAACAAGGUUUUUAAUUUUUUUUUUUUUGAAACAAUUUGUCAAAGAUCCUUAUUUUUGUAAAAUAUUUAAAAACCGUUUUUUGUUACUUGUUUUAAAAAUAAUUUUUGAAAACAAGCAUAACAAAAUGACUGAAGGACCCCAAUCUUCUCAAUUCUCUUAGUUAAAAGAAUAAAUGGGCAAAAGAAAAAAAAAGGGUUGAAAUAAAUGAUAAACUUCUGCUUUGAUUCAAACUCUAAAUUUUACUCUAAUUCAAACUAAUAAUAAAUAUAUAAAUACUAAUAAUUAAAUUAAAGGCAAACAGAUAAAUUAUUUAUUUUCUCUAUUAGAAGUAUCUCCAAUCAAUCAAAGUAAAAGUUUUAGAGUCAAGGUGCACCAAAGUGAAGGACCCUGCCAAAAAGAAGAUUGUAUGGAUUUUUGUAGUUUAUUCAACAUGUUAACACCAAUGGUCCAAUAUGUUUUGAAAAACAUUGAUGUGCACAUUCACCCAAAAAUUAAGAGAUCAUAAUAUGCCUACUUUUUAUUUUUAUUUUAUAAUACGAGGAACAAGUGCCCACUCACCCAAAAAAAACAUGUUUCACAUGCACGAACCGGAUAAUUCUACACUACUGGAAUAUUGAUAUCAUAAUAUGCCUUCUUUUAAAUUUUAUCUAGUAAAGUCGUCAAACCCAUGCUUGGGCUAAUAUCUAGGAAUGCAGCCUUUAUUCAUAAUUUAAAACAUCCAGAUCAACACAACCAAUCAAAUCUAUUGAUAUGUGGAAGAUAAUCUUCUGAAUUCUCUUAGUUCAAAGAGUAAAUUAGAGGAUGAAAGAUCUCCAACUAAUCAAAGUGGAAAUUAUAGAGUGAAGUGGAUCUAUGAAGGACCACAUUUGAAACAUAAAAGGUUUGUCUUUCAGCAUUUUUUCAUCCACUGCUUUAGGAAAAAGGUUGCCAGCACAACCACUAAAAAGAACUUUGUGCGAAUUUUUGUGGCUUGUCCAAUAUCCAUAUCAUAUAUCAUAUGCUAUAUAUAAAAUUACUUUUGAUAAAGUAUGAGAUACCUAUAUAAAUAGAUACCAUAUAAAAUAUUUGUAUAAAUAUCUAUAUGAUAUUUAUAUAGAUAUUUUGGGGACAAAAAAUGUGAUUAUUUUGGGGACUCGGCUUUUUCUAUGUUCCUUUUUCUUUAUAAUUUAUGUAUGUUAUGGUGACUUUUUUUUUCUUUUUUUUCUUUUUUUUUCCUUUCCAUCCAUGGAGCCUAAUUCACGUUAAAAGGUGCUGAAAUAAUACAACCAAACAAUCAUACACAAAAGAAAUGGUUAAGAGAAUGGAUUAAAUUAACAAAAUAGAAACUCCUAAUAACAAAAUAUAUAAAUAUUUUUAAGUUGUGAUGCUCAAACGUAAAUAUUAAAAUUGAUCACUCAAAUUUAAAAUUAUUUUAAUUUUCUUUUAAAAAUUAAAAAAAAAAUUAUAAUUGAAACUUCUCAAGAUUAAAGCUUAUUUUUUGAUAAAAUAAAAUAAAAUAAAAUAAUAAUAAUGUAACCAAUGGGUGGAUCUAUUUAUGUCUUUGCUACCGCAUCACUAGCAACCAAACAUAGUGGGAAAAAAAAAAUGAUGCACUGUAAAUGAUGAAACCGAAAAUCUAGAGGGCUAAUGUAGACCCUCCAUUCUAUCCCCUUAACGCAUGCCCUAUUAGGUGUUCUUUCAAUACUUCACAGUGGUUCCCUGGCGACCCUUUGCGGCUCAUAUAGCCAACCUUUUUUAGCCACCUUGGAGAUUUUGGUUGAGCAAUUUAUUUGGCCCCUCAUUAUGACUCUUAGCAUAAUCAAGUUAGAUCUAGGAUUUUUUAUUUUUUCUUUUCUUUUUAGGAUAACUCCUUUAAGUGAACCUUUAGGAUAGAAUACAUAAGCACCCUUUUUCGAUCACCUUGGCCCAUUUAGACAUUUUUGCCCCAUUUAGGAUCACCCAGGCCCAAUUAGGCACAUUCAACCCAUUUAGGAUCACCAGAACCCAUUUAGACACAUCCGACCCAUUUAGGAUCACCUUGGCCCAUUUAGACACAUUUGAUUCAUUUAGGAUCACUCUGGCCCAUUUAGGCACAUUCGACCCAUUUAGGUUACUUUGGCCCAUUUAGACACAUCCAAACCCAUUUAGGUCACUUAGGCCUAUUUAGGCACAUCUGACCCAUUUAGAAUUACCCUAACCUAUUUAGAUACAUCCAACCUAUUUAGGAUCACCUUAGCCCAUUUAGAGUCACCUAGGCUCAUUUAGGCACAUUCGACACAUUUAGGUCACCUUGACCCAUUUAGACACACCCAGACCCAUUUAAGUCACCCUGACUCAUUUAGACACACCUAUAAUCAUUUCAAUCACAUAGGCCCGUUUAGGCACAUUAAGGCCUAUUUGACCCAUUUAGGCACAUUUGACUCAUUUACACACAUCUAGGCCCAUUUAGGUCACUUAAGCUUGUUAAGGCACAUUUAGUCCAUCUAGACACUUUUGGCCCAUUUAGGAUCACCUAGGCCCAUUUAGACACAUCCGGCCCAAUUAGGAUCACCCUAGCCCAUUUAGACACAUUUGACCCAUUAUAGUACAUUUGGCCCAUUUAUGAUCACUCUAGCACAUUAGGCCCAUUAAGUGUCACUUAGGCCCAUCUAGGCACACCCUAGGUCCAUUUAGGAACAUAUUGUCCCACUUAUGUCACCCGUUGACUUUCUUUUUUUUUUUUUGCAUGGUUUGCAUUGCAUGGCUAAAACUUCUUUGUAUGGCUUGCAUGACACCUUUUUUUUGUUAUUAUUAAUUACUUAUUUAUUUUUAUUUAUUAUCUUGUUAUUUAUUUAUUUAUUAUUUACUUAUUUAUCUAUUAUUAUUUCAUCAUUUUCUAUUUUUUCUAAUUAUUAUUCAUUUGUUCAAUCUAUUUUUAUUUCUGUGUUUUUGUAGGGAACUUUACCAAAGAGAGCCAACGGAGAUGGAAAGCAAGAAUCACCAAAAUGAAAAAGGAAGAUAAAAGUAAGAGAGAGUAAAACUUACCAAGAUGAGAGGGGAUGGUGAGCUGCAUUAUGAAAGUAUGGAGAACAUGUUUUGGGAAGUUUAUCAAAGAGAGAGUCAACAGAGAUGGAAAGCAAGAAUCACCAAAAUGAAAAAGGAAGAUGAAGCAAGAGAGAGCAAAAAUUGCCAAGAGAAUAGGGGAUUGAGGGUUGCAUUAUGAAAGUAUGGAGAACACGUUUUGGUAAGUGAGAAAUUCAGCACGUGGGAAAGGUUUUGGAGUAAGGAAAGGAGGGACUUGGUUAAGUUGGAAUUUGGAGAUUCAAUAUGUUUUUUAGGAGAAAGAGGGGAUAACAUUUUAAGACAAAAAGAAAUUCAAUGUGGUAGGAAGGAAUGUUUAGCAUAUUAAGGAAAAACAUGAGGGGAUUUGAUAAACCACGAAGAUCUCAGCGUGUUUCUCGACCAAAUCAGAAAUAUUUGAACUGAGUCUUGAGCUGCAAAGCUUGGAGAAGAAGCUUGUUUGUGUUAAGAGUCUUUGUUUCAGUUGGAGUCCUAUUAUUCUGCAAGAAGUCCUAUUCUUCUGCUAGUUUGUUAUUUUUGCUUCCAUGAUUUAGUUUCUGUUUGUGCACAAUAGUUGUGGCCGUAAGUUUAGGAAGAGUGGUUAGAAAAUAUAUGUAUUUAAACUCUUUCAAUGAAUAAAAAGAAUAUCAGAAAAUUGUUCCAAACAAUGUGGAAUGUUCUCACCUGAAGAGUACACUUUAUCUUUAUUUCAGGACUUUUGGCUGGGACUUAACAUUGGUAUUAGAGCUCGGUUACAAUGGCAACCAACAAAGAGAGGAUUGAAGCCUUGGAGGCUGGACUCGGUGGUGUUCAAGAUGGAAUGCAAUGACUUGAGGACACUGUCAACAGGCUGUCUGAAAUUUUGCUUUCAACUAGGGAAAGCUCCAACAAUCACAACAAUGGGCGAGAAGGAAUUGUCCGGCCACAUCGAGAAGAGAACGACGACGGCAGACAAAUUUUUUUUUUUCCAAAAUGGCAAAAACGAACAUGUUUGAGAAGUUUAAGAUGAUGCUUGGUGUGAUUGACUUUACAAUUCAGAUUAAGGGAGACUGUUGAAAUCAUAAUCCAACUUAAAUUCAAAUUAGAAUAAGUUUAGGAAUUGGAUAAAUAUUAGGAAUUGUUAUUUAUUUAAGCUUCAUAUGUUAAUUAGGACUUUUAGUCUAAUAGGAAUUAAAGUCCUAUUACAAGUAUGGUUAGCUUAUUAUAAAUAGGCUUAUUAUUAUGUUAAAAAGCAUAAUGCAAUAAAUUUAUUUUUUUAGUAAAAUAUUAUUAAUACUGAAAUGUGUGGGUUCCAACAUAAGUAUGAGAACUUAAACAAAACUAAUCAAGCCUAAAAUAGAACAAAUAGUAAAUUUAACUAAAAAAACUAGAACCCAAACUUGUUUGAUAAAAGGGAAAAGCACUUACAAGGCAAGAUAGGCAUUGGGCACCUAAAAUGUGAAAUGCACUCUUACCACCAGGCACUGAUGGACACUCAAAGAAUAAAUAGUAGAAUUGGAUUCGAACCCAAACCUCCUUUAAAAAAAAAGAGAAUGUAAAGAUGAUUAUGAAAAAUUAGGUGUGGAUUUUUUUUUUCCUAAAUUUUUUUUAUAUAUAGAAAAUAGCUUAUUUUUAGAUUUCAGAUAGUUUGUUUUUGUACUUUUUGUUAAUAUAUAACUUAUUUCUUAAAUUUUUUAUUAAAAAGAAAAAAAUCAAAAUAUUUUACUUUUUCUGAUUACUAAAAUUAAUUUAUGGGCUUUAACACUAUUAAACACUUUUUAGUUUUAAGUUCCGAAUAAAAUUAAGUCAAAAAAAGUAACACCACCUUAGAAUUAAAUUUGGUUGAAAAAAUAAAACUCUUAUAUUUUAACUCCUACCCAUAAGUGACUUUGUGUCGGCAUACAAAGAAGAAAUGUGGGCCUAAUGGGGGAUUUUUGAUAUUUUCCUUUUUUUUUUUUUUUUGUAAUACAAUAUUUGUAAAAAAAAAAUGUAGUUAUAUAAAUAAUUUUAAACAAUGUUGUUCCCUAAGGAGACCUCCUUCGGUACAAAAAAUGCAUGUGGUAUUCUUCCAAUUAUUAAAUUGUAUCUAGCGAAAAGGUCCAACGCAUAUUUGAAAAAAGGAGAAUUCCCAUUUAGAGUAGGCUACCAGUGAUAAUGACCUAAAAGGAUCAUCAUAUUUGCAAAUUCUUAUCAAGUCCUUUGAAAAAUUAAUCAUUUUAGAUACCAUUUUUAUUUUUUUUUGUCCUUUUCUUCUUUUUCUCAUUUAAUUUUACCUUUUUUUAUUGUUUUCCUUUUAUACUUUUGAUUCGACUCAUGGUAGCUUAGCUUUAAAGGCGUAUCAACAAAAUUUAUACCUUGAAUACUAUUACUAAAGUAGCCAAGCUACUAUAGCAUAGUGGUUCUAGGAUCGUUCACUGGGAAGGGUUUUCGCAAACACAAGUGAUAUUCAAAUUAGAAAUAGGUGAUUUUCUUAUGGAUGUUAGCUUUAAAAGAAGAUGUAAAUGUUUUAGAAAGAUUUAAACUAAUCUAAGCUAACAUUAAAGACUAAAAUGAAAGGGUGUAAAAACAAGUUUCUCAAAGAUAGGAUAGCUAUGCUCUGGCUCUUAUGCAAAUUGGAAAUCUCAGGAUAGGCUCCUCGCGUUGGGGUUGCAACUAUGGUGAUGCUUGCUUCCCGAACCGGUAUGGAUUUAGCAAAUCAAGUUUUAAUCCUUUAAAAUGGCAAAACAGAUGGUAGUGAAUUUCAUCAAUGGUUAUUCACCUUAGACUUCCUUUGAAUGGCUCGUAAGAGAUAACUAAUGGUCUAAAGCCAAAAGCUUACCAAAUAUUGGCAACUCAAAGUUAUUCCAGGUGAUAAACUCACCUUUCAAUGGCCAUUGAAAUUGGUUCUAACGGAUUAAUGCAAAACUUGGAAUUGAAAACCUCACCUUCCAAUAGCUCGUAGGAGAUAACUAAUGGAUAGAAAUCCAAAAGCUUAUCAAGUAUUGGCCGUUGGAAGUUGUCAAAAGGAAAUAAAAACCAAACUUUGCAUUAAUGAACCAUUAAUGAAAAACGACUACCUUACCUUCCGGGUGCGAGAAAUUUCCAUGGGAUUGCAUCCAAGUCAUCACAUAACAUCCAUACUUUGAGAAACUAAAAGUUUUAGCCAAUCAUCCUCUGAGGAAAAGCCCUCAGAGGCUGUUUGGCUACUAAGAAAAUAGAAAUGGGGAAGAACAGGAGAAAAGAGAAAAAACAGAGCAAGGCUCUGUAUAUUCUAUAUAUUGAUCGAUAUUUUUUACAAUGGAUGCAAGGGAAUAUAUAUAGAGAAGUUUUUCCAACCUUCCUAGCUAAGAAAUUACAUGAGUGGUGGAUUACAAGGAGAAGAAUGGAAAUUUAUACAAAAAUAUCCAAAAGAAAAGAUCUCGUGUGGAGUCGGCAGAAACAGGGGAAAAUUCGCACCAUGCAAGGGGGUGUGCGAAUUCGGAAGGUGUUGUGCGAAAAUUUCGCACACCCCUGGAGCAGUUGUCUUCCGAAGGCCAUAUCUUCCUCAUUUCAGCUCCAAAUCGUACACAGUUUGAAGCGUUGGAUUCUUGACUUCCUGAGCUUUGAAAUGGUAUAUAGCAUGUAGAAAAUGGACUUCGGGAAGUGCUCCAAAAGUUCCAAAGAAGACUGCAGCUGCUGUCCUCUGUUUUCCUCUUUGCUUCUUUUUGCUUCUCUUUGCUUCUCUUCUUUUGUUGGCUUGCUUUGAUGUAGCUAAAAGCUUGCUUUAACUUGUCCAAGUAGCUCCUCCAUCAUUUGGCAUGCUUGAAUUGAUUCAUAAGCUGAUAAAAACAUGUAAACUUGCCACAAAAUGGUUAAAACCAAUUACUAAGGACCUUAAUGAAUUAAUUGGGUUAAAUGAAUAUGAUUACUACUCAAAGGUGCUUAAAACCAUUAUAAUUAGGUCUACAAAAUAGCACUUUUUGGUAGUAAUCAACUUUUUUACACAUUAUUAUUAGGGAGAAUUAUCUUUUGGGGUUAGAUGGGCUUCCAAAUUAACAAAAGGUCCGUAUAACUCUUCAAAUUGAGUUGAAGGAUAUGAAAUAGUAACAGACAAAUAUACCCUUUAAGAACACAUAUAAAAUAUUUUAUAAAAUUAAGUUAAAUAAUUUUUUUUAAUAAUUUUUUUUUCAAAAAUGCUAAAUUAAAUAAAAAUAGUUUUCAAAAAUAUUAAAUUAAAUAAUUUUUUUUUCAAAAAUAUUAAAUUAAAUUAAAGUAUUUAAAAAAAAUAUUAAAUAAAUUUAUUUUUUAAAAAUAUUAAAUUAAAUAAAUUUAUUUUUACAAAAUAUUAAAUUAAAUAAAUUUAUUUUUACAAAAUAUUAAAUUAAAUAAAAGUAUUUUAAAAAAUAUUAAAUUACAUAAAAGUAUUUUUUUUAAAUAUUAAAUUAAAUAAAAGUAUUUUUCAAAAAUAUUAAUUUUUUUUCUCAAAAUCAACAAAGGGCAUUUUUGGAAAUACUGAAGGAUGAUAUCCUUCAACUCAAUUUCCAUACUUUCAUUAGGUCUUGGACUCAAUUUGAAGAGUUAUAUGGACCUUUUAUUAAUUUGGAGGCCCAUCUACCCCCAAAACAUAAUUCUCCCUUAUUAUUAACUAUUAAUAUUAUUAUUUAUAAUAUUAAUAUUUUGAAUUAUUCAUGUUAUUUAUUAAAAUCAUUCUUAUUAAUAUUAUCUAUUUUUAUGAUUAUUAUUCAUAUUUUUAAAAUAAUAAUUAGAAGAAAAAAUAAAACAAAGAAAAGACAAAAUAGAAAAAAGAUAAAGUAGGGAUAUGUUUAACUUUAAAGUGAAACGUAUAAAGGUAUAUUUGAAUUUUUAUAUUUUGAGAUAUUUUGAAGAACUAUCAAAGUUGAUGACCCUUUAGGAUCAUUAUCAUUCAUAGCCCACCCUAUAUGAUAAUUCUCCCUUUCAAAAAUUGUAAAUGGAAUAACGGGCCAAACAAUAGUAUUAUGGUAUCGAAAACAACUUUUUCGUGUCAUACCUCCAAUGACCACAAGUGAGAUUGUGAUCAAUCAAGACAAUUACAAUAAAAUUUAACAACCGAUUACUUUCAAUUUUUUGAUAAUAUUUAUUUUAUUGAUUAAGAAUUAUAAUUUAAUAAAAAAUGGGGUUGUUAUUCACAACAUCCCUUUUGCUAAACAUAACACUUUUUUGUCAUAUUUUUUUUCACAUAUACCCUUUUAAAUAAAGAACUCUCUCUAACCUUCUCUCAACAUAUUGAACCUAAAUUCUAGUUGGUUAAGGUUGCGAAUCACAUACGAAAUACAACGAAUGAUGAAAUUUAAUCAUCUGAUGAAAAUUUUCAGAUAAGAUUUAUAAUUUUCAUUUUUUAUAAAGAAAUAUAUAUAUUUAUCUAUAUAUAUAUAUAUAUAUAUAUAUUUAUCAAAAAAAAAAAAAAUUGGCAACCUGGGUGGGGCUCCGGUGUCCUAGGAGGCAGCAGCAACAACAACGAUUAUGGUUUGGAGUAGGUAUGGAAGUCGGCGACCAUCGACAACAGUGGUUGGGCUAAAUUUUUUGCUUAUAAUAAUUAUAAAAAUCGAAUUUUUAUUAUUAUUUAUAAUAGUUACUAAAUUACUUUUCGUUUAUAAUAGUUAGAAAAUUCUUCAUGACAUAAAUUUUUGCUUAUAAUAAUUAUAAAAUUCUAAUUCUUUUAUUUGUUUAUAAUAUUUACUAAAUUAUUAAUUUUUUGUAAGAAAACAUUAUAGUAGCCACAUAAAUUAUUAAUUUAAACAAGAUUUGUUUUUGCCAAUUUUCACCAAUUUUACUAAUUUCAAUGUUUUAAUUUCUUUUUUUGAAAAUUUUAACUAAUUGCUUCAUGUUUUAAUUUUUUAAAUGCUUUAACUUUGUCAUGUACAUUCUCAUAUAAUUUGAAUAAUGUUAUUGUCUUCAUGAUAUAAAUAGAAUUUUUUAUCUAUUUUGUAGGAUGAAUAUUUUGUGGAGGAAUUUCCAUCACAAUUGAUAGAUUAUGGCAAACAUUUCACUAUACAUAAAAGAUUCAAAGAUCGAGAAGAGUUUAUUGAAGAGGUUAAACAAAUUGGAGAACAACAAAAUAUAUUUGUGAUUAUUUGUCGUUCCACUAAAGCUGAUGGUUCAGGAAGUGGCAAAGUAUGGAUAGGCUGCGAGAGAUUCGAAGGCCAUAGACCGCAACAAAACAGAAAAACCGAUGUGGUGCCUAGAAAUCGAACUAGGAUGAAGAAGUGUCGUUGUCCCUUUAUGUUGAAGGGUAUUGAACAUGAUGAUGGAUAUUGGACUUUAGUCAUCAUUAAUGGCAACCACAAUCACUACCUUGGAAAGUAUCCUCACGGUCAUUCAUCGGUUGGUAAAUUAAAGGAAGCAGAGUUCAAGAUAGUAGCUACAAUGACCGAAAGUCAUGUUAAGCCACAACUUAUUUUAAAUCACCUCAAACAGGAGAAUCCAAGCAACUUGAGUUGUGGGAAACAUGUCUACAAUGCCAGGCAAAAGCUUAAAGAUUAGAAAAAGAAUGGUCGUUCAGUGAUGCAACAACUACCCAAAUUGCUAAUUGAUCAUGGUUAUAUCACCACUGGUAUAGAGAAGAUGCAGAAACUAACACAGUGAGUGAUAUAUUAUUUGCUCAUCCAAAAUCUAUUCACUUGUUGAAUGUUUAUCCAUAUAUUUUGAUUAUGGAUAGUACUUGCAAGACUAACCGAUACUUGAUGCCCUUAUUUGAAGUUGUUGGGGUUGCGCCAAUAGGGAAAAUUUUUACUGUUGCAUUUGUAUUUCUCAAAAAUGAGAAAGAGGAUAGCUACACAUGGGAACUUGAGCAUUUGAAGCUUUUAAUUGAUUCAGAUGAUUUCCCUAAAGUUAUAGUUACUGACAGGGAAUUGGCUUUAGUCAAUGCAUUGAAAAACAUAUUCCACAAUUCUUAUCAUAUUUUAUGCAGACGUCAUAUCGGGAAAGAUGUGGAAAAAUAUUUUACUAACUUGGUAAAGAAUAAGGACAUUGGAACUUCUUUUUCCCAAGGACGUUGGCAUAAGGUGGUUGAAGCUCAAACCCAACAGGAAUAUGAGGAUCGACUAGGGGAGAUGAAUGAGGCUUAUUCACAUAUGUCCGGUUUGUUGAAAUAUGUGCAUGAGACAUGGCUUGGACCUUUCAAAGAGAGAUUUGUUCGUGCAUGGACGAAUUGUGCAUUACAUAUGGGUCAUCUAACAACUAACAGGUAUUUUAUCUUUUUAAUUUGUAAUGUUUAUUGAUUAAUUUCUAUUGUCAAUAAUAGGGUGCAGGGAGAGUGCACAUUCAGAGUUAAAGAGCUAUUUAGGAUCAUCCAUAGCAAGAUUUGACUUGAUAUGGCUCAAAAUUGACUCAAUGAUAAAUCUGCAGCUUGAGGAAAUUAAAAGAGAGUUGGAAAGGGCUCGAACUGUCUCUCUUCAUAUUAUAGUGUUGCACUUAUUUCGGAGGUUGAAUGGCAAUGUUACCCACAAAGCAAUCCAAUUGCUAGAUGAAGAAUGUUAACGAGCAGAAAAGGUGCGCAGUGAUACCUUAGAUUGCGGGUGUUAUUUGAGGAAAACACAUGGCCUUCCAUGUGCGCAUGAACUUUUUGCACUUAUGCAGGAUGGUAAAAGUAUUGAGUUGUAAGAUAUUCACCCCUUUUGGAAAACACUUGAUAUGGAAGUUGUAAAAGAUAGUGCUCCUGAUUCUGAUGAGGAAAAUAAGUUGUUGCGGUCAUUAUUUGAUAGAAUGAUCCAACAACCUCGUAAUGUCAAGAGAAGAUAUAUUGAAGAGUUGGGAAAAAUUGUUCACCCUGAGUGGACAAAUCUCAAGGAACCACUUGUACGACAAACUAAAGGUCGACCGAAAAAAAUGCCACGAAGCGGGAUCAAUCUGCUUGGGAAUAUGCGGAAAAGAAGUAUCCUGGAAAAUCAUGCAAGAAAAGGUCGUCAUCUGGAUCAUUGCAUGGUCGUCGACAAUCAAGGUCAAUUUCAAGCCAUGUUAGAAAAUUCCCAUUCGUAAAUGCAGUUCCAAAAUUUGUUCUUCCAUUUAUUAAUCAUUACUACAAUGUUAAGGCGGAUGGAAAUUGCGGGUACAGAUCAAUUGCUUAUUUUAUCUAUUCUGAUGAGGAGAAAUGACGGCCCACUGUGAGAAGAGAUUUGUUAAAUGAGAUGAAUGGUUGAUUAGGGUUAUAUGCAAAUAUAUUCGGAGGGGAAGAUCGUGCACAAUCUAGUAUUGUUUCACUUCAACAUUGGGAAGGUGAUGCAAAUGAAUCCAAAUGAAUGGAUGUGACGGAUACGUCAUGGGUCAUUGCCAACACAUAAUGCUGUAUGUGUUUCUUUUUCUGCGUCACAAAAUUUGACAUACUUACCUUUGAACGCAACCAAAGAUGUACAAGGUCUUACGAGAGUCAUUACAAUUGUUUAUUUGGAGUCAGCUCGACACUUCAUAGCGGUAUAAUUCUUUUAUUUAUUCUUAUAUUUACACACACGCAAAUACAUCCUAAUUGUUGAUAUUGUAAUUGUUGUGUUUUUUUAUAGGUAAAUAUGGUUUCAGAUUUUCCAUUGCCAAGAAUUCAUCUCAGUUGGUAUUCGUUUCAUGAUGUAAGUGUAUUCAAUUGGGAUGAGCAAUUUAAGCUGAGGUUAGAGGAGUGGCGUAAACAAUUUGGAACAAUUAUAGUAGAUUAUGUCGACCUUGAUUGAGUUCAUGAUUCAACACAUUGAGAAGGUAUUUAGUUGAUUAUAUUUAUUGACUUUUGAACAUAUGUAGGAUUUAAGUCCUAUUAUGUUUUGACCUUUUUUUAGGCUCUUUGAUUACAUACUUUGUUUUAUGAGUCUUUACUUCGCAUACACAAUAAUUAUUACAUUGUUCAUAUUCUUAAUCAAUCUCUAAUUAUAUGCAAUAUUUUUGUUUGGGUUACAAAAAAAAUCAUAUUGAACACAAUAAAAAAUAUUUUUUUAAAAAAAACCAUUCCAAUUAAAUAUUGUUUAUUUUAAAAUUUUAAUAAUAAUUUUUAUUUUAAAAAAAAUGAGUUAUGAAUUUCACAUUAAAACAUUGAAUAUAAUAAAAUCAUUUUACAUAAUAUACUUUUGGUGAAAAAAAUCAUUUUAUAAUUUAUUAUUUAAAGAAAUUAUUUUGUUUUAAAAUAUAAGAAGAAUAUGAAAAACAAUUGAGUGUGAAAAAAUAAAAGAAAUGAAAAGAAAAAAAAAACAAAGUUUAUGUGGGGUGGGGGGUUGGGUGGGUAGAGAUGAAAAGGAAGAUAAAAAUAAAAAUAAAUAAAAAAAAGAAUGCUAAAAUGUGGGGUGGAAAAAUAAAUAAAUAAAAGGGUGCAAUUGGAACGUGAGGUUGGGAAGGAGAGAGGGGGAAAGAAUAAGGGAGGGUAGUUUAGGAAUGUAAAAUGUUGUAUUAGUAAAAAUGGUGUUGUGAUUAGCAAUUGGGAUAUAACCAUAAAAAUAAAAAUGGAAAAUCAUCUAUAAAUAAAUCAAAACAAAAUAUAAAAAGAAAAUAAUAUUUUCAUGGUUGAUUAAUUCCAUGAGUUGGAUGAUAAAAGCAUUAAUAUCGAGUUGGAGGCAAAACCAAUAACCAUCAGAAAAUAUUCUUCCAUUGCUACCACACAAUGCUGUAGAAUUUUCCUAAGAGAGGUCAGUGGAAAAGAGACAUGCAAGACGUGCAAGAAUUUUCCUAGGAACUUCUUCUAUUGCUUCCACACAGUGGAAAUGAGACUUUGACUCACCAGUCGUUGGGCCUCAAGUCUGCCACAACCUGUUUUGGAUGGCCAUAAGAUUAUUGAUGGGCUGCUUAAACGUUGCUUUGAGUUAUGGUUAACAUGAAAAUAUCAACCAGAAGGUGGUCUGCUAAUCUUGUUUUCUUGCUUAUUUAUUCAGGUUUUCACUGGCAAUUUGUUAAUGCAUUUACAAAUACAAUCUUACAAGGUCAAUCGUUCACAAACUCUCUGAUAAGGGAGAAUAAUUUGAUUCUCCAUAAGAUUUGCUAUAUCCCAAUUCGGUUCCAUAAAAUCCGAAAGUAUAGUUGUAAAUAUAUGUAGAUAUGUUUUCAAUAUUUGUAUUUCAAACCUUUCCUAUUUUAUAGGAUCACAUUGUUGUUAUUUAUUCUAUAUAUAUUUGAUGUUAUCUCCUGCACACGACAAGGAGGAUUUCAGUCAUUAUACAUUGUUUCUUAAACAUCUUUAUGGUAUUAGAGCAAAGUUUUUUUUCUUUACCAUGGCUGAUUUGACUUCUUUAUCUCCUUCUCUUCCGCUUAACACAGUGGUGCAUAUGCUCACCAUUAAACUGACUUCCUCAAAUUACUUAUUGUGGAAAAAUCAAUUUGUUCCACUAUUAGCCAGUCAAGAUUUGUUUGGCUAUUUGGAUGGUAGCAUCGGGGCUCCCUCCGCCACAAUUCUUACCGCUGAUGGCACCACCAAGUCAAAUCCAACGUACGCUUCUUGGCUACAUACUGAUCUGACGUUUCUUAGUUUACUCUAUUCUUCUCUUACCGAGGAGUCUAUGAGUGAAGUAUUGGGUUUACGUCAUUCUCAUGAGGCUUGCUGCGCUCUUGAAGUCUCAUUCUUACAUCGGUCGAAGACUUGUGAAUUGCAACUCAAGGAUGAACUCCAACUGAUGCAACGCGGCUCUCAGUCCAUUGUCGAGUUUUCCCAUACCUUCAAAGGUCUUUGUGAUCAAUUGGCUGUGAUCGGUCGUCCCAUUGACGACACAGAUAAAGUUCACUGGUAUUUGCGAGCAUUAGGGCCCGACUACAAGAUCUUCUCCACCACCAUGAUGUCACAGCUUCCGCUACCCUCAUUUACCGAGAUUGUUUCAAAAACUUUGAGUCAUGAGAUUUUUGAAAGGUUGGUUUCCCACUCGUCUUCUAACUCUACUUAUUAUGUGCAGCAAACUUCCAAAUCUGUAGGGGCUAAGAAAUGGAAGAAUGGGCCUCCCCCUUCAUCUAGAUCUUUUGCACAUUCGAAGUCAUCAUCCACCGUUCACUGCCAGUUGUGUGACAAUGAUGGACACCGAGCCAAACGUUGCUGGAGCUUCUUAAAACUCAAGAAGAAGCAGUCAGCUAAUAUUGCUGAAGUUUUUUCAACCUACUCGAUUCAAGACCUUAAUGACUCUGAAUGGUUUCUUGAUUCUGGUGCAACGUCCCAUAUGAUAAGUGACACUGAGGUUGUGGAUCAACCAGCUCUCUACUCUAGUAAUGAACAUGUCAUGGUUGGAAAUGGUCAGUCUUUAGCAAUUUCUCAUACUAGUUCCAUUUCAUCUAUUAUUCCGUCUAGUUCUCUUCUUUUAUCAAAUGUCUUAGUUGUUCCUAGCAUUAAGAAAAAUCUUAUUUUGAUUAGUCAACUUACUACAGACAAUAAUUGUCUUGUUACCUUCUCUUCCUCUGGUUUUAUCAUAUAGGAUCAGGUCACAAGAAUCGUACUGGGAGUCGAAAGAUGUGAAAAUGGUUUCUAUGUGUUGGAUCGUUGUCAUCAUGCCCUUAUGUCCACCACUUCUCCUUCACCGCGAGCCUCUGUUCGUUUAUGGCAUGCUCGCCUUGGUCAUCCCAAUUAUCGUACUGUCUCUUCUCUUUCUAGAUUAGGAUAUAUUUCUUGUAGUAAUAAAUUGGUGAUCAUUGAUUCUGAAAUUUGUGUUGGUUGUAGACUUAGCAAAAGCCAUUGUUUACCUUUUUCUCUAAAUGAUGAACGUUGUGCCAUGCCUUUUGAUCGCUUACACUAUGAUUUAUGGGGUCUGUCACCAGUUCUCUCUUUUACUGGAUAUAGAUACUAUGUGGUAUUCAUUGAUGAUUGUACUAGAUUUAGUUGGAUAUUCCCUUUAAAACAAAAAUCUGAUUAUUUUGAUACCUUCAUCCAUUUACAACGUUAUAUUGAGACUCAAUUUUCAUCCAAAAUAAAAUCCUUUCAAUGUGAUGGUGGAAUCGAAUUUACAAAUAAUAAAUUUCGAUCUCACUUGCAAUCUUGUGGCAUUGUUCUCCGUUUGGCAUGCCCCUACACUCCUAGUCAAAACGGCAUUACCAAACGUAAGCAUCACUAUGUCACAUAAAUGGGUCUUACCCUUAUGUUCCAUGCACGUGUGCCGCUCUCUUUGUGAGUUGAGGCCUUCCCAACUGCUGUCUUUCUCAUUAAUCGACUCCCGUCACCAUUACUUGAUGGCAAAACUCCUUAUGAGCUCUUGUUUAGUAAGCAACCAGAUUACUCUAUGCUUCGGACUUUUGGGUGUGUUUGCUUCCCUUAUUUGAAAGAUUACUCACCAAAUAAAUUGUCUCCAAAAUCUACUUCUUGUAUCUUUUUAGGUUACAGUACACUUCAUAAAGGAUUUUGAUGCCUUGAUCAAACGACACAUCGUGUCUAUGUUUCUCGACAUGUGCAGGCUUGUGAAAAUACUUUUCCUUAUCAUGGUGAUUCUAUACAAAAUUUACAAACCAACAUUGACUAUACCCAUUUUUCUGAAUGUUCAGACUAUGUGUCUAGUUUUUCUCAUUCAUUUUUUAGUUCACCAUGUUUGCCUUGCAGUGAUUCUCCACACCUGUCCUCAUAUCCUCCCCCUGAUCUGCAAGGUCCUAUUUCUGUGGAACCCCUCUCGGAUUCUACAGCUUUAGACUCAACUUUCCCACUACCAGUGUCUUCCAUUCCUCGUGUGACCACUUCCAGCCACCCGAUGAUUACCAAUGGAAAAGACGGUAUAUUCAAACCACGAUUAUAUCAUGCUAUGAAUGUUUUGUCUUCUUUUCAAACUUUUCAAGCACUUCUUGCUCUCAAAGAACCUCGGGGUUUUAAGUCUGCUACAAAACACCCUGAAUGGCUCUUGGCUAUGGAUGAUGAGAUUCAAGAUUUGAAGACAAAUGAUACAUGGGUUCUUGUACCUCGUCCUAACAAUCACAAUGUAGUAGGCUGUCGCUGGAUUUUUGAAACCAAACUUCGAUCAGAUGGGUCCAUUGAGCGUCACAAGGCACGUCUCGUGGCUCAAGGAUUUUCUCAGAUUCAUAGUCUUGAAUUUGGUGACACAUUUAUUCCUGUAGUGCGCCCUGCUAUAGUUAGAAUUAUUUUGUCAUUGGCUGUUACUUCUGGAUGGCGUUUACAUCAGCUAGAUGUAAAAAAUGCCUUUCUACAUGGUUUUCUCAAUGAAGAGGUGUAUAUGGAACAACCGCCUGGUUACAUAGAUCCACAGUUCCCUCAGCAUGUUUGUCGCCUAAAGAGGGCUCUUUAUGGGUUGAAACAAGCCCCUCGAGCUUGGUUUCAUCAUUUUAGCUCUUUUUUGCUCAAACUUGGAUUUCUUUCCGGUCAGGUUGAUUCUUCAUUAUUUGUCUAUCACUCCUCAGUUGGAACUGUUUAUUUACUUCUUUAUGUUGAUGACAUGGUCAUGACUAGAAGUAAUUCUUCUAUGGUUCAAACCCUCAUUACUUGACUUUCCAAGGAAUUCUCCAUAGGGAUUUGGGUGAUCUUCAUUAUUUCCUCAACGUUGAAGUGCAAGCUAAUGAGAAGGGUUUGUUUUUCACAACAUGCUUUUUUCUGCGUAUACAUUUGUAAUCAUGCAGUUAUUAAAUGAAUUGUUAUAAUAAUGAAUCUAGUGGCUAUAUGUCCCCAGAGUAUGUUUUGUGAGGUCUCUUUUCAACUAAAUCUAAUGUUUUUAGCUUCGGGGUCUUGUUACUAGAGAUUCUAAGUGGCAAGAAGAUUACCAAAUUUUAUCAUAGUGACUCACUCAAUCUUCUUGGAUAUGUAAGUAACACAAUUUUCCUCUUAUGUACCUAAAGUUAUCAUGUUUACUACUAUAUUUCAAGCUUGAAGUUAGAUCCUUGAAUGCAAUUGACCAAAUUAGGACUAUAUAUCUUUCUUUUUUUGGGGAAUUGUUCAUCAAAGUAUAAUUUUUUUUCCUUUAGGCACGAGACCUGUGGAAAAACAACAGAGGACAAGAGUUGAUUGAUCCAGUACUAAAUGAGAUAUCUUGAAGACAUAUUCUGUUAAGGUACAUCAAUGUAGCCCUUCUUUGUGUUCAAGAAAGUACAAAUGAUAGGCCCACCAUGUCCGAUGUUGUCUCCAUGCUUGGCAAGGAAAAUGUACUUUUAUCUUCUCCAAAUGAGCUGGCCUUCUCAAAUCUAUCGAGUAUGAAACGACAUGCAUCUCAAGAUAGGCUUGAAAUUUGUUCCUUAAAUGAUGUAACACUUUCAAGCGUGGGAGCAUGAUAAGUGUUCUAAAUUUCAGAUUGCAUAUGCUUAAAUGUCUUCAGCAUAUUGUCUAGUAUUAUAUCGGCCAUCAAGUUGAUUGUUGAUGUACUGAACGUGUGAACUUUUGUAUGUAUUUUUCUUUCAAUGUAAUUCAAUAAUGUGCUUAAUUUUACUCAAUCCUCAAGGAUUCAAACCUGUAUCUCAUCUUCCCAUCUGUAAUUGCUACUGAAUUUGCUUUUAUGCAUUUCCAAUCCAGAGUGUACAGUCGUUAGAGCUCAUUGCAAAUAUUCAACUAGUACUAGGAAAGAUGAGCUUUUGCGCAUGCUACAGCUAAGCAUAAGUACUAAUUAACAUAUAGGCAAAAGGGAAAGUGAGGAAGGAAAGCAGCUAUAGAUUUCUUUGCCUUUUAAGCUGUGAUAUCAUCUAACAUUUUUUUAAGGGAAGAAAUAUUAUAAUUGAAGGUUUACGUUGAGUACUCGUAAAACCUUCUUUUCUUAUUGGACAUGGUUUCAAUAAAAUCCAUUUGGUUGUCAAGAAAUCUGAGGGAGUUGAGGAUGUGGAUGAGGAAUUUGAAGUCUACCCUCGUCCCUAUAGCUUAAAAUGAAAAGGCAUAGUUACAAACUAAGCUUACAUCGUGGCAGAAACGUUUAUAUUCCUUAGUGGGGCUUGUAGUAGGAGAUCGACCCAGAAGCCAACCAGAAAAGACAUGCAUCUAUCGUUCAAAUGAUUUUCUAAACUUAUUAAAUUGAUUUUCAAGAACUUGAUAAAUACCUCAUUUCUAUAAUAAGGUGAUUUCAAACGUUAGAAAACAGUGAAGGAAAAUGUGAAAUCACUCUACCACCAAGCAUAGAUGGACACUCAAGAAUAAAUAGUAGAGUUGGAUUUUAACACAAACCUCUUUUAAAGAAGAGAAUGUAAAGAUGAUUAUGAAAAAUUAGGUGUUGUUUGUUUUUAAAAAAUUUUUUAUAGAAAAAAUAUUUUUGUUUUAGAUUUCAAAUAGUUUGUUAUUGUACAUUUUGUUAAUAUAUUACUUAUUUCUUAAAUUUUUUAUUAUAAAAAAAGAUAUUUGACUUUUUCUGGAUGCUAAAAGUAAUUUAUAGGUUUUUUUUACUUCUUAAAUAUUUAAUAAAAAUAAAAUAUUUUAAAAAAUAACUUAAUAGUUAACAUUAUUAAAUACUAUUUAGUUUUAAAUUCAAAUUAAAUUAAGGAAAAAAAAAGUAAAACCACCUUAAUAUUAAAUUUGGUUGAAAAAAUAAAUCUCUUAUGUUUUUCCUCCACCCAUAAGUGACUUUGUGCUAGCGUACAAAGAAGUAAUGUGGGCCUAAUGGGGGAUUUUUGAUAUUUUCCUUUUUUUUUAAUAAGAUAUUUGUAAAAAAGUUGUAGUUAUAUAAAUGAUUUUAAACAAUGUUGUAUCCUAAGGGGACCUCCUUCCAUACAAAAAAUGCAUGUGGUAUUCUUCAAAUUAUUAAAUUGUAUCUAGCGAAAAGGUCGAAUGUGAAUUUGAAAAAAAGGAGAAUUCCCAUUUAGGGUGAGCUAACACUGAUAAUGACCCAAAAGGGUCACCAUGUUUACAAAUUCCUAUCAAGACCUUUGAAAAGUUGAUAAUUUCAUAAUUCUAAUUUUACCUUUUUUUUUCUUUUUUUUUUUUUCAUUUUUCCUAUUAUUCUCAUUUAAUUUUACCUUUUUUAUUGUUUUUCUUUUAUACUUCUUUACACAUUAUUAUUAUUAAUGUUAAUAUUAUUAUUUAUAAUAUUAAUAUUUUGAAUUAUUCAUGUUAUUUAUUAAUAUCAUUCUUACUAAUAUUAUUUAUUUUUAUGAUUAUUAUUCAUAUUUUAAAAAUAAUAAUUAAAAAAAUAAAAUAAAAUAAAGAAAAGACAAAAUAGGGAAAAGGCAAAGUAAGGAUAUGUUUGACUUUAAAAUAAAGGACCUAAGGGUAUGUUUGAGUUUUUAUAUUUUGAAGCACAUGAAAGAUUAUCAAGUUGAUGACUCAUUAUCAAUAGAGCCCACCAUCUUUGGUGAUUCUCCUUUUGAAAAAUGAUAAAUGAACAAACAGGUCAAACAUUAGUAGUAUGGAGCCCACCAUCUUUGCUAAUUCUCCGUUUGAAAAAUGGUAAAUGAACAAACGGGUCAAACAUUAAUACCGAGAACAACUCUUCCGUGUCAUACCUCUCCAAUUAUAAUAAAGUAGCAUCCGGUCAAUUUCAAUUUUUUGACCAUAUUUAUUUUAUUGAAUUAGAAUUAUAAUUUAAUAAAAAUGAUAAGAAUUAUAACAACCAAUUCUAUUAUUUAAAGAUAAAUUGUCUAAAUAAGAUUAAAAAUUAAAAAUUAAUCCAUCUAACAACAAAUUUAAAAUGGAUUUAUAUAUCAUAAAAUAUCAUGACCGAAGAAACCAAUAACCAUAAAAAUAAAAGUAGAAAAAUCAUCUAUAAACAAAUCAAAGAAAAAAAAAGAAAACAAAAUUUUUAUGUUUGAUUAACUCUGAGUUGGAUAUCUUCCACGACAGCUGCAAUGAUGAAUGUAAAGAGAAAGAAUGGAAGAAGAGAGACAAAAUGAAGUAUCAAGGAAAGUGAGGGCCGGUUAUAUAUAUAUAUAUAUAUAUUUUCAAUUUUAAGAUGCAUGGUGAAGAUCUCAUCUUGCACAUCCAUUGGCGCAAGAUAUUCAUCAAUUGCUACACAGUGCUGUAGAAUUUUCCUAAGGGAGGCCAGUGUAAAGGAGACCUGCAAGAUGUUCUUCUAUUGCUACCACACAGUGGAGUAGAAUUGAUAUUCUUCGAUUGCUACCACACAGUGGUGUAGAAUUUUCCUAGAAGAAAUAUUGAAAAGGAGGUCAGUGGAAAGGAGAUUUCGACUCAUCAGUCGCUGGGCCACAGGUCUGCCACUGCCUGUUUUGGAUGGCCAUAAGAUUAUUGAUGGGCUGCUUAAACGCUGCUUAUGAGUUAUGGGUAACAUGAAAAUUUCAACAAGAAGGUGGUCUGCUAAUCUCGUUUUCUUGAUUAUUUCUUCAGGUUUUCACUGGAAAUUUGUUGAUGCCUUUACAGAUACAAUCUUACAAGGUCAAUCACUCACAACCUCUCAGACCAUUAUAUCUGCUGCUGGUAACUUUGAAUUAGGAUUCUUUUCUCCUGGAAAGUCCACAAAAUAUUAUGUGGGGAUAUGGUACAAGAAAUUCUCAGAGCAAACCAUUGUGUGGGUAGCUAACCGAGAUUAUUCAUUCAUAAAUCCAUCCGUGGUUCUUACUGUCAGCACAGAUGGCAACCUCGAGAUUUUGGAGGGGAAGAUUUCGUACAAGGUGACAAGCAUAUCAUCAAACAGCAACACUAGUGCCACCCUGUUGGAUUCUGGAAAUCUUGUUUUGAGAAAUAAGAGUCAGAUGUCUUAUGGGAGAGCUUUGACUAUCCAUCGGACACGCUCCUGCCCGGAAUGAAACUUGGAUAUGACAAAAGGGCUGGAAAAACAUGGUCAUUGGUGUCAUGGAAGAGCAGAGAAGAUCCCAGUCCAGGAGCUUUCUCCAUAGAACACGACGCGAAUGAAAGUAGCCAGAUUUUUAACCUGCAAGGACCCAAAAUGUAUUGGACUAGUGGGGUGUGGGAUGGGCAGAUUUUCAGCCAGGUUCCUGAGAUGCGUUUCAUCUACAUGUACAAGUACAAUACAUCCUUUAAUGAGAAUGAAAGCUAUUUUUCUUACUCUCUUCAUAAUCCCUCCAUUCUGAGCAGAGUGGUGCUAGAUGUGUCAGGCCAGGUUAGGCGUCUGAAUUGUCAUGAAGGCACACAUGAAUGGGAUUUAUAUUGGCUUCAACCAAAAACACAGUGUGAGGUUUAUGCUUACUGUGGGCCUUUCGGAACCUGCACUCGGGAUUCUGUUGAAUUUUGUGAAUGCUUGCCAGGUUUUGAACCUCGCUUCCCUGAAGACUGGAAUCUGCAAGACAGAUCUGGAGGGUGUGUGAGGAAAGCAGAUUUGCAGUGUGUCAAUGAAAGCCAUGCUAAUGGGGAGCGAGACCAGUUUCGUUUGGUGUCUAACGUGAGACUGCCCAAGUAUCCAGUAACAAUACAAGCAAGGAGUGCUAUGGAGUGCGAAUCAAUUUGCCUGAAUAGCUGCCCUUGCUCCGCUUAUGCUUAUGAGGGAGAGGAGUGUAGAAUAUGGGGUGGAGAUCUUGUAAACGUGGAGCAGCUACCAGAUGGUGACAGUAAUGGUAGAAGUUUCUAUAUCAAACUUGCUGCCUCUGAGCUAAAUAAGAGAGGUAAGAAAACAGAGUCAUAGUUGUUAUUGUAGGAGGACAUAAAGCAUAUGGGUCUUGUUUUAUUUUCAAUAUAAAAUGGCCAUCGAUUCAACUAAAUUUAAUAUGAUAUAUUUCGUUCUACAGUUUCAAGCAGCGAGUGGAAGGUAUGGCUAAUUGUUACACUGGCCAUAUCUUUAACUUCAGCCUUUGUCAUUUAUGGGAUAUGGGGAAGGUUCCGAAGAAAAGGUCAGUAUUUCUCAUGGACAUACAGAUGGCCAAGCAAUUCAACAAUUUUUAGUUUCCAUCUACAAAUACAAAACCAGUUCUUUUCUGAAAUGAGUUCAUUACCACUGUUAUUAAAUAAUUAAGGUAACAUUAGGAUUUCAUGUUCUGAUUACAUGUGAGUGUGUAUGUGGAAUCCAAUGUGAGAAAUAAUUUAUUCCCAUGCCAGAAUUCCUACAUUCUUAUGAUAUUUAAUGUCUGUUUGUUAUUUACCAAGCAGGGGAAGAUUUGUUACUAUUUGAUUUCGGUAACAGCUCAGAAGAUACCAGCUGCUAUGAGCUUGGCGAGACAAAUAGACUUUGGAGGGGCGAGAAGAAGGAAGUUGAUUUGCCCAUGUUCAGUUUUGCGAGUGUAUCUGCUUCUACAAAUAACUUCUGUAAUGAAAAUAAACUAGGAGAGGGCGGUUUUGGAUCUGUUUACAAGGUGAGAUUACAACCCCUGACAAUAAUGUUCUACAAUCUAUCUUGGAAUGUAAAGGCCCACUUGAUAUAUACCAAAUUUCUUUUACUUGGUGUAAUUGUACUCAGUUGAAAUUCCCAUGACAGGGAAAGUCACAAAGAAGAUAUGAAGUAGCUGUGAAAAGGCUCUCAAAAAGAUCUAAACAGGGAUGGGAGGAGUUAAAAAAUGAAGCCAUGCUUAUAGCCAAGCUGCAACACAAGAAUCUUGUGAAAGUUUUGGGAUACUGCAUCGAGCGGGAUGAGAAGAUAUUGAUUUACGAGUAUAUGUCCAACAAAAGCUUGGAUUUCUUCCUCUUUGGUUUGUAACUUCCACAUACAUAUACUUCCGACUACUGUAUAUUCAAUGAGAAAACUUUACACAUUCAUCAUUCUUCACCACUUAUUUGCUAACAUCUAUUUAUUUGGUGUAAAAUGGAGAUAGAUCCUACAAAACAUGGGAUUCUGAAUUGGAAGACAUGGGUUCACAUCAUUGAAGGGGUUGCUCAGGGACUUCUUUAUCUGCAUCAGUACUCCAGAAUGAGGAUUAUUCAUCGAGAUUUGAAGGCUAGCAACAUUCUUCUAGAUAAGGAUAUGAAUCCUAAAAUAUCAGAUUUUGGAAUGGCAAGAAUAUUUGGAGGCAACGAACCAAAAGCAACAAAUCAUAUAGUUGGGACUUAGUAAGUGAAACCUGACAAAUUAUAAAAUAUGUGAAUGUUCAUACAACAUUUGAAAUCAUGCAGCUACUGAAUGAUUUUUCUCAUUAAUAAUCAAAUCCAGUGGCUAUAUGUCUCCUGAGUAUGCUUUGGAAGGUCUUUUCUCCACUAAAUCUGAUGUCUUUAGCUUUGGGGUCUUGUUAAUGGAGAUUUUGAGUGGCAAGAAGAAUACUGGAUUUUACCAAACCGACUCGCUCAAUCUUCUUGGAUAUGUGAGUAACACAAUAUUUAUUCACUUACAUAACUAUUUAUGAUGUUUUGAUAUGCUAAUUCCUAGUUUUCAAUUCCCUUGUCAUAUUACCUAUCCGGUUGUCUUGGGAUACUGGUAAAUUUUCACAUUUAUGUCUUCAACUCAGUUUCAAGGCUUAUUUUAUAUUGUUGGCUGAUAUAAAAAGGACUUUAUUAUCUUUUACUUUUUAGGAAUUUGCAUCAAUGGAUAAUUUUCUUCAUUUAGGCAUGGGAUCUGUGGAAAGACAGCAGGGGGCAGGAGUUGAUGGAUCCAGGGUUGGAAGAGACUUCGCCAACACACAUUUUGUUGAGGUACAUCAAUGUAGGCCUUCUUUGUGUUCAAGAAAGUGCAGAUGACAGGCCUACCAUGUCUGAUGUUGUCUCAAUGCUUGGCAAUGAAAGUGUACGUUUACCUUCUCCAAAACAACCGGCAUUUUCAAAUCUGAGAAGUGGGGUGGAACCACAUAUAUCCCAAAACAGGCCUGGAAUUUAUUCCUUAAAUGGUGUGACACUUUCAGUUAUGGAAGCACGAUAAUGGUUCAGAACUUAAUAAAUAAUAUGCUUAAAUUUCAGCAUAUUGUCUUGUAUUGUUCUGGGUGAAUUCAUAGCUCAUAUACUAAAAUGGACAAGUGACCUUAUGUGUGAAUUUUUCUUCCAAAACAGUUUAAUAAUCAUCUUGUACUCAAUCCCUAUGGAUUCAGACUUGUGUCUCAUCUUUCAAUCUGGAAUUGCUACUAAAUUUGACUUUAUCCGGUCAAAUUUGGAUUUAAUUUGAAAAUGAUCUGUUCCAUUGUUGAUCCAAAGAGUAAAAUACAACUUUUUUCAUUGCUUAGUAGCUAAGAAAAGGUGCCACUGGGGCCAAUCCAACUAUAGAGAAUCAACCACCCACCUUCCACUUCCUCUCUUAUGGAUGUUUCUGAAUGCCCUGGCAUAUGUAUAUCAUUUCCAUAUAAACCACCAAUUUGGUCUAGGAUCAGUUUCAUCGAGUAUUUCAGGAGACAACAUAAAACAAGUCAAAAAGUAGAUAAUUACGAACUAAUUGGCCAUCCAGCACAGAAAAUCCAUCUCCCAAUGGGGCCUUAAAGCACUUGAAUUUACUGUUCUUUCCAUCAUUAUUUUCAUUCUGGGCAUGGCCUAGAUUGAAGAAAGGUCCGAUACAAAUUGGAAAAGUCAUAGAAGGAAAUAUAUCUAGGAGGGAAUCCUAACAAAAGGUCUUUCAAAAUUGCUACACCUUGCUUUGAAUGGUACCUGGUAUCUUCAUUGAAUGAGUGUUUUUCCUAUGUCCCACCAUUAAAAUGAAUGGGAGUCUCCAAAUUACAUAGAUUUUUUUUUAUAAUGUAUUAUUUUAUAAAUUUCAUAGAAUUAUCAAUUUAGUAUUUUAGCCCCAAAGUCUGUAAAAAACAUGAUUUGCUUAAGGUUAUCAUAUUAUCAUGCAUUAAUUUAUUUAAAUUCUACUAUUUUUUCCUUAAUUAAAAAGUAAAUUUUUAAUUUUUUUUAAAAAAGGUCACUUUUCUCUCUUUUUUCUUUGAAGUCUCUAACUCUAUAACACUCGAACUCAUUUUCUCAUACAAAAUAAAAUUAAUCAAAUUCAAAUUUGAAACAUUGAAAAUUAAUCAAUAACAUAAAAAUCAAUUGAAAAAUGAAUUUAUGUAAUCAAAAACCUUAAUUACUAUCAAAUUACUAACUUUCUAACUAUUUACAUGAUUAAUCAUUAUAAGAUUUUUAUUAUGACAAUAGAUUUUGGUAUUGAUGAUCUAGAACCCUGAUCUGUAAACACACAAGUCCCUGUCAUCAAACCCUGAUCUAGAACAGUAUUUGACAUCAUGGAAAUGCACUGAUGAUUCAUCCACUAGAAACUUCACUUGGAGAUUAGAUAUUCCCAGGCUGCCUCAACUGGCUGUUGGCAUGGGAUCAGUCAAAAAGUACCGCACAGGGCCAUGGAAUGGAGUUUGAUUUAAUGGUGUACCAGUGUUUCCCAAUGAGGAGGUCUAUUUACCAUUAAUGAUUUUUAAUGAGGAGAAUGUAUAUAACUUGUCUCAGGCUGGCAGCUACUCUGCUACUCUGAGAGUCACCAUCAAUCAUUUAGGCUUGCUGCAAUGGAAUACAUUGAAUGAAAGCAAUGACGAGUGGACUACUAUGUACACAGUACCAUAUGACCCAUGUGACAACUAUGGACAGUGUCGUGCUAAUGGCAUUUGCAGGCUUUCCAGCAUGCCAGUCUGUGAGAGUUUGAAGGGGUUCACCCCCAACUCAAAAGGAGAAUGGGAAAUGCUUGAUUGGUCUAGUGAAUGCGAAAGGGCAGGGUCCUUGGAUUGCAAGAGCAAAGAUGACCUUAUGAAGGUCUUAGGGGUGAAAUUGACUGACUUGUUGGAGUUUCGGUUGAACAAGAGUAUGAGCCUCAAGGAAUGUGAGGCAGAGUGCUUGAAGAACUGCUCCUGUGUGGCGUAUGCGAAUUCAAACAUUAAAGGUGGAAGCAGUGGUUGUUUGACCUGGUAUGGAGAUCUGAUUGAUAUUAGAGGGUUCACAGAUGGGAAAAGUGGGCAAGACCUUUAUACCAGAUGUCCAGCUGGGGAACUAGGUAAGAGUAUUUGACACUCUUUUCACUACCAAGCUCUUUUAUUGUUCAUCCAUGAAGGUUUAACAAGCAUUGCAAUCUGGAUUGCAUGGUUGCUUAUUUUCUCUAGGUGAGUUAGGAUCUUUUUCAUUUUUGGGAUAUGAAAGAAAGUUAGGAUUGUUUGUCAUAUAUCAUAGUGGGACAUUUUGACAUGGAAUAGCUAGUAUCCUCAGUAAUGGUUUUUAUCUUUUAACUAAAGCCACAAAAACAAUUGAUGGCCAACUCUCUCUGCAGUAAGGUGCAGACAAGACUGAAGCGAGGAUUUGAUAACAAAAGUUUUUAGCAAAAUGAUUAAAUUUCUUCCCAUCUCCUGUUUCAGGGUCAAUCCAUGGUUCGCAUAAGAAGAAAAAACUGGUUGUUGUCCUAGUUGCAUUGACCAUUUCUGGAAUGCUAAUCUUGGGCUUGGUGUUCUGGUGCAUAAAAAGGAAAAAAAUUGAGGUAAUCCUAAUUAUUGGUCCAUUCAGUGUUUCAACUUUCAUCAUUGAAAAUCUAUAUCAUACAACUGGAUCCUGAGUACAGUAAUGAAGUAGGCACUAUCUCAUCAAUAGGCCUCGAAAGUGAGACGGAAGAUUUGGAGUUACCUUUAUUUGAUUUGGCUACCAUUAAUACUGCUACUAACAACUUCUGUGUCAUAAAUAGAAUUGGCACAGGCUGCUUUGGUCCUGUUUUCAAGGUAACAUUUGAUUGUAAGAAAAAGUGUGUUUCCUAUUAGACAGUAUGCAGGGCAGUUUGUCAAUAGGAUAAGAAGUAGCAGUGAAGAGGUUGUCAAAGAAUUCAGGACAGGGUCUUCAAGAGUUUAAGAAUGAGAUUUUUUUAAUUGCCAAACUCCAACACAAGAAUCUAGUGAAGCUUUUAGGCUGCUGCAUUCAGGGACGAGAAAGGAUAUUACUCUAUGAAUAUAUGCCCAACAAGAGUUUGGAUUAUUUUAGUUCCAUUUGAAAUUCUCAACCCUUUAGAUCUCUUUGGACUGGUUUGGGUACAUGAUCAUCCAUACCAUGCUCAUGCAUCUAUAGAGUUCAAAUAGUUAUAAUCGCAAAAUUUACAAGGGUUGAAAUGAUGUGCAGAUUAAAACAGAAGAGCGUUAUUGCCAUGGAAAAAGCGCUUUGACAUUGUUAUGGGGAUCGUGCAAGGACUUGUUUAUCUCCACCAAGAUUCUAGACUUCAAAUCAUUCAUAGGGAUCUCAAGGCAAGCAAUAUACUGAUAGAUGAAAACCUGAACCCCAAAAUUUCAGACUAUGGCUUGGCAAUAAUUUUUGGAGGGGGAUGAAAUGGAAGCAAAAACAGAGUAAUUGGAACAUAGUAAGUUCUGUGCUUCUACUUUAGAAAUGAUGUGCUUUUCCUUGAAAUAACUUAUAUUUGAAAUCUUCAUGCAGUGGCUACACAUCCCCAGAGUAUGUGAUUGAUUGCAAAUUUUCUGUUAAAUUUGAUAUCUUUAGUUUUGGUGUGCUUCUGCUGGAGAUUGUGGCUGGUAUAAAGAACAGGGGGUUCUAUCAUUCAAACUACCACCAUAAUCUUCUGGGACAUGCAAGUAGAAAGAAUGAAAAUCCACCUCUGUCACACACACACAUCAAAGACGCAUGCCCUCUCUUGCUUUUCUGACAAAGUAUAUGGCUUCCAAUUGCUUUAGACAUGGUUGCUUUGGAAACAAGACAAGGCCUUGGAAGUAAUGGAUGCAUGUUUGGAGGACUCAUGUAUUGAAUCCCAGCUACUAAGAUGCAUACAAGUCGGUUUAUUAUGUGUUGAAAACCUCCCAGCAGAUAGACCAGCUAUGUCAUCUGUUUUUUUCACGUUGGGUAAUGAGGGAGCAACACUUCCUUAACCUAAACAUCCUGGUUUCUUCCCAGAAAUAAGUAAGAUCGAUAUAGAUGCAACAACAGGACGUGAAGAGUUACCUUCAGAAAAUGUAGUAACCAUCUCAGUGCCAGAAGGUAGAUAAAGGAUUCAAGCACUGUGUCAGCAUGUGCAGGGUGCAUCCAAGGUUUAAUUCAUGUAGGAUAUAGCACUAGGCUCUUCAAUGGAUGGACACCAAUUUCCUUAAGGUUGCAAAACUAGAUUACAGCUUGGCCCCAAGGAGGCCAAGGUGUUGGAUUUACUGCACUAGAACCAUAUCUGCUGAGCUUCAUAAUCCUCUAAAUGUAUGAAUAAAAUGUGCUAGAGCGUGUCCUCUAUGGCAGCUCAGGGCAGUGUGACUUGUAACUUAAAACUCACUAGUACAACUUUUGAAAUUCAUAUUUUCACAGGAUCAAGUUGGGUAUAUGCACAAGAAUGUGGAUUCUGCAGUCAACUUGGCUGCUUCACUUUCUUUUCCUCAGAGUUCACAUUUAUAGGGCUUAUAUAGAUGCUGAGCUAUACAAAAAAUCUUGAUUUGAAAUCUCAAGAAUUUCUAGAGGUGUUCAAAAUCCUUUGAAAUGUCCUUGGGAAGUGCAAUGAGCUUGCAACAAAUUGGAGUGAAUGGAGAUAAACAAAUUGAAAAUCAAAUGAGAGGAUUUGAAGCUUAAACAAAUAAACACCUUCACAUAAUAAGGUGUGAAUCUCUACUGUCUCUCUCAAGUUAAGACAUCUUUUAACUUCUUUUCAUCUUCCCAGAAGCUUCAAAAUUUUUUGCAAAACAUUAACUUGAAUACUGUACAGUGGCAAACCUUAGAGGGAGCUUUCAAAUUAUUUAGGAGAAAGAAUUCAAGAACUAUGUAACAGAUGAUUCACAUAGGUAACAGGGGUGAAAUUGCCCGACUUAAUAGAUUUUCAUGUGAUUAUGAGUGUGAGCCUUGGGGAGUGGUGUAAGGCGUUGUGCUUGAACAACUGUUCUUGUACAGCAUAUGCCUACUCAAAUCUUAAUGGAAGCAGUGGCUGUUUGAUGUGGUCCGGGAACCUGAUUGAUAUCAGAGAGUUAAGUACAGAAACAAAUAAGGAGGACAUCUAUAUCCGCGGGCACACUUCUGAGCCAGGUAAGACACUUGAUUUUUUGUAACUCACUUUUUUCUUUUAAGCUAUCGGGGUUCUCUCCAAUAGCCUCAGCCCUGAGUUAUCCUGGUAAUCAAGACGCAGAAUAACUUAUUUUCCAGAGGACAGAGAUUCAACUUCACAAGAAAAUUAUAAUCUAGUUAAAAAUAAUACCCUUAUAUUAUGCUCCUGAAGAACCAUAGUUCUUAGGAUCCAGGUUAACUAAUGAUGAACUGACUUGUAAUAAUCCUAACAAGCAGAAAGCAAAUAUCUGAUUCAUUUUCUGAAGAAGCAGGGAAAUCUGGGGAAAUAGAUACUUCAUUCCUGUCACCGUCUGUUCCAGAGUCAUACACUAAUCAGAAGACCAAAAAAAUAGUGAUCAUCCUUGUUAUAUCCAACUAUUUUGGAAUCCUCACCUUGGGCUUAGCAGUAUGGUUUCUAUUUCUGAAGAAGAGAACAAUGGGAACAGGUAUGCAUACUUAUCCACCUUGAUGAUUUUGUUGAAAGAAAACCAUGUGGCAGUGCUUUAAAAGUUACUUCUAAGUUAUUAUCCCUUUUAACAGACCAGGAAAGCAAGAAGGAGAACUUAGAGUUACCUUUGUUUGACUUGCCUACCGUUGCAACUGCUACUAACAACUUCUCCAACACCAAUAUGAUUGGAGCAGGUGGCUUUGGGCCUGUGUACAAGGUAAUAUGCGCCAUCUAAUGCAUCUCGGUAACCCAAAAAUGAUCUCGAAACAAAGAAGAGAAAAAUAUUUGCAUCUUACACAUCAUAUUUUGCAGGGCAAUCUGCCAGAAGGAGUAGCAGUAGCAGUGAAGAGAUUGUCCAAGAAUUCAGCACAGGGUGUGCAAGAGUUCAAUAAUGAAGUUGUUUUGAUGGCGAAACUUCAGCACAAGAAUCUUGUCAGGCUUUUGGGCUGCUGCGUUCAAGGAGAAGAAAGAAUUUUACUCUACGAAUCUAUGCCCAACAAAAGCUUGGAUUAUUUUAUUUUCGGUUUGAGCUCCGUAUCCUUAUCUGUUUGGAUUAGUUUCACUUUUUGAUCACCCAUCUUAUGCUCAGUCGUGUUCAGCUCAAUUCACACAUCUAAGUAAUGAAUUAGGCCUAAUAAAAAAUUUUAUGAAGGCGGAUGUAUUGUGCAGAUCAAAACAGAAGAGCAUUAUUGGCAUGGGAUAAGCGCUGCGAGAUUGUUAUGGGAUAGCACGAGGGCUUCUCUACCUCCAUCAAGACUCUAGAUUUCAAAUUAUUCACAAGGAUCUCAAGACGAGCAAUAUUUUACUGGACGACAAUCUCAACCCUAAAAUUUCAGACUUUGGCUUGGCAAGAAUUUUUGGAGAGAAUGAAAUGGAAACGAGAACAAAGAGAAUUAUUGGGACUCAGUAAGUUAUAAACCUUUAUAAUUUUAUAAAAUGGAAUUUAUCCCUUCAAAUAACUCGUACUUAAAAAUGUUGGUGCAGUGGCUAUAUGUCCCCUGAGUAUGUGAUUGAGGGGCACUUUUCUGUCAAAUCAGAUGUUCUUUAGCUUUGGUGUUCUUUUACUAGAGAUUGUGAGUGGUAAAAAACCAGAGGGUUCUCUCAUCCAUAUCACCACCACAACCUUCUGGGACAUGUAACUAGAAAGAAUGCAAUGGUGUUUCCUCUCUCUCUCUCUCUCUCAAUUUGUCUCUACUCUCUACCUUUUUCUGGGUUUUGUGGAAGACAAUAAAUAUGAUUUUUGCUCUAGGCAUGGCUGCUGUGGGAACAAAACAAGGCCUUGGAAUCAAUGGAUGCAUGUUUGGAAGAUUCAUGUGUUGCAUCGCAGGUAUUACGAUGCAUACAAGUAGGUUUACUAUGUGUUCAGAACCUUCCAGCAGACAGACCAGCAAUGUCAUCAAUGAUUUUCAUGUUGGGUAAUGAGGGAGCAACAUUGCCUCAACCUAAACAUCCUGGUUUCUUCACGGAAAGAUGUUCAGUGGAUACAGAUACAAUGUCAGGAAAGAUAAGAGUUACAUUCAGAAAAUGAAGUAACCAUCUCAAAGCUAAAAGGUAGAUGAAGAAUUCAAACAUCUGCUUAGUGAAUUAGUUAUGCAGGUGCCAGCUUCUGUGACUGAAACGGUUUGCAAAGGUUCCUCUGUUGCAGCUCAGGGCACUGAAAUCUGCAACUUAAGACUCACUAGUAGAAUUUCUAAGUUCAGAUUCCCUCUGGAUCUGGUUGGUAGUAAGCAGAAGAACAUGUAUUCUGCACUCACUUUAUAUGUUACAGUCACUUUAUCUUCCACUUGUUGUAGAAGCCCAAUAGGGGCUACACCCAAACACCCGUUAAAAGCCCAAACCAAUUGAGCCUAGAGGAUGAGUGCCAAAGCCCAAUGAAAUCUCAAGGCAAGGUGUUUGUACCUUGCAUUUGAUCCACUGAGCUUUAAAAGCAAAGGUGAGGCCAUUGAGCUAUAUGUCAUGCUAAAGUAAUAGCGUUGUAAAAUUAAAUACAUAGCAAGAUUAAUGGUUUUUCUUCAAAAAAAUUUUAUGUGAAUAUUUACGUUCAUGCUUAUUUUUAUAAUAAUAAUUAUCAAAUUAAUAUAAUAAUUUUAAAAUAAUAAAAUACAAAAAAUAAAGAGAUAAAAUUAAAUACUAUGAUUUUUUUUAUCUUAAACAUAUCUUUAUGUUUAAAUAUUAUACAUGUUCUAUUUAAUAAGGUUUAAAAUAUUAAUAUAUUUAUAUUUAUCUUUAUAAUUUAAUUUGGUAUGUGUAAUAUAAAAUUGAAAUAUUAUUAAAAUUUGUAAUUAUAUAUUUUAAAUUUCUUAUAAAUUUUUUUUGUACAAUAUAUAAAUUAUAUAAUUAUUACUUUACCGGUUUGAUCAUGGUUGAACCACUGAUCUGACCAGUGAAUCGUGAAUGUAACAACCUACAUCCAAUCUCAAAGAGGCUCUCACAACUUUAAAACAUAUCUACAAAUUAAGAACUCAUACAUAUAUAGCAUCAAGAUAGCAUCAAGAUAGGGGAGAAAGUUCUUAACACUAUAUAAGUAUAAACUCUUCUUAACAGCGAAGCUUUAAAAAUUUUUGCGAAACAUUAACUUGAAUGCUAGACAGUGGCAAACCUUAGUGGGAGCUUUCAAAAUUUUUAAGAGAGAGAAUCAUGGUUUAAAUAUUGGUAAAUAUGGAAUAUUUGUACCUACAUUUUACGGAUAUAUUGGAAAUAUCGAUGAAUAUUUUGACAAAAAUAUUGGUAAGACAAAAAUUAUUCAAAAUUUAUAAAAAUAUUUAGAAAAAUUUUAAAAAUGAUAAAAUAAAUAAAAAUACAUAUGUUAAAGUUUUUUUCUAAAAAUAAUUGACAUAGAUAUGAUCAAAUAGAAAAAUAUCGAUAAGUAAGGAUAAAUCAAUCUUAAUAAUUUAUUAUUUAUCCAAUCAAAUUAAUUUUAAUUUAUAAAAUAUUAGAAUUUCAUUAUUUUUGAAUAAAUUUAUAUUUUUAAUAUUUUAAACACAUGCGAAAAUAUCAUCAAUGGAUACUUUUUAAAUAACAAUGAAAAGUUCUUACAAAAAAUAUAUCUUAAUAAUAAAAUAUCAAAGACAUACAUAUUAUUUGGGAAAAGAAAUUUAAAACACUUUCCAACAUAUAAAGUGCUUUAUUCAACCAAUAGUAACAAAGACAAGCUUUGACUUGGAUUGAAAGCCUGGCCAAGUCAAAAAUUGAAACCUUAUCCUCUUGAUGCUGUGUCUUGGACAAAUUCUAGGAAAAACCUACAUUAGAGCAAUUUUAGUAUUUUUUUAAACUUGUGUAUAGAAGUCUUCCUUUCAUCUGUCAGAAGCGUCAAUGGAGACCCAUCUUUUCUUUGCCUUCUUUUGUGCCUGGAUUUGUCUCUCAGUUCCCUUGGAGUCUUGUAUUGCAGCUAAUUCCAUAAGGAUUGACCAACCCAUAGGCGAUGGUGAGUCUUUAGUUUCCUCAGGCCAAAGCUUUGAACUAGGCUUCUUCUCUCCUGGCAGCUCCAAAAACAGGUACUUAGGAAUAUGGUACAAGAAUACACCCCGGACAGUUGUAUGGGUUGCAAACAGAAACAACCCGAUCGCAGAUUUGUAUGGAGUUUUAACCAUCUUCAACAAUGGCACACUUGUUCUUCUCAACUAGUCAAAGAGUGUAAUCUGGUUGAUUUGUUCCCAAUUUGUGUCUCAGUUGACUCAUGUCCUCUCAAUGGUCCCUGACAGUGGUGCCAUUUGAUUCGUGUCCAGGUGGUGUCCCUUGAUUGUGGUCCUCAGAAGGGAGUAAUCAACAAAAUUUAUAACCUAUUACACCAUGUACUAGGAUAGCCUUAGCUAGCAUAGCAUAGUGGCUCUAGGGUCGUUCACUGGGAUGGGUUUUCACUUCACAAUUGAUAUUAAUUCAAAGUUGAAUUGGUGCCUUUUCAUUUCAAGGUUAGCUUUAAAAGAAAACAUAAAGAUGUUUAAAUGAAAAAGGUUUGGUUUUAAACUAACCAAAAAUAGUAACUGAUUUUACUUACAAAGAAAAGUGUUUCUUGGAGUUUAGAUCACUAGGUUCAGGUUCCUCAUACAAAAAGGAGAGUUCCGGUUACUUGUUUCUUUUCCUCGCAUUAGAGAAUUAACAUAUAGUUAAUUCUCUAACCGGUGUGGUACAGAUGCUUCCCUUUAAUGGGUUCAAACACUAAAUCCCUCUCACUGAUGCACCUUGCAAUGGCUCGUGCCUCUCACCUAGCAUUUGCCAUUCAAGGUGAUCCUUAACCUUGGAUUAUCCGUCAAAAGCUCGCAAGAGAUAACUAAUGGAUGUCUCCUUGGAGUCCAAAAGCUUACCAAGUGUUGGCUAUUCUAGAAAAUCCUACCUCUAAACCACCUCCCAAAGGCUCGCAAGAGAUAAACAAGUGCAUCUCAAUGAACGGAGACCACUUGCCUUAUCAAGUGUUGGCCCAGGUGAGUUAAAGGCGUUUUAAGUUAACUAAAAAGAUAAAAACCAUUAACGAGUCACACUUUCUCUUCAUUAAAAACUAAAACAACAAAACUUCCAAUUUCUGCAUGAGGAAACUUACCCGACUUUCUUCACUCCAAGAGACGAAGAGCCUAGCCUCUCAUCAUUUGAGAAAAAAUCCUCAGAGUUUGAUUGGCUAGAAAGAAAACUAACGAGAAAACAAAAAUAUGAAGGAAAAACAGAGCAAGUGCCCUGUUCGUCGAUUCCAUAUAUAUGAUAUAUAUAUUAUAUAUUUUCUUUAUAUUGGUUCAAAGAUAUAUAUAGAGAAUAUAUUUUCUAAGAAAUAUCCCAAUAAUAUCUUUGACUGAUUACAAGGAGAAAAUAGAAAUUUACACAAAAUAUCUUGAGAGAAAAAAUCUAACUUAGUCAGUGGCAAAUAUCAAGAAGCUUCAGGAGAACACCACGGCACUGUAUACUGAGAGAAAAACUCUCCGGGUAAGCGCUAUCAGAGGAUCCGGAUAUGUCUGACUGGAGAAGUUGAAACGUCUUCCUCUCCCAUCCAGCGUCAGGCUCCGGAUGUGAAAUAUCCCGCGCCGCAAGGCUAUCCGGAUCAACUCCAUCAGGAUUCCCCCGGGUGGAAGGAGCUAUGUCGCAAGGGGGACCGUCUGCGUGUGCAAGGUGUAGGGACCCCUCUCCCAGAUGACACGGAGCACGCAAGGCUAUCCGGAUCAACUCCAUCCGGAUUCCCCAAGAGGACAUGUGGCGCGCUUCCCUAUUCGGACUCCCUCAGGGAGAAGCACAUGACACUCGUGAACAUCACACCCGGACGAUAGCAUAUCCUAUCCGGAUGUGUUGUCCAGAUCAUUGACUUAAUGUGAGCAAGCCUUGCUACGUCAUUCAAAUAGCCUGCCACAGACCAUGUUCUGUCGCCAUCCUGUCCGGACACCCUGUCCGGACAUCUUUACCAUGGAUUUCAAAGAACUCUCCUUAAUCUCGGAUUGCUUUGGUGAUCAAAAAGCUAUCAAAACACCAAAACUUAACACAAUUUGAUUAGAAUUGAUUGCAAGGGUCCUUAAUAUGUUAAUUGGGUUAAAAGGUGAUAACUACUACUCAAAAGUGUUUAAAAGAGUUAAUUACAAGCUAUGAAAUAACACUUUUUGAGUAGUAAUCACUGGUCUCUCAAUUUGUCAAAGGUACCAGAAAAUCCAGUUGCACAGCUCCUGGAGACUGGAAAUCUUGUUCUUAGGGAUAGUGGUAAAGAAAGUUUUGAAACCUAUAUAUGGCAGAGCUUUGAUGAUCCAUCAGACACAAUGUUGCCAGGCAUGAAGGUGGGAUGGAACUUAAAGACUGGUCUACAACGAAAAUUGACAUCAUGGAAAAGUGCUGAUGACCCAUCUCCUGGAGGCUUCUCUUAUAGAAUUGAUAUUAAUGUGCUGCCUUACAUGGUUCUUGGUGUGGGAGUAGGCAAAAAAGUCCGUUCCGGGCCAUGGAAUGGACUUGAAUUCAAUGGUUUGAAUGCGUUGGAUAACUCGGUUUACAAAGCAGUUUUUGUUGCCAACAACGAUGAGGUAUAUGCCCUCUAUGAGUCUAACAACAAUAAGAUCAUUUCAAGACUAACAUUGAACCAUUCAGGUUUCCUCCAGCGUCUGGUAUUAAAAAAAGGGAGCUCUGAAUGGGAUGAAUUGUACUCAAUUCCCAGUGAACUUUGUGAAAAUUAUGGCCAUUGUGGUGCUAAUGGUAUCUACAGAAUUGGCAAGCUGCAGAUUUGUGAGUGUUUGACAGGUUUCACAAUAUCAUGUUAUGCCAUUUGGUCUUUGUAAUGCCCCAUCCACUUUUCAAGCCAUCAUGAAUUCCAUAUUUCGCCCUCACCUCUGACAAUUCAUUCUAGUAUUCUUUGAUGAUAUUUUAAUUUAUAGCCCCAAUUGGAACAUGCAACUUGAACAUGUUAAGCAAGCUUUUGAAAUUUUGAGGCAUCACACAUUUUUUUUAAAACUCAAAAAACGUGCCUUUAGCCAACAAGAAUUAGAAUACUUGGGGCAUAUUGUCACUGCUCAUGGGGUCAAAGUGGACCAAAAUAAAAUAUAGGCCAUGCUUGAUUGGCCUCAUCCUACUAAUGUUUCAAAGUUACGUGGGUUCUUAGGCCUUACAAGUUACUAUCGGAAGUUUGUUCGCAAUUAUGGCAUCUUGGCUGGCCCACUCACUAAUCACUUGAAGAAAGGCCAAUUUGGGUGGACUGCAGAAGCUAAGACCUCCUUCAAGCUCCUUCAACAAGCUAUGACUACCACUCCCACCCUUGCCAUGCCAAAUUUUCAGGAACCAUUCACUAUUGAAUCUAACGUUUCCGGGGAUGGGAUUGACACUAUACUCACCUAACAAGACAAGACCAUUGCCUUCAUGAGUCGAGCCUUAGGAGUCUCCAAAUUAUCCUGGUCUACAUAUGCCAAAGAGAUGCUUGCCAUCAUUCACGCCUUGGCACCCUUAUCUUCUCGGGUAGAAAUUCUACAUCCAAACUGACCAGUGGAGCCUCAAGUACUUACUUGAGCAGCGUGUGGUAACACCAGAGUAGAAGAAAUGGGUUGCAAAGCUACUUGGCUAUGAUUACGAGAUACUAUAUAAACUUGGCCGCGAAAACUCAACCGCCGAUGCCCUUUCCAGUGUGCCAGGCUCCCCAACUCUUAAUGCUUUAUUUGUUUUGCAGGUUAAAAUAUGGGAGGAAAUCAAAACAGCCUUGGCAGACAAUGCUUACAUGGCCUGCAUUAGCAAGCUCACUACUAUCAAACCUGGCCUUUCCUACACCAACCGUCACGGGUUGAUCUUCUACAAAAAUCGAGUGGUGGUGUCCCCUCAAUCCCAUAUCCCGAAUCAGUUACUACAUGAGUUCCAUGACUCUCCUUUUGGUGGCCACUUCGGAGUGCUGCGCACAUAUAAACGUAUCACUCAACAGUUUUAUUGGCCCUCAAUGUAUCGCAUGGUGAAUGAGUAUGUCUCCUCUUGUGAUGUUUGUCAACGAGCUAAGGCAUCCACCUUGUCCCAUACUGGUCUCUUACAGCCGUUGCCCAUUCCUUGUCAAGUAUGGGACGACAUCACCAUGGAUUUCAUCAAAGGACUGCCUCCAUCCCAAGGCAAGAACACAAUAUUUGUGGUCGUCGAUCACCUUAGCAAAUCAGCUCACUUCUUGGCCUUAACUUGCCCUUUUUCUACCAAGAUGGUAGUAGAAAAAUUUGUUGAGGGUGUCUUAAAAUUACACGGCAUGCCUAGAUCAAUCAUCAGUGACCGUGAUCCAAUUUUCAUAAGCAACUUUUGGCGUGAAUUCUUUAAAUUGUCCAACACACAAUUAAAGAUGAGCUCUGCAUACCAUCUCCAAACUAACGGGCAGAUCGAAGUCAUCAAUCGCUAUGUCAAGCAAUAUCUAUGCUGUCUGGUUCACCAGCAACCACAAAAAGGGUACUCCCUUCUUCCUUGGGCAGAGUUUUAGUACAAUACGACUUACCAUGUUUCAAUCGGCAUGUCACCUUUUCAAGCUUUGUAUGGUUGCCCUCCCCCCAUGAUUCCACACUAUUAGUUGGGUUCUUCUCCAGUUAAUGAGGUCGACCAAAACUUGGCCUCACGCAAUGAUCUUCUCAAUCAGCUCAAACUCAACUUACAUCAAGCUUCCAAUUGGAUGAAACAAAUCGCCGAUUCAAAAAGGCGGGACAUCGAAUUCAAUGAAGGUGGCCUUGUUUUCCUUAAACUGCAUCCUUAUCGCCGACAAAUAGUGUUCAAAAGAGCAUCUUAGAAACUUGCUCACCGGUUUUAUGGGCCCUUUCCAAUUGAGAAACGCAUUGGCAAGGUAGCAUAUCAACUCCAACUUCCUGCGGGGUCUUGCAUCAAUAUGGUAUUCCAUGUUUCUUUGUUAAAAAAGAAGAUUGGUGAUUCAAGUGCAAGUUGUCCUACUUUGCCACCUCUCACCGAUGAUGGUACCCUCAUCAUCGAACCUGCAGAAAUCAUAGACACUCGUUGGCUUAAAAAAAGGGGGAAAUUUUUUGAAGAGUGCUUGGUCAAAUGGAAACACCUUUUCGUUGAAGAUGCUACUUGGGAGAAUGCAGCAGAGUUGCAAGAUUGGUUCCAUGACUUGAACCUUAGGGACAAGGUUCCAAUAAAAGUGGGGGGUUGUGGACCCGCAUUUAUCACGUGCGCUCCCACUCGAUCGGCGAUACUCGCUUUUUAUUCGUGAAAAUUUAAUUUUAGAAAAGUUGGAGUCGCCACUUAUUUUAUUUUAUUUUAAAAGGGAAAAUAAAACAAGAAAGAAAACCCUAAAAAGUGACUCCAUAAUUUUUGGAAAAAAGGCAUGCCUUUGAAAACCUGAGUCUAGGUCCGGGGAUCAGGUUACCUAUUAGGAAGGUACCUUUAAAAGGUAGCACCCCUCUAAGCCCUAUAGAGGUCUCUACUAACUAAGUUGAGGGAAAUGUGGCAAUUAAUCGAUUAAUUAUAGAUACCUAAGUAAGCUUGGUGAUUUUAAAAUAACAUGUUAACAAGAAAAUCAAUCACAAUCAUAUAGAAGAUUCAGGGUGCGUACCUGAACCACUUCUUAAGCGCUAUCAUAAAACAUCAAUUGUUAGUUUAGAUAAUAUAUCACUCAGCAUGCAUUUUAUCAUGAAUGAUCAAACAACAUAACAAAUAUCAAGACAUCCCAAGCAUUCUCAAACAUAGGUGUAAUUUACAAUGACAAUCAUAUUUAUAGAAUUUAGAAAGUAUGUGACAGGGGACGUACCUGGAUAACAUAGAUAACUUACAAUGCGCUUCCAUAAGACAUGAGGGGUUAGAUAAUAAAUAAUAAAAUAUAGAAAUCCUAGCAUGCUCGUUAUCUAAUUAGCAUAGCAGAAAUUAUCAAAGUAUAUGAAAACACUAAUUAUCACACUCAUCUUGUAUACAAUUCCUAAAAAAAGAUAGACAUAAUUUCAACAAGUGACAAAAGUGGCAACAAAAAUAAUUUUUGAAAAGAUUUUCUUAUGUAGGGGUUUCACCAAUUCCCCAAUUGAUAUACACGAAUUUAGCCUAGAAUUAUCCCAUUUAUUUGGGACCACAAGCUUUGAUUCGUGUUUUAUUCAAAACUGCAAUUUUUUUUUUUUUUUGAAAUUCGAGGAAGAUGUGAACCGAUCAAAACAUGGUUGCACAUUAUUUAAGAAAAUGAGAUUUUGAUUUUAAGAAUCCUAAAGGAAUUAUUGAAAUGAAUUUUUAAAGGGAAUGAGAUUUUGAUUCUGAGAACUCUAAAUGAAUUUUUGAAAUGGUUUUUUAAGGAAAUGAGAUUUUGAGAAUAUUGUUAUGUUUUAAAGAUAAAAGAAGUUAAUUUGAAAACAAUAAAAUGUAUGAAUCAAAAUACCAAGCAAAGGAAAAAAGAACAAAAUCACAAAGUAGAAUUUUUGACAACCGAUAAAAUUGAAGUGGUGGGAAUGGAGGCCAAUCUUCACUAUUUUCUGAUAGCCUCUAAAAAUUGAUUUUGACAAAGGAUGACCAAAGUGAUAAACCAAAACCUUAGAUCUUACAAGCACUGAAACUUUAAAAACAUUUAAUCUUAAGAUAAACUUAAUCAAGCACUAAAUAUUAAGUGACCUUUAAAACAGUACAAGCGAUACGUAUUAACUAAUAUUGACAAUUUUGAGUCAUAAAUCUAAUCGGCUAACUAAACAAUUGAAUAAAAGAAAACAAACACAUAAAAUAAAUAAAAUUAGUCAAAAACUGAAAUGAACUAUUUUUAAACACAAAAUGACAACAUGGGAAUAGAUUAAACUAAUAGCCUACAAUUCGAAAGCAUAGAAUUAAUGGAAAAAUGGAAUAAAAAAAAUCUUAACAUAAACUAAACAAUAUGAAACCAACCAAAUUAAUUAAAACUCUAAAAAAAUAUCAACUAAAACAGGAUCAAUCAAAACUAAAAUAACUAUUUAUUUUUAUUUAUUUAUUUUAUUUUUUAUUUUUUUAAAAUUUUAAAACAUGAAUAUAUCAACGCGGAAUGAAAUAAAUUAACCAACUUAAAUUCUAAAACUAAUAAACUAAAAGGAUGAAUCAUGAAUUAAAUUUAACAACCUUUAGAUAUGAAAAGAGUGACAUGGAAGCAAUUGAACUAAUAAACUGAAUUUUAAUAACAUUUAAACUAAAAGAUAAAUUAAAACUAAACUAAAAGAAAUUAUGAAUUUCCUAAUUGAGAACAAAAAUAAUGCCAAUCAAAAUUCUAAAUUUUUAACCAUUAUCACACAUUAUCCAAACUCUAAAAAAUCCUAACUUUUCCAUUAUCAACAAAAUUGCCCAAACCAAUACUUAAAAAUAAUAAUAAUAACAAUAAUAAUAAUAAUAAUAAUAAUAAUAAUAAUAAUAAUAAUAAUAAUAAUAAGUAAAUAAAAAAAUCUAAUUUGUCGAACUAAGAAAAUAAAUUGUAACUACAUUAAACAUAAAUCAUAAUUUUCAAGCAAGAAUAAUAAAUCAGUAAUAAUUAAUUUAGUUAGUUAAGAAAAAUUAAAAAUUAACAUCUAAGCUAAAUAUGAAUUUACAAUAAAAUAAAAAUUUUAAAUGCAUAGGCCGAAUGGGAAUAAUACAAAACUAACUUUAACAAAUUAAAAACAUGAAUACAUUGACAUUGGGAAUGAGUAACUAAAUAUAUAAAAUUCUGAAAUAAUUACGAAUGGCAUUGAAUAGUCAUGAAUCAAAAUUCAAAUAGGAAGAAUUAAUUUACCUUUCUCAAAGACGCGUGGGCUACUCUCCAACAAAAGUGACAGUAUGAUUUUUUUUAUUUAAGAAAGUCAAUUCUAUGAUGCAUGGUGUGAUAGUUAUGGAUCAAUCAAGACUAAAAGAACUAAUAAUUUAAGGAACAAAAUAAAUUAAUAUGGAUAUUCAAAAUUAAUAACAAAUAAUUUUAUGAAGUGCACACACCGGGUAAUCUAAAUUAAUAAUAAUAAUAAUAAUAAUAAUAAAAUAAAAUAAAAUAAAGACCUCAAAAAUCUUAAAUUAAACAGAAACAAAUUUAAUGGCUUGCAAACAUGCAUAUAUUCACGUAAGAUUAAUUAAACUAGAAAAUAAAAAGAACUCAAAAGACAUAACGGGAAUAAUACAAAACUAAAUUUAACAAAUUAAAAAUGUGAAUAUAUUGAUAUUGGAAAUAAAUAACUAAAUAAAUAAAAUUCUGAAAUAAAUUGAGUUGAAUAGUCAUGAAUCCAAAUUAAAACAGGAAGAAUUAAUUUACCUUGGUCAAAGACGCGUGGGCUACUUUUGUUAGUGACAGUAGGAUUUUUAAAAUCAAUUCCACCUGGUGUGGUGGAUACCAUGCACUGCAAAUACUUGCAGUCACCAAAACAAUGCGUAUUAGUGGAGAGAAAUCUUCCUUGACAGUGUGUUGCCCUUGAGAGAAUCUGGUGGUCUCCUUUAUGUCCUCCAAGCAGCAACCCCUUAAAUUGAAUGACAUUUUCUAUGGCCACGUGAUCCCCUUUGGUGCAGCCCGCGCAUGGAGUCCUUCUUGGUGGCUGGUUUCUGGGCAAAAUCUGGCGAGCUCCUUUCAAAGUCCAGAAUGCGUGGAUGUUCUCGAUGAGAAACCCACGUUUGGUGAAGACGAAGGUAAUCCGCGUCUUGACCGGAGAGAAGACUUCUUGGACGAUAUAUUUUUUUUAAAACGAUAGCUCCUAAUAGUUCACGAAAACACGAUCUGAUCCGGCUGCUAUCGCGCCCUUCAAGGUACAGUCGUGCUUCUCCGAAGCUUUUCCAGUGCGGCUGCCUCCUUUCCCUUCCUUCUCAAUGGUGCUCCUCCUCUAAAAAACUAGCCCCACUUCAUCACCCAAUAUGCUAUCUUUCCUUGCACAGCCUAACCUUCCAAAAACCAGCCUUCCCCAUACCUUUUCCAUGCACGUUCAGAAUUUUCCUUUUUUUUAGACCUAGCCCUCAUUUCGUCCACGUACAUGCUAAGUCUUUUCUUUUUCCUUUUCACUUGCCAAAACCACUUUGGUAAUUUUCCCUACAACCGGCUUCAUUCAUCCACCAAUCCGUGUGUCAUUCUCAUUCCUUUCUAAAAAAUUCUGAUCCUUCUUUGUAUCUUCCCCUAAAAACCAUCCUUAUUCAUCCAUUAUUUAUAUUCCGCUUCCACGCCCCGAAUCCACCUUUCCAAAAAACAGUGUGGUCCCUUUCCAUGAGCAUCUUUUGCACACCUUCCCAUUGACUCCACCUACAUGGAAGAAUAACAAGAAAAAAAUUCCAGAAAAGAAAGCAAGAAUCCAUGAAGUCAAAACCAUUCCCGUCAUUCAAAUUCAACAUUCCUUUCAUUAAAAUUUCAAGAAGUCCUUAAAUCCCAAAUAGGAAAAUAUCAAUACAUAGAUAAGAGGAUACAUACCUAAAAAUAAAUAAAUAAAUAAAUAAAUAAAUGUUAGAUAUAUUUAAUAAUAAUAAUAAAAAGAAUUAAACUAAUGCAACAUAUAAUAAUAGUCGAAGUGUCAAACUCAAGCCACCAAUAAUAAUAAUAAUAAUAAUAAUAAUAAUAAUAAUAAUAAUAAUAAUAAUACUAAUAAUAAUAAUAAAAACUCAUUUCAUGCAAUUAUAAAAUAAAAUAAUUAACAAAAAAAAUACAAAUAAUAAUAAUGAUGAAAUAAUAUAAAUAUAUCAAAACUCACUUAAUCCUAAAAGCAAUCAAUAAAAUAAAUAAAUAAAUGAAAACAAAUCUAAGUGAAACUAAACCUUGAAAAGUGUUUAAGUGGGCCUAAGGCAGUGCCUAAUGGGCCAAGUGCGUUUAAUGGGCCUAAGGUGCACUAAGUGAACCUAAGGUGUCUAAAUGGGCCUAGGGUGAUGUCUAAUGGGCCAAGUGUCUAAGUGAGCCUAAGGUGCCUAAGUGGGCCUAAAGUGUCUAAAUGGACCUAGGGCGAUGCCUAAUGGGCCAAGUGUGGUGCCUAAAUGGGCCCAAGGUGCCUAAGGUGGCUAUGUGAGCCUAAGUCUAAAUUAGGGCUGCCAAGAGUCACAACGGGGUUAAAUGAACCCCUCAACCAAAGUCCCCAAGGUGGCUUAGAAAAGAUGGGCUACACGAGUAUUCAUGGGCCACCAGGGAAUUGCUAUAAACGACAUGUGCGAGGAAGACAAAAUAGAGGGUCUACAGGGGUAUUGAUAAACCACGAAGAUCUCAGCGUGUUUCUUGGCCAAAUCAGAAAUAUUUGGAUUGAGUCUUGAGCUGCAACGCUUGGAGAAGAAGUUUGGUUGUGUUAGAGUCUUUCUUUCAGUUGGAGUCCUAUUAUUCUGCUAGUCUGUUAUUUCUGCUUCCAUGAUUUAGUUUCUAUUUGUGCACAACAGUUGUGGCUGUAAGUUUAGGAAGAGUGGUUAGAAAAUAUAUGUAUUUAAACUCUUUCAAUGAAUAAAAAGGAUAUUGAGCAUAUGCUAAAAUCAACAGAAGGCUUUGACCUAUGAGAGAGACCCUAAAGUGGUCAUAUAUCCUUAUGGAUUAGGUCACCGUUAAUGGAGGCUAGUAACAAUAGGUAUUCUUAAUAGAGGCACCAUGAUAUCUCAUGGGAUUGAGACAGUGUGUCCCUUUGGGUGAUCCAAAGGACAUGUGAUUAUGAAAUUUAUGGCCACAACAAUUUCUUUUGUGGAAUUUAACUUAUGCUCCUUAGAGUUGGAGCUAGAGCAUGUUAGUUAAUCAUAUAAUAAGUGGGAUCUAUAACUCAAGGAUUGGAGAUGUAAUCUUGAUCGGUGAUAACACUACCUUGUUAGAUAAUGAACACCAGUUCAUGGGGAGUUUAUAUGCAAUGGAUAAUAGGAUGUCGUGGACCUGAACUUUGUCUCAUUGUUAUGUACAUAUGGUAUUGGAGUGUAGUUGAUUCUCUUUAAUGGAACGUUGAAUCAACUUUAAAAUUGGAUUUUGAUAGAGCAAAUACUCCAAUGGGUCCUAGUGGUUCUCACUUUAAGCUAAUAUACUAUGUGACACAUUUUAUGAGGGUUGGAUUGACUCUAGGUUGAUUCUUGUGCAUAAGAGCAUUUUGGUAAUUACACAAGGUUGCAUAGGGGAUAAUGAACAAGGUAUUUGGUUUGGGCUAAUUGAUCAAUUAGAUGACCCUAUGUAGUUAAUUAAUCAAUUAUGAGCCAUUUUGGGCUAGACUAAGUGACCCAAGCCUUGAUGGGCUUAAGUCACUUAAGCAUAAUCGACAAGCCUAUAAAUACCCCUUUAUAGGUUAGCGUUUCCUAAUGAAUUUCAAUGAGAGUUGUUUUCCACCUCUAGAGAAAGACAGAGAGAAAAUAAUAGCCUCAUCCAUUUUGUUGCCCAUACUUUAGAGUGCCAAGAUUGUGGUUCAAGUCAUCGGGUGGAGGAUCUUAGGUGUACGAGACCUCCUUAGAUGAGAGGCUACAACACUUGGACAUGCGUAGGGCACGUGCACAAGACGUGCAUAGACCAUGUGAAUAGGAAUUGCACGAGACAUGCACAUGGGUAGUAGCAUGAGGAGAGAGACUCUCCAGUUUUUCCAAGUAUGUUCUUCAUCGGAUGGAUUUUGAUCUAGGAACAUCUAAAUCACAUGUUUGAGUUUCAAAUCUCUAGAUCUAUAGUUAUUAAUGGUUUUCAUUGCUAAUUUAUUCCAUUGUGAUAGAUUUACAAAUGCCUAGGGAUAGAUGCAUUCACCCUAUGAGAUCCAAGGCAUAGGAACGAAGUAUUAAUCUAGGGUUCCCAAGUGAUGACAAUAGUAAGAUAUCAAGAUUGAACCUAACACUAAUUAAACAUCUGGUAUUUAGACCUAGGUCAUAUUAAUCUAAAUAGGAUCCAAAGAUUGUAAAGUCUGGACUCUUUGAUUCCGAAAGAUCUUCUAGUUUAUGAAUCCUAUAUAGAUGGUAAAAUGAUCAAGAGGACUAGAGGUAAGGAAUAUUUGGAGUUAGUGCAUACUAAUAUGUAUGGAACUUUUAGUGUCUAUGCAUGGAGAGGGUAUGGGUAUUUCAUCACUUUUAGUAAUGAUUACUUUAGGUUUGGAUAUGUACAUAGGAAAUCUGAUGUCUUGGAUACAUUCAUUGAAUUUAAGGCGAGAUCAAAUAACCUAUUGGGUAUACAUACCAAGUCAUUUCAAUUAUAUCAAGUUGAUAUGUUUGGUAAGUUUGAUUCUUUUUGUUAGAGCAUAAGAUUAUUUUCUAGUUAUGUUCAUCAAGGUCUCUAUUGCAAAAUGAAUAAGUGGAAAGAAGAUAUCAAACUUGGAUGGACAUAGUAAGAUUGUGGAUAGGUUUUUCAUAUUUUCUCAAAUUCUUUUGGGGAUAUGUCUUAUAGAUUGUGUAAUUACUUUUUUUUUUUCCUAAGAGGUGUAUUAGUUUAUAGGAUAUCUAAGAGGAUUUUUGGGUUAUCACCUUUAUAGUCAAUCAUUAAAAGAUAUUUGUUAACAUAAAUGUCCCAUUUUUCAUGAAGAUUAUAUGAUAAGGAAGAAGGCAUAAAGUGAUAUAGAUUGCAGGAUAUAUUAGAAGAUAGUCCCACAUUGCAUAGGAUACUACGGAUCCAAAGGGUUAAAGACAUACCAUUCCUAUGAUUUCUAGUACACCAGUACCUCAUCAUAGUGGGAAGUUUAUAUCCCACAGAUAAUGAUGAAGCGGUGAGCAAUGUUUAUGCUCACUUAAGGCAAGGACGUGUGAUCAUGAAAUCUAUGAGCCCAUAGUAAUUCCUUUAGUGAAAUUUGAGAUAUGCUCUUUGUGAGUUAGAGUAUGUUAUUUAAUCACAAAAUAAGAUGAUCUAUGACUCAAAGAUUGUAGAGGUAGUCUUGAAAGGCUGAUAACUUUCACCUUGUUAGACUAUGAACAACCAAUUCAUGGGAAGGCUGUAUACAAUAGAUAGCAAGUCACGAACUUGAGCACUUGGUGUCUCGCUGUAAUAUACAUAGAGUUCCAAAGUACAAUUAACUCUCUAUAGUAGGAUAUUGGAUUCUAAGGGAUCUAGUAUUGUCCUAUGGGUUCCAUUGGUCUCUACUAAAAGCUCAUCUUCCUUGAUAGCAUGGUUUAUGAGAGUUGGAUGGGUUUUUAGUUCACUUGUGUGCAUAAAGGCAUUUUGGUAAUUGCGCAAGGUUACACAGAGGUAACUGUGCAGUAUCUUGGAACUUGGCUAAUUGAUUAAUUGGAGCCUUAUUUUGUUAAUUAAUCAAUUAGCAACCUUUUUGGGCUAAAUUAAGUGACCCACACCCAUAAUGGGCCCAAGUCACUUAAGCAUAGUAGGAAACCUAUAAAUACCUUUCGCAAGGGUUUGGGUUUCUAAUUCAAUCUUGUCAUUCUCUCCCUAUAGUCCAAAGAGAGAACCCUAGUCUUCAACCUUGAGAUUUCCACCAUCUUAGUGCCUAGACUCAAGAAGGAGUCAUCGAGUGGAUGAUUAUGGGUUUAUAAGAUCUUUCUUAAAUUUGGAGCUUUCUACAUUAACAAGAAUUGAUUUGGGAACAUCCAAAUAAUAUGUAUAACACUUUUCUCUAGAUCUAUGACAUGUUUUUGUUUUUUAAAUACCAAAGUUUUCAACUAUGCUUAGAUCUAGAAAGCAUAAGAUAGGAUUACAUGCACCCUAAUAAUCCAAGGCCUAGGAAUAGAGUGAUCUAAGGUUUCCUAACAAAUAUAACCCAAUAAGUAAGAAUGAUUUAUAGGAACUAAAAUUUCUUUCAAAAAGAAAAGAAGUUUAUUGGAGUAAGAUAGGUAUACAAGAGAAGGAAAAAUGCAAAAUGAGUAGAAAAAUACAAAGCAACAUUGGUGCAAAGGAUUAUAAGCAAGAAUAAUGCACCAAUAAGAUGAGGGUAUUUGGUCUCAUUGCUCUUUUAGUAACUAUGAGAUUAAUAAUCUCUUUAAUAGCUCAAAAUAGUUGAAAAUUUUCAAAUGGAUGUGAAAUCCAAUUUUUUGAAUUGACAUCUUGAAGAAGAAGUGUAUGUAGAACAAACCAUAGUUGGUAUAUAUAUAUAUAUGGGCAUGAGAAUAAAGUUCCAAAAUUGAAAAUAACCUUGUAUGGAAUAAAACAAACACAAAGAGCAUGGAAUAAUAGAAUUGACCAAUAUUUUCACGAUAAUAAUUUUGUUUGAUACCUUUAUGAACAUGCUCUCUGCAUAAAAGUGAAUGAAAAAAGUGAUAUAUUACUUGUUUGUUUGGAUGUGAAUUGUUUGAUCUUUAUUGGAACAAAUCCAAUCAUGUUUAGUGAGUUCAAAGAAGUAAUAGGAUAAAAGUUUGAGAUGAUUGGAUUAGUCUCAUAUCAUACUCUCUUGGCAUAGACUUGAAGCAAAUUGAAAAGAGUACUUUUCAUUUCUCAAGAAGACCAUGCAAAAUAAAUUUUUAGAAAGUUUAACUUGAAUAUGUGUAAUAUGGUAAACACAAUAAUAUAAUGCAAAGCUAAAUUAUCAAAGACAUGUAGAAGGAGAAAAAGUGGAUUCAACAUAACAUAAAAUCUUAGUUGGAACCGUACACUAUUUGACUCAUACAAGUUCAAACAUUCUCUUUGGAGUUGGAUUUGUCCAUCAUUAUAUGGAAGCACUAAUGGUUAUUUACACUAAGACCUCCUAGUGAAUUUUUCACUACAUCAACGACACAUUUGAUUAUGACUUAUAUUAUUCACCUUUAACAAUUUUAGACUUGUUGGAUAUAAUGAUAGUAAUUAAGGUGGAGACUUGGAUGAUAUAGAGAGAACCAAUAGCUUUAUAUUCCUCAUGGGAGAGACACCAUGUUCGCUUGGACUUCAAAGAAGCAACCUAUUGUGAAACUUUCAACCUAUGAAGUGGAAUUUGUGAAAAUGUUUACAAAAUCUCAUAAUCAAAUUGUGAAAAUGUUUACAAAGUCUCUCAAGUUUAAUGAUUUUAGAAUGCUAAGGAUGCUACUUUUACAAAUCAAGUUGAAGGCAUGAGUGAAAAUGUUGACAAAGUUUAAAAUUUUUAGAAAACUAAGGAUGCUAUUUUUACAAACCAAGUUGAAGGGAGGAUGUUAGUUAAACUGGAUUUAGGAAGUUUCUAAAAAAUUAGAAUUUGAGUUAGAUUCUAAAAUGCUUGAUUUAGUUUGUAUAUUUUGUUAUUACAAGAUUUUAUAUUUUACCAUUAUGAGUAUCUAUUUUUUUUUAGGUGUUAAUAUCUAUAAAUAAGAUGUUACGUAAUAGUUGAACAAGAGUGGUGGAAGACAAUAAAUUUUUUCUUAGUCAUCUCAAUUAUUUAAAUAUCUCCCUUUACAUAUGUAAUUACUUGUGUAUUUUUUUCAACCAUAUUACUGCAACAUAUGUGAAUCUGCUGGUUGGUCUAUGAAAAUUUAUAUCAGUUGUUCAACCUGUUAAAUUCUGUUAGGUUUGUGUAACGGUAUUUAGAUCAUAGCAUCUUUCCCUAAGCCCGCAUUUUUCUAAAUAUAUAAUUAAAAUUGUUGUGCUUGCAAUUUUAAUGAAAUCUAGCAUUGGAUACUUAACUACAUCCCACAAAACGACAAAAUCACCUGCCUUUAGCCAAGUUGUGUUUCAACAGUAAAGUAAUUAUCUCAAUCAAAACACAAAAUUCAGUUUUCUAAACAAUUAUUGUUAUUGGAAAACAUGCACGGAACUUAAGCAUCAUAAGGUACUUAAGCAAUCCUAGUUGGACGUUCAGUAUCCAGAUCUUUUCAUUAAUUGGUUUUUCUCUUUUUGUGCCAACAUCUGCUCUCUCUCUCCAGCAUGCAAGCGUAAGUGGUAAGCACCUCUUUUGUGCUUUAAAUUAAUUGGAUACUUGAUCUUAUUCCGCCAUUCUUUUGGGUCUAACCCAAAAAUACAUUUACCAUGCCUUCUUUUCAUGUCCUCAACUUACUCAAAAGCUCAUAAGUCCCAUUGGAUAUGAUGUACUGAGUUUCAGAUUUUUUAAGUAAAAUUAUCAACAUCGUCUAGCAUAUAUACUAAUAAGUUAUACUCUUUUCAACAGUUUAAAUUGUUUUUGUUUAUAGAUUAUAUGGAUGUUUUAACACUCAGAGAAAUUGAAAUGCAGCCAAAUAUGCAGAAAAAAGAAAUGGUUGUGACCAAUAGUUAUAUUUAUUCUCUUUUAUUUCUAUUGAUACUCAAAUUUUUAGGGAUAGAGCGUCAACAAUCCUUGUGAUGAGUUAAUAAUGUUGAGAAAAGUCAAUGACUACACAAUGUAGCUUAAAACCAAAUAUGUCAUCAAAGAAGACAUCAAUAAUCACCCCCACACAAUGAUAUGUUGUAUAAUUCAUUACUUGUAUCAAACACAAAUUUGCUUCAAUGUGUGUCUAUGAAUAAAAGAGAGUUCUUGGUUUACAUUCGAAAUACAUGCUAUAUAGGCCAUGCUAAUAGCAAUUGAUAACAAGAAUCUCAACACUGAAGUCCACGUAGAAUCAGGUGUGCACCAUAUUGGGGUUGCAUAGUUAGGAUACUAAAAGGAGCAUGAGCAUAGGAUGGCGAAAGUUCAAAUGAGAAGUGUUGUAAGAUCAUUGCCAAAGCUAUUUUUGCCUCCAUCAUUGCAAAAUUUUGUCCAAUGCAUACCCGAGGACCCCAACCAAAUGGGAAAAAUGAAACUUGGUUUUUUGUUGCCUUCAAAACUCCUUCUGCAAACCUCUCUGGAUUAAACUCCUUUGCAUCAUCCCCCCAAAUUUCAUGAUCAUGGUGAACUAGGAUGGUGGGCAACACGACCUGCACUCCAGCUGGAAAACACAUGUCUCCCACUUGAGUAUCCUUAUAAACAGCUCUAGCAAGCAUUGCUACUGGUGGGUAUAACCUAAGAACCUCAUGAAAAAUCAUGGUAACCUGUGGUAGAGAAACUUUAGAAGUUGUUGCAUGAGAAUUCUUACUAAAAUACAUUCUAAAUCAUUAUGAAGGACACUGAAGAAUAAAGCAAUUUCUUAAAAUAGUGAUGCAGAAGACAAAAUGUUCUAAAUCAUGCAUGACAAAAUAUCAAGUAUGCAAAGGACAUUGCAUAUCCCAUGGAUAUAAUAACUUAAGAACCUCAUGAAAAAUCAUCAUAAUCUAGCAGAGAAAUUUGAAAUCAUGGCAUGAGAACCCGUUCCUGAGCUACUAAGUGAAAGCAAAUGUUUAGUACAAGAUAUAAAAACUUAAAGAGAAAUGUGUUUUCAAUUUGACUCCAAUUAUGGGGGAAAAAACAAAGUACUAUACGAUUUUAGUGAGAAUCAUUAAACUGAAGAUUGGACUAGUACUCACAAUUUUUAGGUGAUUUAAUCCAGCAGCUUCUGGUUUUUUAUUCCCAAAAACCUGUAAAACCUCUUCUCUUGCACGAGCUUGCCAGUUUGGAUGCUCGCUUAGCAGGACCAUUGUCCAUACAAGCAAAACUGAGGUUGUCUCUUGGCCAGCAAGAUAGAAUAGCUUACACUCUUCAAUGACAUCUUUGACACUCAUUCUAAUCUUCUUGUUAUUUUGAUGUUCUUGAAUUUCUCUAAAAUUGGAUUCCAUUAGUAUACCUAAUAAGUCACUAUUAGCAGUUUCGCCAGCCUUCAUUGCCUUCUCCCUUUUGUUAAUGAUACCCCUCAACAAUGCAUAUACUUCUUUGCUUAUUUGCUUCAUCCUCCUGUUCGUCUUUGUGGGUAAAAACCUGCCUGCAUGUUAGUAAUUCUAGUAAAUAAAACAUCACAUGAAACACAGACAUUAAUUCUUAUUUUCAUCCAUGCCUUCUACUUCUCCAUUAAUUUUUUGAAACUUGUAUAAGGCUUCAAAGGUAGAAGCUAUCAAGACAAUAACUAAUGGUUUCAUCUACACAUGUGUUGCAGUGGUAUCUCAUCAUCUUGACACAAUAUCCUGCAAACAUAAGCUAGAUUGAGGAUACUAAACAUCAAUUAGUGAAACAUACUACUUUCUAAACGUUAUACAAAAGAAGUAAUUGACUAAAAGGGGAUGAAAUGAUCUCAGAGUUGUAAAUCUAAUAUCUCUUAUGCUUGACCUUGAAAAGUAAUCCAUUUUUAACAUAAAUUCUCUUCGAACAUAAAUUCCCUUCAACCUUGUUAACCAAACACACACUUGAGCAUUGUGAAACUUUCAACCUAUGAAGCAAAAUUUAUGUUGGCAUCAUUUGUAGGUCAUGAAAUUUGUUCAAGAAACUUAAUUUACCACACAAGAGACUGAUAAAGAUCUAUAUGGAUAUAAAAUCAACAAUUACAUUAUGAGAAAAAUCUAGUUCUCCAUGAUGGUGUUGAAUUUUGAAUUUUGCCUUAGUAUCUGUUGGAAUUUGAAUUUUGAAGUUAAAUUUUGUAGUUGGAGUCUUGCACAAAAUCUGCAACAUCCAAAUAUUUUCUUGUUUUUAUUUGGUCAAGAUUUGGUUUCUAUUUUAUAGGAACUAAUUGUUCAUCAUCUAGUAGCUUGAUUUUCUGUUAUUCUAAUGUCAUUUUAGUUACAAGCUUAUGUAUAAAUUCAAUACUCUUCAUCAAUAAAAUGUGUGUUCCAGUAGUCCAAAAAUAUAUAUUCUGCAUAAGUGUUUUAAUCUAAGAUCAACAGAUGGAAGCCAGUAUAUUGAUACAAAAUAUCAUUGAUUAGAGAGUACAUUAUGAAAUAUGAAGUGCAAUUAAAAUUUACAAAAUCUCAUGAUCAAAUUGUGAAAACAUUAACCAAGUCCCUCAAGUUUAAAGAUUUUAGAAAGCUAAGGAUGUUAGUUAAACUAGAUUUAGAAAGUUUCUAAAAAUUAGAUUUUGAGUUAGGUUUUAAAAGUUAAUUAAAAUAUUUUAUAGAAAAUUCUUGAUUUAGUUUGUAUAUUUUGUUACUGCAAGAUUUUAUAUUUUACUAUUGUGAGUAUUUUUUUUAGGUGUUAGGUGUUACUAUUGUGAGUAUACAAUAAAUUUUUUUUUAAUCAUCUCAAUUAUUUAUAUAUGUAAUUGCUUGUGUUUUUUCAACCACAUUGCUGCAACAUAGGUGAAUCCGCUGGUUGGUCUAUGAAAAUUCAUAUCAGUUGUUCAACCUUUUAAAUUCUGUAACGUAUGUAGAUUAUAUAGCCUCUUUCCCUAAGCCUGCAUUUUUCUUUCAUUUCAUGGUGUCAACACUUCAGGAAAGCAAAAUUUCCUAAAAUGGAAUAUGGUGUGCAAGGACAAAGAGACUUGUUAGGCAUCUAAACUCUAGGGAAAUGUAAGACUGAUUUGAAACCAAAAUUUGAGCCAACUAAAUCUGCUGAAACACUGCUGCAAAAAGAAAACAAGCCCCAAAUAACUCUUUGAUCUUUUGUACCAAGCAGACUCGUGUCUGAAUAGUUUCAGAAAAAUAAGCUGUAUAUUUCUUGAAAUAUUUUUAUGCAUACCUCCAUCCCGGGAUAUAAACUGACAUUGUAACCUGGAUUGCAAGAUGUGUUUGUUCUUUCUGGAGCUGGAAUAUCCUUCUUCCUUCUUCAUAGCUACUACCAAAUGCUGUCCGAGAAAUCACAUCCCCUGUCAAAUUUUCAAGAUAGGGCCAAACAUCCAACUCACAUGAUCCCCCCACUGAAAGCAUUUUCCAUUUGGUCACCAUGUCGCUACAACUCAAAUGAAAUGCCGGCAACAUAUUCUAUAACAAAUUCAACCACAAAAUAAAUUAAUAAAGACCAAAACAGUCCAGUAUCCAGUUUCAAAUUCAAUAUACAGCCAUUUAUCACUGACCUGCGAAAUAACAAUUUAACUAGUUUAUAAAGCAUGUACUGCUUAAAGUCAUCAUAUGUUAGGAAGAGUCAUAUGGGUGAUGGGUGGAGGAUGAGGAAUAUUCAGUUUUACCAUGGAGGCACUGACUAAAGAAAUCAUAGAAAAAAAAUGUGCAUAUUCAUGAAAAGUUAGAUGUACUGGUAAUGUUAAUGAAAAGUUAGAUGUAUGGGUAAUAAGCAAGCAAGAUAAGAAAGUUGUUAAGAUCUUACUGUCAUAUGUAUCAAGUAUUUUAAACUAGGAACAGACAAUCAAGCAUAUUUUGAUCCUUAUGGUUCAAAUUACCUAUGGUUUACAUUGGUAAAUAAAACUUCUGAAAAUUUCUAUUGGAGACUGGAAAAAGACUUUAGAUGAGUAAGAAAAAAAAACAAGGAAAAGGUAGGACACAUUAGGUAUGUGAAAAUACUUCAUUAAACUGAUUGAAAUAUUUGGGAAUUUCGAUAAUUAUCUUUAUGGUAGCUGAAAAAGGUAUUUUAAAAUAUAUGAUAAUUUUUCAAAUACUAAUAUAAAAUUAUCUUUGGAAGACACAAUUUUAAUGCAGUUUUCAAGUGUUAAAUUUACUUUUUUAAAAAGACAACUUUAUAAAAUUCAGUUCUUUUAACUUUUAAAUGAUAACUUUCAAAUUAGUAUCUAGCAAUCUUUUAAAUGAUAAUUUAAAUGAUAACUUUUAAAUUAUAAAAUAAAUUUUCAACUACCAUAUUUUAGAAGGUUAUAUAUCAAUCUAAGAUACAUGAGAUGAGAAAUGGGUAUUCAUAACCUCCAAAUCUUAUAUAUAUUAUCACUUAAAUUUUUUUUUCCACUGCAUUCACAUGCUCAAUCUCUUUUCCAACAGUGAGAGGGCUAUGCAGAGAAGUUAAACUAGGGAAAAAAUCCAAGUCUGUAAUAUGUCACAAUUGAAGCAGUUUCAAUCAUGGAACUGUUUGUUCACUUUCAGAGUUUGUGAAAAGAUUUAAAAAAAAUACAUGAAAAUAAGGUAAAAUAUUCUGGUUUGGAAGCUGGGCAUUGAAAAUUACCUUCAACUUUUCUAGAUGGAAAGCUGGGUUGAUGAUCUUUCUACGUUUAGCCCAUCGUUCGCCUUCCAAGGUCACCAGACCAGAAACCAGCAACUUGCCAAGUGGGUGUGGGGGUGGCUUUUGAAAGACAUUGGACUUUAACAAAACAUCCCUUAUUAGCUCAGGCUCCAUAAUGUUUACCAUUGGAUUUGGACCGAACCAUGCAAAGAAAUUUUUACGUGCACGUUUAUGCCAUUAUUGGAUAGUGUUAGCCUCAGAUUGCUUUUAGUUUGGACUUCACACAAAUUCAACUUUGGGUAUUAAAAUUCAGUUGAACCCAACUUGGACCAUGAAAACAAUGAAAACUUCAACCAUAGUUUCUAUGCUGAGUUAUUAUAAAUGGACUAAAUCAUUUUUUCAGAAUUGUCUCAAUGUCAAUUGAUAUUAAGGAAUGAACUCUAUUCAUUGUAGCCUUGAGAUUAAAUAAUGAAAUCAGAAGUUAUUCACAGCUCCCAGAAAUUAAACAAUUGAAAACUAAAAACAGUACUUUUCAAAGUGGAAGUAUAUUAAUUUCUUGAUAAAAGAAAUUGCAAUACAGUUAGCAAAGAUUAAGAACUACCACUGAAGUCUAAACCUUUGGUGUAAUUUAAGAAAGAGGAAAAUAAACAAAACAGAAAGGAAAAGAAAAAUAGUUAGGAAGAGAAGAGCAGAUAACAAACAACUGCUUUAGGGCAGUAUAAAAAAGUUGGCCAUAAUUUGUAGAGAUCAGCAAACUUUAAUACUAUGAUGAAAAGUAAUCAGUCAUAUCGGUACCGUAUUUCUUAAUGAAAUGACAAUGGAAGGGCAGGACACGCGGAGCAAUUUCAUCGGAGAGGCUGAUUGGUCUUGAAUAUGCUUCUUUUAACAUCAUGGACAUCUCUUUGAAGUCCCCAUGUAAAAGCCUAUAAGAAUUCCCAGCCAGGCCUUGCUCUCUAAGGCAUCUUUCUAACCUCUUUGGCCUCAACCACACCCAAUUCAGUAGCCUCCAUAAACAGCUUAUGAGCACAGUAAGGAAUCCAAAAGAAAUUGCAACUGAGCUAUGCUUCAUUUCCAGUUUGAGGGACUUCUAUCAGGAGACGUGUGUUAAAUCACUUCAGAGUGAGAGAAUGACUUUAUGCUGCCGAUGUGUAUAAAUUGGCCCCUCUUCUAUUCCCUCGUGCCGGCAAACAUAGAAGAUUUCGUCAAUGCCUAAUGGGGAGAAGAACGUCUAGUAUUUUAAAAUCUAUAAAUUAUCUAUUUUAAUUGUCUCUAUCAAUAUGGAUUUUAAACUUGUCAAUGAAUUAUUAAUUUAUUCUAUUUGAUACAUUUCAAAGUUUGUGCAAUCAUCACUGCUUAUUAAAAACUAUAUAUGCCAUGAAUGUAGAAGGCAAAAUUUGAGCAUACGGAAUAUGGAAUUCUAUUUGAUGGACCAGCUUUCACUUGUGAGUAGAUGGAGCAUGUGGAUGCUCACUUUCAGAGCCUCGAGGGACAGCUCGCAUCCCUCACAUCUUGGCAGAUGUCGCAGGGUGCUUCCAGCUCUACAACUCCAUCUGAUCUGGACUUUUUGAUACUUCAUGUUUUUUUUUUCGUUUUUUCGUUUUUUUUUUGUUUUUUGUUUUUUUUUUUUUUUGUUUUUUUGUGGAUAAGUUUAUUUUGUACACCUAACCAUCUUGGCUCAGUCUAUCAUAUAUUUUGUUUGUCUAGAUGUACUUUUAUUUUCUUAUCUCUUGUAUCCAGAACCUUUUUUACCAGAUAUGUCCAUGUGUUUGCUUUUCUUUUCUCCUUUUCGUAUGCUUACUGCUUUAUCAUGCUCUUUGUCAUUUUUUGCAACAAAAGGGGGAGAUGGAUUGUUGAUUUGAUUGAGUGUUUUGAUAUUCAUAUUUUUUUGACAUCUGUUUCAUGACUUGCAUCCCCUUACUCGUUUACCUGAUUUGAUAAAAUUGAUCAAUUAUCUUUCUUCCCACACACUACUUUACCUGGGUAUGUUGUUUAGUGUGUGCAAGUUAUAGGUACUAGGGUAUUGCUCAUUUUUUGGAUGUGGCUUCUAGUCCUUUGCACGUUAGAUGAUGAAUUGGUUUAGACAAGAGGUAUUGAGAGAUUUGUAAACUCCAUUUGAGAGUAUUGAGGGGUUUAUGCAAUUUGUAUUUUAUCACAAAAUUGCCAAAGGGAGAGAUUGUUCGUACAUUAGGUGAUGUAGUUUAAAAUUGUCAAUUUUGUUCUAUUCAUUUUGGUUUAGGAUCUUUCUAGAUUGUGUCUCACUCCCCAUUGAAGACUCAAGGUUAUUAAUUGAUCAACCAAGAUUACAUAGGUAAGUGUAAAAAGAUUUGGGAAAGGCAAGUUAGUGUUUGGUAUGACAUGGCAUGGAUUGAGUGGUUUGAAAUUGAGCAAAAUGAUUUUCUAACUGGGUUUAAAAAAUGCCUAAAGCGCUCAAGCACUCUAAGAGCAUUUGAGCCCUAGCAACAAAAUUCUCUAGAAUUUUGGAGAUUUGUCUUUCUAUUUUUAAAGGAUUUAUUUUAAGGAACUUUUUAGAAUUAGUCCACUAGGUUCCUAGGCUUAUAUAUACAUUGCCUAAAAAGGUUUUUGGUUUGAUGCUUUUGAGUUUAAAAACCUAGUUUGUCUUCCUUUUUCCAAAAUUCUAAAAGAAACAUUCAUAUUUACUUCUGCCUAGUUGAAAAGGAGAUUUGUAUCCCCCUCAAGUGCUGAAGUGAGAUCCUCUAUGAGCACAUGAGAUGUUGCAUUGUGGACGCAAAACAUAGUGUAGGUGUUAGGUAGUAAGUCUUAGUAGUAGCUUUCAUCAAGUAAAAUUGAGUACAUACCCCAUUAUAUAUGAUGGAGACUUCCUCUAAUGCAUAUCCUAGAAUCGAAAUCAAUUGAUACUAAAUUAACACCCAACCCAUAUUUCAAACAAAAUCUUGCAAUUUCACAUUUUGAGCACCAAUCCAUGAAAAUGGUGUUUUUGGGGAGCAAUUUCAAUUGAUUUAGGAGAGCAGAUUAGAUCUUACCCUUCCCCUCUUGAGACUUGAAACUUAGGAGUAACCUGUUUUCAGAUAGAUUCAAUAUCACUAAUUGAUUAAUUUCUAUGUACAAUAUGUUUUUCUAAAUUUUAAACUCAUUCAAAUUCCAUCCUUUUAAUUCUAUUAGAAUAACGUAAAUCAUAUGGAAGUUAGAUUCUAAAUCUCAAGUCUUCACAUCAUCAAGUAUCAACUAUAAGAACUCAAACUCAACACUUUAGUGGCUCUAAAGAGUCUAUUUUAGUGCAUUUGAGGUAUUUAAAAAUGACAUAAUGCUUGCUUUUUUUUUUUUUUUUGUUAUUAAUGCCUUAGCCAUUUGUUUUUUAUAUUUUUUGUGAGUAUUUUUAGAACUUUAAGGUAUUUUGAAAAUGAAGUAGACUUUGUGGAGGAUUCUCAAAGAAUAAAAUGCCUAAGUAGAGAGCAAAAACAAAUUUUGUACCUUUUAAGUACACAGGAGUCUAUUGUGCAUCUCUCAAGUGUGCCACCAAACUAGAUUGCACACUCCCUCUAGCAAUUUAAGUUGAGCACCUUCCCCAUGAUUCAAAGGUUGCAUACCCCCUCAACAAUUGAACCCAACAAGAGCACUCAAGUUGUGCAUGUCCGUAACAUCUUAAUUGCACUUUUCCCUACCACUACAAUAGCGUAUCCCUAAGGCCACUCACCAUGCACUGUCACACCCCAAAGCCCACUCCAAGGGCAUGAUGAUCUUUUCACACCUAGCUCAAGCCCAAGGGCUCAAAGUGGAAACGACACAAACAUUUGUAUUGUAACUGGAAAUUUACCAAUUACCAAAUUCCUGGAUCAAACUUUUUCAAUUAUGCUUGCAAAUAGGAGAUAUAACAUAUACUUAUUUUCAUAAAAACUUUUGAGUUCAAAAUGCUAAUACAUUCAAACUUUUCUACAAAACUUUCUCAUAUCCAUUUCAAAAAAAUUUCUCAUCAAACCAAAUCAAAUACAUUCAAAAUAUCUUUACUCUGGUUAUCGUAUGACAAAUGGUGCCCAAUUAGGUGGGACUUUGCAAUUGAGUAACUAGUUUCAAAUUUGUUCAAUUUAAGGUGAACAAAACCAAAUGUCAACAAUUAUAACUCAUUGACUAGGGUCAUAAGGUCAACCAUUAUAACCCAUUGACUAAGGUCAUAUAACAUCAACUAUUAUAACCCGUUGACUAAGGCCAAAAAUGUCAACUAUUAUGACCCGUUGACUAAGGCCAUAUAAUCCAGAGUCAAAUACUUUAUUUCAUUAAUUCAAACUUGCAAAACAAAACAUCAUAUCUCCUCAAUUUUUCAUUUUUCAUAAACAAAGAAAAUACUCAAAUAUACUUUCAAUAAAAAACAUAUAUUUGAUCCACGCUUAAAGAUAAAAAUAAUAUUUUUACAGAUUUCAAAAUACAAUAUAAAAAGAAAAUUAUUUUUUUUUACAAAAAUCUGCAUUAAUUUCAUUUACCUUGAAGAAGCACUCAAAAUCUUAAAGUAUUUAGCUUUGAAGAAUUUCCUCCUCACCUAACUUAAUAUCAUACACAAUAUUGAUUAUUGAUUAUUUAUCUAAAUAUAUAAAUUUGACAAUCCUAAAAAUAUUUUAUUUAGUAUUAGGGAUCCUAAUUAAUUUCUCAUGUUAAUAUUAUUACCAUCCAAUAUUAUUUUCAACUUCCUAAACAAUAAUAUAUUUCUCUUUUCUAACUUAUCUAAAUUAAAUCUUUUAAGAAUAUUUGUUUGCAUUAAAAAUUAUUACUAUUAUUUAAAUCUCCUACUAAAACUUAACAAAUACCCCAUGCAAUUCUUUUUUUUUUUCCCAGUAACUCCACACCAACUCCAUUCAUUAUUAUUAUUUCUUUUAUUAUUAUUAUUAUUAUUAUUAUUAUUAUUAUUAUUAUUAUUAUUAAUUUCAAUACCUAACAACACCUUAACCUAUUUCUCUUCCAAGCCAUCAAUGUCCUUUUCUUCCUCAUCGUUUACCAAAAUACUAUUUACUUCCUUUCCUAGGUCAACGUGCAUUAUUAUUAUUAUUAUUAUUAUUAAUUUCAAUACCCAACAACACCUUAACCUAUUUCUCUUCCAAGCCAUCAACAUCCUUUUCUUCCUCAUCGUUUACCAAAAUACUAUUUACUUCCCUUCCUAGGUCAACGUGCAUUAUUAUUAUUAAUUUCAAUACCCAACAACACCUUAACCUAUUUCUCUUCCAAGCCAUCAACGUCUUUUUCUUCCUCAUCAUUUACCAAAAUACUAUUUACUUCCUUUCCUAGGUCAACGUGCUGACCAUUUCUUAGUUCACUACUACAAAAUAAUUUAUGGUGUCACUAUUUAUGGUGCCACUUUUAAAAUAAUGACACCAUAGGGUUUAUAACUAAUAAAGGUGACACAUUAGAUAAAAAAUCUUCAAUUGAGGUGGUUAGAUGAUAUUAGUUUUAUAUUUAUAGUGUCAUUUUUUGGGAAGUGACAUCAUAUAAAAUAAAUUUUUUUAAGUAUUAUAACUUAAUGAGCCCACUUGAGCUCACUUUUAGAAUUAAUAAUGAGAGACCUAGGAGUUUUAAAUAUGAAAAGACCGUUUUACCCUUAUUAAAUUACUUAAUUAAUUAUUAAUUUCUAAAUUAUGAUUUUACCCCUAAAUUGGGUUUAGGGCAUUACAUGCACACUGUUCCCACUCUUGCAAAGGUUGCGCACUUGAGAAAACUCCUUCCAAUGAUUUUACACUCACCAAAGUAAUGCAAGCAUCUAAGCCUUAAGUCAUCAUCUAUACUAUCAAUUCUCCCAUACUGAUUGCAUUGAAAGCCAAGUGCAACCACCAACUCCAAGCUGACAAGUCAAGUUCAAGAAAGAUGGCUAGGUUACUACAUUGACACAUGAUCUGAUCCCCAACAUGGGUAAGAGGCAGUUCUAGGAGAAUAGUUUGAGCAAUAAGAAUGGAUUACCUAAAGGGAAACCCAUCUAUAAAUAGAGGAUUGUCUGGGGGCGCGUGCACACACACACAUAUAAAUAUGUAUGUAUGUAUGGGGAGAAGAAAAGAAAAAAAAAAAAGGAAUGUUGAAGAGCUUGAAUCUUUAAUGGAGAUGAUAUUAACCUUUUUAGGAUUUAGUUAGGAAUUGAUUUUGGUAAUUAAAAUGACAAUUAAUUAUUUGGAUAGGAUUUGUUAGGUAGUUUCCUAUUUCUUUCUAUAUAUUUUCCUUAUUUUUGUAGGUUUCCUACAGAUAUAUAAAUAGAUGACAUUUUCUCUUUUUUCUCUAUGAAUGAAUAUAUGACUAGAUGAUUCGUCCCCAUUGCAGUCAUUCCAUUUGAUUCCGGCUCAGACGGGUGUUAUCAACAAAAUUUAUAAAACCUAAAUCACCUCACACUAGGGUAGCAUAGCUAACAUAGUAUAGUGGCUCUAGGAUCGUCCACACGGAUGGGUUUUCAUCGUAUAGUUGACUUAAAUGAAGGAAAUAAAAUGAUGCUUUUUCUUAUGAAAGUUAGCUUGUAAAGAAAAUUGGAAUUAUGGUUGCAAAGAUUGAUUUUAAGUUAAGCAAAAACAAUAAGUGAAAUUAACUACAAAAAAAAGGGUCUCUUGGAGCUUCAAGUCACUAGGAUCGAGUUUCUUAGGCAAAGGUGGAGAUUCCAGAUCUUCUCCUCGCGUUGGGGAUAAUAACAUAAAGGAUGGUUAUCUUCCGAACCGGUUUUAUAUUUAGCAAUUAAGAUUUGAUCCAAAAGUUUUAUGAGAAAUGGUAAUUGUUUCCCAUUAAUGGCUUCAAACCAAUGUUUUAAAAACUGGACCGGACCGGCCGGUCCAACCGGUUCAACCGUCGACCGGUCACAAUUUCGGUCCGAUCUGCUUAUUGAACCGUUUAAGAUUUAAACCGGCCACGAACCGCCGAAACCGGCGGUUGGACCGGUGACUCGGUCGAACCGGAUGGUUCUAAUCGAACCGAACGGUUCAAUUUGAACCUCCAUUUUAAAGGCUCCCUUGCAUAAAAAAGUUUUGGCAAAUGCCCAUUCUGGGCCUUGUCUCAUCAAGACAAAGCCCAAACCCCACUCAACCAUAUUGUGGGCCUAGUCUUGAGCCCACCCAAUGAGGCAAUGCAUUGGCCUUCAAUGUGGAUAGAAUUUAUAGGCACCCUUGGCAUCCUCAUUUCUCUUUGAAUCCGAUGUGGGAUUCCUAACCAACCAAAUGAAUGAAAAAAAUAAUAACAAGUCCCCCCAGCCAAGAGGAAUUGAACCUUGGACCCCAGAUUCGGGGGGCAUCCAAGGCACCACUCGGCUACACAGCUUUUGUUAGUUAAUAUGCUAAACAAAAUAAUAUAUAUUAGAUUUAAAUUUUUUUUUGUAAUGUUAAAUAAAAAUAAUAUAAUAUUUUUAAAAAUGAUAAAAUUAGUUUAAAUUUUCAUUUUUAAUAUAUUCAUAUUUAAAUAUUUUACAUAUUUCAUUUAACAAAAUUAAAAAUAUUAAUAUGAUUUAAUUUGAUAAUAUUAUUGAUUUUUAAUUUAUUCAUAUAUAUUUUAAAAUUUUUAUAAUUAUUUUUAAUUUUAAUAAUAUAUAAAUUAUAUAUUUAUGACGUCACUGGUUCAAUAGCGGUUCGACCGCCGGUCCGACCAGUGAACCGUGAACCGGUAACUUUUCCGGUUUGAUCACCGGUCCAGUUUUGAAAACAUUGCUUCAAACACUAAAGACUUUCACCUUGAACCACCUUCCAAUGGCUCGUAAAUGAUAACUAAUAGACAUCCAUGGAUCUAGCAAUAAGCAUCCAUGGAAUUCGAAAAGCUUAGCAAGUAUUGGCCAUUCAAGGUGCUUUUAAGGGGUUUAAAACUAAACCUUGAAAUAAAAACCAUUGAUGGUUAAUAACUACUGUCAUUUAAAGCUAGGAUAACUUUCACCUUUGCAUUCAGGUCCUUCACCUAACUUCCAUCAAUCCGAGAAACGUAAAACCUAGCCACUCAUCCCCUAAGAAAUCAUCCUCAGAGGUUGUUUGGCUAGCAAGAAAAGUGAAAACAAAAUGAGAAGGAAAGGCAGAGCAAAAGCUCUAUAUAUUUCUUAGUAUGAGAAUUUACAAGUGUUUUAUGAAAAACAUACAUAAUUUUUCAUCCCUCUGUCUCUCUCCUUAUAUAUAAACUACCUAAAAGAUAUAUAAAAGAAAAUAUCUAGGUUGGUUACAAGGAGAAACUAGGAAAUUACACAAAAUAUCUGAAGAUAAAAAUCUAACGGAGUCAGUGCAUAGGAAGAUUUCGCAUACCAUGCGAAAUUUGGCAUGGUGUGCGAAAUCCUUUGGCUGCCUCAAGUGGUUUCGCAUGGUGUGCGAAAUUUUGCACAGCCAUGCGAAACUGCUUGUUGUUGGAUUUCUUCCUUUGGUUUUCUUCCUUGCAUCUCUGAUUGGCUUGGCAAAGGGCUAUGAAGUGCUCCAAAGCUUGGCUUCUUCAUGUAUUUGAUUUAUCUUGCAUUGCCAUGGAUUUCACCAUAUUCUCCCUUAUUCUUGGCUUGUUUCAAUGAUAAAAAAGCUACCAAAAACAUCAAAACUUGCCAAAAACUGAUUAGUAACCCUUGCUAGGUUCAUUAAUGUGCCAAUUGAGUUAAAAGGUAUUAACUACUACUCAAAAAUGUUUAAAACAGUUAGUUUCAAACUAAAAAAGAGUACUUUUUGAGUAGUAAUCACUCCCCCCAACCGACAUAUUGCUAGUUCCUUAGCAAUAAAGGAGAGAUAAAGAAGAAUAGACAGUAAAAUAAUUUACAACAUCAUGCUAAUCACUCCAAAAAAAUUUCAAGUGGCAUGAUGCAGAUUAUACUCUCUCACUGGAAUAUCAAAGAGGCAAAACCCAACCUUCAACAAGAGUCAUCAAAUCUCCUGCCUAAUUACAAUUUAUAAUGAGUAGGAAUUAUGAAAAUUUAAGCAUUAAAAGAAUUUCCACUCCCAGAGGUCUAAUCCUUAUUUUUCUACAAAAAUCCCAGUGUGUUAAGCUUAUUAGUUUGCAAUUAUAGUAUGUCGAACUAUUCUCUCCCCCAACCUAGUUCUUCCUCAAACUUUAGCAAACUGACCAACCUCCAAUAGGCUAAGAACGCACAUAUUUUAUUUCACAAUAUUUUUUCAUUGUAGGAGUGCAAUGCUAAAGGUAUUGUUUCCUAAAGUGUCCAUGUAACGGGGAUCCAUCGAUGACUCCCAACCAAUCAAAGUUUAGGGCAUCAAGAUUUAAGGAUCUUUUGACCACUAAACUCCUCAGAUUUUUUCCCGGACUUUUGAGAUUGAAAUUCAAUACCCAAGCACCUACAAUAUGUUAAACUCCACCUAUUCACCCUUGUAACGAGCAUUGAGGUCAGUGACUCCCAACCAAUCAAGGCUUAGGGCACCGGGUUUUAAAGACUUUCGCCGUAUACCCCUCAGACCUUGCUCGGGUUUUAAGGCAAGUGAAACACUUUGUUAUUUCUUUUUUUUUUAAAGGCUCAUUGUCCUUUUAUAAGGUGUCCCAACACUAUUAAAACGAGGUCAAAGGUACCAAGUCGAAAUUUUCCUAAGUUCAGGGGGUGAGAUAGUUUUUCAUCUUAUAACCGGAACCUAAUGUGAACAAUGUGUGGUAAGAUUAAAGUGCAAGAAAUAAGAUUGAAUUCCAUAGGAGUUUCAAUACUUCAUCAACUUCAAUAAGCAUAAUACAAACUCUAAGAUUCAAGUAAAAAUGCAAGAACUCAUUUCCUCCCAUUUCAUUUUGAGAAUUUUUCCUUAAUAACCAUGGAAAGUAAAGUGAAAACUUUUAAAAUUAAGCCAAAAAGUAACUAGAUUAACAAAUUAACCUAGCAUUAUUAACAAAACUUCCUUCCUCAACUCUCCCCCCCAACCGAGAUCAACAUUGUCCUCAAUGUGUCAAGAGCAAUUGAAAAUAAAGGGAGGAAGUGGUACCUCCUGUAUCAAAUGGAGCCUGAGUCGUAUAGGAGAAACCACAUGAGUCAAAAAACAAAAGGGUAAUGAGUAGAGGAAAUAGAAAAAUGCUAAGUAUAAUAAAAAACAUGAUGAUCUAUAUAUUAAUAUGAGAAAGUACAAUUUGAGAUAUGAUUCGGUAAUACAUCCAAUCCCAGUUUAUAAAGCAUCAAAACAAGGACAAAUCUCCACUAAUAUAAUAUAUAAAUACAAUAAGAUAAAGAGAUGUCCUAUGAUCAAGUAGUGGGAGCCUCGGGUGGAGAUGAUGCCUGCUCAGGCGUAGUUGUGACUACGGGAGGUUCAUUCUUAGGUGGUGGAAUCCGGACCUCUGCUGGUGUAGUGUCGUCAGUUGGAGCUAUAGGCGCUGAGGAUGCGGGAAGGUCAGGCUGAGGCGGAGGCAGGAGUCCCAUGUGCUGCUGAAUCUGGUGGAGAAUAACAGUCUGUUGGUCUUGAUGGGCACGUAUCUCAGCCAUCUGCUAGAAGAUAGCAAAAUGGGUGGUGGUGAGUGUAUGAAAGGUAUGCACCAGGGCGCGAAACUCCGAAGCCGAUAUGGUGAUCGAAGGCUCGGAUGUAGUCGGCACGACUGGUGGAACAGUAGGAGUUGUAGGUGGAGCAGUAGAAGUAGCCUUAGGUGUGGGCACUAGUGGUGUCGUCUCUGUUGAGAGCUCGCCCUGCUCUAGCCGUGGGUGCACUGGUGGUGCUACCAUGGGAGGGACUCCUGGCGGUACAGAAUAGCCUACCAACUGAUUCCAUUUGUCAAGAGUGGAUCGUUCUCGACAAAGGCGGGGGCGCUCAAGCCGAGGCUCAGUAGGAAAGCCCAAAUACUCUAGGAUCUGGCACAGCAACCUCGGGAAUAGUAGUGGAAUGGUGUCGACCCUUUGAAGCUUCUUCCUAUGGACCUUCUCCUCAAAGUGGAUGAGAGAGGCCAUAAUCAAGUGGUGUGGGCCAAAGUAGAAGCCCUCGGAUAUAUGGAACAAUGCAUCCAAAAUAACUCAUCUCCUCUAUACUGAAUGUUGUAAUGGAAAGAGGUUGGAGCGCAACACCACGUCUAAGAGGAGCAUCCCAAGCAGAAGCUCCUUUCGUAGAAGGACCGAAUCAGUAGAGGUCCCCUUGGAUAAUAUGUGGACCAUGUCCCUGUGAGAUACGAGGGACUACUGGCGGAAAACAGAACGAUCCUCUGGCUCGAACGAAAUAUGUAGAGCCUCUGCAAUCUGUCUGGCCUUGAGUACACCAUAGACUAGUAAAAGUCUAGUGCUACUCUGGGAUAAAAAAACUCAUGUGGAGUCAUGAGGUGCUCAAGGUGAUACCUUUGGAGUAAGGCAUAGGAGUCUUGAAGCUCAAGCUGCUGUCGCAUGACCUUCUGAUCAAAAUAUAGCUCCGAGUGGAAGGGUCGCGCUUUACAAUCUGAGUUGCCCUCAAUGGGCAGUGUUGUGACCAUCGGAUGUCUGAUAAUCGACUUUGGUGACAUGUCAGAAGGUAACUCAGAAUCUGCUGGAGGCUCAGAAGCUUUGGAUGACUCUCUCGGGCUUGAAGUCCUGGCCUUCUUGGCUGGAAGGAGCCGUACUGAACUCUCGGGGCAUGAAGUAGUCGCCCCUAGGGUAGUAGGUGGUCUCCUCAUCUCGUACCUAUGCUGAGGAGCAAGUGAGGAAGGUCCAGUGACUUCUCCACCUUCGGAAGGUGGAAUCCGUGGGGCCUCCGCGGCCUAAGAUGGGGAAUCGCUAGGUACCUGAGCCGAGGAGGCUCUCUGCCUUGUAGUACGUCUUGGUGAAGGGGUGGGAAGGGCUCCUCGGGUUUGUGCCAUGUUAGAAAUGAAAGGCGAGCCUCGAGUAUGUUCUCUGAGGGGGCGCGGAGUGCGUUUCUUCAAAGUGAGAUGCGCGCGAGGCUAGGAAUCGAAUGGAUAGGGGUGAGGUCGCAAGGUGGCAGAGGAAAUUCGCAAUGAUAGGAGUGCUUGUGAAAUGAGGAACUGAAGAAGCUAGGGGUCGGGGGUUUAAAAAGAGAUAGGCAGGUGUCGUUUGGUUUUUGCAGGCAUCUUUUGGUUUUUGCAUAUUGUACGAAAUGGCUUUGGGGCUACGAAAUGGUUUCCCAGACCCCUUAGGGUUUCACACAAUGUGUGAAAUGGGUUUGAAUGUGCGAAAUUUUUUGCAUGGUCUGCGAAAAUUUUGCACAGUGAUCGAAAUGAUUUCGCAAGGAUUGGCUUAUUUUCCCUGGGUGUGCGAAUUUGGUUCGCAGGGUGUGCGAAAUUUUGCACCCCAUGCGAAAUGAGUGAUUGAUUUCGCAUGCCCUGUGAAAAUUUUGCAAGGUGUGCGAAUUGUUUUGAUUACUCUGUUUGAAAUCCUCCUGCAGUCGAUCAUAAAAAAAAUCUAAGUUAAGUCAAACCAAAAUAAAAUUAAAACGAGAAAUCAAAAUAAAAACAAGUAAUAAUACAGGAAAACUCUUAAAUUAGAAAUAAAAUAAAAAGAUAUGGACUCGAUUAGUAUUUAAAAAGACUAAGUCCAUCAAAAAGUUGGUCUUGUCAAGCUUGAUGUGGAUCAAGGAUGAUGAAUUCCUACUUAUCGUGAGAAAAAGGCUCCACAAAGGGCUUGAGACGGUGGCCAUUCACUUUGAAGCUCCUUGUGCUGUUGGAGUUGAGUAGUUCCACUACUCCAUUUGAAUGCACUUGGUGAAUGGUAAAAGACCCUAUCCACCUUGAUUUCAGCUUGCCCGAAAAGAUGUGGAGCUUAGAGUCAUAGAGCAAGACUCUUUGUCCCUUUCAAAAAUCCUUACGGGAAAUCAACUGAUCAUGCCACCUCUUCAAUUUCUCUUUUGCAAUUUUUGAAUUGAUGUAGGCAUCAUUUCUCAAUUCCUCCAUCUCAUUAAGGUUUAAGAACCUCUUUAACCUAGCUCUGCUCAGAUCCAUAUUGAGUUUCUUGAUUACCCACCAAGUUUUGUAUUCCAAUUCCACAGGGAGAUAGCAUGCUUUGCCAUAGACUAGGCAAUAAGGAGACAUCCCGAGAAUGGUCUUGUAAGCUGUUCGAUAUGCCCAUACUGAAUCAAGGAGCUUAAUUGACCAAUCUUUUCUAUUUGUGUUCACCACCUUCAUCAAUAUGUUUUUAAUCUUCCUGUUUGCUAAUUACUCAACUUGCCCACUAAUUUGAGGGUGGUAAGGUGUAGCUACCUUAUGCUUCACCCCAUACUUGGCUAGGAGAGUUUCAAAAGGCUUGUUGCAAAAAUGAGUACCUCCAUCACUAAUUAUUGCUUUGGACACCCCAAAUCUUGAGAAGAUGUUCUCCUUGAGAAACUUGAGAACCACUCUAUGGUCAUUGUGCUUACAUGGGACUACCUUAACCCACUUAGAAACAUAAUCUACUCCCACCAAGAUGUAAGAGUAGCCAAAAUACAUAGGAAAUGGUCCCAUGAAAUCAAUGCCCCAAACGUAAAAAAGAUCAACUAUCAAAAUGGGGUUCAAAGGCAUCAUGUUCUUGUGUGUCAACUUCCCAAGCCUCUGACAUUGAUCACAACUCUUGAACAUGGUGUGGGCAUCUUUGAAAAGUGAUGACCAACAGAAGCCCGAUUGCAACACCCUCAUGGCUGCCUUAUGAGAAGCAAAGUGGCCUCCACAUGCAUUUUCAUGGCAAUGACCGAGGAUCCCCUUUUGCUCUUCUUUAGAAAUGCACUUCCUUAUUAUCUGAUCCGCACAAUACUUGAAUAGAAAUGGAUCUUCCCAAUAGUAGGCCUAAAUUUUUGCAAAGAAGUGCUUCUUAUUUUGUGCUUUCCACUCACUUGGAAUUUCUCCUGUGACUAGGUAGUUAGCAAUGUGAGCGUACCAAGGGGCAACUUCCCCCAACAUAAGAGACUCGUCUGGAAAAUCGUCAUUAAUGGGCAUUCCAUGGGAAUUAUGUGCGAUAGCUAGCCUUGAAAGGUGGUCUGCUACCACAUUCUCCACUCAUUUCUUAUCUUUGAUAUGGAGAUUGAACUCUUGAAGCAAGAGAAUCCAUCUAAUCAGCCUUGCUUUAGCAUCUUGCUUAGUCAAAAGAUACUUCAAAGCAAAGUGAUCAGUGAAAACCACAAUGAAAGACCCCACCAAGUAAGCACAAAACUUAUCCAAGGAAAAAACUACAGUUAACAAUUCUUUCUUGGUAGUUGUGUAGUUUCUUUGCACCUCAUUCAACGUCUUGCUCGUGUAGUAGAUCACAUAGGGUUUUCCAUCUUCUCUUUGCCCAAGAAUAGCUUCUAUAAAAAAGUCACUGGCAUCACACAUUACCUUAAAGGGUAGUUGCCAGUUAGAAGCCCUCACUAUUGGUGCAGUUGUCAAAAAUAGCUUCAAUACUUCAAAACUCUUUUGGCAUCUAUCAUCCCAUAUGAAUUUAGCAUCUUUGACCAAUAGUUCACAAAGAGGCCUUGCAAGCUUAGAGAAAUCCUUGAUAAACCUCCUAUAGAACCUGGCAUGGCCAAGGAUUUGCCUUACUCCUUUGACAUUUGUUGGGGAUGGCUACUUAACAAUGAGUUCAACCUUUGCUUUGUCAACUUCAAUGCCUUUCUUGGAGAUGAUAUGUCCAAGGACAAUCCCUUGGUGUACCAUGAAAUGGCACUUCUCCCAUUUAAGCACUAAGUCUUUCUCAAUGCAUCGGUUCAGAACAACUUCUAAGUUGAUCAAGCAUUCAUCAAAUGUACUUCCAUAUAUGGUGAUAUCAUCCAUAAAGACUUCCAUAAUACCCUCCACCAUAUCAUUGAAAAUGCUUAACAUGCAUCUUUGGAAAGUUACGGGUGCAUUGCAUAAGUUGAAAGGCAUUCUCUUAUAUGCAUAGGUUUCAAAUGGGCACAUGAAAGUGGUAUUUUCUUAGUCUUCAACAUCAAUUUCUAUCUGAAAGUACCCGGAGUAGCCAUCCAAGAAACAAUAGAAAGGAUGCCUAGAGACCCUCUCAAGAACCUGAUCAAUAAAGGGCAACAGGAAAUGGUCUUUCCUUGUCACCGCAUUCAACCUUCUGUAAUCGAUACACACCCUCCAACCUGUAGUGAGGCAUGUAGAGACCUCUUCUCCCUUAUCAUUUUUCACCACCGUGAUCACAGACUUCUUUGGCAUAACUUGACUAGGACUCACCCAUGGGCUAUCUGAUAUGGGGUAAAUAAUACCGGCCUGAAGUAGCUUAAGAACUUCAGCUCGCACCACCUCUUGCAUGUGAGGGUUCAACCUUCUCUGAGGUUGAUGAACUGGCUUAGCUUCAUCCUCCAUGUAAAUGUGAUGAGUGUAGACUAAAGGGCUGAUCCCUUUCAAAUAAGAAAUUUGCCACCCUAUUGCCUUCUUACAUCUUCUAAGGACUUCAAGUAGACAAUCCUCCUGAUGAAUGGUAAGAGUUGAAGAUAUAACAAUAGGGCACUGCUUGUCUUCUUCCAAGUAUGCAUACUUCAACUCUAUGGGUAGUGGCUUAAUAAUAAGCUUUGGGGGUUCCUCCUUAACAGGUCUUUGCGUCUCCUCCUCAUUGAAUAAGGGUAGAAUUUCUUCUCUCCUCCUCCAUGGGAGCAGGGUAGCAAGCAAAUCUGAGGGUUCAAGUAACCCUUCAUCAAGAUCCCCAAAACUCUCAAUCAAAUCUUCUUGCAUUCUUUAAUCACAAUCCUCCUCCACUAAAGUGUCAAUCAUGCACACUUCCUCUAGGCCUUCUUCUUCUUCCGAAUGGAUAUGGUUCUUGUACAAAUGGAAGAUGUUGAGCUCCAAUGUCAUGUUGCUAAAUGUGAGUUGCAUGAAUCCAUUCCUACAAUUGAUGAUUGCAUUUGAUGUAGGUAGGAAUGGUCUUCCAAGUAUGAUAAGAACAUAAUUAGUUCCUAUGACAACUGGAUCCGUAUCAAGAACAACAAAAUCCACUGGAUAGUAGAAUUUGUCAACUUGAACCAAGAUAUCUUCGAUCAUCCUUCUUGGAAUCUUCAGUGAUCUAUCUACCAGAGAUACAGUGAUGGAUGUUGGCUUCAACUCUUUAAGUCCCAACUGCUUGUAGACACAGUAAGGUAGCAAAUUCACACUUGCUCCCAAGUCCAACAAAGCUUUCUCUACACAAGUCCCUCCAAUACUCAAUGAGAUGGUAGGGCAGCCCGGAUAUUUGUACUUCACUGGAGAUUUGCAUUGUAUUAUGGCACUCACUUGCUUAGUCAAGAAGGCUUUCUUGUUCACAUUCAACCCUCUCUUUACAGUGACAAGUCCUUCAAGAAUUUUGCAUAUGUCGGCACUUGUUUGAUCAUGUCUAGGAAAGGGAUAUUGACCUUCACUUGCCUUAACACUUCAAAAAUUUCUGAUGCAUUAUUAGUUCCCUUUUGCCAUGCAAAGCUUAGGGCAAAGGUGGAGGCAUGUGUUUCUUCAUCAUAUCUUCCUUGAUCACAUUCCUAUCGGGUUCUUCAUCCACACUAGACUUAUGGUCAUCUUUCUUUGUACUUUUCUUUUUUCUCUUUCCUUUCAUUUCCUCUCUUUUUUCUUUUUAUGCUACACUCUCUUCAUCAUGCUUUGGCUUGGAUGUGGGUUGAUUAACCUCUUUGAUUCGUGCCCAAUUGGUGUCUCAGCUGAUUUGUGUCCAGCUGGUGCUCCUUGAUUGAGGGAGUAAUCAACAAAAUUUAUAACCUAUAACACCAUAUACUAGGGUAGCAAAGAAAAAGCUACUAUAGUAUAGUGGCUCUAGGAUCGUCCACUGGGAAAGAUUAACAAGCUCUCAAUGAUACCAAUUCCAAGUGAAUUGGCCUUGUUUCAUUUCAAGGUUAGCUUAAGAAGUAAAACACAAACUUUAAUUGGUAAAGGUUUAGACUUAAACUAACUAACAUAACAGAAGUUUGGAAUAAUUUAGGAAGAAAAGCAUUCCCUGGAGAGUUCAGUUCACUGGGGUGGUUCCUCAUGCAAAAGACAUAGCUCCGGUCAGAUGGUUCAUUUCCUCGUGUUAGAGAUUCAACACAUAGUCAAUUCUCUAACCGGUGUUGUACAGAGACUCCUUCAAUUAGAUUUCACUUUAAUUCUCUCACUGAUGCAACUUGCAAUGGUUUAAGCCUCUCACUAAGCCUUAACCAUUCAAGGUGAUCUUUAACCUUGGAUUACCCGUCAAAAGCUCGCAAGAGAUAACUAAUGGAUGUCUCCUUGGAUUCCAAAAGCUUAUCAAGUGUUGGCUAUUCUAGAAAAUCCUACCUUGAAGUCACCUCCCAGAGGCUCGCAAGGGGUAAACUAGUGCAUUUCCAUGGUUGGAAAUCACUUGCCUUACCAAGUGUUAGCCCAGGUGACUCUAAGGUGUUUUAAGUUAACUAAAAACAUAGAAAUCAUUAAAGGAUUUCACUUCCUCUUCAUUAAUAGCUAAAACCACAGAGCUUUGCAUUCUUGCACUUGGAACCUUCCCCGGCAACCUUAGCUCCAAGGAACUACAGGUUUAGUUACUCAUUCUCUGGGGAAAACUCCUCAGAGAGUUCAUAACUUAGUAAGAAAAUGAAAAUACAAAGUGAGAAGGUAAGGUAGUAGAAAGAAAAUAAACUUACUUUCUUACCCAAAAUUUUACAGAAGGAACUCCUCCCUGAGAACAGGCUCCCGAGAGGUAUAUAUAUGUACAUAAUAUAAAACUAAUUAUUACAUAGAUAUUUAGUCUUUUUACUAACUUAAAAGCUAAGGAAUCAUGUAAUUGGUGGUUUACAAGGAGUAUUUUGGGAUUUAGACAACAAAAAUCUAAUGGAAAAUAUCUCCCAAUGUCGGUAGAAAAUAUCGGGAGGCUUCAGGAACCAUUUUGCAGGAGAAAAAUGGUGUCUGCGAGAUUUCGCAGACACUCAAGAGGGUUGCGAAAUAAUUUCGCAAUACCAAGCUAUCUUCACAGGGCUACGAAGAUGGCUUCCACCUUGAGGCUCCCAGCUUCCUUCUCGCGGCAUAAAUCGGGCAUCGUCAGAAGGAGAAACAUUACACUGUUCAAAAAGGCUGCGAAAUCACUUCGCAACAAAAGGGUGAUUUUGCAACACUUUGCAAAAUGCUUCCUUCAACUCGGAGUGAUUGGCUUGUAAUGGCUACAACUUCUUCGUUUCAACUCCGAAUUGCACACCGUUUGAAGCAUUGUAUUUUUGACUUCCUGAGCUUUGAAAUGGUAUAUAGCAUGCAUCAUUUGGACUUCAGAAAGUGCUCCAAAAGUGGCUUCUACGACUGUCAUCAAGAAUAUGCUUUAUGGCAGAUUCUCUUUGCUUUUUCUCCUUGCAAUCCGGAUUUACUCUUGGCAAAUGACUUCUAAGCUUUGCCCAAGAUUCCUCAUAGCUCUCCUCAGUCUGGACUUGCUUUGGUAAUCAAAAUACUAACAAAAACAUCAAAACUUACACAAAGUGAUCAAAAUUGCUUUCAAGGGUCCUUAACAUGCCAAUUGAGUUAAAAGGCCAAAACUACUACUCAAAAGUGUUUAAAAGGAUUAAUUAUAAGCUAUCAAAUAGCACUUUUUGAGUAGUAAUCACUCCCACCAACCGACAUAUUGCUAGUCCCUUAGCAAUAUAGGAGAGAAAAAUUGAAAAUAAAAAGCAGACUAAUCUAAAAUUUACAACAUCAUGCUGAAAGAAAGUUAUUCUCAAGUGGCAUGAUGAUCUAAUUCUCACAUGAAGCAUUAAAGAAAUACAAACCCAAAUCUCAACAAGAGUCAUAACAAACUAUGCUAAACACUGUCAAUCAAGGGAGUGCAUUAUGCAAACUGAAGUUUUAAAAUCAUUUCCACUUUCUAAGAACCAAACUUUAAUCUUCCACAAAAAUCUAUGUGUAUUGGUUCCUUAGCUUCCGAGAAUAAUAUGUUAAACUAAUCUCUCCCCCCAACCUAUCUCUUUUCAACACUUAGCAAACUGACCAAAAUCAAUAAGAAAAGAACACACCUUCUCUUUUUUUUUUUUUUUUUUUUUUUUUUUUUUUUUUUUAAGGUAGCUUUAUGGGGUACUCUUUCUGACUUGUCCAUGUAAUGGGGGUCCAUCAAUGACUCCCAACCAAUUAAGGUUUAGGGCACCAAGCUUUAAGGAUCUUUCAACCACUAACUCCUCGGAUUUUUCCCCGGACUUUUAAGAAUGAAUUUCUAAUACCCAAGCAUCUACCAUAUGCUAACUCUACCUAUUCACCCUUGUAACGAGCAUUGAGGUCGAUGACUCCUAACCAAUUAAGGCUUAGGGCACCAGGCUUUAAAGGCUUUCACCAUAUACCCCUCAGACCUUGCUCGGGUUUCAAGGCAAGCAAACAACUUUCUUUAUUUCAAAGGCUCAUUAGCCUUUUGCAGGGUGUUUCAAUUUUAUCAAAUGAGGUCAAAUGUACCAAGUCCCAAAAUUAUCCUAAGUCAAGAGGGAAAUAGCUUUUCAUCUUAUAAUCGGAAUCUAAUGUGCACAGUGUGUGAAUAGCUUAAAAUGGAAGAACUAAAUUCAAUUUCACUAGAAGCUUCAACAAUUGAACCACUUUAGUGAGCAUAAUCCAUACUCUAAGUUAAGUGAAAAACAACAGUUCAAUUUCUCUUGGUUUAAUUUGAAAAUUUUUCCUCAAAAUUCAUGGAGAAUAGAGUAACAAGAGUAAAAAGUAAAAACUACAACUAAUUAACCAAUAUAAUUGUAUUAUAAAAAAGAUUUAGCAUACUUCCUUCCUCAUUCCCCCCAACCGAACUGAGCAUUGUCCUCAAUGUGAUAUGAGUGACUGUAUUUAAAGAGAGGAAGUGGUACCUCCUUGCUGAUAUCAAAUUCGAAUAUUGAUUGGGGAAAACCACAUGUUUCAAAAAGAAUAGAAUAUGUGAGAAAAGGAAAUAAGAAUAACUUAAUGCUAACUGUUAACAAGAAAUAUUCAACUUGUAUUACUUUCAAUUCAUUCGAGUACAAUAUAAAAGACAAGUAACGCAAGUAAUCCCAAAUAUAGUACCAAAAUACUGGGAUUUCUUUUCAACUAAAAAAAAACAAAUACAUAAAAAUAUUAGAUAUAUAUAAUAGUUUGAUGAGUGGGGUGGUGGUGCUAGGCAGAUGGGUCUGCCUUUUCAGUAGGUGCAUCAGCUGGGGCUUGGGGCUCUGGAGGAUGAGACUCUGAAGGAUGAGAGUGUGGCUCUGCUGGUGUAUCAGUGGAGGGCUCUACAGCUUGUGGCAGAUCGAAAUGGACUUGGAGCUGCCUUAAGAUGGCAGCUUGUUGAGCCUGAGUGGCCAACAUCUGCUCUUGGCAUGCUCUGAUGGCUACCAUCUCCUGAGCAAGACUGCUCUAAGAAGCUGUAAGAGUCUCCAAUGCAUGACAUAACUCUCUAUAUUUAGAUAUAGGAAUGGCCAUCCUCGGCUCAGCUGAUGUGGAUGGCUGAGAUGAAGCUGAUGUAGCUGGUGGAGCUCUAGGAAUGGCAGGAGCAGCAACUGUUAUACCCUCAGGUAUAUGUCUUGGGGAUGCUCUCCUUGUAGCUGGCUGAGGCUGCUCAGGCUGAUCAACUUUGUAGGCCGUCAUAUUGUUCCAUUUAUCAAGAGUGAAUGGCUCACGGCAAAUUCGCUUUUUCUCCAGCUGAGGCUUAGAAGGGUAUCCCAGAUGCUCCAAAAUUUGGCAUAGCAGCUUUGGAAAGAGGAGUGGAAUGCAAUCAGCUCUCUGAAGCUUCUUUUUGUGAACCUUCUCUUCAAAAUAGAGAAGGGCUGCCAUGAUCAGAUGAUGAGGCCCAAAGAAAAAUCCUUCUGACAUCUUGUAAAGAGCUUCCAGGAGGACUCCCCUUCUUUGGGUCCAAUGCUGCAAUGGAUAGAUAUUAUGACACAAAAAGGCAUCAAUCAAAAACAUAACUGGAGGAAGCUCCCCCCUCAGCAGAUGUGAUCGAUUUGCAGCUCCUCUGGAAAGGGUGCGCACCAUCUCCAGCUCAGUAGGAUUUGCCCAAGCUCUAAAAUUAUCGAAUUGGGUUGGCUCAAAGGGAAUUUGCAGGGCUUCAGCAAUAUGUCGUGCUCCCAAUAUGCCAUGUCUCCCAUCGAUAGUGAAAUGAAUCAAGGUUGGAUUCCUAACCUCUUUGGUUGUCAUGGAUUGAUAGAAAUAUGUGGCUAUCCGGGGAUAGAAAAAGUCUCUUGGAGUCAGCAAGUGCUCCAUGUGAUACCUCCUCAGCAGCUGGAAUGAUUGGGCAAGCUCCGACCUCACUCUGAAUGCCGGUAAGUCGAAGCAUAGCUCGGAAUGGAAUGGCCGUGUUCUACAAUCCAAGUUUCCCUCAAUUGGGGGCUGAGGUAGCAUUGGCCUCCGGAUUACUUCUUCCAGAGCUAUUUCGGAUGGAAUUUGGGGCUCAGGAAGUGGCGUUGGAGGCUCCUGAGAUUUUUCUUGCAGCGCCGGAGAUGGUACCGGCGACGGAACUGGCAUGGGAAUCGGCGAGGGAACUGGAGACGACACUGGAGUUGGAACCGGUGAUGGAAUUGGUGAAGGCUCUAGAGAUUGCUCAGUCAAAUCGAUGGGUUUUGAGCUCUCCACCCUGGGCUUCUUUUGCAGCGGCCGACCUCCUGACCUGGUAAGGUAUCGUUUUGCCGGAGGCUUUGGUGGCGCUGGCUUCACCGGGGGAGGAAUUGCUUUCGGCUGCGAAGGCUCUGGAGCAGAAUCUGGAACUGGCUCCUUUCGCAGACUCUUCUUGCGAUUCGAAGGAGAUGAAGAUUUAGCCCCUCGUGUUCGCGCCAUUUCAGGAUACCGAACUUUGGUCGACGUUGCUAAUCGGAGGAGAUGACUGGAGGCUUGGACGGCGUGGCUCACUGAAGAAGACGAACCGCUUGCGAGAAUGGCGCUCUAAUUUUUGAAACCCUUUUCGCAGCUCAAAUGACCGGUAUAAAUAGGAAAAACGGAAGCCUAAGGGUCAGUUUAAGUUUCGCAACAAAACGCCAAUUUCGCAGCAAAAUGCCAUUUUCACAGCAACUUCGCAGUGCGUUUCGCAGCUGCGAAAUGAGAGUUCCUGUGUUGCGAAGUGGCACUCGUGUGCCAAAACCACUUUCGCAAUUGCGAAAUACCCUGCGGAAUGGGACUUUUGGUGCGAAAUCACGCUUUUCCACUUCGCAAUGCGUUUCGCAGCUGCCAAAUGGAUGCUACUGUACUGCGAAGUGGCACUCGUGUGCCAAAUUUGCUUUCGCAGCUGCAAAAUACCCUCACAGAGACUUCUACAGUGUUGCGGAAUGGUUUGGCAACAAAAUGGUCAUUUCGCAGAAGCUUUCUUUAGAUCUUCCACCUGGGAUCAUUUAAAACGAUUAAAACACACCUAAAAACAUGAUUUAAGAUAAAAAACUAAGAUCAAAAGUAUGGAAACAACUUGAAAAUUUACAAAAUUUACAAAAAUUUUGGACUGUGGUAAACCAUGUCCAGCAAACCCUUUUUUGCUUAGGUUUUUUGAGGCUCAAGGAGGUUGAUCUCCUCCUUUUCUGGUUUGAAUGGCUCCAUGAAUGGCUUGAGACGAUAUCCAUUGACUUUGAAGCUAUCCUUGCCAUUGGAAUUCAAUAAUUCCACCACUCCAUUGGAAUAUACUCGGUGAAUAAUGAACGGGCCUAUCCACCUUGACUUGAGCUUCCCAGGAAAGAUAUGGAGUCUUGUGUCAUACAGUAAAACUCUUUGCCCUUCCUGAAAUUCCUUGUUGGAGAUGAGUUGAUCAUGCCACUUCUUCAUCCUCUGUUUUGCAACUUUGGAAUUGAUAUAAGCAUUAUUUCUUAAUUCCUCCAUCUCAUUAAGGUCUAGAUAUCUCUUUUCUCCUGCCUUGAUCAAGUCCAUAUUCAGCUUCUUUAUUGCCCACCAAGCUUUGUAUUCAACUUCCACAGGGAGAUGGCAUGCUUUGCCAUAGACAAGACGAUAGGGAGACAUGCCAAGAAUAGUCUUAUAAGUUGUUCUAUAUGCCCACAAUGAAUCAUGAAGCCUAAUAGACCAAUCCUUUCUGUUGGAAUUCACCACUUUCAUCAAGAUGUUCUUUAUUUCCCUGUUAGCUAGCUCAACUUGCCCGGAAGUUUGAGGAUGAUAAGGUGUGGCCACCUUAUGCUUCACUCCAUACUUGGAUAAUAGAGCUUCAAAAGGUUUGUUGCAAAAAUGAGCACCUCCAUCACUGAUUAUGGCUUUGGGCACCCCAAAUCUUGAGAAUAUGUUCUCUUUAAGAAACUUGAGAACCACCCUGUGAUCAUUUUGUUUACAGGGGAUUGCCUCAACCCACUUAGAAACAUAAUCCACCCCCACCAAGAUGUAAGAAUUACCAAAAGACAUUGGGAAAGGUCCCAUGAAGUCAAUGCCCCAAACAUCAAAUAACUCAACUAUUAGAAUGGGGUUCAUAGGCGUUUGAUUUCUUUUUGUUAGCUUUCCAAGCCUUUGGCAUCUGUCACAACUCCUACACAUGAUGUGGGCAUCCUUAAAAAGAGAUGGCCAAGUAAACCCUGAUUGCAACACCUUCAUGGCUGUUUUCUGAGAGGCAAAGUGGCCUCCACAUGCAUUCUCAUGACAAUGAGAUAGAAUCCCUUGCUGCUCAUCUUCAGGGACACACUUCCUAAUAAUCUGAUUUGCACAAUACUUAAAGAGAAAGGGCUCUUCCCAAUAAUAAGAAUGAAUUUUGGCAAAGAAGUGCUUCCUAUCCUGUGCAUUCCACUCACUUGGAAUUUCACUAGUUACUAAAUAAUUAGCAAUAUGAGCAUACCAAGGAGUUUUCACUAGGAACAUGAGUGAUUCUUCAGGAAAAUCAUCAUUAAUAGGCAAGGGAUGGGAAUUAUGUGCUAUAACUAACCUUGAAAGGUGGUCAGCUACCACAUUCUCCACUCCUUUCUUAUCUUUGAUUUGAAGAUCGAAUUCUUGUAACAAAAGAAUCCAUCUAAUCAACCUUGCUUUUGCAUCUUGCUUUGUCAAUAAAUACUUCAAGGCUGAAUGGUCAGUAAAGACAAUGAUGAAAGACCCCACUAAAUAAGCACGAAAUUUGUCCAAAGCAAAUACCACAGCUAACAAUUAUUUCUCUGUAGUUGUGUAGUUCCUUUGAGCUUCAUUUAGUGUUUUACUUGCAUAGUAAAUCACAUAGGGCUUCCCAUCUUCUCUUUGGCCAAGCACAGCUCCUAUAGCAAAGUCACUGGCAUCACACAUCAGUUCAAAAGGUAAUUGCCAGUUAGGGGCUCUCACUAUUGGAGUUGUUGUUAAAAAUUUCUUCAGUUGAUCAAAGCUAUGCUGACACCUUUCAUCCCAUAUAAACUUAGCAUCCUUAGCUAACAGCUCACAAAGAGGUUUUGAAAGACUUGAAAAACCUUUUAUAAACCUCCUAUAGAACCCUGCAUGGCCAAGGAACUGCCUUACUCCUUUUACAGUUGUUGGAGAUGGUAAUUUGACAAUAAGCUCCACCUUUGCUUUAUCAACUUCAAUGCCUUUUUCAGAGAUGAUAUGGCCAAGGACAAUUCCUUGACGUACCAUAAAAUGGCAUUUCUCCCAGUUGAGCACCAGAUUUUUUUCAAUGCAUCUAUGAAGAACUGCUUCCAAAUUAACCAAGCAUUCCUAAAAUGUACCUCCAUAUACGGUGAUGUCAUCCAUGAAAACCUCCAUAAUUCACUCCACCAUAUCACUGAAAAUACUCAACAUACAUCUUUGAAAUGUAGUAGGUGCAUUGCAUAAACCAAAAGGCAUUCUCCUGUAAGCAUAUGUUCCAAAUGGACAUGUAAAAGUGGUCUUUUCCUGAUCUGCCAAAUCAAUUUCAAUUUGAAAAUACCCUGAAUACCCAUCCAAGAAACAAUAAAAUGGAUGUCCAAAGACUCUCUCCAGCACUUGGUCAAUAAAUGGCAAUGGAAAAUGAUCUUUCCUGGUUACAGCAUUCAGCUUUCUAUAAUCAAUACACACCCUCCAACCUGAAGUGAGGCGUGUAGUAACUUCUUUUCCUUUUUCAUUUUGAACCACUGUGAUCCCUGACUUCUUUGGUACCACUUGAGUAGGACUCACCCAAGGGCUAUCAGAUAUAGGGUAAAUGAUUCCUGCUUGAAGUAGCUUCAGCACUUCAGCUCGCACCACCUCUUGUAGAUGAGGAUUCAACCUUCUUUGAAAUUGACGAAUUGGCUUUGCUUCCUCCUCCAUAUAUAUAUGAUGAGUACAAACUAAAGGACUAAUGCCUUUCAAGUCAGAUAUUUGCCAUCCUAUUGCCUUCUUUCACCUCUUGAGAACUUCCAUUAAACAAUUCUCUUGAUGACUGGUCAGAGAUGAAGAUAUCACAACAGGACAUUGAUUAUUUUCUUCAAGAUAUGUAUAUUUCAGCUCCUAAGGUAAAGGCUUCAGAUUGAGUUUUGGAAUUUCUUUUUCAACAGCUGCCUCCUCUUCUUUAUUGAACAAAGGUAGAAUUUCUUCUAUCUUUCUCCAACUUUGUAGAGUAGCAAGCCCAAUAGGAGAUUCAUACAAACCUUCCUCAAAAUUCACAAGACUUUUAUUCAACUUGUCUUGCAUAUUUUGAUUACAGUGUUCCUCCACCAAAGUAUCAAUAAUGCACAGCUCUUUUGGACCCUCUUCUUCUUCCGGAGUGAUUUGCUUUUUAGACAUAUAGAAAUAUUGAGAUCCAGUGUCAUGUUACCAAAAGUGAGUUGCAUAAGCCCAUUCCUGCAGUUGAUGAUUGCAUUUGAAGUAGCAAGAAAUGGCUUUCCAAGGAUGAUAGGAACUAAAUUAGCUUUCUUUACGGUAGGAUCUGUAUCAAGAACAAUAAAAUCUACUGGAUAGUAGAAAUUAUCCACUUGAACCAAUACAUCCUCAAUUACCCCUCUUGGAAUUUUCACUGAUCUAUCUACCAGAGAUAGAGUGAUUGUUGUUGGCUUCAACUCUCCAAGUCCCAAUUGCUUGUAGACGGAAUAUGGAAGCAAAUUCACACUUGCUCCCAAAUCUAGCAAGGCUUUCUCCACUACCUUUCCUCCAAUCAUGACUGAAAUGGUAGGACUUCCAGGGUCUUUGUACUUCAAAGGGGACUUACAUUGUAAGAUUGCACUUACUUGCUCAGUCAAGAAGGCUAUCUUGUUUACAGUCAACCCUCUCUUGAUAGUACACAAGUCCUUUAGGAAUUUUGCAUACGUUGGAACUUGUUUGAUCAUAUCCAGCAGUGGAAUAUUGACUUUUACUUGUCUCAAUACUUCAAGGAUUUCAGCUGCAUUUCUAACCCCCUUUUUCCCAUGUAAUGCUUGAGGAAAAGGUGGAGAGGUUGAUUUCUUCAGCAUUUCUUUCUUCAUAAGUUCCUUCUCUGGAAUUACAUUCAUUGUUGAAUCAGAGUCCUUUUCUUCACUGAUCUCACUGUCUUUAUCUUCCAUUUCCUUCCCUUUCUUUAUCUCUUCUUCUUUCUCAACAUGUGGCUUGCGUGUUGGCUGCUCAAUUUUUUUACCACUCCUUAGAGUGAUCAAGGCUUUGACAUCUUUCAUCUGUGAUGAUUCUCCCUCUUGGCUUUCCAGUUCAUGGACACCUUUGGGAUUUUGGUGAGGUUGAGAAGGAAAUCUUCCCUUUUCUUUCAGUGUAUUCAAAUUUGUAAGCCUUGAAAUUGAAUAUUGGAUGUUAUCAAACUUUUAGUUCAUAUCAUUUUGCAUUCCAUCCAUCCUUUUAUUCAACAUACUCUCCAUUCUAUCCAUUCUUUGAUCGACUCGAGCAUUGGUGGCGUCUUGCUUUCCAAAAAAAUCUCCCACUACCUUAGUGAGAUUGGCUACUGCUUGUUCAAUACUUGAAGAUUGUUGAGAUGGUGGAUCCGGCUGUUGGUACUGAGUUGCUCUGGCCUUCCAUGAGAAAUUUGGAUGAUUCCUCCAACUUGAGUUGUAGGUAUUUCCAUAAGGCGCAUUGUUAUUGGGCCUGAAUUGUCCAACAACAUUUGCUUGAUCUCUAUACAUUUCCUUUUCAGCUGAAAUUGCAGGGCAUUCCUCCACCAAAUGUUCAUAUGAUUGACAAUUGGGACACAACUUCACUUGCACUGGUGCUUCAGCAACAGCUUGCACUUCAUGUAUUCUUUUCAGCUCCAGCUCCUCCAAUCUUCUUGUCAUAGCUGCCAACUUUGCUUUCAUAUCAUCAUCUUCUUUUAAGGUAUACAUCCCAGCCUUUGCAUUGUAAGCAUUCAACUGAGACUUCAUCUUUCCCACUUCUCCUUUAGUUGGUUCAUCCCAUCCCCUUGAAACAUCAGCUACAUAGUUCAAGAAAUCCAUAGCUUCCUCUGGAUUUUUGCUCAUGAAAUCUCCUCCACACAUUGUCUCGAGGAGUUGCUUCAUUGAGGAGGACAUACCAUCAUAAAAAUAGCUCACCAAUAGCCAAGUAUCAAAGCCAUGGUGAGGGCAAGCAUUUAUAGCUUCCAUGUAUCUCUCCCAACACUCAUAGAAUUUCUCAUUCUCUUUAGCUGAGAAGUUUGAAAUUUGCCUUUUCAAGCCAUUUGUUCUAUGAGUAGGAAAAAAUUUCUUGAGGAAUUCAGCUUGUAAAUCAGUCCAAGAACGGAUACUCCUUGGCCUUAAAGAAUUAAGCCAAAUUUUGGCCUUAUCCUUUAAAGUAAAAGGAAAUAACUUAAGCCUCAUCAAAUCAAUUGAAGCUCCUCCCUCUUGAAAUGUAUUACAAACAUCUUCAAAUUCCUUGAUGUGUGCAUACAGAUUCUCACUUUCCAUCCCAUGGAAAGUUGGUAGAAGUGGAACAAGAUACGGUCUGAUCACUAGCUGCUCUGUAGGGGGCACUAUACAUGAUGGUGCACUCAUACGAGGUGGAUGCAUGCAGUCCCUCAUUGAUCUGAAUUCAUUGAGAUUAUCUUGACGACCUUGGUGACUAUGCUGAUCUUCAGGUGUAGCUUCCAUGAUAUUCAAGAUCACUUCGAAUUCUUUUCUCUGAGGUGUAUCACACUUAACAAGCCUUCCUCCACUAUCUCGUAUCCACUUUGGCAUACACAACUAGUAUCUAUCUGCAACUAAAAAUGAAAACAAAAGACAACAAAAGAAACAGGGCUACAACAAUAAAAUUAAACUAGGCUAAAUUUUAAAAGAUAAACUUAGAUUAUGAAUAAAUAAAGAAAGAAUGAGAAUUAGUAAAGUGAAAGAAACUUUACCAACUUGUGAUGAAAAUCACAAGUGCUCAAAAAUGGUAUCAAUAUAAACUUGACAUAUUCCCCGGCAACGGCGUCAUUUGAUUCGUCCCUAGCAGCGGCAGUGGCAAUGGCACCAUUUGAUUCGGGGUUCGAUCCCCGGCAACGGCGCCAUUUGAUUCGUGCCCAAUUGGUAUCUCAGCUGAUUUGUGUCCAGCUGGUGCUCCUUGAUUGAGGGAGUAAUCAACAAAAUUUAUAACCUAUAACACCAUAUACUAGGGUAGCAAAGAAAAAGCUACUAUAGUAUAGUGGCUCUAGGAUCGUCCACUGGGAAAGAUUAACAAGCUCUCAUUGAUACCAAUUCCAAGUGAAUUGGCCUUGUUUCAUUUCAAGGUUAGCUUAAGAAGUAAAACACAAACUUUAAUUGGUAAAGGUUUAGACUUAAACUAACUAACAUAACAGAAGUUUGGAAUAAUUUAGGAAGAANNNNNNNNNNNNNNNNNNNNNNNNNNNNNNNNNNNNNNNNNNNNNNNNNNNNNNNNNNNNNNNNNNNNNNNNNNNNNNNNNNNNNNNNNNNNNNNNNNNNUUGAUUCGGGGUUCGAUCCCCGGCAACGGCGCCAUUUGAUUCGUGCCCAAUUGGUAUCUCAGCUGAUUUGUGUCCAGCUGGUGCUCCUUGAUUGAGGGAGUAAUCAACAAAAUUUAUAACCUAUAACACCAUAUACUAGGGUAGCAAAGAAAAAGCUACUAUAGUAUAGUGGCUCUAGGAUCGUCCACUGGGAAAGAUUAACAAGCUCUCAUUGAUACCAAUUCCAAGUGAAUUGGCCUUGUUUCAUUUCAAGGUUAGCUUAAGAAGUAAAACACAAACUUUAAUUGGUAAAGGUUUAGACUUAAACUAACUAACAUAACAGAAGUUUGGAAUAAUUUAGGAAGAAAAGCAUUCCCUGGAGAGUUAGGUUCACUGGGGUGGUUCCUCAUGCAAAAGACAUAGCUCCGGUCAGAUGAUUCAUUUCCUCGUGUUAGAGAUUCAACAUAUAGUCAAUUCUCUAACCGGUGUUGUACAGAGACUCCUUCAAUUAGAUUUCACUUUAAUUCUCUCACUGAUGCAACUUGCAAUGGUUUAAGCCUCUCACUAAGCCUUAACCAUUCAAGGUGAUCUUUAACCUUGGAUUACCCGUCAAAAGCUCGCAAGAGAUAACUAAUGGAUGUCUCCUUGGAUUCCAAAAGCUUAUCAAGUGUUGGCUAUUCUAGAAAAUCCUACCUUGAAGUCACCUCCCAGAGGCUCGCAAGGGGUAAACUAGUGCAUUUCCAUGGUUGGAAAUCACUUGCCUUACCAAGUGUUGGCCCAGGUGACUCUAAGGUGUUUUAAGUUAACUAAAAACAUAGAAAUCAUUAAAGGAUUUCACUUCCUCUUCAUUAAUAGCUAAAACCACAGAGCUUUGCAUUCUUGCACUUGGAACAUUCCCCGGCAACCUUAGCUCCAAGGAACUAGAGGUUUAAUUACUCAUUCUAUGGGGAAAACUCCCCAGAGAGUUCAUAACUUAGUAAGAAAAUGAAAAUACAAAGUGAGAAGGUAAGGCAGUAGAAAGAAAAUAAACUUUACUUGCUUACCCAAACUUUUACAGAAGGAACUCCUCCCUGAGAACAGGCUCCCGAGAGGUAUAUAUAUGUACAUAAUAUAAAACUAAUUAUUACAUAGAUAUUUAGUCUUUUUACUAACUUAAAAGCUAAGGAAUCAUGUAAUUGGUGAUUUACAAGGAGUAUUUUGGGAUUUAGACAACAAAAAUCUAAUGGAAAAUAUCUCCCAAUGUCAGUAGCAAAUAUCGGGAGGCUUCAGGAACCAUUUCGCAGGAGAAAAAUGGUGUCUACGAGAUUUCGCAGACACUUAAGAGGGCUGCGAAAUAAUUUCGCAAUACCAAGCUAUCUUCACAAGGCUGCGAAGAUGGCUUCCACCUUGAGGUUCCCAGCUUCCUUCUCGCAGCAUAAAUCGGGCAUCGUCAGAAGGAGAAACAUUACACUGUUCAAAAAGGCUGCGAAAUCACUUCGCAACAAAAGGGUGAUUUCGCAACACUUUGCAAAAUGCUUCCUUCAGCUCGGAGUGAUUGGCUUGUAAUGGCUGUAACUUCUUCGUUUCAACUCCGAAUUGCACACCGUUUGAAGCAUUGGAUUUUUGACUUCCUGAGCUUUGAAAUGGUAUAUAGUAUGCAUCAUUUGGACUUCAGAAAGUGCUCCAAAAGUGGCUGCUAUGACUGUCAUCAAGAAUAUGCUUUAUGGCAGAUUCUCUUUGCUUUUUCUCCUUGCAAUCCGGAUUUACUCUUGGAAAAUGACUUCUAAGCUUUGCCCAAGAUUCCUCAUAGCUCUCCUCAGUCUUGACUUGCUUUGGUAAUCAAAAUACUAAUAAAAACACCAAAACUUACACAAAGUGAUCAAAAUUGCUUUCAAGGGUCCUUAACAUGCCAAUUGAGUUAAAAGGCCAAAACUACUACUCAAAAGUGUUUAAAAGGAUUAAUUAUAAGCUAUCAAAUAGCACUUUUUGAGUAGUAAUCACUCUUUACCACUCCUCAAAGUGAUAACUGCUUUAACUUCCCUCACCUUUGAAGAUUCUCCCUCUUGAGUCUCCACUUCAUGGAUACCCUUGGGAUUUUGAUGAGGUUGAGAAGGAAGCUUUCCUUUCUCUUGCACUGUGUUGAGGUUGGUAAGCCUUGAGAUUGCGUAUUGGACAUUGUCUAUCUUUUGAGACAGAUCAUUUUGCAUCCCAUUCAUCCUUUUAUUCAAUGUACUCUCCACACUAUCAAUUCUUUGAUUCAAUUGAGCAUUAAUGGACUUCUGAUCUCCCACAAAGUCUCCCACAACCUUACUAAGGUUCACAAUAGCUUGUUUAAGAUUCGAGGCUUGCUGAGGUGCUUGAGCAAGUUGUGUUUACUGAGGUGGCUUUGGUUUCUAAGAGAAAUUUGGAUGAUUCCUCCAAUUUGAAUUGUAGGUGUUGCCAUAGGAAGCAUUGUUAUUGGGUUUGAAUUGACCAAUAACAUUUGCUUGAUCACCAAACAUCUCUCUCACUGUUGGAAUUGUAGGGCACUCCUCUACCAAGUGCUCAUAACAUUGACAAAUGGAACAAGGCAUAGCUUGCAAUGGUGUCUCAGAAAUGGCUUGAACUUCUUGUAUCUUCUUCAUUUCUAGCUCUUCCAAUCUCCUUGCUUUAGCUACAACCUUUGCCUUCAUGUCAAUGUCUUCCUUCAAAACAUACAUCCCACCCUUAGCAUUAGGUUAAGACUUCAUUCUUCCCACCUCUCUAGCAUUUGGUUCAUCCCAUCCUCUUGAAACUUCAACCACAUAAUUCAAAAAGUCCAUAGCUUCCUCCGGAUUCUUAUUCAUGAAGUCUCCUCCACACAUAGUUUCUAGGAGUUGCUUCAUUGAAGAAGACAUACCAUCGUAAAAAUAGCUCACUAAGAGCCAUGUGUCAAAGCCAUGGUGAGGACAAGCAUUAAUAGCUUCCAUGUAUCUCUCCCAAUACUCAUAGAAUUUCUCAUUCUCUUUAGCUGAGAAGUUUGAAAUUUGUCUUUUCAAACGAUUGGUCCUAUUAGUAGGGAAGAACUUCUUGAGAAACUCGCCUUGCAAAUCAGUCCAAGUAUUGAUACUCCUUGGCCUUAAAGAAUUAAGCCAAAUAUUGGCCUUAUCCUUCAAAGUGAAAGGAAAUAGUUUGAGCCUCAUCAAGUCAAUUGAAGCUCCUCUUUCUUGGAAUGUAUUACAAACCUCCUCGAAUUCCUUAAUAUACGAGUAGGGAUUCUCACUUUCCAUCCCAUGGAAAGUAUAUAGGAGUGGCACAAUGUGAGGUCGGAUUAGUAGCUGCUCAGUGGGAGGCACUAUGCAUGAUGGUGCACUCAUACGAGGUGGAUGCAUGCUGUCCCUCAUGGAUCGAUAUGCAUUGAAAUUAUCCUCUUAACCAUGUUGGCUAUUCUGAUCUUCAGGUGGAACAUCCAUGAUGUUUAAGCACACUUCCAACUCAGUUUCUCGAGGAGUUUCAAUCUUCACAAGUCUUCCCUCAAUAUCUCUUAUCCAAUAGGGCAUGCACAACUAGAGAUCACUGAAACAAAAACAAAGAAAAAAAAAAAGAAAUACAAUGUUGGCAAAAAAUUAAGGUUAACUAAAAACUAAAUAAAAGAUAAGGUAAAAUAUAGACAAAGAAAAAGAAUUAGUAAAAAUAAAAAUCACCAAACUUGUGAUGAAGACCACAAGUAUUCACCAAAAGUCAUGUCAAUGUAUUGUGGCACCAUCUCUGGCAAUGGCGCCAUUUGAUUCGUCCCCAUUGCAGUCAUGCCAUUUGAUUAUGGCUCAGACGGGUGUUAUCAACAAAAUUUAUGAAACCUAAAUCACCUCACACUAGGGUAGCAUAGCUAACAUAGUAUAGUGGCUCUAGGAUCGUCCACAGGGAUGGGUUUUCAUCAUACAAUUUACUUAAAUGAAGGAAAUAAAAUGGUGUUUUUUCUUAUGAAAGUUAGCUUUUAAAGAAAAUUGGAAUUAUGGUUGCAAAGAUUGAUUUUAAGUUAAGAAAAAACAAUAAGUGAAAUUAACUACAAAGAAAAGGGUCUCUUGGAGCUUCAGGUCACUAGGAUCGGGUUUCUUAGGCAAAGAAGGAGAUUCCGGAUCUUCUCCUCGUGUUGGGGAUAAUAACAUAAAAGAUGGUUAUCACCCGAACUGGUUUUAUAUUUAGCAAUUAAGAUUUGAUCCAAAGGUUUCAUGAGAAAUGGUAAUUGUUUCCCAUUAAUGGCUUCAAACACUAAAGACUUUCACCUUAAACCACCUUCCAAUAGCUCGUAAAUGAUAACUAAUAGACAUCCAUGGUUUUAAGAAUAAGCAUCCAUGGAAUCCGAAAAGCUUACCAAGUAUUGGCCAUUCAAGGUGCUUUUAAGGGAUUUAAAACUAAACCUUGAAAUAAAAACCAUUGAUGGUUAACAACUACUGUCAUUUCAAGCAAGGAUAACUCCCACCUUUGCAUUCAGGUCCUUCACCUAACUUUCAUCACUCCAAGAAACGGAAAACCUAACCACUCAUCCCCUGAGAAAUCAUCCUCAGAGGUUGUUUGGCUAGCAAGAAAAGUGAAAACAAAAUGAGAAUGAAAGGCAGAGCAAAAACUCUGUAUAUUUCUUAGUACGGGAAUUUACAAGUGUUUUAUGAAAAGCAUACAUAAUUUUUCAUCCCUCUAUCUCUCUCCUUAUAUAUAAGCUACCUAAAAGAUAUAAAAGAAAAUAUCUAGGUUGGUUACAAGGAGAAACUAGGAAAUUACACAAAAUAUCUGAAGAUAAAAAUCUAAUGGAGUCGGUGCAUAGGAAGAUUUCGCAUACCAUGCGAAAUUUGGCAUGGUGUACGAAAUUUCGCACAGCCAUGCGAAACUGCUUGUUGUUGGAUUUCUUCCUCUGGUUUUCUUCCUCGCAUCUCUAAUUGGCUUGGCAAAGGGCUAUGAAGUGCUCCAAAGCUUGGAUUCUUCAUGUAUUUGAGCUUUAUCUUGCAUUGCCAUGGAUUUCACCAUAUUCUCCCUCAUUCUUGGCUUGUUUCAAUGAUAAAAAAGCUACCAAAAGCACCAAAACUUGCCAAAAAUUGAUUAGUAACCCUUGCUAGGUUCCUUCAUGUGUCAAUUGAGUUAAAAGGUAUUAACUACUACUCAAAAGUGUUUAAAACAGUUAGUUUCAAGCUAUAAAAGAGUUCUUUUUGAAUAGUAAUCACUAGGUAAAAUUAAGCUACAGGUUUCUUAAUGGUAUCAAAUCCAACGUCUAAUUACUAGGAAUAAUGGUUAAAAUAACAAUGAUAGGUGCUUCCAAUUAUGAUAACAACUUGAAGGAGGCAGAUAGAAAACCUAUCCCUCAUUAGAAUUUUGUGACCAAUGGUCAUGGUCACUCUUCUUAGCUAAUUAUUUCUCAGAAAUUAACUUAAUGGAGAAAAUUAUCUUUAAUGGUCUCAAUUUGUCAAACCUUUCAUUCAUGGGCAUGGAAAAAUUGAAUAUUUUAUUAGAGCAACAUCAACACCACAAGGAACAAUUCUCAUCGAGACAUAGGAAGUAGAUAAUGCCAUAUUAUGUCAUGGCUGAUCAACUCAAUGGAACUCAAGAUUAGGAAGACAAACAUGUUCAUGGCCAUAACUAGAGAAAUCUAGGAGGCUACCAAGGAAACCUAUUACAACUUGGUAAUUUGCUUAGGUCCAUAAGAUAGGCAUACAAAUAAAAAAUACUAAGCAAGGUAAUAUGAAUGUAAUUCAGUACUAUAAUACACUUAAAACUCUUUGGUAAGAACUUAAUUUGUUCUAUGAUUAUGAAUAACAUUGUGCAUAAGAUAGUGAAAUGUUCUAAAAGAUGACGAGAAUGAUCGAGUAUUUGCAUUCCUAGUGGGGUUUAAAUAAUAAAUUAGAUGAGGUUUACCUCUUUACUUAAUAUUACCCUAGUUAUAAAAAACCAGUAAGCUUCAUAUUUUGCCCAAUGAUCCAAAAUUCAAAAGAAUUCAUGGAAGGCCUUAGUGUGACCAUCAUUUCCUCUAAAUGCUUCCAGAAUUCAAAAUAUUCAUUGACAAGUGAUUAACCAUCAUCUUUUCGAAAUGCAUCUUUAGAUGUCAAUACCCAAAGGUGUUCAAUUUCAUAAGAUAUUGACCAAGUCUAGAUAUUAAGAAGGUAUAUCAUCCUCUACCAUUAGAAAGAAGAAGAUACAUUAUCCUCACUUGUGAAAGCACAUAUGUCAUCAUCUCAACAAAUCAAACAUGCGUGCAAAUUUUUCUUCUUGGUCUUCUAAUUGUGGUCAAGCAAGUAUUAAUGAAGUACUUAAUUUGAAGCAUCUGUUUAUCAUCUAUAGUGGUUGUAGUUGCUAAUCCAAUAAUUACACUCCUUUGAAAGUGGUACAAAUUAUUCUUCCUUAUUCCUUGUAUCACCACAAGUUUACUUGGCAUAACUUUCAAAAUCCCAGAUUUUAUAGUAACAAUAUUGAACCCUAUGGGUUCUAAUACUCCAAUUGAGAUGAGAAACUUAUUCAUACUAGGAACAUACCAAACAUCACUCAAAAUUUUAGUUGAUUCAUCAUGAGUCUUCAAUUGGAUGGUAUCUAUUAUUGUUAUCUCACAAGCAUUAUCAUUCCCCAUGUAAACAACUACAUCUUGUAGUUCUUCAAAGCAAGAAAACCACUCCUUGUAAGAAUGCAUGUGAAGGUGGACUCAAUAUCCAAAAUCCAUUCAUCUAAGUUAUAAAACAAGGAUAAGCAAACCAAAGCAAAGUUUGACCCAUCUUCUCCAAACUUAGCCACACAAGCAUCGAAUACUAUUUAUUCUUUAUUCUUAUUAUGUAGCUUAGGACAAUCAUUAUUCUGACACUACCAAAACUUAAGUAUGGCUGACCCAUUUAUAUUUACUUUUCGGACAUAUUUAAGUUGACGCAAAUUUCUAACACACCUAUUCCAUCGCAAAUUGAAUUGUCCAUCGCUUAUAUGUAACUAUUUAUCAACAGUAAUUGCAACAACAAAUACCUGUCGACAAAAAUAUCAUUGCAAUGGAUUUAAACCAUUGCAAAUGUUCAACUAAUAUACUUUGUUACAAAAGCAAUUUACCUAUAAAAUAGGAAAAAAAAAGUGAACUUUCAAAAAUAAUUUUUUCUAUGAAAAUUACUACUCACUAAAAUAGUUUUAUUAUAGUGGAUAAUAAUACCACUCAUAAUUUGUUCCAAAAAUAAUUAUAGUCAUAUGAAUAUAAAAUCUUUUCACCAUAGUUGUAUGAUAAAUACGAUCUAGCUAGUGACAAAACAAUUUUAUGAUUAUUUUUUUAGGUUCAUACAAUAUUUACAUUUUUUUUAAUCAUAAUAGUUUUAACAUUGUAAUAUUUUUUAACUACUUUUUAUUGUCCAUUUUAGAAAGAAAUAAAUUAAAAAUUAUUGAUAUAUAUAUAUAUAUAUAUAUAUAUAUAUAUAUAUAUAUAUAUAUAUAUGUAUGUAUGUAUGUAUGAUAUAAUUUAUGAUAUCGAAUAAUAAUAUUGAAAAUUUAAAAAUACAUUUUAUAGAGAUUUAUCUAAUUGAAUGUAUUCAAUAACAUAAAAAAAAUGAUAGUACAUGUAUAAGUAUUUUUAUUUUAAAAUGUUGAUAAUUUUAUUUAUAAAUUUAUAUUUAUUUUAUAUUUAAUUAUUAUACAAAAUACACAAGAAUCAAAAUUAAUUAAUUUAUAAUAAUUUUAUUUUAAUUUAUUUAUAUAUAUAUAUAUAUAUUAACUCAUGCAUGUAUAAUUUAUAUAUAAUAUGUAUUUAUAUAUAGAUAAUAUUUAUAAUAUAAAUGCAUAAGUAUAUAAUAUUUACAUUUAUGAAUCUUAUAUACAUUCUUUAUAUUACACAUAACAAAGUUGACUUGAUGGCACAGUUGCUUCCUUUCAAACUUGAGGUCAAGGGUUCAAUCUCAAGAAACAACAUCCAAGCCAAUAUCCAAAACUAGCAAGGAGAGGAGUGUACAAGAUGCUCCAUGUGAAUGUAAUGAAAUCGAAAUUUCAUGACAACCUAAAAUCUUUUAUUAUUUAUAUUUCUCAACCAACUUAAUUUGUUGGUAAUAGUGAUGGUCUAAAUCCAUUGGAUAGUUUGUUGCUAAAUAUUUUUUAUUGGCAACGGAAAAUUCCCAUCAAUAGACUUUUGCCAACACACCUUUCCUCUCCUACCAUGCGAUGGGAUUAUCGAUUGGUAAAUGUUUAUUUCGACUAUGUAUAUUAGCCAAGAAAAGUCAAAUUUCUUGUAAUGCGAUGACCCUUGUCAUGAAAAAAAACAUAUUCAUCUUUUGCAAGUAUACAUUUAAAUUAAGAAUUGUCUUAUUUUCUAGGUUUUCAACUUUGAGAUUAGUCAUUAACUGUUAAAGCUUCCAAUGAUAUAUCUCUAUGAUCGCUUUGGUCCUUCUUCCUUUAUUUAGAGCUUAGAAAAGUGGAACACACAACAUCGAAAGUAAUCUUAUCCUUACCAGAAAGUAAGGUGAUGGUAAGAUUUUCAUACACAUCAAGAAACAAAUUCAAUAACAAUAAGGCCUUAUUCUCAUCUUCAAUGAUCUCAUCUAAAUUCAACAAAUUUGCUAUGAUUCUAUCAAAUGCAUGCAUAUGAUCAUUCAGAGACAUAUCUAGUUGAUACUAGAAGCAAAAAAGUUUUUUCUUCAAAUAUAGUUGAUUUUCUAGACCUUUUUUCAUAUACUUGUCUUCCAAUGACUUCCAUAAAUGUUUUUGUGGAUAUCUCUUUCAUAAUGGAAUAAUUUUAAGCUUUAACAAGAUAUAUUGGAUGGAACUAUAAAAUUGACUAUUGAUCCCUUACCCAUUUUUUAUCAUUCAUGUUUUCAAGUUUUUCUUCCAAAACAAUAUCCAAAUCCUAUUGACAUAUCUAAUUAAUGCCUCUUACUACCACAUUCCAAAAGUACUAGUCCUAUCAAAUUUCUCUAUUACAAAUUUCGCAUUAGUAACCAUAGUUUUAACUAACGAAGUUUUUACCUUUUCUUUUAACUAGUGCAAUAACAAAUAACCUUGAACUAACCUUGAAACCAACCUUGGAUAGGACUAAUGCUCUUAUACCAUUUUGUUGUGCUUUAACCUAAUCCCACAAGACUUCCAAAAGUACCAAAUAAAAUACAAACUAAACUAGUCCAUAAUAUAAAGAGAAAUAUCAAGAGAAAUAAAAAUAAAGGAGGGUACACAAUAUUUAUGAGGUUUAGUAAGGACAUCUUACCUAUAUCAUUGGACAAUGAUGAUCAAUCCACUAAUCUUCAAAUCAAAAUUACAAAAUCAAGUUGGGAAAGAUUGUCUCACAAAGUGGCUGCAAUUACAAAGAUUGACUGAAGCUACUCUAACAACUUUCCUAAAGUCAUUCUCUCACUACUAUGAUGAAAAGACUUAAGACUCAUUUAUAGAACCUAAAUAAGUCCCCGAUCCUUGACAAAACUAAUUCAUAAUUCCUAUGGGACAAGGACUCAUAACAUAUAACAAAUUAUGAAAUCAUAAUCCUUAUAGGAUAAAGAUCCCUAAAAUAUAUUAAGCUCUUAAUUGAGCUAAAAGGCAAUACCUAAUAUAGAACCCAUAUCAUAUUUUCCAUAACUAUACUAAAUAGAUGGUUGUUAAGCAGAAUUAUCACUUUCAAAAGUUAAAUAAUCAUUUAUUUUUCCUUCCCUUUCCAUUUUUCUUAUCAUCCAAACAACAACAAUAAAAAAUUGAUGCGACUCAUGGUAGCUUAGCUUUAAAGGCGUAUCAACAAAAUUUAUACCUUAAAUACUAUUACUAAAGUAGCCAAGCUACUAUAGCAUAGUGGUUCUAGGAUCGUUCACUGGGAAGGGUUUUCGCGAACACAAGUGAUAUUCAAAUUAGGAAAAUAGGUGAUUUUCUUAUGGAUGUUAGCUUUAAAAGAAGAUGUAAAUGUUUUAGAAAGAUUUAAACUAAUCUAAGCUAACAUUAAAGACUAAAAUGAAAGGGUGUAAAAACAAGUUUCUCAAAGAUAGGAUAGCUAUGCUCUGGCUCUUAUGCAAAUUGGAAAUCUCAGGAUAGGCUCUUCGCUUUGGGGUUGCAACUAUGGUGAUGCUUGCUUCCCGAACCGGUAUGGAUUUAGCAAAUCAAGUUUUAAUCCUUUAAAAUGGCAAAACAGAUGGUAGUGAAUUUCAUCAAUGGUUAUUCACCUUAGACUUCCUUUGAAUGGCUCGUAAGAGAUAACUAAUGGUCUAAAGCCAAAAGCUUACCAAAUAUUGGCAACUCAAAGUCAUUCCAGGUGAUAAACUCACCUUUCAAUGACCAUUGAAAUUGGUUCUUAACGGAUUAAUGCAAAACUUGGAAUUGAAAACCUCACCUUCCAAUAGCUCGUAGGAGAUAACUAAUGGAUAGAAAUCCAAAAGCUUAUCAAGUAUUGGCCGUUGGAAGUUGUCCAAAGGAAAUAAAAACCAAACUUUGCAUUAUUGAACCAUUAAUGAAAAACGACUACCUUACCUUCCAAGUGCGAGAAAUUUCCAUGGGAUUGCAUCCAAGCCAUCACAUAACAUCCAUACUUUGAGAAACUAAAAGUUUUAGCCAAUCAUCCUCUGAGGAAAAGUCCUUAGAGGCUAUUUGGCUACUAAGAAAAUAAAAAUGGGGAAAAACAGGAGAAGAGAGAAAAACAGAGCUUUAUAUAUUUCUAAGUUAAUGUACAGAGAAUCGAUCCCCCCAAUCUCCAAUCUUUUGGAGGCGUUGUGCACCUCUAUAUAUAGCAAAAUAACAAGAUAAAGCCUUAUGUCAGCUGAAUACAAGGUUACAAAAGGAAUUUACACGAGAAAAUAUCAAGGCUAAAAAUAUCUGGGAAGUCGGUGGUGCGUGCAUGGAGAAACAAAGGAUUUCAAAGGCAUUUCGUAAGGUGCCUAAAUCCACCUUGCGAAAUUUCGCAAGGUUCUUUCUUCAUGGUGCGAAAUGGCCAAAUUUCGCACCAUGAAGAAAAUCUCCUUGCGAAAUUUUCGCAAGAUGAAAUUCACCUUGCGAAAUGGUGUUCCCAUGGCUUGAUGCAGUUGUCUUCCGAAGGCCAUAUCUUCCUCAUUUCAGCUCCAAAUCGUACACGGUUUAAAGCGUUGGAUUCUUGACUUCCUGAGAUUUGAAAUGGUAUAUAACAUGUAGAAAAUGAACUUCGGGAAGUGCUCCAAAAGUGCGAAAGGAGAUUGCAGCUGCUGUCCUCUAUUUUCUUCACUCUGUUUUCCUCUUCUCCAUUGUUCUUUCCUUGCAUACUUUGAACGACUUUGGCAAAGGGCUAUGGAGCUCCAAAGCUUGGUUUGUUUGUGCUCGUGUUUCCACUUGAAAUUUAAGCCUGUAAACUUCCAAAAUCCUUGCUUUAACUUGUCUAAGUAGCUCCUCCAUCAUUUGGCAUGCUUGAAUCGAUUCAUAAGCUGAUAAAAACAUGUAAACUUGCCACAAAAUGGUUAAAACCAAUUACUAAGGACCUUAAUGAAUUAAUUGGGUUAAAUGAAUAUGAUUACUACUCAAAGGUGCUUAAAACCAUUAUAAUUAGGUCUACAAAAUAGCACUUUUUGGUAGUAAUAAAAAAUGUAGUGUAACUUUUGUUACUUUGCUACUUGUUCUCUCAAGUUACUUGCCUGCUUGUGAAUGAUCUCUAUAAUCAAAGUAAAUGGAGAAAUAAUGUGGAGUUCCAAGAUAUAGGUAGAAAAGAGUGGAUAAAAACCCUAGUUCUACAAAAUAGUUUGCAAUUUUGUCUUUAGAUCUCUCAUUUUCGUGGUAAUGGCCAUUGAAGAUGUCAUCACUGACAAUAUCACAAAGUGAAGAAGGCAUGACUGAGGGUUGGUAGAGUAGAGAGUUAAGGUAGAAAAUAGCAAAGAUAUGAUUUUGACUUUUUUAGAAUUUGUAAAUAAAAAAUAAAUACAAUCGAAAAAUCACUUUCAGAACAUUAGGUUGAAUUAAGGCACAAGAAAUGGCUACCACAUGUAUGCUAAGUGAAAUAUUAGAGUGUUUUUUUUUUUUUGUCAAGGUUAAGGAUUUGAGUAACUAAAGCCUCAAUAAAGUCUUUGAGGUAUCCACUAAGGAGCACAAGAAGUGCUGCAUGGGGGCGUGGAAGAAGAAUGUAAGUUACGUGUAUUUUGUAUUUAUAUUUAGUUGAUUGUUUGUGGUUGACAAACUAUUCAUGUAAUGACUUGCUCCCAACCAUGUAGAUAUUGUCCACUUUGGACCCAAAGGGGCCCUCACAACUUUAAAAUGCCUCUACAGAGUUAAGAAAAGUCCAUACUUAUAUAGCGCUAAGAACUUUCCCUCCUAUCAGAUGUGGGAUGUCAGAAACACCCUCUUCCCCAUGUAGACACAAUGUCCUCGUUGUGUCCCACGGGAUUGCAGGGCCAAACAAAUGAACACCCUUAUGGGGCUAAACAAAACCCGAACCGAGGUCGAAGAAUGACUUUGAUACCAUUUGUAAUGACCCGUUCCCAACCGUGUAGAUAUUGUCCGCUUUAGACCCAAAGGGGCCCUCACGGCUUUAAAACACAUCUACUGAGUUAAGAGAAGUCCAUACUUAUAUAGCGCUAAGAACUUUCCCCCCUAUCCAAUGUGGGAUGUCACAAACACCCCCAUCCCCCACCCCAUUAUAUAAAUGUAUAUUAUUAUUAUUAUUAUUAUUAUUACUUUCAAAAGACCCUACAACACCAUUACUCCAAGCCACCAACUACACCCAUUAUUUUUUGUUAUAAUAAUUUUUUUUUCUUUUGUUUCUUUCUUCUUGGACGUCCACACGCAUCCUUUAUUUUAUUUUAUUUUUUCUGCUUUUUCUAUGACAUCUCAUAUCGGAUAGGAGGAAGUUCCUGGCAUUGUAUAAGUAUGGACUCCUCGUAACCCUGUAGACGCGUUUUAAAGCCAUGAGGGCUUCUUUGGAUCCAAAACGAACAAUAUCUACACGGUUGGGAGCGGGUCGUUACAAAUGGUAUCAAAGCCAAUCCCCAACCUCGGUGUGGGGUUUGUUUGGCCCCGUAAGGGUGUUUGUUUGUUUGAACCCACAAUCCCGUGAGACACAACGAGGACGUUGUGUCUGCAUGAGGGUUGUUUGUGACAUCCCACAUCAAAUAGGGGGGAAAGUUCUUGGUGCUAUAUAAGUAUGGACUCCUUGUAACACUGUAGACGCAUUUUAAAACUAUGAGGGCCCUUUUGGGUCCAUAGAGGACAAUAUCUACACGGUUGGGAGUGGAUCAUUACAAAUGGUAUCAAAGCCGAUCCCUAAUCAUGGUGUGAGGUUUGUUUGGCCCCGUAAGGGUGUUUGUCUGUUUGACCCCACAAUCCCGUGGGACACAACGAGGUCGUUGUGUCUGCAUGGGGGUGGGGUGUUUGUAACAUCCCACAUCGGAUAUGGGGAAAAUUUCUUGGUGCUAUAUAAGUAUGGACUUCUCAUAACCUUGUAGAUGCAUUUUAAAGCUGUGAGGGCCCCUUUGGGUCUAAAGCAGACAAUAUUUACAUGGUUGGGAGCGGGUCGUUACAAUUCAUGGAUUUUACACCCCAAAAGGUUUUAAGUGGUUUUUUCAUGUUACAUUUUGUGUCAUAUGUUUGAUUGAUUAUUCCUAUUCAAAGAAUUGAUGAAAACUUAAUUAUAAUUGAUAUAGCUAGGUGUUUAGGAAUGUUUCUGUUUAAAGUGCUUUUAAUUUAAUUGUUUUUUUUAGAAGCAUUUUUUUAAAGAAUCACCUCUCAAGAGCUUCUCCAAAAAGCAUUACAAGUGAUUUUUAACUUUUUAAAGAAUGUUUUCUAAGUUUUUCCAAGUGUAUAGUUUUUCUCUAAAAGCAUUUUUUUUUUAAUACCAAAAGCAUUUUCUAAAAGUACUACUAAAUGGACUCUUAACUUUUGAGGAUAUUUCACUUAGACAACCCAUUCACCCCGCUCACUAUAUAGUUUUAUGUCUCAAGAUAAAAGUUCUCUCCUUUAUUUUAACAUAAUCUUUGUUUGAAGAAUUGUUCUAAUUUUUACUUGACUUUUGUUUUUAAUAUGUCUUCCUAAGCUUUUAAUGAUCCCAUAAAUUGGUCAAUGGCUAUAGAAUCCAAAUAUUUAGGCUUUUCAAUAACAAAAAAAUAAAAGAUGAAAACUUUUUUUUUUAAGUUACACAAAUAUCAUUAAACUUUCACCAUUUAUUUUUACUUAAUUUACAUAUGUCAAUAUUUUUGAAAAAUAAUCAAAGAUUAUCUUAUAUUUAAACUUUAAAAUUCACUUUUAAAAGUAUGAAAUUGAACUUUUAAAAAAAACACUUAUCAACACUUUUAUAUUUUUUUGUAAUAUUUUUCAUGUUUCCUUUGACAUGGUUGCACUUAAAAUCAUUUCAAAGGUGUCUACAUCUAUUUCUUAAUAAAUGAGGUUAAAAGCCUUCUUGUCUUUCUUUCUUAUAUCUUCGAAAAUUCUAUUUAAUUUUGGGAUAGAUUGGUUUUAUCCUAUAGCUCCUUGUAGUUUUUCUCUACAAUCUCUUAUAUAUCUUGCAACCAAAUAAAACCUUUGUCUUGACAUUCAAAUCGUCAAAAUUGUUAAAACUGUCUUUAUUGAGUUAAGCAACCUAAUUGAAUUACACGUCUUUUGAAAAAUAAAAUAAAAUAAGAAUCCUAUUAUACGCCUAAAUUUCGUGAAAGUCUUGCAACAUAUAAGGGGUAGGCCUUGAAGUUACAGUGACAAUUUAUUCCACUCAAAAUUUUGAUCUCUACAUUGAUAUCAUGUUUUUUUUUUUUUUUGGGGAGGGGGGGGGGGGGAGUAAUAGGGAUAAAUACACAAAUAAUAGUACUAUUAAAAGAGAUAAAUAGAGGAGGAAAUUAAAAGAAAUUUAUUGUGUUUUUAAUACUUUAAUUGAAGUAUUAUAUACACAACUCUAACUACAAUAUGUUUUAAUUCACUUUUAAAAACUAAAUCAAAUGUAAUUUUUGAAAAUUUCUUGAAACUCAAAUUUAGAUUUCAACGUGUGAUUGAAUGAUAGGGAUGAUAAAAAAUAGGUAAAUAAAACAUAUGUAAUAUUAUUGUAUAGUAUUAAUUGCUUCCAUACCAUUAGCAUAUCAAUGGCAUAUUGCCAUAUUCACAUGAACUGACUUUUUGUUUGGAGUAGUGUUUUAGUAGAGUAUUCGUAGUACACCUAGAUAUAGCCUAUGGGUUGCAUUAAUUAAUGGUUUUGGCCCAACUUAACAAAAUUCUAUGCUAUCAUAAAGUAGCUGAAUGCCCAUGAUUGCGCAAUGCCAUCAUAAAGGAACUGAAUGCCCAACACACAUACAUGUGAGGUACCAUAUUUUUUAAGAAAGACAAGUCGGUUUGCAAUUGAUGUUAAUAUCUUUCCAAGGCAGAAACAUCAUUUUGUAGGUAUAAUUGAAUUAGUUAAACUUAAACCCCAAUUGACAUUCUUUCAAGUAAAAUCAUUUUUAAUCUAUAAUACUCAACACUUUUAUGAGAACAAUAAAAGUAUCAGAAUCAUAGAGAAUUAUUGAAAGUGAUUUUGUAGUGUUGUUGAUAAUAUGUACCAUGACUAUAAAAAUGCUUUUAAUAUUAGUAAAUUAUCAAAAAGGACAUCAAAUUUAAUUACAAGGAAAUAUUAUAAUAAACUAAUACUUUUUCAUGAUAAAAGAAUAUAUAAACAUUUAUAGUAAAAUAAUAUAUAAACAUCUAUAUUACUAACGAAAACUAAAAAAUAAUAGUUGUUGUGAUUACAAGAAAAUUUUAGAAAAUAUUUGCAACAUGAUUUGGAUUAAUAAACAAACAUCAAUCAUAAUAUAAUAAUUUUUAAAACAAAAAAAAAAUCAUUUGAUUAUUUAUUCACUUAAAAAUAAUGAUUUUUUAUUACUACAAAAUUUUGAAAAAUACUUACAAAAAAUCUAGAUUAAUAAUGAAAAAUUGAAUAAAAACAUAUUAGUUUAGUUUCUAAAAAAAAUUAGUAAUUAAAAGCAAAUGAGAAGACAAAUUUUCUCAUAGUAAAAAAAGGAGAAAAUUAUUUAUUUUUUUCAUAUUAGUGUUAAAAUAAAACAUCAACAAGAUAUAUAACGACUAGCAAUUCGAUCACAUUCUUCAUACAUCUCUCUUGCAUGAUAGAACUGUCUUUCUCAACUCAUGAAUCCACUCUACUCUGUUUUUUAUUAAAGCAGAUGUAACCCUUGAUUAUCAUUAUAAGGUUUAAAUUUCAUAUCUAUCCUAGCAUUAAUCAUUAUUAAGUUGUAAAAACCAUCAAAGUAAUAACAAUGUUGACUUAUUUUUCAAGAGGAAAACUAUGCAUUUCUCAUAUUGUUCCACAUCUAUUCUUCAAAAAGGCAAAUGUUCAAUUGUUCUCCUCAAAGAUGUCUAUGGUUAAAUAUUUCCUUCUUACCUCUUGGUAAACUACUCCAUUGAAAUCUAGAAGAUGGUAACACUCGCCCUUUAAGGGCCUAAUUAUAUAUCCACUCAUGUAAGGAUAACCAACAUUGAGUAAAUAAUAUUUACCUACAAAACGAAAAAAAAAAAUUAUGUAAGAUUAUGAAAAUCUAAUCACAAAAGUAACUUUCAUAUUUUUAGUCACAAAUCUCUAGAAGGAUGAGGAAAACCCAAUGCUAGCAUUUUUUUAAUGCCUAUGAAAAGACUCAUGCAUCAUGAGCAAAACCUUCCCAUCUAGCCAAUGCGAAUGUGAAAUACAUAUUGAAAUAAUAUAUGACCAUAAUAUUUUAGGUAGUUAUGCUUUUUGUAUCAAUAUAUGAUAUUUGCCUAUAUCUAAAAACCAUAAUGGGCAUAUGAGUUCCAUCAAUUACCCCUAUACAAUUCUUAAAAUAUGGUCAAUAACGUCCAACAUUUCUUAUUUUAUCAAGGAUCUCCCUAAACUAUGAAUCACUUGGUUUUAUAAUAUCCAUAGCUAUAAGACAAACAACAUCUAAUAUAAUCUCAAACCAUCUAGAAAUAAAUUCAUUGGAGUGCUAAAAUCAUUCUUAGGUCGUCAUGUUGCCAAGUCUAUGACCCAUUGUAGUGAGAAACAUUGCUAAAGCCUCUAUUAAGGGCAUAUUUAAACCUUCUCUUAGACCAUGCCUUUUAAUAAGAGUUUCUAAUAAUUAAUGCAUACAUGUUUUUCCAUUCUAAAUUGCUCAACUCUAAUUUUGAAAAAGUACUACAAGGUUUUUAUUUUUUGUAGUUAGUAAGUGUUAUAGGUACAACACAUCCAACCAACACCAAUUGAUAAAAAUCAUUUCACCAUUGCUUUCAUCUUUAAUAUUGUGAUUGCAACUAUUAUUAUAACUAGAAAACAUAUAUACAAAAAAUAAAAAUAAGAAAUACAUUAAAAAAAACUAAUAAUGUAUAUUUUAUGUUAAUAUAGCUUAAACUAGUUCAUGUUUACUAAAAUAAAAGGAUUUUUUAUUUAAAAAUUUAUUUGAACAUGCAAAUUCAAGAGUAGUAGUAGUAUGCAAAAUAAUAGCACUGAAAAGUAGUAAGAGUAGAAAUACAUGUAAUCAUAUAAUUCUAUUUUUCCAUAAUAAUAAUAAUAAUAAUAAUAAUAAUCUAGCUCAUGUGGGUCACCCUAGAAUAGGACUCCUCCCAUAACACCCCUAUUUUCAAUCCAUUUCUAUUCUUAAUAGUUUGACUAAGCAAAAUUUUAAAUUCAAAAGUGUUGUGUUGAGAAAUCAAAUACAUUACAAAGCUCAUCUAAUUAGGAACUUGACUGAGACAAAAUUUUAUAUUCAAAAGUGUUGUGUUGUGAAAUCAAAUACAUUAUAAAGCUCAUCUAAUACUUACAACUUUUAGAGAAAGAAACAAUUAAAUAUACCAUGUGAUAGACAUAUAUGUAUUCCUCACUCAAAAAGUUUACUCAAUACCAACAUACAAAUCUAAUUUAAAACAAUAUUAGGUAGCAAAUUAUGUUUCAACAAUAGAAUAAGAAAUAACUCAAAUAGUGAAACAUAUUUCUGCUUAUUUCAUGCAAUUUGAUCAAUUGAGUUUUCUAAUGCUAGAAACAUCUCCUUAUUUCCCUUGACAACUUGAAUAACUAUGACUUUCAUGUACAACUUAAGGUCAUUCUUCACUUCAAGCAUGCCACAUAUAACUUUUAUUACUUUAGCAAUGCUAUAACCAAGCUUAUCUACUCUAGAUGUAACUUUAAAAAUGGCCUCUAACUGCAUAGUAAAAACACAAGAUUUGGUUCCAUCUCUUAUCUUCUUUCUUCUUCUCUCAUUUUGCUGUGAAAUUUAUUUCCUUGGGGUUCUCCUACAAAAGUAUUCAAUUUAUUAUAUUUCACGACCAAAAUAUAAAUUAAGUAAAUAAACUUAGUAAAUAAAUUAAAAUGUAUCUUCAAUUUAUUAUUCCCCCCAUUCAUUUUUAGCAUUAGUGGUUUGCCUCAUAGGAUCCCACCCAAGGCCAAUCUUUUUUUGAAUCAAGGCAUUCCAAAUUUGUCAAUCUUUUUUAAUAGAACUUAAUAUAUUCUUAGGUUUCUUAUAUUGGUAGGUUCUUCUAGGUAGAUUGUUGAAUACCUUUAUCACUUUUUUUCCAUCCAAUUUACUAAAGUGACUAUUUGGUCUAUUUUUAGCCAAAAUCUUAGCAACACAAACUGUGAGAUAUGCAUUAACAACAAUAUCAUUCAAUAUACUUUGCUUUAUUGAUCAUUUUCUUUACCACUUGUUUGUUGUAGUGGUUGAACUAUAUUGCUAGACAUCUAAUAACAAAGUAAAGAACAAAGAAGUAUUAAAAGCAAAUGUUGUCAAUGUACUUUUAUAUUUUAUAGUUUAGACAUCUAAUGAGACCCAUAAAAAAGUGAACCUUAAAGAAAUGGGUCAACUAGAGGAAAAUGAAUCUCGGAAUACUGAAUAGGAAAGACUCACAUUGAUGGAAUAAAUUAAUAUACUAUAUUGUAAUUUUAUUAAUUCUUUUCAUUAGGUUGCUAAAAGUUGAAAAAGAAUUUCUCAUGAAACGGAUUAAAUAAUUUCCUAAUGAAAGAAUCCAAUCAUGGCCUCUUUAUGAAGUACUGAAUUAACUCGAUGAACUUAAAUAUCAUCUAAUAAAUUCUUUCAUGGUUUGUUUUUAUAACUUUAAUGUUACCAAUAUAGAAAGAAAUGAAACAUGUUUUAAAUAAUCUAAGAAACUAUGGUAGAAAAGUGGAAAGAUUUAAGGAUAAGAGGCUUUAUAUGAACUUUAAUAUUGUUAGUAACAGAGAGGCAAAUGAGAUAUCUCAAUAUUAAAUUAUGCAUAAUUAGUAUAAUUUUUUUAAAAUAAAUGAAAGAGAAUUUAGGAGCAAAAUAAGUAAUUAGAGUAUGAGAUAACAUGAAUGGUUAAAAUUGUCAAUCAUUUAAUUUAAGAUAAUUGUUAAUAUUUCACUACAUUUUCAACUCCAUGAAUUAAAGCAAAUGGAGGAAAUGAGUUGGAUUUCUUAAUAGUAUUAAGUUUUGGAUUGACACAAAAGUAGGGUGCUAGUGGACACUUGAAAUGAGGACCAAGUAACAAUUUCAGAUAGCAUUUUACUCAUCCAACAUAGUUAAAAUUUGCAAAACCCACUUCUGAUUUCGUACUUUUAUUGAAUAUAUGGGUAUAGUUUAACUUCAAAUCUAAUAUGAGUGUACUUUGAAUUUCCUAAAGCUUACAUAUUUAUUCACAUAUUAAAUCAAAGAGAAAAUAUUAACGUUUUUUACAAUUACAAUUUAUCAGGACUCAAGGUUUAAUUCCUAAACUUUUAAAGUGGGAAAAAAAGGUGUAAGGGAGAAAAAAGGAAAAGGAAAAUAAAGGAAAAAAAGAAAAAAGAAAAAAGAAAAAACUAUUAAAAGGCAUUACAAGCCUAAGAUGGGCAUAUCCAUGAUUGAGGUGCAAAUGGGGGUGACAAUUCAUGUUAGUGGAUAGUGUUUGUGUUGUGUCAAAGCCUAGGUAUUCUACUACAUAGCUCAACCCAACCCCAACACUACUAAUAAUCAUAUAAAAAAUAUAAACCUAAAUACUAUCUAAUUAUUAAACAAGUAACACAUUGUACAACCCGCUUAAUCUAUUUAAUAUUCAGGUUCUGCUAUUUAAUAAUCAGAUUAAGUUAGGUCUUCCAUAUGUCUAUAUGAUUAAUAUCUCAAGAAAAGAUGUUUUUGGCUCAAUUGACCUAUCUAUUUAGAAAUAAAUUUAAAAUGAGUCAAAUAUGGGUCAAACGUCUUAAAAAUAUAAUUAAGUUAAUAGCGAGAUUAUUAAAUAGGUUAAUUCGAGUCAAAUUUGUGUUAUGCAAGUUGACCAAAAAAGUACUUAUUUAUUAAAUGAGUUAUGUAAGUCGACACAAAUUUUUUCUAAUCUCAUUUAUACUUGACCCAAACCCAUGAAAAGCAUGUUAGGUUUGUGUCAUGCCGAGAAGUAUCAAACUUUGUCAUCCCUAGGUGCAAACAACUCUAAGACCCUAUUUUUAAGGAGAAUAUAUAUACUUGAGAUUGCUACAUUAUUUAGACUAAUCCACACCUACUUAUUAAGGGGGAAAAAUAAAAGAGGAGAAAGAUAGGGCACAGGAUGAUGGGACAAGGCACAAAAUGACAAGACGUAGGAUGGUAGGACGUAGGAUGAUAAGAAUCCACUUCAAUUAAUAUUUCCAUAAAUCAAGAGUAAUCAAAUAUUAAAAUAUUUUAUUCUCCUAAUUUAGGAUAUAAUAUUUAUUCUAAAUAAAUAAAGAGCAAUCAAAUAUUAAUAAUAUUUGAUUCUCUUAAUUUAAGAAAUAAUAUUUAUUUUCCUUAAUUUUAGGAUGUUUAUUAUUUAUUUCUUCUAUAAUUCACAAUGCAUUCUUGUAUAAAUUUAUGAAAAGAAAUAAUAAAAAUUCAUCGCUUCUAUUUUCAAAUUAUCAAAUUCUUCUUGGUAUUAGAGUUAGAGGAGGAGACUCAAACUUGGGUUUUCUCCAAAGGUGGUUGAAUACCCUAAAAGACUUGACCUAUCCACACAAACAAUGUCUUCCUCUUCAUUCAUUCAUUCAAAAAUAAAAUAAAAUAAAAUAAAAUCCUUAGUGCUCUAGCUUUCCAUCAACAUUUUUUCUAAUUUGAUUUCAAUCAAGCUAAACACAACAAAUUUUCUACUAUGGGAAAAUCAAAUCAUCCUCUUAGUUUGUGGCUUCGGUGUUCGAACCUUUCAUCAGUGUUUUACCCUUUCAUUCGUGUUAUUUCUAGUUUGAUUUCAAUCAAGUUAAACACCAUAAAUUUUCUACUGUGGCAAAAUCAAAUCAUCCUCUUAGUUCAUGGUGUGUUCUCCAACAUCUCUUAGGUGGAGAAAGACCCGCUAAAGAAUUAAAGAUGACGAGGAAAGAAAAAGUUUUAUCCUACAAUACUAGUAAUCAAUUAAUAAUAACAUAUUUGUCACUUCAUGAGUUCUCAAAACCAUGACAAAAGACAUUUUCAUUAUGAUCCUUGGGGCUAACAAGAUAUAUAAGGUAUAAACUUCUCUUAAGGAGUAAUUGCUUCCUAUUAUAGUUGAAAAAAAAAAUGAUCUCUUCAAGAAUAUUUAAGAGAUUUCAAAAAUAUAUAUGAUAAUCUCAUGACAAUCAAAAGCUAAUUUUAGACCAAGACAAAGUUUGUUGAUUCACUCAUGGUUUAGGAUAAUGGAAUGAUUUUUUUUUUUUUUUAACCUACUAUGCUUUUCUAACCAAUUCAUGGCAACUCUUUAGGGACAUAAGCAAUUACUCACCACCAAAAGGAUGGAAAGAAAAUUUUUAUAGAGUAUGCACAAGUUUUUAUUUGGACAACAUAGUUAUGGUCAUAAUGGUUGAAAAGGCAUAAAUUUUAAUUUGAGGGGAAGAAUCUUUACACUUUCUAUGUGUUACAAUUCUUUUAAAAAAAUAUACUUUUAUGAUUUUAUCAAGCCCUUGUCAAAGGAUAUCUUCAUCAUGUUUUGAGAUAAGUUGGGUGUGCAUAUUCUUUCCCACUCCAAUUUGAGCUUGCAUAUUAAGGGAAAGAAUAAAAUAAGACAAAAAGCACAUAGGAUGGCAACACGUAGGAUGAUAAAAAUCCACUUCAAUUAAUAUUUCCAUAAAUCAAGAGUAAUGAAAUAUUAAAAUAUUUCAUUCUCCUAAUUUAGGAUAUAAUAUUUAUUUUAAAUAAAUAAUGAACAAUCAAAUAUUAACAAUAUUUUAUUCUCUUAAUUUAGGAAAUAAUAUUUAUUUUCCUUAAUUUUAGGAUACUUGUUAUUUCUUUCUUUGUAUAAUUCACAAUGCAUUCUUGUAUAAAUUUUCUAAAAGAAACAAUAAAAUUCAUCAUUUUCAUUGCCAAAUUAUCAAAUCCUUUACUAAUGGCCUUAUGAUUAAAAUUGUUGUGAACUGAGGAAGCUUAAGAAUCUGUUAAGAAGGUUGCUGAGGUGUGAAGAGAGGCUGAAAUUGAGGCUGCAACCAUAAAACAACUUAGUCAAUGAAGCUAAUAGAGUUUCAUGGAGCUAUUACGUUGUUGUUGCUAUUUUAUAGGAAAUAGUUGUUAGUUCUAACUAUUUUUGCUGUUUUUCUAUUGUUUUCUAUUGCAAACUUGUGUAUAAAUGUUGCAUUGAUCAUUCAAUAAGAGUAGACAUUUUCGUUGUCUCAAAUACAACUUUUGGUAGUUGCUUCCAACACUUCUAGAUUCUAAAACCUACAGAUUGGUAUCCGAGCCUUCUAUCAUGAGAGACCUGUGAGGAUUGAGUGAAGCUAAAAUACCUUCACACAUACUGAACUCCAAAGCCAACAUAAACACACAACCUUUAACAGCUUGUAACUAUCAUUCCGCAGUAAAUGGAUGGAGAUACAAGCUUUCUGUCAGUACUAGUUUUCAAUGGUGAUAAUUAUCAGGCGUGGGCUAUUAGAAUGACAGUCCACCUUGAAGCUUUGGAUCUUUGGGAGGUAGUAGAAGAAGGUUAUGAAGUACCACCACUUGGAGACAAUCCAAGUAUCAAUCAAAUGAAGAUUCACAGGGAAAGAAAAACAAGGAAAGCCAAAGCCAAGGCUUGCCUCUUCUCUGCAGUUUCACUUUCCAUUCUCACCAGAAUCAUGCAAAUGGAGUCUGUUGUAGCAAUCUGGGAGUAUCUAAAAAAAUGAGUAUCAAGGGAAUGAAAGGGUGUAGAAUAUGCAAGUAAUGAAUUUAAUAUGAGAAUUUGGAAUGAGCAGAAUGAAAGAGUCUUAAACUAUCAAAUAUUAUGCUAAACAACUACUUAGCAUAGCAAACAAGGUAAGAUUGUAUGGUAAGGAAUUUUCUAAUGAAAGAAUUGUUCAGAAAAUCUUAGGAACUCUGCCUAAAAAAUAUCAAGCCACAAUCUCUUCCUUGGAAAACUCUAAAGAUUUGUCAAGUAUAUCUUUGGCAGAAAUUGUUAAUGCUUUGCAGGCCUUGGAACAAAGGAGAAUGAUGAGACAAAAAUGAUAUGUUGGGAACAUUCCAAGCCAAAUCACAAAACAAUGAUUCCAGCAAAGAAAGAAAGAAAAACAAGAAGAACAACAAGUCAAGCCUUAACAAAAAGAAUCAGAAAGGAGCCCAUCCACCUUGCCCUCAUUGCAAAAAAACGAAUCAUCCUCCACAAAAGUGCUGGUGGAGGCCAGAUGUCAAGAGCAACAAUUAUGGUCAAUUAGGCCAUAUGGAGAAGAUAUGCAAAACAAAAUAAGAAGGAGAGAUCAAGACUGCAACUACUGAUCAAUAUCAUGAAGAACAGUUGUUUGUUGCCACUUGUUUUGCUAGAAAAAACACAUCUGAAAGUUGGCUCAUAGAUAGUGGUUGCACAAACCACUUGACUUACGAGCAAGGACUUUUCAGGGAACUCAACAAAAUAAUCAUUUCCGAAGUAAGAAUUGGAAAUAGGGAAUACAUCUCAGCAAGGGGCAAAAGGACUGUUGCCAUUGAAAGUCUCUCAAGUUUGAAACUUAUCCCUGAUGCUUUGUUUGUUCCUAAUAUUGAUCAAAAUCUCUUAAGUGUUGGGCAACUACUUGAGAAAGGUUUCAAGGUGCUAUUUGAGGACAAGUUCUAUAUGAUCAAGGAUGCAAAUGGAAAAAAUGUGUUCAAGAUCAAGAUGAGAGGUAAAAGCUUUGCCUUGAAUUUUCUUGAGAAAUAGCAGGCUGUUGUUUCUCAAGAAAAUAAUAUCACAACUUUAUGGCACAAGAGAUUGGGGCACUUUCAUCAUAAUGGAGUGCUCUACAUGAAGAAGAAUCAACUUGCAGUAGGUCUACCUAACCUGAACCAAAAUCUUCCUACUUGCAUAGCCUAUCAGUAUGGAAAAUAAUCCAGACUUCCUUUCCCACAGAAAUCUACAUGGAGAUCAUCACACAAGCUGCAACUUGUACACAUUGAUGUUGGAGGACCUCAGAGAACACCAUCUUUAAAGGACAGUAAGUACUAUAUUGCCUUUAUAGAUGAUUAUACCAGAUAUUGUUGGAUUUUUUCCUAAAUUUUAAAUCUGAGGUUGUUGAUGUAUUUUGGAAGUAUAAGACCCUAGUAGAAAACCAAAGUGGUGCCAUCAUGAAGGUUAUAAGGACAGAUAAUGGCACUAAAUAUACUUCUGAAAGAUUCAACAAUUUCUAUUAAGAAGCAAGCAUAGAGCACCAACUGACUGCACCUUACAUACCACAACAGAAUGGAGUGGAAGAGAUGAAGAAUAGGACUAUAAUGGAGAUGACAAGAUGCCUUUUGCAUGAGAAAGGGCUACAAAAAAAGUUCUAGGUUGAAGUUGCAAACACUGCAGUGUUUCUACUAAAUAGACUCCCAACCAAAGCUUUGCAAAAAAAGACUCCUUUUGAGGCUUGGUUUGGAUAUAAACCUCUGUUAUUAAAAUUAAAAACAUUUGGUUGCCUUUGUUUUAGUUAUGUGCCUUAGGUGAAACAAGACAAGUUGGAUAAAAAGGUACUCAUGCUGACAAAUUCAUUGUUAGCAUAGAUGUCAAAUUCAUGGAGGAUGAUAAAUGGAGUUGGGAUGCUACAAAAAAUCAGAAUUUUGAGUUCCUUGAUGAAAAUAUUGAUGACAUUCCUGUAAGAAGCACCAAAUCACUUUUUGAUAUUUAUCAAAUGUGUAAUAUGGUUGUGUUUAAGCCUGCAGAGUUUAAUGAAGUUGUUGAGGAUAAAAAAAAGAAGGGUUGUAAUGCGGGAGGAGCUCAACAUGAUAGAGAAAAACAACACUUGGGAGUUAGUUGACAAACCAAUACAUAAAAAGGCCAUUGGUGUCAAGUGGGUUUAUAGAACCAAACUCAAUUAUGAUGGUUCUAUAAACAAACAUAAAGCCAGGCUGGUUGUCAAAGGUUAUGCUCAAAUGUUCGGUGUGGAUUUUUCAGAAACCUUUGCACCUGUAGCUAGGUUGGAUACAAUAAGGAUGCUGCUAGCUUUGGCUGCUCAAAAAGGUUGGAAAAUCUAUCAGCUAGAUGUAAAAUUAGCUUUUCUAAAUGGCUACCUUGAGGAGGAAAUCUUUGUGGAGCAACCUAAAGGAUUUGCAGUAAAAGGCAAAGAAGACAAGGUUCUUCAACUAAAGAAAGCCUUGUAUGGCUUGAAGCAAGCCCUUAGAGCUUGGUACAAUAGGAUUAAUGCACAUCUACUUGGUUUGGGGUUUAAAAAAAGUCAGAGUGAAUCCACACUUUAUAUUAGAAAAAUUAAUGUUGACAUACUUAUUAUUUCAUUAUACGUUGAUGAUUUGCUUGUAAUAGGAAGCAAUCAAUGUUUAAUGGAUAAAUUCAAAGCUGAAAUGGAGAAGGUCUUUGAGAUGACAGAUCUUGGAGACAUGUCUUAUUUCCUGAGAAUGGAAGUGCAUCAGAAUCAGCAUGAGAUAUUCAUCUGUCAGCAGAAGUAUGCAAAGGAAAUUCUAAAAAAGUUCAAGAUGGAGAAAUGCAAGCCCAUAGCCACACCUAUGAAUCAAAAAGAAAAGUUUUGCAAAGAAAAUGGUGUUGAAAAAGUAAAUGAAGAGUUAUAUAGAAGCAUGAUUGGAUGCUUGAUGUAUUUGACUACAACAAGGCCAGAUAUAGUACAUGUUGUAAGUUUACUCUCAAGAUACAUGCAUUGUGCUAGUGAAAUUCACUUGUAGGCAGCAAAAUGUAUUGUGAGAUAUAUAAAAAGCACUAUUGACUUUGGCAUCAAGUUCAAGUAGGUACAGAAUUUUCAUUUUCAUGGAUUUUCUGAUAGUGAUUGGACUGGCUGCGUUGAUGAUAUGAGAAGCACAUCAGGUUCUUGCUUUAGUUUUGGUUCAAGUUUUUUCUCUUGGUGCUCUAAAAAAGAGGAUAUCGUGGCACAAUCCACAGUUGAAGCAAAGUACAUUGUUGCUGCUGCUGCUGCAAAUCAUGCACUUUAGAUAAGAAAGCUGCUAACAGACUUAAACAUGGAGCAAACUGGGAGCACACAAGUCAUUGAUGACAAUCAAGCUGCAAUUUUAAUUGCAAGUAAUCCAGUAUUCCAUGGUAGGACAAAGCACUUCAAAAUCAAGUUUUAUUUCUUAAGGGAAAUACAACAUGAUGGAGAAGUAACUUUGGUACAUUAUAAAACAGAAGUACAAAAUGUUGAUAUUCUAACAAAAGCUCUACCAAGAACUAGGUUUGAAUUUCUCAGAAAAAGACUUAGAGUUUGUAGCUCCCAAGUCAAGGAGGAGUGUUGAGAAAAAUGCCUUAGUAGCUACAAUCAUGCUGGAAGACGUGUGAAAGUUGCUGUGAACUGAGGAAGCUUAAGAAUCUGUUAAGAAGGUUGCUUAGGUGUGAAGAGAUGUUGAAAUUGAGGUUGCAACCAUAAAACAACUUAGUCAACGAAGCUGAUAGAGUUUCAUGAAGCUAUUAUGCUGUUGUUGUUAUUUUAUAGGAAAUAGUUGUUAGUUCCAACUAUUUUUGUUGUUUUUCUAUUGUUUUUUGUUGCAAACUUUUGUAUAAAUGUUGCAUUGAUCAUUCAAUAAGAGUAGACAUUUUUGUUGUCUCAAAUACAACUUUUGGUUGUUGCUUCCAGCACUUCUAGAUUCUAAAACCUAUAGAUUCUAUGAAUUUUAAUGAUAUUCCAUCAUUUCUAGGCCUCUCAAACCUUCAAAUUAGUAGGGUUACAAAACAUAAUUUCUCAAACAACAUUCUUUCCAUAGUCAUAUCUCUAGCAUUGCUAUAACCCAGGAUCAUCAAGGACCAAGACAAAACAUUCUUGUUUGCCAUCUUCUCAAACAACUCAAAUGUUGUAUUUAUCUUUCCUACCUUAACAUACCCAUCAAAUAUUAUAUUCCAACUAAUAACAUCUCUAUUUGGCAUUUCAUCAAAAGCCUUCCUCACAUUUUCUUGAUCCACAUGGGCAUAAAUCACUCUCAACUAUUAACACAAACAACAUAGAUUUUAGCUAAUUACAAACCAAAUUGAUAUAUCACCCCUAGUAGUUGUAAUUUCCUUCAUUAAUUACCCUCCCAUUUCCACAUCUCUUUUUUUAUGCAACUCAUAAAAAAAUUUCAUGAAAUUUGAGUGUAGGUAGGAGAAAGCACGAAUCUCAGUGCACAAAAAUUUGAUUUCAAUCAUUCAAAAAAAAAUUAAUUUUAUGGAAAAACAUUAUAAUAGUAAAAUAACAAAUUGAGAAGGACUUUCUAAGAAAAUAUAAUCAAAGGAAAACAAGGUAAUCAAAAGACUCAUAUAAUGUUUUACUUCCAUUUUCUAAGUAACUAAAUAGAAAUGUGGAAAGGAAAGUACCUCCAACUAUGGAUGUAAAGAGUCAUUGUUAAUGAGAAAAUGGUGAGAAUUGGAAUCAUGAAAAGUGUAGAAGAAGACUGCUUGGACUAUGGAGAGUGAAGGAGAAAGAUAAUGCUUGUUGAAAGGGAAAUAGUGGGUUAUUGGGCAACACUUAGGGUUAUUUUAGGUAUAUUUGAAAAUUUUAAAAGUAUUUUUUAAAUAAUCACCUCUCAAGUGCUUUUCUAAAAAUUACUUCAAGUGAUUUUUUUCUUUUGAAGGUUCUUAAAAGUGUUUUUGAAAUCUUGCCAAACAUCUACUUUUCAUCCAAAAAAACUCUUUUAAUUAUUAAAAAUGCUACACUCUUCUUAAAAAUACUACUAAACAAGUUCUUAAUAGGAUUUUAUUUAUUAUCACAUGUUUCUUAGUCUUUAACCAAGGACAUGUCUAUACUAUAUAAUAAAAGCAGAGAUACAACUUUAUUCUAACUAUUUUUCAACCUUACUUUCUUUAAAUACCUACUGAAAUGUAAUUUUAUUAUUAUUCAUUAAUUAAACCAUUAAGAAUGGGAUUACUAUGAUUUCACCCCAACUCCAACUCCCUUUUCUACAAAAAGUAAAACUAAUUUUUUGGGAAUACGUAUGCAAAGUAAUGGCAUAGAUGAAGUUGUAAAUGGAGAUUAAUGGAAAUGAUAGAAGCGGGAUUUUGCUAGGGUUUUAGAGCCAAAGAGGAUGGGUUGGUUAUGGUGGGUCUUAAGGGAAGUGAUAGAGAAGUUGGGAAUUGAGGUUAGAUUUAAUGUUAAGGUUAGGGCUAGGGUUUCAUCAAUGGAUGGUGAUGAAGAUGAAGAUAUGGACAUCCCUUGCAAAAUCUACCAAUAUAAUUAGUUUAUACUAUAUAAUCAACUAAAAUUUGAAUCAAUUCUCCUUCUCAAACUAUGAUAAUAUGAUUUUAGAUGAUUUUUGAUAAUGAUUUCUUUUCCUCUCAAUGAAGCUGUAGAUCAAUUCUAUGUUUCAACUUGAAUAAGGGAUCCUUAGAAUCUCUCAAUAUUUAGUUUCUAUUUAGAUUAGGGAAUAAAGGAUCCCUAAGAUCUUUCAAUCUUUAAUAUCUAUUUAGUUUCCUAUAUAAAAUAAGAAGAGUGUAAUGGGGAAAGAAACGAAAAAAUAAUCUCAAUAAGAAAAAUUUGUUCUCUCAAUUUUGCAUCUUCUCCUUGAGUCAUAAGAAUUGGUGUUAGAACACGGUCUUGGCACCAAUCAUGGAUGAAGGGACUAGAGUGUAAGAACAACAUAGACUUGAAGAUACUAUUAAACAGUUGAAAGAAUCAUUGGAUAAACAAGCGACUACCUUAUUAGAACUAUCAAAGAUGGUUGCAACCAUAAACUUGAAAUUCAAACACAUGAAUUUAAGAAUAGAGAAGUCAAGUAAUGGGUACAGUGCCUCAAUCAAUAGAAGCAAGACAAACUAUCACUCACAUGGGAUAAACUCCAUUCAAACUAGUUUUCCAAACUCAAUUUUCAAAAUUUUGAAGGUGAGAAUUGGGAAUCAGGAAAAGAUAGGAUUGGCUUCCUUACAUUUAAAAGGAAGGGCCUUAGAAAGGUUUCAAGGGUACAAGGUUAGUAACAAGGAAAUCAAAUGGACACAAUUUUAUAUAGAUGUUGUUUCUAGGUUUAGGCCUAAUGUUUAUGAUAGCCUUAUGGGGUAAAUAACCAAUUUGAAAUAGGUUUCUACGGUUAUGGCAUACAAAAAUUAGUUUAAAGUAUUGAUGAUCAAAACUAGUGGGUUAUUGAAGGAAUUUUUUGUCUAGUGUUUCAUUAGUAUCUUGAAAGAGGCAAUUAAAAAUCAAGUCACCAUGUUUCAACCGAUCACAUUAGCCCAAACCAUCGAGUUAGUCUUGUUGCAAAAAUAAAUAGUGGAAGUAAUUCUCAAGGAAGUCAAGGACUCUAACGAAAGUAGGGAUAGUACAAUGAACUUUACAAGAAUCAUUAUGAAUCAUAAUAACAAAUUGCCACCCCUUAAGAAGAUUUCAGUUGUAGAAGUGCAAGAGAGAAGAAAAAAAGUUUUUUUUAUUAUUGUGAUGAAAAGUAUGAGUCUGGCUAUAAAUAUAAAAUGAGACAAUUUUUUCUAUUAAAUGGUCAUAAAAGUGAAGGGAAAGUGUGGACCCGCAUUUUUCACGUGUGUUCCCACUCGAUCGGCGAGACUCGCUUUUUAUUUGUGAAAAAUUGAUUUUUGAAAAAAAGUUGGAGUCGCCACCUAUUUUAUUUUUAUUUUAAAGGGAAAAUAAAACAAGAAAGAAAAACCCUAAAAAGUGACUCCAUAGUUUUGGAAAAAGCAUGUCUUUGAGAAACCCGAGUCUAGGUCCGGGGAUUAGGUUACUUAUUGGGAAGGUACCUCUAGGAGAUAGCACCCCUCUAAGCCCUAAAGAGGUCCCUACUGACUAAGUUAAGGGAAGUGUGGCCAUUAAUCAGUUAAUUAUGGAUACCUAAGUAGGUUAGGUGAUUUUAAAGUGUGGCAUGUCAAACGCAAUCAAAUUGCAAUAAAGAAGAGUUAGGGUGCGUACCUGAACCGUUCUUCAAGCGCUAUCAUAAAACAUAAAAGUUAGUGUAGAAAUGUAGCACACAACAUUUGUUUUAUUUAAGCAAAUCAAGCAUAUAUCAAGACAUCCAAGAAUCACGUCAAAUAUGGAUAUGGUCAUCAAUGACAUACAAGUCCAUAGAGUUCUUAAAAAAAUAGAUGAGAAGAGAGCGUACCUGGAUAGCAAGCUAGUACUCCUCUAUGGGAAACAGGAGUAUUUCGAUAAUAAAUACAAAACAAAUUCAUGUAUAUCAUCAAGAAGAAUCAAGGAUCAACACAUCAAACAAACAAUAUGGAAGAGAAAAUCAUGAAUGUAGGGCCCCCACCAAAGCCCUAAUUAAUUUUGCAUGAGUUGGUUCCAUAAAUUCCAUGAUUUGGAAUUAUGAAGUUUAUUCAUGCUUGUUGAAAAUCAAGAAGAUCAAUUGAAAAUCAAAUAAAAUAGUGAAAAUGCGUGCCGGAAGGAAAAUGGCAGCCAAGAAUUUAUUAAAGGUCUAGAUUUAAAUGUCUAUGAACUCCUAAGGAUGAAAUUUUAAAGGAAAUAAGAGUUAUUCAAUGGAAAAUAUAUUGAAAUCCAAAUUUAAAAUGAAUGUGUAAAUUCACAAGGGAACGGAAGGAGCAUCAAGAGGACAAGUGAAUCAAGCCAGCCAUGUUGGAGAGGGCCCUGUGACUAUGCUACUUAAUCUCUGUUUGUGCCUGGACAAUUGAACCUUUCCUAUAGUUUCUUCUUCUGUCUUUCGAAAUUCUCUGUAUUGAAGCAUGCCUCAAGAUGAAUUAGAAUUGUCCUGUUUGACGAAAACUCCCUUAAUAGAAACGGGAAGAAGAUCUGUAUCCCCAUUAAAAGCUCUACUAAUUCCAUAACAGUUCCAGAAUUCUGCAUCAAUUGGCCUCUUAGCUGAACAAACAAACAAAGUCUGUAUGUGCUUCCUAUUUAUCCAUCAAGGGCAAAUUGAAGAUUUCCCUGAUGUCACAUCGCGAGCUUCGUUCCAUCCAAAUCCUUCAUCAUUCAUCAGUAAUUAUAUCAAUUCUAGAAUAGCAGGGGUAGGGUGUGUAUUUUUCAAUUGCGCUGCUACCUUACUGGGAAAUUCAGACCAUUGCCACGAGUCCUCAUCUAUCCUCUCCAUGAAUCUGAAAAUAAUGUCUUGAAGUGGGGCAUUGCAUAGGAAAAAUUAUUGUUUUAGUAGUGAGAGCUUCCCAAUUUCGAUGUAGAGAAGUCAGUUGCAUCCUCCCAAUCAUCUGGCUUGGCCUUAGGCUGAUCAUCUUUAUAUUCUUUUGGAGGGUCAACACACUCGACAUUGCCAUCAUCAUAACUGCUGUUCUGACCUAAUGUGGCAUUCUCAUACCUAUUGCAAUCACCUUCUCCAUUCUCAGUUGAGAGCUUCAAUGCUACAACAUCUAAACAGGUGAGCAACCUCCUCCCCUGAGCCAGUGUUUUUUAGUCCCUCGAAUCAUGAAAAAUAGAAACUGACCAAGCAAAAUCAAGUAAACCAGUAAAACCCAAGCUUUGUCUAAGGCCAAGGCUAACUAAAGUCUCCAAAGUUUCAGGAUCUGAGAACUUGUCAAGGGGGAAGAAAACUUCUCUGUGAAGCAUGUCUUGCAAUUCGGGAACUCGAGGAUCAUAUAGCCUGGAUGGUUGUUGCCAUGACCCAUUGGCAGCCAAAACAAAGGGUGUGAUGGAAAGUGUAAGUUUAAUUGAGGUAUCUUCUUCAAUCAAAAGUUUCACAUCAUGUAAAAUGGCUGAAAGUGCUCCCUGCUAUGAAAGAAAUUCUGGCAUGCAAGUGACUACAUAAUCUUUGUAGAAUUCUGCCCUUGAAGGUUCCUUAACCUCUAAAUACCUUCUUAGGAUGAUUCUUUCUUUUUCUGAAUCCGUGCGUACAAAGUCAUCAUUCAAAAGAUCUUCAGACACACCAUUUGGUUUAAGCAAUUUAGUGGGUUUACUCAAACAUACUAGUUUUCUACUUCUGAACGAUUCAAACAUGGGAAGGUGUUUGAUGACAUCAAUAUGUGUGUCAUCCAUCUGACAUUCAGAGAACCACUUUGACUGAAGAAUAAAACUCCUGAGUUCAUGAAGCUCCCCUUCUGAUGCAUCACAGAAAAGUUUCUGAAAAUUCUCCGGAUUAUGAGCAAGUGCCAGUAAGGCAUUCAAAAUGCUAGUUGCUAUUGGCAGCUGCACAUAAUUUUUCAACUGUGGAUGCUCUAUAGGCAGGUCAUUCCUCAAAAAUAGGCAUCCUACUUUCAAUAACAAAGAACACAUGUUCUCACUCCACCCAUCAUCUUUUAUCACAUUUGAAUUUUCAAUCAGCUUCAAGAGAUAAUUAUUCCCAACUGGUAAAAUAGGCCACUUCGAAAAUUCUGAGAGAUCAUCACAACAUGACUUCAAAUAACUCCAUAGCAGCCUUAACCAUUCUAAACUUGGUUGGCCUUGAUGACCAGGGUUCCAAAUUACCUGUUUGGCAUGCUGCCACUCUGUUGGGAGUAAUCUUAGGAAAAGUUUUUCAAGCAAAUAACAUGUCAGAAAAGAAAUAUUUAAGUCUUCUAUUUGGGCAAUAUCACAUAGCUUCAUAUGAAUUCCUUCCGGAAUUCCAGAGUCUACAAGUUGAUGUGGAAUUGAAUCCUUAAGAAGACCAUACUCAUCUCCACGUGCAAUAUAAAUCCUUUCACCCACUCUCAUCUUGUCAAAUGCUGUAAAUAAACCAUUGGCAAGGGGUACCAAAGGUAAACCAUACAAACUAUCAGAUCGAACUGGCAUUUUCAAGUCAAGUAAGCAAUAUUCAAGUGUCAAUAUCAUUGCAUUCCUGUCCCUAAAUCCACGUUUCCGCCGAAUCAACAGAGUUCUCAGCAACUGAGGUGUCAGGAAACGCAAUGAUGGACAAAACUCCAUAAGCCUCUCGACAAGUGGCUUAGAAGGAGAAACGAGAGGUAGACCAGCAUCAGAUAAUACUUCUACAAGCUCAUGUGCCUUACUGAAAGUAAAAUCAGGAAAAACAGCUUGUUUGACGGAAAUCCACUGGCCCCCUCUAGCUUUUGUAUACAAUACAGAAAGACCAGAAUCAGCAAUAAAAUUAUAGAGUUUCUGCACCAUUGAUGCCCAAGGUUCUAUUCCAAUGCUAGUUGACCAAAAUGAAAAGAACAAAUCACAUGGACCAAGUUCCAAUGCAAUUUUCUCAAGCAAAUGACCAUAAGCAGGGGCAGCAGCAUCUUCAAGCAGGUAAAUGUUCCAUUCCGAGCAUUUUUUUUUCACCCCCUGCCAUGUCAUUGCCAAACCAGAUAUCCCUUCGAUUUGAUGACAAUUCAAAAUAUGCAUUAACAUGUGCUGGAAGACCAGUACUGAUCGGCAGUGGUAAAAAGCAGAAUGCACAACCCUCAAAAUUCUUUCUAUCUUGAAUAGAAGAAGCAGGAACUUUAAAGACAUCAGAAAUAGUUUCACAAGUUCUCUCAGUAUGUGGAAUAUCACUCGAUUCCCUAUCAACCUUGACAGAGUGUAAAUAUGCAGCAACACAAGCCCAAGGAAUUAAAUUAUGAGACUUCGAGGGUACAAAGCUCUUAACUUGCCCAACACCUAAACAUUCACUGGUUAUCCAAAAGUGUGACAUAUUUUUUUGACGAACUUUGCUCUAUCAUCACAAUCUUCUGACAUUUCCAUGGCAAAUUCUUAUCAACUGAUUUACUCAAUUUUUUUAGAAACUAAUCCUUAUCCAUUCCACUGUGAUGAUUUCCAUUAAAAAUGCUGAACAUAUGUAGAGAAUUGGGUUCAAUGUCAGGUUCACUGAUGCAAUGUUUAUGAACACGAUGUACGAGUUGCAUUUCACAACCAGUUUCUUCCUUAACAAAAAUGGAGAUGGUUUUCACAUUACGGACGAAAAGUAAAGCCUCUGAAACAACCUUAGAAAAAGAAGCAAAGAGAGACAUGACAUCUUCAGGUGCAUAGCCUUCUUUCUUUAUUUGGCUUCGAGAAGCAACACUUGCAUUCUUGAGAGGAAAACGAAAGACUGUGCCAGGAAAGGGAUUCUGCAAGUCAUAGCCAAAGUGUAGGAAUGGAAAGAACUGAUCUGGAAAUUGUUCCAGAAUCCUUCUCCCAACAUAUCUAAUUCUUAAACUAGGGUGGGAUGGAUAGAUUCCAGGCAAAUUACAGGCAUGAGGAUCAAACAUAACAAUAUUUUCCCCAGAAACAAAAGUUGGUAUGUCUGUAAAAUGAUAAACACAAUUAAAUCCCAGCCCAAAUCUUCCAAUAGCAAAUGGCUUCUCUAGCUUGCUUUCUUGACCAAUCCGCGAAAUUGCAUAAAGAUCUUGUGGACUGAAAACAGAGUCAUUGAAACAGUACAAAGCAGAGCCUUGCCAAUCUGCCAUUUCAGGAGAGAGGAUGGAAGAAGUCCCAUACUGGGUUUUCCGCGGUCAUCCCAUCUUUAAAUCUUCGAAGCUCUGCUUUCUCUCCCCAAAAAUUCCGGAAUUUAAGAGCCUCAUCUUUAUGCUCAGCAUUUGGACAAGCAUCGACCACUCUAAAAGCUUUCUCUAAAGAGCUGACUAAAAUCCCAAUGAGCAAUGGCCCUCGCUCAAAGAUCGAUAAGCCAUUUUCCACAUUGCAUUCUGAAGUGGCAUUUUUCCAACUAACACGGAUGAACUUUGCUCUAAGAGAACCAACAUUUCAUCAUAAAACCCAAUUGAUCCAAAACAGGAAACUAAGGAAUUAAUCAAAUCUUCUCUCUGGACAUUUCUUCGAACACACCGUAAGCACCUCAAAUAGAUUCAAAUACCAUACAGGAAGAGGGAUAGAGAACAAAUAAAAAAAGAAAAGAUAUAAAACCCGGAGACGAAGAAAGCGGAAGACAUUGAUCAAUAAACAUAAAUAGCUCCACUUCAAAUGUUAAUCCGUGGGCUGGGGACAGAGGAAGCAAUGCAGUAUAGGAUUUUUAACAAAAAAAAACAUGAUCAAAUUCAAGCAUGGAGUCAUGAAUUUCAAAAGACAACAAUGACACAUGCAAGAAUCAGAAUCUAAAACAGGGCAAAGAAGUGAGUAACCAAUCUCAAGAAAUCAAUUUGUGGCCCUUUCCGUCCACACCAAUCAUCAGUAUAUUAAAUGUUCAGAAACAAACACACGGAGAAAUCAAGUAUGGGUAAGAAUUCCAAGAGUGGCGAGAAUCAUACCUGGGCAGCCUUGGUUGCAAUUGCUCUCUUCUCCAAUUCCUUUUUGCUUCUCCUCAAGACGAUCCCUCAAAUCCCCUCUCUCUUUUUCCUCUCUCACAUAUAUAUCAGCCUCCCUCAAAGAACCCCCCAAAUCUACUGGAGGAAAAUCCACUUUCCUUUCAUAUUUUCUUCCCUUUUGUAACCGAUUCCCUCAUGGAAAUAAUAUACGUGCUAUCCUUCUAAAAACACAAUCUCCUCUUUUCAAAAUUCUGUUGAUUUUCCUUCCAAAUAAAUGGCAAUCGUUUCCUCAUGCCCAAAAAAUAAAUAAAUAAAUAAAUAAAGAUACAAAUAGAAAUAAGAAUAAAAUAAAGACAAAAUAGAAUAAAGAUUAAAAUCAAUAAACAUCAUGAAAUUGGAAAUCAAAAGAAAUUUAAAUCACACAUCUAAAAAAUAAAAUAAAUAAACAAAAAAUAAAAAAUAAAAAUAAUUAAAAACAAAAAAUAAAAUAAAAAAAUCAACCACAUGCAAGCCAUACAAGCUAUGUAACCACCAAAAGAAUAUGAGUCAUGCAACCAUGCAAAAACACGAGCCAUGCAACCAUGCGAACCAUGCAAAAACAUCUAAAGGUGACCUAGGGUGUGUCCUAAUGGGCCAAGUGUAUCUAAAAGCUAUCCUAAAAAAAAAUAAGAAAAGCCUAAGUCUAAGUUAGGGCUGCCAAGGGUCACAAUAAGGGAUCAAAUAAUCCCUCAACCAAAAUCUCCGAGGUGACUCAGAAAAAGGUAAGUGGUACGAGUAGUAAUGGGCCACCAAGGAACUACCGUGGAGCACUGGAAGUGAAUUUAAAGACAUGUGCUAAAGGAACAAAAUUGAGGGUCUACAAAUAUGCCCCUCUUCGAUAUAGAUCACGAGUGUAGAGAAUGCAAGUAGAAGCACGAGUAAUGAGCGAAAUGAAGUGAACUAUACCGAAGAAUUAAAGAAGGACCAAAGAUUUUGUCCUAGCACAUGAAGAGGUAAGGUCAAACAAUGGGGUCGCAAUGAGAUGGAAAUAAGUGAAAAGGGUGACUCAAAGUCAUGAAUGAGAUAAAUGAAUAUGGGUCAAGGACAAGAUGAACGAAUCUAGAUUUAAAAUAGGAUAAACGACUCUGGGUCAUAGGCUCAAGGCUCUAAUUGGAAAGAAUGACUCUGGGUCAAGAUGGAAAACGACUCUAGGUCGAGAGCCCUAGGCUCUAAAUGGAAAAGAAAUGACUCUGGGUCAAAAUGGAAAAUGACUCUGGGUCGUAAUGGAAAGUGACUCUAGGUCGAGAGCCCUAGGCUCUAAAUGGAAAAGAAAUGACUCUGGGCCGUAAUGGAAAAUGACUCUGGGUCGAGAGCUCCAGGCUCUAAAAUAGGAAAGAAUGACUUUGGGUCGAAAUGGAAAGUGACUCUGGGUCGAGAGCUCUAAGCUCUAAAAUAGGAAAGAAUGACUCUGGGUCGAAAUGGAAAGUGACUCUGGGUCGAGAGCUCCGGGCUCUAAAUGGAAAGGAAUGACUCUGGGUCAAAAUGGAAAAUGACUCUAGGUCGAGAGCUCUGGGCUUUAAAUAGGAAAGAAUGACUCUGGGUCAAAAUGGAAAAUGACUCUGGGUCGAGAGCUCUGGGCUUUAAGUAGGAAAGAAUGACUCUGGGUCAAAAUGGAAAAUGACUCUGGGUCGAGAGCUCUGGGCUUUAAGUAGGAAAGAAUGACUCUGGGUCAAAAUGGAAAAUGACUCUGGGUCGAGAGCUCCGGGCUCUAAAUAAAUAGCCGAUCAGGAUACUUUCCGACUCAGGGUGUCGGGUCGAGGCCACUCACAAGUGGCUAGAAUGAUGAAAACAAAACAUCUCAGGGAUGUGAAUGAUGCAAAUGACUCCGGGUCGUGAGCUCAGGGCUCGGGGUGCUAUGAAUGACUCUGGGUCAAGAUGGAAAAUGACUCUGGGUCGAUGAAUAGCUCAGGGCUAUGAGCUCCGGGCUCUAUGACUGAUCGGUUAGAAGGAGAAUGCGAUACGCAAACUCCAGGUCAAACCACUCAUGGGCGACCAAAUGAUGAAGGCUUAGCUAAGAGCUGGAAAGACUCUAGGUCUAUGGGAAAUGAUAGCUCAGGGCCACGAGGCUCAGGGCCUAAAGGAAAAAGAAUGCUCAGGGCUGUAAGACUCGGGGUCUAGAAGGAAUGAAUAACUCAGGGCUAUGAGGCUCAGGGCCUAGAAGGGAAUAAUAGAGAAGACCAACUCGAAAGUGGACAUGAAAUAAAUUGGCUCAAAGCCAUAUACUCAAAAUGUCAAGGGUCGGACUACUGAAACCAAGAAGGGAAAUAUGCCUCAGUAUCCAGGGUGCUCACACUGCUGAAACAACCAGUAAACCAAUCAUCUGCUAGAAUCAAUGGGUCAGAAACUGAUGCAUCGUGACAAACCUCUGAAAAGUCUAAACUGAAGGAACCCUCUAUGUCUGAAAAGCUGCUCUGUCGGUGAAUCUCAAAAGGUAAAUCUCAAAGAGUGUAUAUCAUGGCUCAUCUAAAAGUAAACCUCAAAGUGCAUAAAAUGCUGCUCAUCUGGAUAAUCCAAUCGACAAGGUAACAAUGACGAAAACAAAUCUGUCUCAUGAACAUCUGGCUAAAGGAUCCACCCACGCUCCUCGGGUGAAACCUGAUGCGAUCCAUUUCUAUCUCAACAAAUCCAUGUAGGGAGGCCCUGAUACAGUCGAUCGUCAGAAGCUCUGGGCUAGUACUCAAUCUGAAACCAAACUGGCCACUGUCCCAAUCUCAAGGAUACUCAAAGAAAAUGGGCAAAUAUGCCCCAGUAUAAGAUCCGAUAUCAAAGUCAUGAGGUAAACAACCGACACUAAUCAUCCAUCCUCAUGCCACUGCCCAAAUAAAAUCUCGUCAAGGAGGGGGGAAUAUGCCCCAGUAUGGAUAUCCGAUGUCGAAGUCAUGAGGCAAAAAAAAAAAAAAAACAAAAAAAAACAAAAAAUGAUCAUCCAUCCUCGUACCACUGCCCAAACACAAUCUCAUCAAUGAGAGAGGAAUAUGCCCCAGUAUGGAUGUCUGAUGUACAAUAAAGAGUCUGUCAAAAUCAACCAAACAUCUCUAUAACUAUGAAUAAGGAUAGUCAUACCGCACAAUAACAGAUAGGAAUCUCGAGGGAAUGGGGGAAUAUACCUCAGUGUGAAUAUAUAAUGCACAACCAAAGGAUGAAUCCAACAGCAUCAAUCAACUGUCCUCAGCUCAACAAUAAUACGCUAAGAAGUCAGAAUGAAGUAUCGACCAAUGCCUCAAGGGAGACACUCUAAAUCUAAUCUCAAAUGAAUAGCCAAAAUGAUGAGGAAUGUGGUAAUCUUAGGAGUAGAAGCACGUCUCUAAUGAAUCCCUAACUGAAUCCAACAUGAAUCUGGUAACCUCGAAAUGGGGAAAUAUGCCCCAGUAUGCCAGAUCUAUACACUGCACUGAAAACUGCCUCCAACUCAGUAAUAAUCCACUAGUCUAUCUCAGAAAUACUCCGCAAAUAGAACCAACUAGGGGCUCAAUGAUGCUACACUAGAACUGAUAUAGUCUCAACAUACCCCACUAGGGAUCUCUGAUCGGUGAAAAUGCCCAGACUCAAAGAAAGUGCUCCACUAGGGGCUCAUCUCAACCAAAGGAAAGGGGAAUAUGCCCCAGUAUGGAUAUCUAAUGCACAACCAAAGGAUGAAUCCAAUAUCCUCAACGAACUGUCUCCGAACCCAAAAAUCCAUCAAACACCAAUACGCCAAGCAAGAGAGAAACCAAAUGCUUCCAAAAGUAUCUUCCAUAAAAGAGAACAUAGUAACGACCAUACUUCAACCAAUCUACAAAAGUCUGUCCAAGUGAAGACUGUCAAAGAUAACAUCUGAUCUCAUGGCCUCAGGGUGGUCUUAAGACACGGGACGUAACGUAGGCCAAGGUGAUAGGGUGAAAGAAAUGAAGGGAAACUAGGCUCAAAUACCCAAUGAUCAAACCCGUACCCUCGUGUACAAGAUGUAAUGCAUAGAAAAAUCUCAUGAGUCAUGGACUUAGAAGUAACCAAAGGGAAUGUCGAUAACGAAAUGAGAGAAAUGAUGAAUGGUCAAACCAUCAAUGAAAUAUGUGAAUGAUGUGAAGAAGGUAUCAAAUCAGUAAUGGGUAUCAAUAUGUAGGGAAUGAAUAAAAGGUGGAACAAAGAUCUGGAAAGAGGUAAUGGGAUAUAAAAGAAAGCAAUGAGAAAGUGGAAUGAGUGAUGAUCAACCCGUGUUAGUACAAUAAAGGAAAGUCAUAUCACCAAUGAUGGAAUGGUGGGUAUAAGACAAUGAUUCGGAGACCCUAGUAAAAAGGUCACUCAUCUCUCAUACCUAAUAUAUAUCAAUCAUGAUCCAAGCAGCAUAGGAUCUCAUAGAACUCUCACAUGAACCCUCGACACUCCAAAUGUGUAACAAAAGUGCCUCAAGAGUGAAAAAACUCAUAAAAACUCGCAAAGACCCACAAUGACAAAUAUACCCAAUAAAUGAACCUCAAGAGGUGGCAUAAAUGCCCAAUGGAACGAGAUACCAUACAUGAGCAUAUCAUUGUGCUUUUCUUUUCUUUUCUUUUUUUUUUUUUUUUUUUGAUUUUUUUUUCAAAUUUUUUUUUUUUUUUUUUUUUUACACAUGCUCUGAUCAUCCAUAAAUCAAACUCCAAUGGGAAAAAUAUAAGGAACAAACAAACUCUCUCAAAUCACUUAUGAAUACAUGAACCAUAUCCCAUGAGAUAACCUCUCAAACCAAAAUCUCCAAAUCAAUGUCAAAUGAUGGAAUGAAUAGAGUGAUAUGACUGCCCUCUUUGCACUAAGAUGUGAAGAAUCAUCAACCCAAGGAAGAGAAUAGAUAAGAUGAAGCGAAUAAUGAUAAAGACAAGAAAGAGAAUGAAUAUGUGGUGAUAAUAAAAUAGAACAAAUAGGGUGAUAAGAGGAUGGUAACAAAAUGAGAAGAUAGACCUAUAAGUCUAAAGCUCAUGAGACUUUCCUAGCAAAGCAUGCAUAUACAUCAAAGGGCCCCAACCCGGGUAUAGAAAUGGUAAUCAAAGCUAUAAGAAAAAAAUAAGGCUAUAACAUACCACGCGAAGCUCAAUGGGCUAGCAACGGUCUAAUAUAUAGAGGUGAUAAAGUAUGAGGCUAACCGAAAUGAUGGUCACCCAUCCUGCGACCACGGUCUCAAACAUAAUACUUCUUCAGCUGAUCCACAUUGGUAGGCUCUGAAAAUUGAUUUCCAUCUAAGUCUGUCAACCAUGCAGCCCCUUAUAGAGUCAACUCUCGGAUAACAUAAGGCCCACUCCAACUAGGUCUAAACUUUCCCCUAGGGUCUCCAAUCAAACCUCUGAGAAUCCUCAAAACUAAGUCCCCUUUUUGCAAUGGUCUAGGCUUAACCCGUUUCUUGAAGGCACGAACCAUCUUUCUUUGAUAGGCCUGAACAUGAUCUGCUGCUCUCAAUCUCCUCUCAUCUAAAAGGUUAAGCUGAUCAAAUCGAGCCUGAGCCCACUCUGUCUCAGAAAUCAGCUGCUCAAGGGCUACUCUCAAUGAACCCAUCUCUAUCUCGACUGGCAAAACAGCCUCCAUACCAUAUACUAGGGAGUAUGGCGUAGCUCUUGUAGAGGUGCGAAAAGAGGUACGGUAUGCCUACAAUGCAAAAGGAAGCUUCUCUGACCAAUCUCGAGAAGUCCCAACCAUUUUCCUCAAAAUCCUCUUAAUAUUCUUGUUUGCAGCCUCUACUGUCCCGUUGGUCUAUGGCCUAUAUGCUGAAGAUCUAUGAUGUCGGAUGCUAUACUCCUACAACAAAGUGUCUACCUCAGCUCAGAAGUGCACCCCUCUGUCUGAAAUUAGCUCAUGAGGAACCCCAUAACGACAAAUAAUGUGUCAUCUGAUGAAACUGGCAACCCUAGCGGAUGUCAACCUCGCAUAUGAUGCGGCUUCCACCCACUUGGUGAAAUAAUCUAUGGCAACCAGGAUGAACUCGUGACCACUGGAAGAUUUUGGUGAAACCUUCCUAAUAAUAUCAAUACCCCGUACUGAGAAUGGCCAUGGCGAGGUCAAGGCGUGUAACUCUGAUGGUGGUGCAUGUAUGAGAUCACCAUGAAUCUGACACUCUGGGCAUUUCUGGACAAACUGACAACAAUCUAUCUCCAUAGUCAACCAGAAAUAACUCGUCCUCAUAAUCUUACGGGCUAGCAUGUGUCCUCCCAUAUGCGGACCACAAACUCCUGAAUGAACCUCUCUCAUCACUCGAUCUGCAGAGGCUCGAUCUAAGCAUAACAGAAGCAUACCAUCAGCUGAUCGUCUAUACAAAGUAUCUCCGCAAAUCACAAAUCUAGUAGCCAAAUGCCUCAAUGCUCUCCGAUCCUUGGCAGUGGCUACCUCAGGCUAUGUGCCAGAUCUGAGAAACUGAUAAAUGUCAUGAUACCAAGGUAGAUCAUCCUGGUCCUCUAUCUCUCCAAUCAAACAACAAUAAGCGGGUGCAGACCUCGACUCAAUCAGUAAUGGACGUAUGACUACAUCAAUCAGAAUGUCCAUGAAGGAAGCUAAAGUAGCUAAGGCGUCAGCAAAUCGGUUCUGCGCUCUAGGCAAAUGAACAUAUCUCAAGUCGUCAAAUCUCGCAACCAACAACUCUAAAUAUGCAUGAUAUGGUCUAAGCUUCACGUCCCUAGUCUUUCAAUCCCCCUGAAUCUGCCUGAGUACCAGAUUGGAGUCACCAAAUACCUCCAUCUGUCUAAUGCCAAGCUCUAAUGCAGUCUCUAAACCCAGGAUGCAAGCCUCAUACUCAACUAUGUUAUUCGUGAUAGGAUGUCGAUCAUGAAAAGCCAAACAAACAGAUCUCGGAAUAUGAUCGCCCUGAGAGGACACUAACAAAACACCUAUCCCAUACCCUAACUGAUUGGCUGCACCAUCAAAGUACAAGCACCAUCCUGAUAAGCUAGUCAUAGCAACAAACUCCUCAUCUGGAAAAUCAUCAUCAACUGGUCUGUCUUCAGAUGUCGGUAGUGAAGCUAAGUGAUCGAUGACAAUACUUCCCUUAAUAGACUUCUGAGAAACGUACUGAAUAUCGAACUCUGUCAAAAGUACGAGCCAUCUCAUCAAUCUACCAGUCAAUGCAGGUCUAUCAAACAAGUAUCUCAACGGGUCUAGACAGAAUAUCAAAUGCACUGAAUACUCUGUCAUAUAAUGCCUCAAUCUCCUGGUAGCCCAAACUAGUGCUAAGCAAAGGCGCUCAAUCAUAACAUAUCUCAUUUCAUACUUCAGCAUCCUCUUACUCAAGUAGUAAAUAGCCCGUUCCUUCCCUGAGUCAUCAAUCUGAGCUAACAUACAUCCCAAGGCCAUGUCUGAAACUGACAAAUAUAGAAGAAGUGGACGUCCUGGUUUAGGAGACACUAAAACAAGAGGAUAAAGCAAAUACUCCUUGAUCUUCUCAAAUGCAGACUGACAGUCAUUAUUCCAAACUAUUGGCUAGUUCUUCCUCAAAAGAAGAAAGAUAGGCUCACAUAUGUCUGUCAAUCUGGCUAUGAAUCGAUUGAUGUACUGUAAUCUGCUUAGAAAACUCCUGAUCUCUUUCUCAAUCUUUGGUGCAGGCAUGUCAAGUAUGGCUUUGAUUUUAUCUGGGUCAACCUCUAUGCCUCGCUCACUAACCAUAUGCCCCAAUAAUUUCCCAGAAGUCACUCCAAAGGUGCACUUCUUGGGAUUCAACCUCAAUCUAAACUUCCAUAUCCUCUCAAAGAAUCUCUCUAAAGCAUCUAGGUGAUCUGCUCUACCUCAGGAUUUCACAAUCAUAUCAUCCACGUAAACCUCGACGUCCCUAUGCAUCAUGUCAUGAAACAAAGUGGUAGCGGCUCUCUGAUAAGUGGCUCCUGCGUUUUUCAACCCAAAUGGCAUAACUCUGUAACAGUAGGUACCCCACUCAGUAAUAAAGGUUGUCUUCUCCAUAUCCUCUAGAGCCAUCAAAAUCUGAUUAUACCCUGAAAACCCAUCCAUGAAAGACAACAUCGAAUGGCCUACGGUGCCAUCAACCAACAAAUCAAUGUGUGGAAGGGGAAAGUCAUCUUUAGGGCUGGCUUUAUUGAGAUCUCUGAAGUCAACACAAACCCUAACUUUGCCAUCCUUUUUAGGAACAGGGACGACAUUAGCCAACCACUCUGGAUACUCAACUACUGAUAUGAACCCAACAUUGAGUUGUUUUUUAAUCUCCUCUUUUACCUGUAGACUCCAACGUGGAUGCAAUCAUCUCAAUUUCUGCUUAACUGGCCUAGCAUGUGGUAGGAUAGGUAAAUGGUGCUGGACUAUAGAGGGAUCAAGACCUGGCAUGUUCUCAUAAGACCAUGCAAAGACAUCCAAGUAUGACCUGAGUAAAUGGAUGAGUCUAUCUCUCUCAUCUGUAGAUAGGGGUGAACCAAUCUUCAGCUCUCUAGGCUGAUCCUCUGUGCCAAAAUCAACAGUCUCAACAUCCCCUGUAGCAGUUGAAACUCUCUCAUCCAUGGGAUCAGAGUCAUGAUCAGAAGAGUCCCUAUCCGAAUCGGGCCAUGCAACUUCAUCAUUUAUAUCAAAUAUCUGUGAAGUGGGUGAAUGGGGUGCAGAUAUAGAGGUACUAUCACAAGAGACAGGCGAAUACUCAAAAAUGCUCAAAUUCAUAAAUGAAGCAACAGAAACAUCGUCAGAGCGGGAGACAAAUCCCGAUAAAACAUCAAAAGAAAGAUGUGGGUCCACAAGGUCAGAUGCUCCUUCAACUGAGCUAACAAUGCCCUCAAACAAACUACUAUCAUCCUCUGGAAGCCCUGGAACAGGAAGAGUCUGAGUCCCCUCAAGAACCUCAAUGGUAGACACCCCAAACAUAUCAAAUGCUGAGACAGGCUGAAGUUGAACAAUGCUGGUAAUCUGGCCCAUGGUCAUCAUGUCCAUCUCAUCUCGGUACUCAUCAUGGGAAACAACUCCAUCAAUCAUCUCAGUAGAAUCAACCAUCACCCCAUCACCAGUGAUCUCCUCUGGAAAGCAUAGAGACAACAUGCUAGCUCGAUCUGGAGACGUGGGAGUAAUAGUCAAAGGGAAAGAAGAGUCGGGAGCCCCAUCACUCAACUGUAGCUGGUGAAAUAGAUGCUGAAGAUCGGUCUCUCUAUCUGUAUGAACCACACUAUCAAUCUCCUCUAGACGAGGUCGAGUCUCUGAUCCUCUGACAAAGUAGUCAACCAAACUCAUCCUAUAGGGUCGAAUAGGAUAGUCAAAUGGUGUGCGGGAUAAACGGGCUCUCACCUUCUCCUUGCGCAGCCACGCCAUGUGACGGUAAUCGGCCUCAGUGGGGAUGAAUCCAAGUCCAAAUGUCAUAUCAUGGUCAAUGGCAGCUAUGAACUCGCUCGGUCCCUACUGACGUUGUCCUAACCCCAUGCCAGGUAGAAAGGUCAUACCCCUCAUCAUAUCAAGGACCACUGUGCUACUGUGUUGAUCAAAUGACAUAGCCCCAAAGUCUCUACAAAAAUCCUCAAUCUCGAGAGUCUGUAUCUCAUCAAAAGUAAACCCAGUCAGAAGUAGGUCGUCCUCAUUGUGACUGAUCUGAAGUACUGGCUCAGAAGCGGCAAAUAUAUCCCUGGUAGAGCGCACUGUGAUGACCUGCCCAUCAUGAAUAAACUUCACCUUCUGAUGAAGGGAAGAAGGAAUAUCUCCAGCUACAUGAAUCCAUAGUCGGCCCAGUAGCAGGUUAAAGGAUAUAGGGAUCCUCAAAACCUGGAACAAAGUGGAAAAUGUGGCUGGAUCAAUCUGCAAAUCAAUCAUCAAGGUACCCAUAACCUCCUUCUUGGUGCUAUCAUACGCCCUGACUGUCUGAGUAGAAGGACCAAAAUCUGAAGGCGCAAAACCAAGGGCUAUAACAAUGGCUAAAGGGCAAACAUUCAGGGCUGAGCCGUUGUCCAGUAGGACAGACGGGACUCUACGGCCUGAACAUCCAACUGUGAUGUAUAGAGAACGCACGUGGUCUAAACCAUCAGGUGGCAAGUCAUCAUCUGAAAAUACAAUGCAAGUGGCCCUGCCAGCCGUCAUCAUAUGAAUCAAUCCCUCUGGAGUGGUGGUAGUCUCUACUCUGAUCUGACUCAAGGCUCGAAUCAAAGCAUCUCUAUGAGUACUGGACGAUGCUAAUAAACUCCAGAUGGAAAUGCGAGCCUGAGUGCUCUGUAGUUGUCUCAAAACCUCAUCAUCCUCUCUCCUAACCUCCUCAUGAGAGGCUGUACCCUCAAAUGGUCUGACUGCUGGUGGUGGUGGUUGAGCUAUCCUCCCACUACGAGUCACAAUCUGUAUCUCUCUCCCUACUGAGUCAUCAUCCUCUGGCCAUAAAGUGAAUGGGACAAAAGCAUCCUGACAUCCGAUAACUAAAGGUGUAGGAUGAGUCAACUGGAAUGGUGCCUCGUCCGGGAUCAAACUGAAUGGUGCAGGAGUUUGAGGGACCACUGAAACCCCAUCAACCUCAUAACUGUCAUGCAAAACAAUCGGCUCGGGUAAUCUAUCAUCCCAACUCAACAUGUGUAUACUGUCAUCCUUUAUAAGGUCCAUGUGAUGAAUAUCUCCUGAAGGUGGAUGCACUGUGUGUGUAGAAUGAGCAGGAAGAGGGUUAGUGGUCACACUUGGCUGCCCUAAGUUGACCAAACCCUGUGUGGACCCCACAUUUCGUGCUCAUAUGUUUUCCACUCGAUGGCGAGCUCGAUUUUUAUUUGAAAAAUUGAUUUGUCAUUGAUUAAGAAAAAUGACUUGGAGUCGCCACUUAUUUUUUUUUUUUUUUUUUUAAAGGGUAAACAAAAUAAGAAAGAAAACCCUAAGUGUGACUCCUUAUUUUGGAAAAGGUGAUCUACAAAAAUCGGAUCGGGUUCGGGGGUCAGGUUACUUAUCGGGAAGGUACGGUAAAGACCGUAGCACCCCUCUAAGUCCCUAAAGUCGGGUCUCUACUAAUGAGAUGAAGCUAACAUGGCAAUCAAUGAGAGAAUCGAUGAAUACUCAAAUCGAUCAUGCACAAUAUGAGAAGCAAAGCAUGUAUAAAGAAAGAGCAAAAUAUGAAUAGAUGCGUACCUGGGCGGCAAUCACGAAUGCGCUAUCAUGAAACAUGGUUAGUGAACAACGAACAGAUAUAAUUAAGCGCAUAUCAAGGAAUAGAGUAAAUAAAUCAUGCAUGACAAAUAAAUCAACCAAACAGUCAAUCAAUCAUUCAAUCAAUCAUAAAGUCUCAUAUGUAGGGCCCUCACCAAAGCCCAUUUAUUUUUGUAUGAAUUAAUCCCAUGAAUUUCCAUCAUUCGGAAUUACGGGAAUAAAUUCAUACUUAUUUUAAAACAUUUUUUAAAAAAUAAAGAAAAUUCGAAAGUGGCUUGCCGAAAAGAAAAUGACGGCCAAAUUUUAUUGAAAAUGGGAUUUUGAUACCUAAAACUCUAAGAAUGAAAAUUUUGGAGUUGAGAUUAUUUCUAAAAAUGAGGAUCUGGAAAAUUAUUUAAAAAAAUGAGGUCUGAAAAAUUAUUGUCAAAGCCGAAGAGGAUAAAAAGGGAAGAUGUCACGUGACCAAAAGUGGUCGUGCAACUGGAUACGUGCAUGCAUGGGACUGGGGUGGAAUGAGGGGAUUGGAUUCUUCAAGAUUGGAGACUGCUUGGAAGCAGUCUGUAGCAUCAUCUAUUCGUCCAUCAUCUUUGUGAGCCAUUCCCAGGUAGUACCAAGCCAUUUGAUUGGUAGGCUACAUCCUCAAUGCAUCUGAAAGUAGGUUUCUCGCAGUAGGAAAUGCCUUCGAGCCCAUCUUCAACAACAGAGCACCAAUCAAGAUCUUGCAAGGCACAUAACCCGGAUCUAGUAAAAGGGCAUUGAUAUAAGCAGUCAAAGCUUCUUGGAUUUGCCCAUGACCUUCAAAUUUAACACCUUCUGCAUGCAGUAAGUCCACUGAGUAUUCUUUCAACUCUCCAGCUUUUCCACUGAGUAUUCUUUCGACUCCCCAACUUUUCCACUGACCACCAGCAUAGUUACUACCCGUGAAAAGAGCAUGAGCAAGGGAAUAGUCCUUUGCCUUGUAAUGCUCAAAGCCAUGUACAGGCAAGGCAUCUAUCGCAAGCUCAUCAUUAUUCCAUAUGACUAUGUGUACUUCAGGUCUUUACGCAUUUCCCUGGCGUGAUGGAAUGGUGCUGCUAAAUUCAUUCUCUCCAUCUUCUUCUCUAGGAAUAUAGGCUGGUUCAUGCUGGACUUGGAAACAUUCUUGUGAGUCUCAUUGGUUCCAUUAGACUGAUUUGCUCUUAUUGAAGCAAUCUUCACAGAUGUUCCCCAACCAAUGACCAAGAGAGUAUCAUCCUGCCACACUAAGCGAGGGACCAAAAUCUCAAGACGUGAGCUUCCUCGGUCUCUGAAACUUCCUCUUUCUGCAAUUUAGCCGUGGCUAAAUCUUUGGUUUCCGCUUCCAUUGAGUGCUCUUCUAAUUGGUUCAAAUCUGGAGUUUCAUCAUCUCAUGACGUGAUGUCAAUUGCCUCAUCACAUUCAUCUUGACUACCAUCUAAAAUUCUAGCUUCCUCUGCUUUUAUCUGUUCAACAUUCUCGGACUCAGAAACAGCACGUAUGGCGGGCUCCCCUUCUGUUGCAUGUUGAAAUAGUGCUUCAAGCUCAUGAGUUUCUAGAUUUUCACUAAUCGAAUGUUGCUCUGAUUCAUUCAUGUCUGGAGCUUCAUAGUCUGCCAUGGUGACAUCAGUUGUCUUGACACAGCUAAUUUGGUCACCCUCUUAGACCGUAUCCUCUUCUACUUCAAUAUUUCCAUCAUUCUCUGACUCAGGAACAGCAUUAGUGGCAGCCUCCUCUUCAAUUACCCCUUGUAGCAGUUCUGCACCCUCAUUCAUUUAAUGAUAAACCCACUGCUACUAGAACCAUAUUGCUAAUUCCGCUGUUAUAGCAGCAAGAAAUUCGAAUCUGUGUGCAGGCAAGACACCUUCAUCAAUUUCGGUACCAAUAGAUUCCCCUACAUUCCCUCGCUAACCCAGAACCAAACUCUCACCACCUGAGAGAUAAUUGAACGAAUGGAAUCGAAGUGCUUCUGGAGGGUCAAGGCAGCCAAGAGUGUAGGGUAUGUUACCAAGGAUGGUUUACAUAUUUCUUGGGUUUCAGAGAUUGAUGAUGGAAUAAAGCAUGUAUUGGACUAAGGACAUGGAGGUUUAGAAAAAGAAGUGGGUAGAUGAAUGUGAAGGAUGCGUGGUGCAGGAGAUGGGUAUGAGAAGGUUGAAUAAUGAGAGCAAAGGACUUUGUGUGUAUUAAGUGAUGGAAUGAAAAUGGAUGAUGUGGGGCAUGGUGAGGAAAAGAAUGGAUGAGUUGGGUAUUGGAGAGUAGGGUGGUGAUUAGUGAGGUAUGCCAGAUGGUCUUAGCUAAUGAAGACAAACAUGGUAUGGGUAUGGUGAUAAUAUAGAGAGAGAAGUGGGUAUGUGAGUAAUGGAAGUGUAUGAGGGGUAUAGAAGACGGGUGACAUGGGUAUGCAAAUGAGAAUGGGUGGUAAGAAAAAAUGGGUAAGCUGAUAGACAUGAUGAAGUGAAGACAUUGGAGAUGGUGGGCAAAAGAGAAACGAAACAGGGGUAUGGAUGUGGCCCCUUGAUUAGGUAUGAUCUCUUGGCACUCUCCCAUCAUUUUAUGUACUUCAAUUGUUUCACUUGCAGUGUUCUGACUUAACACCAGAACCAUUCCCACCAAACACUUUAGUUUGAUCCUCUUCAAUAAUGGUCAAACAUUGAACAGAAGAUUCAAAAUCUCCAGUCUUCUGCAUUGACAGAUUUUCUGCAUUGUGUUAAUUUCUCACCACCAAGAUUUGACUCAGCAACUCCACAGACUGCACCCAAACAUUGCACUUUUACCUCGUCAUGCUUACUGACAUCAAGUACUUAAGAACCUUUAUCCUGGUUUUAAAGGCAAGAAUGUGUUUCUGUUAUAUCGAUUUCAACUCUGCUUGGAUCUGAAACUUCAUACAAAUCCUUGUUUUCAGUUUCAGGUAAGUUUCUCACGGGCACAUUCAUAUCAUCCUCUGCAGCAACCUGGGAUUCAAAUAGACUGCUUGCAAAUUCAAGGAUACUCAUCAUAAUAUUUUCCUUUCCUUCCCUGCUUUCCUUUUCUGUUAUCUCACAUUUUGUUAUUUCAACCUUGUCAUUGUCUCCUCAAGAGCUUCAGAACAGAGCCCCAUCCCAAGCUCAUGUAGGUCAAUGUGAACAUCUGGGUCAAUACCAACAUGGGUUCUGAACAGUUGAGUAAAUCUAAAGAGCCAACCAUCCAUCUCCACUUCCUUGGGCUCAAGGUCAUCCGAAGCUCCAGCUUUCUCCUUUGGAGUUUCAUUCUCUGUCUUUUCAAUCUCUGCACCCACAGUGUCCAGCACUGAAUCACCUAAUGAAGAGUGAGAGUCGUUAUCCUCUCCCUCAAGCCCCUUACUCUCAGGAGGCCUCUUCUUCUCUGUUAACACUCGCAGCUGAACGUCCAAACCCUGUUCUCGAAGUGACAGUAUCUCAUAUCUGAUGGGUAGGCAACAUUGCCCCUUGCUAAGACCCAAAUAUGUACCCUGAACCACCAACAGUAAAAAAGAUAACACUAAUGCCCUGAUAUGGCCAUCACCAAUAUUUUUUAGCAUAAUAACCCAGCAAUCUCACGAACAAACGAAACAAACUGCUACCCAAACUCAGAAGCUGUGCCCAUAAAGAAAUCAAAGUAAUGCUAGCCAAAAACUCUUCUCCUUAGAGGGCAUGAAUGGCCAUCGAGAACAGAACAUGAACAGCAAGGAUGCAAGCACAAAAACAGAGUAUCAAUUGAACCAAAGAAAACACCGACCCGAGCUCUAUUUCAUAUUGGAGUCAAUAGGCACAUGUAUAGGUGGGAAAAUCAGUGGAAAUAGGACCCAAAUACAUGACUCAGACACCCAAUGGAGAGAUAAAAAGGAAUCAGAUCACUCUUAAAUCAGUUUUUCAUGAAGAACAAGGCACAAAUUAUUUAUAACACAAUCACAACAAUAUCAAGGAAAACUACUGCAACAAGUAUAUGGUCCAGAAAACGCACCUGAAAGGCUUCCCUCCAACUGAAAUGAGCAAGGAGACUGUUGUGUUUUUCCUCUCCUCACGGUUUGCUUCCUCCGGGAUCCCCCUUCUCUCCGUAACCAGCCUCCAGGAACCUCCCCACUCCUCUGGUUUCUCUCUCUGGUUUCACUCUAAAAAAAAAUGCUCUGUCCUGAUUACUACCAAAAAGUGCUAUUUUUUAGACCUAAUUAUAAUGGUUUUAAGCACCUUUGAGUAGUAAUCAUAUUCAUUUAACCCAAUUAAUUCAUUAAGGUCCUUAGUAAUUGGUUUUAACCAUUUUGUGGCAAGUUUACAUGUUUUUAUCAGCUUAUGAAUCAAUUCAAGCAUGCCAAAUGAUGGAGGAGCUACUUGAACAAGUUAUGGCAAAGCUUUUAGAAGCUCAAAUUCAUGAAGAACCAAAGCUUUGAAGUCCUUUUCCAUAAGCAAAUCCGGAAUGCAAGGAGGGAAAGCAAAGAGAAAUCUGCCAUGAAGCAUUCUUGAUGACAGUCAUGUCAGCCACUUUUGGAGCACUUUCUGAAGUCCAAUUGAUGCAUUCUAUAUACCAUUUCAAAUCUCAGGAAGUCAACAAUCCACUGCUUCAAACGGUGUGCAAUUUGGAGUUGAAACGAAGAAGUUACAGCCAUUGCAAGCCAAUCACUCCAACCUGAAGGAAGCAUUUUGCAAAGUGUUGCGAAAUCACCCUUUUGUUGCGAAGUGAUUCCGCAGCCUUUUUGUAUAGUAGGGUGUAUUUCCUUCUGAAGUUGCCCGACAUAUACCGCGAGAGGGAAGCUUAGAACCUCAAGGUGGAAGCCAACUUUGCAGCCCUGCGAAGAUAGCAUGUUGUUGCGAAAUGAUUUCGCAGCCCUCUUGAGUGUCUACGAAAUCUCGCAGACACCAUUUUCUCUUGCGAAAUGGUUCCUGGAGCCUCCCGAUAUUUGCUACCGACAUUGGGAGAUAUUUUGCAUCAGAUUUUUGUUGUCUAAAUCCCAAAAUACUCCUUGUAAGCCACCAAUUACAAGAUUCCUUAGCUUUUAAGUUAGUAAAAAGAGUAAAUAUGUAUGUAAUAAUUAGUUUUAUAUUAUUUUCUUUAUAUAUAGCUCUCGGGAGCUUGUUCUCGAGAGAGGAUCUAAGAUAGAAAUAGAUAGAUAUAUCAUAUAUAGAAUCAACGAACAGAGCACUUGCUCUGUUUUUCUUAUAUAUUCUUGUUUUCUCGUUAGUUUUCUUGCUAGCCAAACAUUCUCUAAGGAUUUUUCCUCAGAGGAUGAGAGGCUAGGCUCUUUGUCUCUUGGAGUGAGGAAAGCCGAGUAAGUUUCCACAUGCAUAAUUUGGAAGUUUUGUUGUUUUAGUUUUUAAUGAAGAGAAAUUGUGACCCUUUAAUGGUUUUUAUCUUUUUAGUUAACUUAAAAUGCCUUUAAAUCAUCCUGGGCCAACACUUGGUAAGGCAAGUGAUCUCCAUCCAUGGAGAUUCACUAGUUUACCCCUUGCGAGCCUUUGGGAGGUGACUUGAAGGUAGGAUUUUCUAGAAUAGCCAACACUUGGUAAGCUUUUGGACUCCAAGGAGACAUCCAUUAGUUAUCUCUUGCGAGCUUUUGACGGGUAAUCCAAGGUUAAAGAUCACCUUGAAUGGCAAGUGCUAGGUGAGAGGUAUGAGCCAUUGCAAGGUGCAUCAGUGAGAGGGAUUUAGUGUUUGAACCCAUUAAUGGGAAGCAUCUGUACAACACCGGUUGGAGAAGGAACUAUAUGUUAAUUCUCUAAUGCGAGGAAAAGAAACAAGUGACCGGAACUCCCUUUUUGUAUGAGGAACCUAAGCCUAGUGAUCUAAACUCUAAGAAACACUUUUCUUUGUAAGUAAAAUCAGUUACUAUUUGUGGUUAGUUUAAAACCAAACAUUUUCCAACUCAAGUUUAUGUUUUCUUUUAAAGCUAACCUUGAAAUGAAAAAUCACCAAUUCAGCUUUGAAUUAAUAUCAUUUGCAAAGUGAAAACCCAUCCCAGUGAACGAUCCUAGAGCCACUAUGCUAUAGUAGCUUUGUCUUUGCUACCCUAGUAUAUGGUGUAAUAGGUUAUAAAUUUUGUUGAUUACUACCUCAAUCAAGGAGCACCAGCUGGACACGAAUCAGCUGAGACACCAAUUGGGCACGAAUCAAAUGGCGCCGCUGCCGGGGAUCGAACCCCGAAUCAAAUGGUGCCAUUGCCACUGCCGCUGCUAGGGAUGAAUCAUGUCCUCUCUCUCCUGAAACAUGCUCCAUUUUUCUCUCUCUGGUUUCACUCUAAAAAAAUGCUCUGUCCAGACGACACCCCCUUCCUGUAGCUGGCAACCUCUCCAAAAGCACCUCACCUCCAUCUGCCAGCAUCUGCUCCUCUAACAGCCAGUAUAUUCCCAUGUACGCGUCACCUCCUGAUUGGCUCCCCAAACCACUAUUAUGAUUCUCUCAUGGCUUCUCAGGUGCUGACACGUGGCUGACCAAGGCUCUUCCACGUGGUAAAAUUGAGCUGCAAGGUAGGAAUGACCUAAAAGGGGGUCUACACCCUGAUCUAUCAAAUCCUGAAUAGCAUGUCUCAAAGCAGUGCAAUGGUCUGUGUCAUGCCCUGGUCCCUGAUGGUAGGAACAAUGUAAGUCCAUCCUGAAGCGAGGUGGUAUGGGUUGGGGUAAAGGCCUGGAUGCUAAUGAAAUCAGUAAUCCACCCUCUGUGAGCUUCUGAAAAGCUUGAUUCAAAGGCAUACCCAACUGAGCAAACUGACGUGGUGGCCUCUGCACAUAAGUAGUGGUCUGUGGAGCUCGGGGUCAAGUAUAUGGGGCAAGAGGCCUCUCUGCGACGUGUGCAGCAAAAACAGGUUGUGAGUCCGGAUGCAGAUAAGUAGGAGUCAUAGGUCUGGAAGGAGUAGGUGGUCUGUAAUGGGCAUUGAGGUGAAGGUGGAUAGUAGUACCCAAGAGUCUGCCUAACUGUCUGAUAGCGUCUAGAAGGUCUCAUCCUUGCUGAACUGAUAGCACCAACAUCUCCUGAUCUCUGUCCUCCUGAAGGCCUCUUCCCUUUAGAAUCAGUAGGGGAGGACUCAGACCAUAAUCCUCUAGCAAUGCCCUCCUCUAUACCAUACAAAGCCUGUACCAAAGACCCAAAAUCUGUGUGAGGGAAUCCCAUCAAGUGUCUGGCGAAUCUAGGUUGCAAGCUCCUCAUGAUCAUGCUAAUCUGAUCUCUCUCUGAAGGACAAUCUAUAAUCUAUGAAAUCUUCUCCCUCCAGCGGGAGAUAAAUGAAGUAACUGACUCCUCUGGCCUCUGUCUCAAAGCCUCCAACUCUCUCCUCGAAACAUCAAUGACAGUGUUAAAUGCAAACUGUCUCAAAAACUCCUGGGCUAAGUCAUCCCAAGUCCUACGGCGUGAUACCUCCAAUGAAGCGAACCAACGCUGUGCAGCACCACUCAAUGACAUAGGGAAAAGCAUAACUAUCUGGGCAUCAUCCAGUCCAUGGGCCCUCAUAAUAGUACUAUAGAGUCUCAAAUGGAUGCGAGGGCAUCCUAUGCCUGUGUAUCUCUCAAUCUCAAGCAUCCUGAACUUGGCCGGUAGACAGGCCACUAGUGCUCCAUCAAAAUCCUCCCAAGUAAUAGCUCCCUCUGAACUCCUCAUCUGUCUCAACUUCUGCUCAAGUUUAUCCAUACGAACAUGUGGAUCCUCUGAGAUCGGAGUAGGCACUAUGGCAGGAGGUGGUGCAACCUCAGUCUGACUAUGCAGAGUAAAAGAUAUAGUCUGUGGUGCUGGCUGACUGUGCGGAGGUGGUCGUGGUACUGUUGUAUCAAACUGGAUAUCCUCCUGAACUGGGACUUGUCGGGCCUGCUACCCAUCUAUCCUCUGGCCAAGGCUAGCUAUAGCCUCCUGGAUCGAAGCCAUGGCCGCAGCAAACUGGUCAAUGGUAACUAUCUGAGAAUCCAUAUCCCCCUGAUCUGAUCUCUGGUCUAACUGGUUGGAUGCUCUGGUCAAUCUGCCUCCAACUCUAAUCCACGAAGGUGAAUCCAGACUGGUCAGGGUAAACUCUCCUACAAGUAUGGAAACACUGGAUAAGGUGCGGUACGAAAGCGACUCUGUAUGAAUCAACUGAUAAGUGUGCAAGAAAAUAGCCCAAAUGUACUCAAUCUGACAUCCUCCUCUGAUUACACCAAAAGGAGACUAAGGAAGGGAUAACCAAAUCCAAUCGUGACCAAGGCAGCUCUGAAGGUCCACAGAUGCACCCACGUGUAGGAAUGAAAUCUUAAUUAGGUCUAGGAUAACCUACAAGGUUAAGGCGGCUCUAUAAGAUAAAAUGGGUGGGUCAAAGGAUCCCUAGCAGAAGCGAUCGUACCCUCCGGCGGUACGCAACCCUCUGCACGCCUCCACGGAGACGGGGUGCUUCCAUGCAAGGUGGUCAUUACCUCCACACAUGCACUUCCUCGCGCUCCCAGGGGGUUUCUUAAGGUUGAAGGCUCUCCCAUCUCUCAACACUCAGGAAUAAUCUAAAGUGCACAAUGAAGGAUAUGGGUGCAUCCGAAAAACCUAAGAUCUAAAGUGAGAGAGUGAACAAAGACAAGCGAUCAUACGAUCAUGCAAGAGAAAGGGUUGUCAUGCAACAAGCAGUCAUACUAAGCAGAUGAAUAUCAUAAAAUCAAAGUCCUAUCUAGCAUAUGUGAGAGUGAAUCAUGCUGAAGUGAGCAAGCAAUCAAGUGAUCAUCCAAGGCAAUCAAACAUGUCAAGAUAGCAGACCAAUCAAGCAAAUUGAAUCACCUUGCCUAGGAAAGGGGGGUACCCUCUAAUUAAUCAAUUAAACGCCACAUUUUCCUUAACUAGUGUUCAAGCUUGAUCCUCAAAAUCCCCAGUGGAGUCGCCAAUUUGUGGACCCGCAUUUUUCACGUGCGUCCCCACUCGAUUGGUGAAACUCGCUUUUUAUUUAUGAAAAAUUGAUUUUUGAAAAAAAGUUGGAGUCGCCACCUAUUUUAUUUUUAUUUUAAAGGGAAAAUAAAACAAGAAAGAAAAACCCUAAAAAGUGACUCCAUAGUUUUGGAAAAAGCAUGUCUUUGAGAAACCCGAGUCUAGGUCUGGGGAUCAGGUUACUUAUUGGGAAGGUACCUUUAGGAGGUAGCACCCCUCUAAGCCCUAAAGAGGUCCCUACUGACUAAGUUAAGGGAAGUGUGGCCAUUAUUUAGUUAAUUAUGGAUACCUAAGUAGGUUAGGUGAUUUUAAAGUGUGGCAUGUCAAACGCAAUCAAAUUGCAAUAAAGGAGAGUUAGGGUGCGUACCUGAACCGUUCUUCAAGCGCUAUCAUAAAACAUAAAAGUUAGUGUAGAAAUGUAGCACACAACAUUUGUUUUAUUUAAGCAAAUCAAGCAUAUAUCAAGACAUCCAAGAAUCACGUCAAAUAUGGAUAUGGUCAUCAAUGACAUACAAGUCCAUAGAGUUCUUAAAAAAAUAGAUGAGAAGAGAGCGUACCUGGAUAGCAAACUAGUACUCCUCUAUGGGUAACAGGAGUAUUUCAACAAUAAAUACAAAACAAAUUCAUGUAUAUCAUCAAGAAGAAUCAAGCAUCAACACAUCAAACAAACAAUAUCGAAGAGAAAAUCAUGAAUGUAGGGCCCCCACCAAAGCCCUAAUUAAUUUUGCAUGAGUUGGUUCCAUAAAUUCCAUGAUUUGGAAUUAUGAAGUUUAUUCAUGCUUGUUGAAAAUCAAGAAGAUCAAUUGAAAAUCAAAUAAAAUAGUGAAAAUGUGUGCCGGAAGGAAAAUGGCAGCCAAGAAUUUAUUAAAGGUCUAGAUUUAAAUGUCUAUGAACUCCUAAGGAUGAAAUUUUAAAGGAAAUAAGAGUUAUUCAAUGGAAAAUAUUUUGAAAUCCAAAUUUAAAAUGAAUGUGUAAAUUCACAAGCGAACGGAAGGAGCAUCAAGAGGACAAGUGAAUCAAGCCAGCCAUGUUGGAGAGGGCCCUGUGACUAUGCUACUUAAUCUCUGUUUGUGCCUGGACAAUUGAACCUUUCCUAUAGUUUAUUCUUCUGUCUUUCGAAAUUCUCUGUAUUGAAGCAUGCCUCAAGAUGAAUUAGAAUUGUCCUGUUUGACGAAAACUCCCUUAAAAGAAACGGGAAGAAGAUCUGUAUCCCCAUUAAAAGCUCUACUAAUUCCAUAACAGUUCCAGAAUUCUGCAUCAAUUGGCCUCUUAGCUGAACAAACAAACAAAGUCUGUAUGUGCUUCCUGUUUAUCCAUCAAGGGCAAAUUGAAGAUUUCCCUGAUGUCACAUCGCGAGCUUCGUUCCAUCCAAAUCCUUCAUCAUUCAUCAGUAAUUAUAUCAAUUCUGGAAUAGCAGGGGUAGGGUGUGUAUUUUUCAAUUGCGCUGCUACCUUACUGGGAAAUUCAGACCAUUGCCACGAGUCUUCAUCUAUCCUCUCCAUGAAUCUGAAAAUAAUGUCUUGAAGUGGGGCGUUGCAUAGGAAAAAUUGUUGUUUUAGUCGUGAGAGCUUCCCAAUUUCGAUGUAGGGAAGUCAGCUGCAUCCUCCCAAUCAUCUGGCUUGGCCUUAGGCUGAUCAUCUUUAUAUUCUUUUGGAGGGUCAACACACUUGACAUUGCCAUCAUCAACACUGCUGUUCUGACCUAAUGUGGCAUUCUCACACCUAUUGCAAUCACCUUCUCCGUUCUCAGUUGAGAGUUUCAAUGCUACAACAUCUAAACAAGUGAGCAACCUCCUCCCCUGAGCCAGUGUUUUUGAGUCCCUCGAAUCAUGAAAAAUAGAAACUGACCUAGCAAAAUCAAGUAAACCAGUAAAACCCAAGCUUUGUCUAAGGCCAAGGCUAACUAAAGUCUCCAAAGUUUCAGGAUCUGAGAACUUGUCAAGGGGGAAGAAAACUUCUCUGUGAAGCAUGUCUUGCAAUUCGGGAACUCGAGGAUCAUAUAGCCUGGAUGGUUGUUGCCAUGACCCAUUGGCAGCCAAAAAAAAGGGUGUGAUGGAAAGUGUAAGUUUAAUUGAGGUAUCUUCUUCAAUCAAAAGUUUCACAUCAUGUAAAAUGGCUGAAAGUGCUCCCUGCUGUGAAAGAAAUUCUGGCAUGCAAGUGACUACAUAAUCUUUGUAGAAUUGUGCCCUUGAAGGUUCCUUAACCUCUAAAUACCUUCUCAGGAUGAUUCUUUCUUUUUCUGAAUCCGUGCGUACAAAGUCAUCAUUCAAAAGAUCUUCAGACACACCAUUUGGUUUAAGCAAUUUAGUGGGUUUACUCAAACAUACUAGUUUUCUACUUCUGAACGAUUCAAACAUGGGAAGGUGUUUGAUGACAUCAAUAUGUGUGUCAUCCAUCUGACCUUCAGAGAACCACUUUGACUGAAGAAUAAAACUCCUGAGUUCAUGAAGCUCCCCUUCUGAUGCAUCACAGAAAAGUUUCUGAACAUUCUCCGGAUUAUGAGCAAGUGCCAGUAAGGCAUUCAAAAUGCCAGUUGCUAUUGGCAGCUGCACAUAAUUUUUCAACUGUGGAUGCUCUAUAGGCAGGUCAUUCCUCAAAAAUAGGCAUCCUACUUUCAAUAACAAAGAACACAUGUUCUCACUCCACCCAUCAUCUUUUAUCACAUUUGAAUUUUCAAUCAGCUUCAAGAGAUAAUUAUUCCCAACUGGUAAAAUAGGCCACUUCGAAAAUUCUGAGAGAUCAUCACAACAUGACUUCAAAUAACUCCAUAGCAACCUUAACCAUUCUAAACUUGGUUGGCCUUGAUGACCAGGGUUCCAAAUUACCUGUUUGGCAUGCUGCCACUCUGCUGGGAGUAAUCUUAGGAAAAGUUUUUCAAGCAAAUAGCAUGUCAGAAAAGAAAUAUUUAAGUCUUCUGUUUGGGCAAUAUCACAUAGCUUCAUGUGAAUUCCUUCCGGAAUUCCAGAGUCUACAAGUUGAUGUGGAAUUGAAUCCUUAAGAAGACCAUACUCAUCUCCACGUGCAAUAUAAAUCCUUUCACCCACUCCCAUCUUGUCAAAUGCUGUAAAUAAACCAUUGGCAAGGGGUACCAAAGGUAAACCAUACAAACUAUCAGAUCGAACUGGCAUUUUCAAGUCAAGUAAGCAAUAUUCAAGUGUCAAUAUCAUUGCAUUCCUGUCCCUAAAUCCACGUUUCCGCCGAAUCAACAGAGUUCUCAGCAACUAAGGUGUCAGGAAACGCAAUGAUGGACAAAACUCCAUAAGCCUCUCGACAAGUGGCUUAGAAGGAGACACGAGAGGUAGACCAGCAUCAGAUAAUACUUCUACAAGCUCAUGUGCCUUACUGAAAGUAAAAUCAGUAAAAACAGCUUGUUUGGCGGAAAUCCACUGGCCCCCUCUAGCUUUUGUAUACAAUACAGAAAGAUCAGAAUUAGCAAUAAAAUUAUAGAGUUUCUGCACCAUUGAUGCCCAAGGUUCUAUUCCAAUGCUAGUUGACCAAAAUGAAAAGAACAAAUCACAUGGACCAAGUUCCAAUGCAAUUUUCUCAAGCAAAUGACCAUAAGCAGGGGCAGCAACAUCUUCAAGCACGUAAAUGUUCCAUUCCGAGCGUUUUUUUUUCACCCCCUGCCAUGUCAUUGCCAAACCAGAUAUCCCUUCCAUUUGAUGACAAUUCAAAAUAUGCAUUAACAUGUGCUGGAAGACCAGUACUGAUCGGCAGUGGUAAAAAGCAGAAUGCACGGCCCUCAAAAUUCUUUCUAUCUUGAAUAGAAGAAGCAGGAACUUCAAAGACAUCAGAAAUAGUUUCACAAGUUCUCUCAGUAUGCGGAAUAUCACUCGAUUCCCUAUCAACCUUGACAGAGUGUAAAUAUGCAGCAACACAAGCCCAAGGAAUUAAAUUAUGAGACUUCGAGGGUGCAGAGUUCUUAACUUGCCCAACACCUAAACAUUCACUGGUUAUUGAUUACUACCAAAAAGUGCUAUUUUGUAGACCUAAUUAUAAUGGUUUUUAAGCACCUUUGAGUAGUAAUCAUAUUCAUUUAACCCAAUUAAUUCAUUAAGGUCCUUAGUAAUUAGUUUUAACCUUUUUGUGGCAAAGUUGACAUGUUUUUAUCAGCUUAUGAAUCGAUUCAAGCAUGCCAAUUGAUGGAGGAGCUACUUGGGCGAGUUAAGCAAGGAUUUUGUACUUUUAUAGGCUUGAAUUUCAAGUGGAAACACGAGCACAAGCAAUGGAGAAGAGGAAAACAGAGUGAAGAAAACAGCUGCAGUAUUCCUUUGAACUUUUGGAGCACUUCCCGAAGUCCAUUUUUUGCAUGCUAUAUACCAUUUGAAAGCUUAGGAAGUCAAGAAUCCAAAGCUUCAAACCGUGUAUGAUUUGGAGCUGAAAUGAAGAAGAUAUGGCCUUUGGAAGGCAACUGCAUCAUGUCAAAUGACCAAUUUCGCAAGGAGAUUUUCUUCAUGGUGCGAAAUUUUGCCACUUCGCACCAUGAAGAAACACAUUGCGAAAAUUUCGCAAGGAGGAUUUAGGCACAUUGCGAAAUUCCUUUGAAUCCCCUGUUUUGAGACGUUGUUGAUGUUAUUCCACUACCGGUUCUCCAAGAUAUUUUGCUUGAUUUUUAGCUUUGUAAAUACCUAUUUUACCCUNNNNNNNNNNNNNNNNNNNNNNNNNNNNNNNNNNNNNNNNNNNNNNNNNNNNNNNNNNNNNNNNNNNNNNNNNNNNNNNNNNNNNNNNNNNNNNNNNNNNCAGUCACCAGCCCAAUCAAGCCAACAGAGUCAAGGUCAAUCCUCAAUUGAGCAAGCACUCGUAAGCCUUAGCAAGGUUAUGGGUGACUUUGUGAGUGAGCAAAAAUCCAUCAACUCUCAACUAAAUCAGAAGAUUAACAACGUAGAGAGUACAUUGAACAAGAAGAUAGAUGGGAUGCAUAAUGAGUUGUCUCAGAAAAUUGACAACAUCCAAUAUUCCAUCUCAAGGCUCACAAAUUUGAACACUGUCAAUGAGAAAGGGAAGUUUCCCUCUCAGCCUCACCAAAAUCCUAAGGGGAUACAUGAAGUGGAAUCCAAAGAUGAGGAUUCUUCAAAGGUGAGGGACGUGCAAGCUAUUAUCACUUUGAGAAGUGGUAAGGAAGUGCAUCAGCCGGAGCAUGAUCAGAGGAAAGCCAAAGAAGACAAGGCUGAUAGAAAAGAAGAAAAGAAGAAAGAACAAAAGGGAAAGGAAGUUCAGAUGAAAGAAAGCAUCAUUCCAAGCAUGGAUGAGGAACCUCAAAUUCUUUUAAAGGAAGAAAUGAUGAAGAAUCACAUCCCUCCACCUUUCCCCCAAGCUUUGUAUGGCACCAUCAUACAAAGCAAGUCUCAAGUGAGGGAUGCAAACUUCAUAUGGGAUCCGGGCAAGCUAAACCAAGGAUCAAAUUUUUUGAUGGACUUAGUCUUUUUAAAGACUAGCUAGUCCAUAUCUUUUUUGUUUUAUUACUAGUUUUGAUUUUGAUUUUUUAUGUUUUUAAUGGAGCUUUGAUGUCCAAUAGCAGGUACGAAAGCUCACAAGCUCACAAAUGUGGAAAGAAAGGUGAAAUAAGGGAGAAAUAUACCUAAGUCCAAGCUUAAAAGCCCAUUUCGCAACUCAAAAAGUGAGUUGCGAAAUGCACAUUUUGGCAAGAUGCAAAAUGCAACCUCUCGGGAUUGCACUUUCGCAAGGAGUAACCAGUGCGAAAAUUUUCGCAAGUUAUUUUUCACCUUGCGAAAUUGUUUUCAAAGCAAAUAUCAAAAUGCAACCUCUCGGGAUUGGUUUUUAAGGGGAGUAGCCAGUGCGAAAAUUUGGCAAGGUGAAUUUUCACCUUGCGAAAUUUCCAGCACUCCGCCAUGCUCUCUCAGAUCCACCAUCACCUGGGCAUAUCACCUCCUCCACCUCAGGAGCCACAUCCAUGAUUGGAUAUUUCUAUCUCCAUUUUGUAUAUGUUUUUUUGUAGAUGUACAUGUUUUAUAUUCUGAGAUUGUAUGUACCUCAUGCUUCUAUCUUGUACUCAACUCUCUCAGUUUAUAUAAGCAUCAUUUUUUGUAUCUUAUUUCCUCUCUCACGUUUCUUAUGGUUUUUGAAUCAUGUGGAUGCACUCACACGCCUUGAAUACCAUAUCACCAUAAGGUAUAUCAUUCCUUCCUCGUCUUUUUCGAUAGAAACAUUGGGGACAAUGUUCAUCUCGGUUGGUGGGAGAGUUGAGGAAGUAAGUAUUUCCUAUUUUAGUUAGUUAUUUUGUUGAUUUAGUAGUUUUUGCCCUUUUUCAAAAUUUUUUGUUUCAUCCUCUAUGGUUGUUAAAGAUAAUUUCUCAAAAUAAAAUAGGAUAAGUCGAGUUUUAACUUAAUUACUUAAGUCUUAGAGUUUGUUUUAUACUUUCAAAGUUGAUAAUCUAUUGAAGCCCUCUUUGAUUUCGAACUUAUUUCUUCCAUUUCAAGCUUUACACACACCGUGCACAUUAGAUCCCGGAUUUAUGAUGUAAAACUUUCUCACCCUCUAAGCUUAGGAAAAUUUUGACUUGGUUCAUUGCUUAACCUCUUUUUAAUAGUGUUGGGACACCUCAAAAAGACCAAUGAGUCUUAGAAAAAGAAAAAAAGAAAAAAGAAAAAGAAAAAGAAAAAAAAAAUAAGCUUCUAUUCUUUCCUUGAAACCUAAGCAUGAUCCGAAGGGGUGGCGAAAGCCUUUAAAACCCGAUGCCCUAAACCUUGAUUGGUUGGGAGUCAUCGAUCCUCUGCUUGCUACAUAGGUGAAUUGGUUAAGUUUAGUGAGUAAAAAGAAUUGUGAAUAAGAAGGUGCGUUCCUAACCUAUUAAGAGUUGGUUAAUUUUGCCAAUGUCCGAGAAAAGCUUAGGUUGGGGGGAGAGGAUAGUUGUGCAUACUAUAUCCGGAAGCUAAUCUCAUUAACACUUAGCUCAUUAUGGAAGAGUUUGAUUCGGAACCUUGAGAGUAGAGAUUCUUUUGAUACUUAAUUGCAUAAUCUCCACUCUUUGUACUUUUUGUUUAAGUUUUAGCUUUGACAACUCCUAUUGCAUUUUGAAUCUUCGUAUCUUUAGUUCACCAUGUGAGAUGUGUUUUGAUAUCAGUCAUGCCACUCAAUUAUUUUUUGGAGUGAUUUGCAUGAUCCCUUUUAUGUAUAUUAUUAUAGUUUACUUAGUUUUUAUCUCCUCCAUUGCUAAGGGACUAGCAAUGAGUCGGUUGGGGGGUGUGAUUACUACCAAAAAGUGCUAUUUUGUAGACCUAAUUAUAAUGGUUUUUAAGCACCUUUGAGUAGUAAUCAUAUUCAUUUAACCCAAUUAAUUCAUUAAGGUCCUUAGUAAUUAGUUUUAACCUUUUUGUGGCAAAGUUGACAUGUUUUUAUCAGCUUAUGAAUCGAUUCAAGCAUGCCAAUUGAUGGAGGAGCUACUUGGGCGAGUUAAGCAAGGAUUUUGUACGUUUAUAGGCUUGAAUUUCAAGUGGAAACACGAGCACAAGCAAUGGAGAAGAGGAAAACAGAGUGAAGAAAACAGCUGCAGUAUUCCUUUGAACUUUUGGAGCACUUCCCGAAGUCCAUUUUUUGCAUGCUAUAUACCAUUUGAAAGCUUAGGAAGUCAAAAAUCCAAAGCUUCAAACCGUGUAUGAUUUGGAGCUGAAAUGAAGAAGAUAUGGCCUUUGGAAGGCAACUGCAUCAUGUCAAAUGACCAAUUUCGCAAUGUGAAAUUCACAUUGCGAAAAUUUCGCAAGGAGAUUUUCUUCAUGGUGCGAAAUUUUGCCACUUCGCACCAUGAAGAAACACAUUGCGAAAAUUUCGCAAGGAGGAUUUAGGCACAUUGCGAAAUUCCUUUGAAUCCCCUGUUUUGAGACGUUGUUGAUGUUAUUCCACUACCGGUUCUCCAAGAUAUUUUGCUUGAUUUUUAGCUUUGUAAAUACCUAUUUUACCCUUGUAAUCAACCAAUGAAUAGGUUGCUUUUGUAAUAGCUCUUGUAAUUUAGCUUGUUAUUGUCUUUAAAUAGAGGUGAAGAGCCUCAGACAAUCAUCAUCUAAUCUUGUAACCUGUAACUUUAUAAGUUAUAAGAGCACUUUUGUUCAUACGUUUCUUUCUCAUUUUCUUAGUAGCCAAACAUCCUUAGAGGAUGAAAUCCCCAAGGAUGGGAGGCUAAAACCUUUUAGUUUCUUGAAGUAAUGGAUGCCAUGUGAAGCUCCCGUGUCAGGAUGGAGAUUUCCAAGCCAUGAAUGUAAGUAGCUGAGCGUCAUAAAUGUUUUCAUUCAAAGUAAAGCUUUUAAUCCCUCUGACUUGCUUUGAAUGGCCAAUACUUGAUAAGCUUUUGGUCUCAGUGGAUUCUUAUUGUUAGAUCCACUGACGUUCAUUAGUUAUCUCCUACGAGCCAUUGUAUUGCAAGUCGAGGAGAUGACCUAUAUCAUUAAAAGGGCAUUUAUGAGGUUCAGCUACCCUUUUUGUAAGUUUUCAAGGACUAAAACUCAGUUGUUAAACUCAUACCAGUUCGGGAAGUAAGCAUCACCUUAGUUGCUUCCCCAACUCGAGGUGAAAAGUCCCAAAAUCUCCAUUUUUACACAGUGAGUUAAGCAUGGCUAUCCAAAGCUUUGAGAAACUUCUUUUUCCAUCUUUUAACCUAUUUUCAUGUUAGUUUAGUUUACACACCUUCAUCUUUUUAUGUUUUCAUCUUAACCUAAUUUUUAUUAAGAAAAGUUCACUCCAUCCUCCGAACUUCACCAGUUAAAGUAAAAACCCUUCCCAGUGUUCGAUCCUAGAGCCACUAUGCUAUAGUAGCUUUGCUACUUUAGUGUAAGGACCUUAGGUAUAAAUUUUGUUGAUACCCUUACAUGCCAAGCUACCAAGAGUCGGGUUAUCAGUUACCCAAAAGUGUGACAUAUUUUUUUGACGAACUUUGCUCUGUCAUCACAAUCUUCUGACAUUUCCAUGGCAAAUUCUUAUCAACUAAUUUACUCAAUUUUUUUAGAAACUGAUCCUUAUCCAUUCCACUGUGCUGAUUUCCAUUAAAAAUGCUGAACAUAUGUAGAGAAUUGGGUUCAAUGUCAGGUUCACUGAUGCAAUGUUUAUGAACGUGAUGUAUGAGUUGCAUUUCACAACCAGUUUCUUCCUUAACAAAAAUGGAGAUGGUUUUCACAUUACAGACGAAAAGUAAAGCCUCUGAAACAACCUUAGAAAAAGAAGCAAAGAGAGACAUGACAUCUUCAGGUGCAUAGCCUUCUUUCUUUAUUUGGCUUCAAGAAGCAACACUUGCAUUCCUGAGGAGAAAACGAAAGAGUGUGCCAGGAAAGGGAUUCUACAAGUCACAGCCAAAGUGUAGGAAUGGAGAGAACUGAUAUGGAAAUUGUUCCAGAAUCCUUCUCCCAACAUAUCUAAUUCUUAAACCAGGGUGGGAUGGAGAGAUUCCAGGCAAAUUAAAGGCAUGAGGAUCAAACAUAACAAUAUUUUCCCCAGAAACAAAAGUUGGUAUGUCUGUAAAAUGAUAAGCACAAUUAAAUCCCAGCCCAAAUCUUCCAAUAGCAAAUGGCUUCUCUAGCUUGCUUUCUUGAACAAAUCCGCGAGAUUGCAUAAAGAUCUUGUGGACUGAAAAUAGAGUCAUUGAAACAGUACAAAGCAGGGCCUUGCCAAUCUGCCAUUUCAAGAGAGAGGAUGGAAGAAGUCCCAUACUGGGUUUUCCGCGAUCAUCCCAUCUUUAAAUCUUUGAAGCUCUGCUUUCUCUCCCCAAAAAUUCCGGAAUUUAAGAGCCUCAUCUUUAUGCUCAGCAUUUGGACCAGCAUCGACCACUCUAAAAGCUUUCUCUAAAGAGCUGACUAAAAUCCCAAUGAGCAAUGGCCCUCGCUCAAAGAUCGAUAAACUAUUUUCCACAUUGCAUUCUGAAGUGGCAUUUUUCCAGCUAACACGGAUGAACUUUGCUCUAAGAGAACCAACAUUUCAUCAUAAAACCCAAUUGAUCCAAAAUAGGAAACUAAGGAAUUAAUCAAAUCUUCUUUCUGGACAUUUCUUCGAACACACCAUAAGCACCUCAAAUAGAUUCAAAUACCGUACAGGAAGAGGGAUAGAGAACAAAUAAAAAAAGAAAAGAUAUAAAACCCGAAGACGAAGAAAGCGGAAGACAUUGAUCAAUAAACAUAAAUAGCUCCACUUCAAAUGUUAAUCCGUGGGCUGGGGACAGAGGAAACAAUGCAGUAUGGGAUUUUUAACAAAAAAAAACAUGAUCAAAUUCAAGCAUGGAGUCAUGAAUUUCAGAAGACAACAAUGACACAUGAGAGAAUCAGAAUCUAAAACAGGGCAAAGAAGUGAGUAACCAAUCUCAAGAAAUCAAUUUGUGGCCCUUUCCGUCCACACCAAUCAUCAGUAUAUUAAAUGUUCAGAAACAAACACACGGAGAAAUCAAGUAUGGGUAAGAAUUCCAAGAGUGGCGAGAAUCAUACCUGGGCAGCCUUGGUUGCAAUUGCUCUCUUCUCCAAUUCCUUUGUGCUUCUCCUCAAGACGAUCCCUCAAAUCCCCUCUCUCUUUUUCCUCUCUCACAUAUAUAUCAGCCUCCCUCAAAGAACCCCCCAAAUCUGCUGGAGGAAAAUCCACUUUCCUUUCAUAUUUUCUUCCCUUUUGUAACCGAUUCCCUCAUGGAAAUAAUAUACGUGCUAUCCUUCUAAAAACACAAUCUCCUCUUUUCAAAAUUCUGUUGAUUUUCCUUCCAAAUAAAUGGCGGCCGUUUUCUCAUGGCCAAAAAAUAAAUAAAUAAAUAAAUAAAGAUACAAAUAGAAAUAAGAAUAAAAUAAAGACAAAAUAGAAUAAAGAUUAAAAUCAAUAAACAUCAUGAAAUUGAAAAUCAAAAGAAAUUUAAAUCACACAUCUAAAAAAUAAAAUAAAUAAACAAAAAAUAAAAAAUAAAAAUAAAAAUAAAAAUAUUUAAAAACAAAAAAUAAAAUAAAAAAAAUCAACCACAUGCAAGCCAUACAAGCUAUGUAACCACCAAAAGAAUAUGAGUCAUGAAACCAUGCAAAAACACGAGCCAUGCAACCAUGCGAACCAUGCAAAAACAUCUAAAGGUGACCUAGGGUGUGUCCUAAUGGGCCAAGUGUAUCUAAAAGCUAUCCUAAAAAAAACAAGAAAAGCCUAAGUUUAAGUUAGGGCUGCCAAGGGUCACAAUAAGGGAUCAAAUAAUUCCUCAACCAAAAUCUCCGAGGUGACUCAGAAAAAGGUAAGUGGUACGAGUAGUAAUGGGCCACCAAGGAACUACCGUGGAGCAUUGGAAGUAAAUUUAAAGACAUGUGCUAAAGGGACAAAAUUGAGGGUCUACAGAAAGCAACAUGUGAAGCUAAAAAUGAUAUCAGGAGGAUGAUCUUGUGGCUUUGAUCAAUGUAAUAUUUGGUCCAACAUCUCAUAAAACCAAGAGAAUCCAUGGCAACAUAAAAAAGAAGGUCGUGACCAUACUAAUUGACUUAGGAAGCACCCAUAACUUCCUUGAUCUCGUAGAGGCCAAACGAAACAAGAUGCUCAAUACAAACUACCAACCCCAUGAAGGUGGCAAUAACAGAUAGAACUAGAAUUACUAGUGAUGCAAUUUGUAGGCAAUGUUAGGAUAGAACCCUUAAAAGCAUGACAUAAUGUAAUAAAUUUGGAAUUCAUUAUUUAUUUAAUGAUAUUCCAAUUUCACUUUUAUCUAUCCUUAUUCCAUGUAUUAUACUUUAUGAACUUUUUUGUCUACAUCUUUUGCAUUGUACGUGACUUAGGUGCCUUAGGAGUUGCACAGAAGAUCUAAGUCAUGAGUUCCUUGCAAAUAGAUGACUUGUUCACAACCAAUUCAUGGGUGUAGGCAAUCCAUUAGAGGUUUUAGUGCACCACUUCCUAAUUAGAGGAAUAACUGGUCUUGGCUAUUGGGAUGAGUUUCCCAUGAUGAGUGUACUAAUAUGUAUGGAUGCACAUUAGACAGGACCGAUGGUGAGUUAUGACUUAAGGCUAUCAAGUAGUAAUGACUUCACCAAGUUGUUUCAUUAUGUUGUCUCUCAACCUUGAGAGAAUAUUGCAUUUGUGUUGAAGUUAGCAGUGUCUUUGAUCCACGGGUGAAAUCGUAAGCUAAUCAUAUACUCUUUAUGGAUUGGAUCACUACUGAUGGAUGCCAAUAGCAAUAAGUAUUCUAAAUAGAGACACCAUGAUAUCUCUUAGGAAUAAGACAGUGUGUCUCCUCGGGUGAUCCUAAGGAGGUGUGUUCAUGGAAACUAUGGUCAUAAUAGUUCCUUAGGUGGAACUUGACAUAGGCUCUUUGAAAGCUAAGAUAUGUCAAUUGAACACACAAUAGGAGAAUCUAUAACUCAAGGAUGGUAGAGAUAGUCUUAAAAGGCUUAUAGCUUUCACUUUGUUAGACUACGAACACCAAUUCAUGUGGAGACUAAACACAAUGGAUAACAGGUCAUGGACUUGAGCACUUGGUGUCUUAUUAUUAUUUACAUAGGAUAUUUGAGUUCAGUUGAUUCUCUAUAGUGGGAUAUUAAAUCAACUUUAGAAUUGGAUUAUGAGAAAACCAGUAUUUCUAUGGGUCUUAGUGGUCCCUGUUUUGAGCUCAUAUACCUUGUUGGCACAGAUUAUGAGGGUCAGAUUGGCUUUAGGUUUAGUUUUGUACAUAAGGGUGUUUUGGUAAUCACACAAGGUUGCAUAGAGGUAAGUGAGCAAGGUCUUUGGAUUGGGUUAAUUGAUUAAUUAGUAGGCUCUGUUAGGUUAACUAAUCAAUUAGGACCCAUUUUGGGAUAGAUUAAGUGACCCAAGCCCUUAGUGAACUCAAGUCACUUAAGCUUAGUAGGAAACCAUGUAAAUACCCCCUUAGGGGUUAGGGUUCCCAUUGCUUUUUCUAGAGAUCCAUCUUCCAUCUCCAGAGAGAAAGAGAGAGAUUUAUAGCAUGUACUCUUCCUUCUAUCCCCACCAGAAGUGUGUCAAGAUCAAGUUUCGAGUCAUCGGGUGGAAGACUUCAGGUUUAUGAGACUUCUACGAUUUCAUUCUUCAUCUUCACCACAUAGAUUUGAUUUAGAAACGUCUGAAUCUAAGGUAUGGAUUUUGUUUACACUUUAUGAAUCCCUUUAAAGUUUAAAAAUGUUAUUUUUCCAUUGUGCAAAGGAUUUAGAAAAAGCCUAGGAUAGUUAUGCAUGUUCAUAACUUGAUUCGAUCUUAGGAAAGGAAGAGAUCCUAGUUUUUCCCAUUAGGCAAUUGACAUGGAACAUGCAAGGGAAUAAAUUUUAGAUAGAUUUGAGGCUCAUCCUUUUGAGUAGGUGCGAUAUGGUAUUGGGAAUUCAAUGGCCAGCUGAAUUGGGACUCAUAUUAUGGGAUUUCAAGAAUUUAAAAAUUGAAUUUAUUGUUGAUGGAAGGAAAUUCGUGUUAAGAGGUAAAACUAUAGGUCCUAAGAAGUUAGUUUCAACAAAUCAAAUUCAAAAUUAUUUAAGGCAUAUGUCUCAAGCAUCUACAAUUCAAAAUUUCACUAUACAAGGGAAUGAGGAAAAUAAAGUUGAAAAUGAACAACAUGGCAACUGUCCAACUCAUUUCCAAACAACGUAACAUAGAAAGAUGCUUACUUUCAACAAAAGUUUCCAUAGUUUCAACCUUGAGGACAAGACUUCUUUUGAUGGGGGAGAGUAUGUUACAACCCUGAAUAAAGGAUCCCUAAUAUCCCUUAAUCUUUAGUUUCUAUUUCUGCUUAGUUUCUACUUCUAUUUAGUUUCUAUUUAAAUUGGGGAAUAAAGGAUCCCUAAGAUCCCUCAAUCUUUAGUUUCUAUUUCUAUUUAGUUUCCUAUAUAAAAUAAGGAAAGUGUAAUGGAGAAAAACAUGAAAAAAUAAUCUCAAUAAGAAAAAGUUGUUCUCUCAAUUUUGCAUAUUUUCCUCAUAUCAUAAAAUUUUACAUGUAGAUUUUCUCCUUUUGAAGCUCUAUAUGAUACAAAAUCAAUUCUCUUUUACUCCAAUUCCAAGUAUGUAUUUACUGAAAUGGGUAUGCUUUGACUCUCAAUGAACACAUUUUCUCAAUUUUUCUUCAUACCUGAGUGGAAAUAACAUAAGGCAGUUAAACUUGCUUUGAGAUUAAUUGUGGUUUUGACAAGCAUUUCAUCUAUAAUUCAUUUAUACACAACUAGGUACAGUACAAGACUUCCUAAUUAAACAAAGUUUCUGGCAUUAAUGAAUUGAAAAAAAUAUGGGUAAAACAAGUUUCUACUCACCAUCCCAAACAUUCCUUUAGAUGUAUUGUAUGGUAGAGGAUUAUUCUUUAUUAUUAUUAUUAGUACUAUUCUUUUUUUCCCUUUUUAAUGGUUUGUAGUAGAUUCAAAUGGCAUUAUAGAAGUAGAAUUUCCUAAUUUAAUUUGUUGGACAAAUUUGCUUUGGUUUUGCAAUAUUUUGUGUUUUGAAUACAUAGAAAUUGAAAUAUAAUAAGAUAACAAUUAUAAUGUGUUUUUAAGGGGAUUUUUUUUUAUCUUCUAUAAGUAAAUAAAAAGAAAGAAAAAAGAAAAAAAAACCAACACCAACAACAAUAAUAAUAUAGACAUUUGCAAUUUUUUUUAAAGUGUCUCUAUUAGAACAUUGAGUUUUAUUUAUAUGUUGGUAAUUUUGUUCCAAAUUAUUUUUUGCCUUAGAAAUCUUUUUAGAUGGUGGCUUACUCUCCAUUGAAGAUCAUGGAUUGCUACUUGUCCAACUGGAAAGUCAUAGGAACGUUUAAAAGGUUUGACUUGUGGCAAAUUAGGGUUCUAAAGGGUAUAAAUAGGAGUGUUAUUCUUUUUUUGGAAUAAAAUUGAUUUUUAUUUAACUUUGUAAAAAAUGCAGGAUUGCUCGAGCGGGAAAUAGCACUCAAGCCCUGGGACCGCUCGAGCGCUUGACUAGUGCUCGAAUGCCCAAGGUGCUCAAGCAAUGGUUAAGUGUGCUUGGCCUCGAGCUCUCAAGUGUUCAUGCCAAUUAUGCCAAAGAUUAGCAUAAUAUUUUCGAAGAUUUCAUGCAGUUGUAAGUAUUGGAGAUUUCAAUAAGGCUAAAGAGUAUUCAGUGGAGAAAUUAGAGAUUGUUGUAUCAUAUACGUGGAUGAAGUUGUAGGUAUUGGAGGGUAAGCCUUUAGGAUAAAACGACCAGGUAAAUUUGUAACUUGAUCAUGUAUAGUGGAUUUUGAUUAGUAGUCUUAGACCUUGUGGUUUUUUUUAUCUCCACAAUAAUGUGGGGAUUUUUCAUGUAAAAAUCAUUGUGUCCAUUGCUAUAUCUUGUGAUUAUCACGAUUAUUUAGAUUCUGUUUAUCUCUAAUAUUAUCUCACAUUGUAAAAAUUGGGUAUAACAUAUAAUCUUUAUUUUAGAAUUCUUUUAAUUACACCCAUUCACCUCCCUUCUCUCUUUGGGUGUUACCCUACUAGACUUGGCUUUUUCAGUCUCAAAUUCUACACUAGCCUUUUUUUUUACUUAAGUUAUAAAUGGAAAAAGUUAUAAACCCAAGAUAACUUGUUAAAAAAGUGAGAAAUAAUAAAGGACUCGUGUUAGAGUAUAAAUAACUAAUUUGUUCUAGGCUUAAUAUAAAUCCAAUGUUAAAUAUGAAUACUUAAUUAUUUAUUAUAUUUUGAAAAUAAAGUAAGUAUUUUUUAUAUAAAAAAUAAAACAACUUUUCUAGAACAACACAAGGCACUAAUGCAUAUAGUUGGUAACAAGUUGGAGAAAGAAAAUAAUGUGGAGAAAUAAAACGUGUAGAAAGAAAACAACUUGGAGAGAAAGAAAAUGACUAACAGAAAAGGAAAUAGAGAAAUUAUAGAAUGUAAGAUAAUUACACUUAUUUUCAUAAAAAUAAUAUAUUUUCGAAAAAUAGAAAAUUUCAUUCAUAUUCUCUUUUUCACUUAUUUUAAAAAUUAAAAUUAAAAUUAAUAUUUAUCAAAUGAAAAUAUUAAUAAUUAUAAAAUUAAUAUUUAUCAAAUACAUAAGAUUAAGAUUUAGAUAUAAACUUUUUAUAAUCUAAACUAUUAUAUAUUUUCAUUUUAAAUGAGAAAGGUUGAUGUGAUAUUAUAAAAUUUGUACACAUAAUUUAAGUUAUCUCUAUUCAUAUAGAAUUAUAUAUAGGUAUAGAUUCAUUUCAAAAUUCAAAUAAUUAUUUGAAUUUUACAUUUAAAUUUUAUUUUUAAAUUUAAGACUUAAUUAUUUUGUAAUUAGAGUACUUGUCAUAAAAUUGAAGCUUAUAUAUUUAUAAAUGCCUCCACUUCCAUACCUGUCAUAAAAUUGGAGCCUACUUUUUUUUAUUUUCUUUUGUGUGUUUAUAAAUGUCUCCAAUUCCAUAUCUAGCUGUGAUAUAUUUUUAUAGAUGAUUGUGAUUGAAGUAUAAUUUCUUUUGAUUUUAAUUUUAUAAGAAUUAAAAAUCUUAUCUAAAUUUGAUUAUUAUUUUAGUUUUCUAAAAGUUCAGAGUAUUACAAAGAAACUGUUGGGUAGAAAGAUGUUUCCCUCCAUAUAUACAUAUCUAAUUAAAAAAAAAAACACACAAAGAAAGACAACAAUAGAUGAUCAAAAUUAUUAUUCAUAUGUUAUGUCAGUGCAAAAUAUGAAAAAGAAGACAGAAGCGUGCGUCUUCACUGUGACUGAGGAUCAAAAUCUCUUUGAGAUUGAUAUAAAUUAUUUAUAGCUUCAUUGUUUGUGGAGAGUUGAUUCAGUAGUGUCUUCCAUUUGAAGACAUACAGAAAUAGUUAGAAUUAUCUAUUCAUUUCAAGAGAUAACUUGCAUCUAUGACCCUUAUACUCCCAUGAACUUUGAUCCGAUUAACACAGUGGGCAUUUAUUAUUUAUAAAAUAUGGAUGAAAAGAGAAUUAAAAAAAAAUUAAUGGGAAGUGUAUUUUGGAAAAAAAAUAAUUCUCAUUUGAUACAUUGGAAAAGUAUCUACCUCAAAAAUGUCAUUAUAUGUGUACAUGGGUCAUCAUCCAUAGUAACCCAAUUCACAUGAGGACGGUACAUCAUUCAACCAAUAAAGGUACUUUAAGCUCAAAACAGUGGUACAGUAUAAUCAAAACAAUAUUACUUUAAUAUCAAAAUACAUGCAAGGACAUUUUUAAGGUAAUGUGAGGUAAAUACUACUAUAAUACAUUAAAUAAGAAUUAUUUUCCCAAAAAUGUGCUUCCCAUGAAAAUGACUUAUGUGGUUUCUUUUAUUUAUAUUUUAUAAAUAGUGCAUGUUUACAUAAUUCCCUCAUUAAUUAAUAUAAUCAUCUAUACCUGAUAAUUAAGGAAAUAAAAAAUAUUUACAUACUAAGCAAGGAUAAUGGAAAUUAAAGAGUAUGUCAAAAAGAGAAAAAAUAAUAUUAAAGAUAAAUUAAAACUCUAAAAUACAAGCUUCAUUUACGCAUAUAGGCCAAUAUCUUAGGAGGUAUUUGAUUAAAUAAUAAUAAUAAUAAUGAUUAAAAAAUGGAAAAAAUUAUGGAUCCCAUUUUUUAAGUGUUUUCAAUAACAUAAUUAUAAACCUCUUAAAAUUUAAAAUCAUUUAUUUAAACCAUUUUAUUCAUUUAGCAACAAGGACUUAAUUAAUCACUAAGAUCGAACACAAUGAUUUAUAAUUUUUUCUUCCAUUACCAUCUUUUUUUUUUUUUUUGUUAAUAAAAUGAAGAUUUCUAUAGAUGAAUUUUUUAUAAUAAAACGUAACUUCUUUUAAAUUAAAACCAUUUAUUAUUAAAAAAAAUUAUUUUAAUCCAUCUAUGUUCUUUUAACCAAUUCUUUUAGAAUUUUUAUAAAUUUUUUUUUCAUAUUUAAAGAUAAAAAAAUGAUUAUGAAAUAAUUUUAUUCAUUAUAAAAUUUAUCUUUCUUUUCUAAAUCAGAAUUUUUGUCAUGUCCAUUCAUAUAAUAAAAUUUAAAUUAUGAAUAAAAAAACCUAUUUUAAUUUUUAGCGUCAUGGAAUCUCUCCAUGCACACUCAUGCAGCCAACCAUCAGUUCCCAUGGCAGCCACGUGUCUUCCAACAAGUAUAUUCCCUUUCUUUGGCUCUCCACAUUUGUGUUCUAUUUUUAUUUAUUUAUUUUAUCUUGAUUAGUAGUUCACAGAACAAGCAUGAGAAGGAUAUGAGUAGAUAUGCCAUGGCUAUGAUCACUUCUAACACUAAACCCUCUUAAACCAAGUGAGGUGUGAAUGCAGUAUGCAAGUCUAAAUAAUGGUGAAAGAAUAAAAACAAAGGAGAAUGCAUGUAAGAUGUAUAUAUAACUAUAAAUAAGGAUUCAAAAUGAGGGGAAAAAUCAUCAAGAAGGGUGAACCAUGGGUGAUAAGCCACUUUAAGGUUCAUCCUUUGGAUAAAUAUUAAAAGUUAAAGAGUAUAAAAUGUCUACGUAUGUUGUCAAUUAUUUUUUUUUCACUUUUAAGUUAAAUAUAUUUUUAUUGUUAUAGAUGAAGUAAUGAAUGCCACCACAUUUAUUAUAUUAAAUGUUCAUUAAAAGCCUAUAAAAUUGUUUCCUAUCCCCUGUAAAAUGCAUCCCAAGCAAAGAAAUAAAUUUUCUUUCUCUCUUAUUCUUUAUUUAUUUUUAUUUAUUAUAUUGUUCAUUCUUUCAACUCUCUUAAUUAUCUUUUAUGAUUCCUUCCUCUCCAUUAUAUAUUAUUAUCAAAAUAAUAUAUAGUUGUUCUCUACUUUUACUUGCGUUGCAUUUCCUCCUUUUACAACAUGUUAUAAGCAUGAAUUGCCCUGAAGGUAAUUCUCAUAUCUUAAACUUGAAGUUAUUUAUAUAGAUUAAAAUUUUACAUAUUUAUAUUGCUAUUGUUAAAUUCAUUUAAUUUGUGUUAUAUAUUAUUAAAACCUAUAAGCAAAUUAUUUGAUUUUGAUUAUAAUCAAAAGUUAUACCAAUGCUAUUAAUUUAUAACUAAUUCUAGUAAUAUUGUUUUGUCAUAUAUCUGAAGUUAUUUAACAAUGUCAAAUCUCACAAAACUCGAAUUUGUGGUACUUGACAUUUCGGGAAAGAACUAUAUAUCUUGGAUCCUUAAUGCUGAAAUACAUCUUGAUGCAAUGAAUCUUGAAGCUACGAUUAAAGAAGGAAAUCAAGCAUCCUUGUAGGAUCACGCAAAAGCGUUGAUUUUCCUUCGCCAUCAUCUCUAUAAAGGUUUUAAAAAUGAGUAUCUUAUAGUAAAGGAUGCUUUUACUCUAUGGAGUAAUUUGAAGGAAAUGUAUGACCGCCAGAAAAUUGUGAUUAUCCCAAAAGCUUGAUAUGAUUGGAUGCACUUAAGGUUGUAGGAUUUUAAAACUAUUAGUGAAUAUAAUUUGCACUUUCAAAUUUAGCUCUCAAUUAAAGCUACGUGGAGAAAAAAAUCACAGAAGAAGACAUGUUAGAAAAAAUGUUGCUACAUUUCAUGCCUCGAAUGUGCUCUUACAACAGUAAUACCAAGAGCGUAGAUUUACAAAAUACUUUGAAUUAAUACACUACAAGGAAAAAUAUAUAUGGUGACAUUUAUAAUGAGUCACCCUAAACAUAGGGUGUUGCUACAACAUAGCGUCACCUUAUCCACUGACACCAUAGAAGGUACCAAUUGGUGACGUAUUUGGAAGUGACACCAAAGCAGAUAAAUGGUGACGCAUUCAAAAGCGACACCAUAUAUUUUUAGUGAUGCUUAAUUUGAUAUAGAGUUGUGUGAGAUAUAUAAGGUGUCAUAUUAAAUGCAUCAUCUUUAAGUUAUGAUGUCACGUUAAAUGCAUCACCUUUGAGUUAUGGUGUCACAUCAUUGUAAAUGAUUAUAGAAGAUAUGAUUGUUUUUUGUUGAUUAGCCUAUAGAAUUUUGUAAUGGUUAUUAAUAAAUAAGAUCAAAGUGUGUAAAUUUUGUCCAUAAAUAUAAUAAUCAUAUUACAUUUAGCUUAUAUUUUCAUAAUGCUUAUGGAUUAACUUGUAAUACAUUACAUCAUCCACCAAUAUUUGUAUAUCAAAUGUUCACAAAACAAUAGUACAUCAAACACAUCAAACCCACCAAAACUAAAAAAGAAAAGUGAAUACACAUUAAAACAUGAUUUAGAAAUGUUAAGCAUCCCAACAUUCAUGUAUACCUACAUUUCAUAUGCAUAAAAAUAGCUAACUAUAAAAUGACAUGAGUUGCAUCAAAAAACCCAAAAUUCUCAAUUCCAAAUAAAGUAACAUUUAUGUCAUAUAAUGUAUGACAUAAGAAUCACAUCUAAAAACCCAAAUCUUGUCACCUCUUUCUCUUUUCUUUUUAUUCUUCAUAUUGUCCUCCUAAGAGUGUAUAUCUGCAUUUUAUAGUUUAAUGAGUUUUAGAGUUCUUAUUGAAAAUAAAAAUGUGAUGUUAUAAAAAAUAAACAAAUCUAAGCACUAAUGUUUUCUUUUUUCUUUUUCCUAUUUUGAUAUAAAAAUAGUUCAUAAAGAAUAAUUAAUGCUAUAUAAUACCAAUGGAAAAUUUAUAUAACAAAUAAGGGACUCACCAUGCAUGAUCACGAUACAUGAACAUGAUUCAUGAUUAGUUAUAACACAAAAGUAAUACAUUCUCCUUUAAUUUCAUCAAAUUCUACUUGAGAAUGUGUUUUUUGUCAUCAAACUGAAAUCAAAUAAGAAUAACAUUAAUAUCACAAUAAUUGGAAGUAUGAAACCAUGUACAAUUCAUUAAAUGAGUAAAACCUUUAAUGCAAUAACUGUAGAAUCAACAAUUAUUUCUUUAAUGAAUCUCAUAACAAAGUAAUCACAUUUGAACUCAAAUAAAAACAAUUCAAUAAAUAUAAAAUAAAUCAAAAUUACAAAAUAAAAAUAUAAAUCUAAAAUUUUAGAAAAUACUAAUCUUCCACUUAAAAUCUACACUUUUUUAAAUUUAUUUUUUAUAAUUCAUUAUGCUUUUAAAAACCAUUUUUUACAUCUAAUUCUUUUUAUAUAUUUUUUAUUUCUUGGAAGGAUUUUCUUAAUUUCAAUAUUUUUUUAAUGUUUGUUUUGUGAAAUAACAUUGUCCAUUAAAUUUCAUCUCAAUUAUAUAAAAUAAAAUUUUAGUAACAAAAUAUAAAUUUUUUUUCAACUAUUAAUAUGAUAAAUAGGACAUGAUAUUAUAACAAGAAUGAAAAUUGUGUAUAUAAGAUAAAAAAAAAAAAAAAAAAAACCUAAUUCAUUAUUAAGAAAUGCUAAGAGAAAAAUUAGUAUGAGAAAGAAUUAAAGAACCUUUCAUAAAAAUUAUUGAUUUUUCAAUGCAUAAGUCCAAUUGAUAUUUUUUUUUUCUAAGUAAAAUAAUUAAUAAAAAAUUUGUAUAAGAAAAAAAUAUUCAAAUAAAAAUAAUAAUAAAAUAAAAACACCAAAGGAAAAAAUAUUCAAUAUUUUAAAUUUUUGACUUUUAAUAUUCUUUAGAUCAAUAAAUUGUCAAACAUCUUUUUCUGAAAAAAAAAAUGAAGAAAAUGAAGAGUUUUAUGGAAGGAAUUGGAAAAUUUUUUAUAAUUAAAGGAUUUUAUAGAAAUUUCGUAACCUUGAAAGGAAAAUUUCAUCACCAAUCUCAAAUUACUCCAAAGUUUGGUCAAUGCAUAUAAAGACAAUAAGAAAAUAAGGCAAAAAUAAAACAUAUUUUUAGAAUCCUUUUGCAGGAGAUGACAAUAUUGAGAAUAAUUUUCUCAAAAAUUAUUUUCCAAAUAUCACCAACCCAUUUCCUCAUCACAACAUACUAUAAUAUUCUUAGAAAAUAAACAAAUAGUUCAAUUAAAGGAAAUUUCAUAGAAAAUCAAAAGAAAAUUAUCAAACAUCUUCUUUAAAAAAAAAAGGAAGAGUUUUAUGGAAGGAAAUGAAAAAAUUAUGUAAUAAAAGGAUUUUAUAGAAAUUUUCUAACCUUGAAAGGAAAAUUUCAUCAUCAAUCUCAAAUUACUCUAAAUUUUGGUCAAUGAAUAUAAAAACAAUAAGAAAAGAAAGUAAAAACAAAAAACAAAAAACACAUUUUAAGAAUAUAAAAAAUAUGAAUAGAACAAGAUGAGAUAUUAACCAUAAUACCAUGUAAAAGAAUAGAAAAAAAAAACAAAAUAUAAGAUUUGAUCAUUUUUAUAAUUAUAAAAAUUUUCAUUCCUAUUUAAAGUUUUAAAAAACAAUUCAUUUACAUUGAUAAAUAAAAAAAAUUAAUUUCUCAUUGUUAAUUCCAACAUUCCAAACUGACUCUUAUAUGAUAUGGAAACUAUUUCAUUUUUCCUUUUGUGAGAGAUGACAAUAUUGAGAAUAAUUUUCUAAAAAAUUAUUUUUCAAAUAUCACCAAUCAAUAUCCUCAUCACAAUAUUCUAUAAUAUUCCUUGAAAACAAAUAGGAAGUCCCAUCAAAGGAAAUUUCCUGCAAGAUCAAAAGAAAAUUUCAUGUUGUAAAAUGUUUAUCUCUCAUUUUGAGUAUAAAAUAUAUUAAAAAAUUAUUCAUUUUUCUUAUUUUCAUUCAUUUUGGGAUUUAUGGGUUUAACAAUGAAACAUAAGAUAUGGUGGAAUGUUAAACCUAAUUUUUACUUUCCUACAACUCAAUAAAAAAACAUUAUUUACAUAAUCCAUAUUACAGAUAUACCAAAUCAAUGAAUAUAAAUCAAUUGUACUAAUAAAGAUUUUGAUAUUAAUAAAAAAUAUUAAAAUGAUAGAUCUAAGAGAUUUUGGGUGACCUGAGAGUCCAUGAAGCAAAGAAGAGCAGUUGUGUGUUAACUAUGAGUGUGAGAAGAGGUAGAAGAAAAUUUUGGCUAGGGUUAUGGAUGAGAUUUUUUUUGGAUUGUGGGUAUAUGGAAACAAUGACCUUUUUAUAUACUAUCAUUAUUCUCAAAGUGGGCCCAUUAAGUUAUAAUAUUUUUAACAAAUUAUUUUAUAUGGUGUCACUUUUCAAACAUUGACACUAUAAACCUAAAAUUAAUAUCAUCGAUCCUAAUUGAAUGUUUUUAUAUGAUGUGUCACCUUUGUAAAUUUUAAGUCAUAUGGUGUCAUUAUUUUAAAAGUGACACCAUAAAUAGUGGCACCAUAAAUUAUUUUUGUAGUAGUGAUAUCAUGUCUUCUUGUUGUUGAACAAAAUAAUGAGCUUUUGAUGAGAAAUCACUAGUCUCAUCCAAUUGGAUCUGAACCAUUCCCUGAAGUGAAUGCAAUAUCAUCCCAAACUCAUGGACAUGGGCAAGGACAAGGAAAUGGUUGUGGUCAUGGAAGGAAUCCCCGAUAUAAUGGUUAUUAUGGUAAUAAUUCCUCAAAUUCUCAUAAAAUGAAAGCUUCAUUGCACCACCAAAAGUGGAAUAAUACUGAGGCAAAACAAGAAAAUGGGAAGUGUUUACAAGAUAAACCUCCAAAGAACGAUGAGAAUAAUUGUUAUAAAUGUGGUAUGAAGGGUCAUUGGUCAUGUACCUAUCGUACACUCAAACAUUUGGUCAACCUUUACCAAGCAUCAAUAAAAGCAAAAGGAAAAGAGAUAGAGAUGAACUUUACCAAUGGUGAUGGAUUGGACCUAACCUACUAUGACAUUGAUUUCUUUGGAAGUCCUAGUGAAAAAAUAGACCAUUUAAUAAAUGAUGAGAAUGCUAACAUUGAUUGGUGUUACUUUAUAUAUCAAAUAAUAUAUUAUUAUGUCUUAUAUUUAUAUCUGAUUAUUACAUUUUCUUUUAUAUUAUUAUUUAUAUUAUGCCUUGUUUUUUUUAAUAUUAGUUGUAUCUAAAAUCCACGUGUUAUUUGGUCUCAAGAUGAAUGAGGAUGAUGUAUGUUUCGCAAAUUGUUAAACCACACACACAAUUCUUCGAGAUAAAAGAUAUUUCAUUGAAUUGACAUUGAUAAAAGCUAAUGUAAGUACCAUAUUUGGUACUACAAGCUUAGUUGAAGGCUCUGGAAGAUGACACAUAAUGCUACCAAAUAGAACUAGAUUUCAUAUAAAUGAUGCUUUAUAUUCUAGCAAAUCCAGAAGAAAUUCGCUCAGUUUUAAAGAUAUCCACAAAAAUGUACAUCAUAUUGAAACUAUGAAUGAAGAUAAUGUAAUUAUCUUUACAUUACUUCCAUUAUAUUUGGCCAGAAGCUUAUAAUAGAAAAACUCUCGACUUUCUCCUCUAGGUUGUAUCAUACAACUAUAAAGCCUAUUGAAUCAUAUUUUGUCGUGAACCAGAAGUUCAACGACCCAAAAGUUUUUGUCCUUUGGCAUGUGAGACUAGGUCACCUAGGGUUUUCAAUGAUGCGUCAAAUAAUCGAACACUCACAUGGGCAUCCAUUAAAGAACCAAAAAAGUCUUUUGCAUAAUGAAUACUCAUGUGCUACUUGCUCACAAGGUAAAUUGAUAGUCAAACCAUUUUUAACUAAAGUCAUAUCUGAGUCACUAGUCUUUUUAAAAAGAAUACAUGGGAACAUAUGUGAGCCUACCCAUCCACCAUGUGGACCAAUUUGUUAUUUUAUGAUCUUAAUAGAUACUUCUACUAGGUGGUCACAUGUUUGUCUCCUUUUUACACGUAAUGUUGCCUUUGCCGACUCCUUUCACAAAUGAUCAAAUUAUGAGCACAAUUCCAAGGUUAUCCAAUUAAGAUAAUACAUCUUGAUAAUGUCGGCGAAUUUACUUCUCAAACAUUCAUUGACUACUGUCUAUUGGUAGGAAUAAAUAUUGAGCAUCCUAUUGCUCAUACUCAUACCCAAAAUGGUCUAGCAGAAUCCUUCAUCAAAUGUCUCUAAUUAAGAGCUCGACCAUUACUAAUGAAAACCAAAUUAUCUACUUCUACUCGGGGACAUGUUAUUAUGCAUGCUGCAACUUUAGAUUGUAUUCGACCUACAACUUACCAUGAAUACUUCCCUCCACAACUCAUACUUGGAAAAUAACCAAAUAUCUCUCACUUAUGAAUAUUUGGUUGUGCAAUAUAUGUACCAAUUGCACCUACGCAAUGCACUAAAAUGGGUUCCCAAUGAAGACUUGGGAUUUAUUUAGGUUUUAAUUCUCCAUCUAUCAUAAGAUAUUGUUAGAAAAAUUAAGCUAAUCCAACCUAAGGUAAUCAUCCUAGAAAGAGGAGGAGAGGAUGAAUAGAGUGAUGAUUUUUUUUUUAAAUUUAAAUUAUAUGAAUACGAGAGACAAUUAUAUGCAAAUAUAUAAUAAAACAAUAUAAAGAUAGAUGCAUAUAAGGAUCCCAUCUUGAUCCUUAUACAAAUGAAUAUGAACUAGAAGUUCAAAUGAUCAUUUAUUUGCAAAAUCUUGCAAACUAAUUACCAGAUGCAUUCAUUGAUAUAAAGAAAGUGACAAAAUCACAUAGCUCGGCUACAAAUACUCCAACACGGAUUGAUGUCCCUGUAGGACAGUUAAAAAAUGAACCUAAGAUAUGCCUAAAGUGUGGUAGACUUGUUGGCUCAAAUGAUGUAACUCCUUGGAAGAGGAGAACAUAAGAAAAACUUGGCACUUUAGAAGAGGUCAUUAAAAUGACUGAUUAGUCUAAAAUUGAUAAAUCUAUAGCCCCAAAAGAGGCACAAAUAAUGCAAAAAGCCCAUGAAGAGGCACAUAUUAAACAAGAAGCCCUUGAAGAGGCACAUAUUGAACAAGAAACCCUUGAAAAGGCACAUGUACCUGAAAAUUGUGAAAUCUUAGUAAGUUAUGUACACAUGGGAAAAAAAUGGGAUCCAAAUAAUAUUGUUAUUAACAAUAUUUUUGCUUUUCAAGUGGCCCAUGAUAUCAUAAGAAAUUAUGAAGAUCUUGAACCACGAAAUAUGGAAGAAUGCCAACAUAGAAAUGAUUGGCCAAAAUGGAAAGAAGCUAUGCAAGCAAAGUUAAACUUAUUAACAAAACGAGAAGUUUUUGGACCUGUACUCCAAACACUUGAAGAUGCAAAGUUUGUUGGGUAAAAAGGGGUAUUUUUACCAAGAAACAUACUCUCCCGACAUGGACAUAAUCAUAUUUUGUUUCUUAAUUAGUUUGGUAGUCUCAAAAGGAUUAGAUAUGAUCCUCAUGGAUUUUAUUACAACAUAUUUAUAUAGAUCCAUAGAUAAUGAUAUAUACAUGAAAAUCCCUGAAGGAUUUAAACUGCCUCAAACAAAUAAUGCAAAGACUUGUAACAUGUACUCAAUCAAGUUAUAACGAUCCUUGUAUGGAUUAAAGUAAGUGGGACGCAUGUGGUAGAAUCGCCUUAGCAAAUACUUACUAAAGGAAGGGUAUGUGAAUAACCCUAUAUGUCCAUGCAUCUUCAUUAAGAAAUCAGAAACCAGAUUUGCAAUUAUUGUAGUGUAUGUUGAUGACUUAAAUCUCGUUGAAACUCCUGAAGAGCUCAUAAGAACAAAAAAUUACUUAAAAAAGGAAUUUGAGACGAAGAAUCUUGGAAAAACAAAAAUUUUUAUUGGUUUGCAAAUCGAGCAUUUUCCAAAUGGAGUUUUAUUCCAUCAAUCAACGUACAUUAAGAAAAUUUUGAAGUGUUUUUAUAUGGAUAAAGCGCAUCUUUUAACCUUUCCAAUAGUUGUCUAAUCACUUGAUAUGAAAAAAAAAAAAAACAUAUUUCAGCCUUGCAAAAAAUGUGAAGAAUUACUUGAUCCUAAAGUACCAUAUAUUAGUGCUUGGUGAACUUAUAUAUCUUGCCAAUUGUACAUGUCUAAACAUUGUUUUUUUUUGUCAAUUUAUCAACAAGAUAAAGUUCCACUCCAACUCAAAGACAUUGAAAUGAUAUCAAACAUAUAUUGCACUAUCUUUGUGGAACUACUGAUGUGGGUCUAUUUUACUCAAGGGAAUCAAGCAACAAUUGAUUGGAUAUGUAGAUGUAGGAUACCUUUCAGAUCCACAUAAAGGUAGGUCAUAAACAGGGUAUAUGUUUAAUUGCAACGGUACUACUAUUUCAUGGAGAUCUGUCAAACAAUCAAUGAUGUCAUAUUAUCAAAUCAUUCAAAAAUACUUGCAAUUCAUGAAGCAAGUCGUGAAUAUAUAUAACUAAGAUCUAUGAUCCAACAUAUUCGGGAACCAUAUGGACUCUCCUCUAUCAAAAGUGACUCGACAAUAUUAUUUGAAGAUAAUGUUGCAUGCAUUGCACAAAUAACAGGAGGUCAUAUUAAAAAAGAUAGAACUAAACACAUUUCAUCAAAAUUAUUUUAUACACAUGAACACCAGAAAAUUAGUGAAAUUAGUGUGCAACAAAUACGCUCAAUUGAUAAUUUAACAGAUUUAUUCACAAAGUCAUUUCCAACCUCAACAUUAAAGAUGUCAAUACACAAGAUUGGAAUACAUCAACAUGAUGGAGAGUUUGCUUGUAAAAGGGUGUUAGUGUAUUGUACUUUUUUUCCCUUUAUCCAGAUUUUGUCCCGUUGGGUUUUACUAGCAAGGUUUUUAAUGAGAAAGUCCUAACAUAUCAAGAGUAACUUAAAUAAUUAUCAUAAUAUUGUACUCUUUUUCCUUCACUAGGUUUUCCUAUAUGGUUUUUUACUAGCAAGGUUUUAAUGAGACAUAUUCUUCUAAUGUGGUUGACAUCCAAGAAAAGUGUUAUAAAUAAAGUAAUGAAUACCACCACAUUUAUUAUAUUAAAUAUUAAUUAAUAUUAUUUAUGAAUUCCAUUAAUAUUCAUUAAUGGAAGCCAUUUGGAAAGCCUAUAAAAUGGCUUCCCAUCCCCUGUAAGAUGUAUCCUAAGGAAAGAAAGAAAUUCUCUCGCUCUUAUUCUCUAUGUCUUUCAUUCUUUCAACUCUGUUAAUUCUCUUUUCUGAUUCUUUCAUUCCCAUUAUAUAUUAUUAUUAAAAUAAUAUAUAGUUGUUCUCUACUUUUAUUUACGUUGCAUUUAUCCUCGUUUUACAACACUUAUUUUUUUCUUUUCCUUAUUUUAUUUUAUUUUUUUCCCUUCUAGUUAUUAUAAUUAUUAUUUCAAAUUUUUUAUAAAUAUUAUAUAUAACUUAUAAUGCAAUAAUAAUAAUAAUAAAAUAAUUUUACAAAUAUUGUUUCAUUCAUGUAUUGAAGACAGUUUUCUUAUAUAAACUUUCAUAAAUUUUCAAUUGUUUUUUACAAUAUGAUUAUUAAGAAAAUAUUACAAUAAAAAAUUAGUAUUGAUAAUUAUGAAAAAUCAAAAUUAAAGCAUGUGUUAUCGUACUUUCAGUGUACUUAUAUUGUAAUUUCAAUGCAUAACUAUGACACAUACAUUUUGGAACAAACUUAAUAGUGUUAGAAGCGUUGUCUUAUCCUACUAUAUUGAUUUCUAUAUUAUUAAGGCAUCCCAAUGAAUUAGCAUCAUAUACUAGAUGCAUUCUUAUUAGCAAUAAUUCUUAUAAUGAAACUCAUACACCUUAUAAAAAAAAAUGUCUUAUAAGGUUAAUUUAUAGUAGAUGAAAUGUUAAAAAAUAUAUAAAAUAUAUGACAACCAUUCAUCAAUGCCUGUUUAAAAGGAAAAUUUUAAAAUACAGUUAGGUUUUGCAGUAAUGUAUAAGACAUUUAAAGUAUUCAUGUUGUAAGAUCAUUAUAUUUUUGUGGUACGUAUACGUUGGCUUUUAUAUUAAUACAUAAUAUCGGUGUACUAGCAUUAUACAUUUAAUGAAUCAUUAUUAUGCAUGAUUUUUAUAAUAAAGCCUAUAAGUUUUAAGAAUUAGAUGAAAGAAAGAUCAUAUUCUAAGAUUGGUUUAUAAUCAAUGACAUUAUGAAAAUAAAAAUAUGAAUAAUGAUACAUAUGAAAUAUUAAUAAUAUAAAACUAAUAUCAUAAAUAAUAAUAUUAAUAAUAUGUUAAUAAUGAUGAUAAUAAUAAAUAUAUAAUUAUAAUUUUUUUUAAUAAAUAGUAUAGUUAGUCUUAACAUAUAGUAAAUAAAGCACAAAAGGUAGAAAAGAAAAGUAGAAAAGUAAAGUUAUAUGGGAGUAGGAGGAAAAGACAAAAUGAUGUAAUUGGAAUUAUGAAAUGAUCAAAUUAUCAAACUAUAACUUGUGAAUUUGACAAGACUUUGAGACUUGGUGACCCUUAAGGGAGAGCUUAUCAUCACUUCGAGCUAGGUGACCAUUUUUAAAAAAAUUUCGAAAAUAAAGCCCAAGAAAAAUUUAUUUAUUAAGAAUAAUAACAAUUUUGUAGUUUUUUAAUACAAAUUAGAUAUUUAAUUUAUUAGAAUCAUUUUGAUGGUAAUGACAAACAAAACAACUCCUUAAAUAGGUGAAAUAAUUCAUUUUCUCAGUUUUACAUGCAAAAUUAUUUUAAAACAAAAGGGAUAAUACAUUAUUUUUGUUCAUCAAUCCACAUUUUGACUUUCAUUUUAAAAUCCAUCUAUAAAAAUCUCUCUUUAUAUAUAUCUGCCUAGAUUGCCUAACCAUCUAUUCAGUCAUUGUCUAUAACUUCUUGCCUGAUUAUCAAAUUAGAUGUUCAUAUUUGCAUAUAUUUAUUCAUUCCACCAUGUAUUUUGUUGGCUUAUUUGUAAUGUAUACAAUUUUGAUUAUUUGAAAACCGAAUUUCCCCUAACCCACUAAUAAAAAGCAAGUAAAAGUCCGACCAAGAGGGGUGUUCUUGGCCGGUGGCCUUCCUGAUAAGUCACCUUAGCCGUAGACUAGAUUUAGAUUUUGCAAUUAGUACCUUUCUUUUCCUUGUAGGAAUCACUAUCAUCUUGACCAAUCUAGCCAUGUACCAAAAAGUCAAUUUUGCAAAGUUUAAGAAGUUUGCUUUAACCCUGUUCAUCAUAGUUGACAGAAGUUAGAAUUACAAUGAAAUAUCUAGGAGAAAAUGUCCGCUGGAGCAGAGAGAGAGAGUGAAGGCAAUACAUUCAGUCAUGAAUUUGAUGCAAAUCCCAAAGUACGUAAUUGUGUCGAAUACUCUCACCAUGAUUGUCAAUCUAUCGGAUCAGACGAUUACUAUGUUUGCCAAAAAUGCCUGGGCCGUAUGUGGAAUAAAUCAAUUCCACAAGGAGGGGAAACUGCAAAAUUCCGUACAAGGUCACUGGAAAACAGGCUAAUGCAGCCAAGGUAAUAAGAAUCCAUGCCUUAUUUUCACCAAAGAGAAGAUAGAUUGCGCUACUGUAGGCUAUCAUCAUGAAUGUUACGGAGAGGAAUAGAGUAACAAGGCCAAAUAUCAACCUCCUGGGAAGGGCAAAAAUAAAAUCAUCUUCUGCAUAUCGUGCCGUGAGAAUGGAUAGGCAUAUCAGCACCGAAGCAAUGGAUAGGAAGAGGGAAAGAGCAUCCGCAGCUGCAAAAACUUUGAAGGCCUUUUCUUUGGAGAAAUUUGGUAUGCCAGUAUCAUCAUGGUUGCCACCCGGGAUGGUAAUUGCUGCUGCAAACACUACAGUAGCAAUAAGCGCUGCUGCCAAUGUGUAAAAUUUUGCUGUGCCUUUCAUCCAUUUCUCCCCUUCUUUUAUCAACUUUUUAUGUUCCUUUAUAAAUGCCAUUUUCGGUUUAUCUCCAUCUCUGUUCUCAGAUUCACUGAAGGCUCUCGGGGCAUAUUUUUCAAUUUCCUGUGUAAAAAUAAAAAAGUUUCUAAGAUACAGAAAAAGAGUGGAUAUGCAUAAGAAAAUUAAUUCCCCUUCAAAACAAAAAUUAUUACCUUAAACCAAUGUAACUCGCGUUGCAUUUGUAGAGCUGCACCAGAAACAAGACUGAGCCGGUGCGGAGGGGCCAAUUUUCCAGCCAAAUGCAAGAUAUUAUCGUUAUUUGUAUCAUCUCUGGUUCGUAUUAUAAGUUGUCUAUGCAUACCGGUUUCGCAGAUGAGGUUGAAAAUCUUUUCAUAACGAUUUAAUACUACCAAUUUGAAUACAUCCUCAUCCAGAUACUCGAGUGCAAAAGGAUAUGACUUUAUAAUCUCUUCCAGAAUCUCGGGAAUCCCAUAUUUUGCCCCAUUAAUGAAUGAUUGUCUAAAUAUUUCCUUUGCUCUUGACACUUUCAAAACUUCAGUACAUAGGUGGUUAAGCAAUUGAAGAGUCAGAGUAUGCAUUGUUUUUGUUUCUUGGAUAUGCUUGAUGGGUGGUGGCACUGCAAUUAAAAUUAUAUUAAGGACAACAUAACAUUGCAUUCAAGACUUUUGCAUGCUUUAGUGGUAGUUUUGUUGUGUCCCUUACCUAACCAUCCAACCGGUUCCCAGAAUAUUGCAUUUGCCUUUCGGCAAGCUGUGUGCAACGUAAAAUUGAAGCAGGUCAGAUGCAAAAGCAGGACUAACAGAAGAAAAAACAAAAAAGCAACCCUGAACCAAGUACCAAUUAAACACUAAUCUAAAUUAAAGUGAUCGUGAGAAGUUGCCAACUCAUAUUUCAUAUAUUUCCCUUAAACCGUCGCACUUGAAUUUAAAGCCUAAGAAUCAAGAAGCUCAAUUACUCGAUAUUCACAAAAUCUAUCAAAGCAAUGAAAAUUGUGUAUCUCUGAGUAGGGAAUUUGAUUGUAGAGCUGAUUUCAAAUCCAUUAAGGAAAAAAAAUGCAGACAAUUUUGUGAGGACAAAUUAAAAUUGUGAGGACCUCGAAUUCAACAAAUUAGCAUUUCUCUACCGGGUGCAAUUUGGCAAAUUGGUUUGACCUUACUCGAAUCUCGGUGAAGUUGAGAAACCAUUUUUAGUACUCAAGUUAGGAUUUGGUCGAGUUUCUCAACCAAAAGUUAAUUUUGGUUAAGCUCAAUUUUGGGCUGAGUUCAGACUAAUGCUUCAACAAUCUAAGCUGAAUUAAACUCCAUUAAUAUUUUAUAAUAUUUGUAGAAUGUAUUACUAUAUAAUAAUAUCAAAUUUUUUUAUAAAAUAAGUUUAAGGGAAAAAUCAUCAAAAUAUAUUAAGCUAACUCUCAGAAAUUUGCCUACCCCCUUGUGAAUACUAUUUGGAAAGAAAAUUAAUUAGGAAGCCUCUUAAGCAAGCCGAAAAGGUAUCUUGUCCUUUGUAGCCUAUGCAUCCAAAAGUACAGGGCCUAAUGAACAUGAGACCCAAGCAUGGUGCCUACUACUUCAUCACAUGUACGGAUGGUUAUAUCUACAAGUCCAAAGAAUUGCUUUGAUUUAUAUGUUAUAGGAAUAUUGUAAAAAAAUUGAAAAGAAAAAACUAUUACAGCAUUAAGGAUAAAUCAUGGACAUGAGUAUCCAUUGAAGAGUUUUAAAAAUCUCUAUGAUGAAAAGGAAAUCCAAAGAACAAUCAAUAUCUUCAAGGACUCCAUUGUAAAAUGGUUGAACUGAAAAAAGUAACCAUAAACUUUUGAUAUGGUUCACUCAAAAAGGCACAAGCCAACUAUCUAACAUCUUUUGGGGUGGGAAAGGAGGGUUACUAUUUUGAUUACAACUUAAAUCUUGAAUAGAGUGCCCUCAAAAUCAAUUACUUCAAAUCCAUAUAGUUAAGAAGCCAAACCUAACUCACUUGUGAUCCUAAGGGUUAGCAGGUUUAGUUCAUGUAAAUUCUCAUAGAUAUUGUGCUAUAAAGGAAACAAGUGCACUUUCAUUAGAUAUUCUAAUAAAUGAAAGGUUGCGUGAUGCUUAGUGAACAACUCAAUGGGAGUAUAAUUGAAAUUAAGUCAUAUGAAGUUAAUUUCUUAUAGGAUGAUAUUUUGAGUAAAGGAGCAUUGAACAGGAGUCUCAAUUUAUUUGAGGCAAUUAAACCAAAGGAAAAUACUAUGAUAUCUCAUAUCGAAUAAGGGAAAAAGUUAUAUAAAUAGAAGCUUCUCUUAAUUAUUUAGACACAUUUUAAUGUUAUGAGGGCUCUUUGAGCCCAAAGUGGAUAGUAUAUAUUUACAUGGUUGGGAGUGAGUCAUUACAAAUGGUAUCAAAGUGUAUCCUCAUAGAUCGAGAUAGAAAAAUUCAGUAUGUGACUUACUAACAAUUGCAUGCAAGCUCCCCAUGAAUUGGUAUUCAUAAUUUAACAAGAUGAAUGUUAUCAACCUCUCAAGACUACCCCUACAAUCCUUGAGUUGUAGAUCCUCCUAUUAUAUGAUCAAUUGACAUACUCUCCAAGAUACGUCAAAUUCCACUUAAGGAAUUAUCGUGGCCACAAUUUUCAUAAUCACAUGUCCUUAGGAUCACCUAAGGGGACAUAAUGUCUCAAACCCCUAAGAUAUCAUGGUGCUUAUCUUGAGAAUACCUAUUAUCACAUGGCUCAAUCAUAGUGACCCAAUCUAUAGAGAAUAUAUGAGCACUUUAGGGUCUCACUCAUGGGUCAAAGCCAUUGAAGACCUUAGCACUAGAUCAAUAUUCUCUAAAGGUUGAGAGCUUAUACAGCAUAGCAGCUUGGUGAAGUCUAGACUACCUAAUGACCAAUGUCUGACUCACUGUAAAUCCUAUUUAAUGUCUAACCUAUUAGAAUUGAGCCCUAAAAAGAAUGACAUGAUGUAACAGAUAGAGAUUUAUUUAUAUUUUUUACUUUCUCUUUAUUAUUUCAUUGACAUGAAUUGGUUAAUUAGAUGAUCCUGUAUGGUUAAUUAAUCAAUUAGGACUCAUUUUAGGCAAUAUUAAGUGACCCAAGCCUUAGUGGACUCAAGUCAUUUAAGCCUAGUAGGGAAUCGCUAUAAAUACCAUUUAAGGGUUAGGGUUCCAAUCACUUUUUGAAAGACAAUCAUCUUCUACAUCUACAGAGAGAGAGCCUAUCGUUCCUCUCUUCCAAAGCCCACAUUUUGGAGUGCCAAGAUCAUGGAUCAAGUCAUCAAGCAAAAUAUUUUCGGUGUAUGAGACCUCUGGACUCUUUAGGCUUCAUCUUCAUUAAGCAGAAUUGAUUUGAGAACCAUUUAAAUCAAAGGUAAAUUUUGUUAGCCCAAGGGUUCUCCUAAUCGCAUUUUGAUGAUAAUAAACCAUGGUUAAGUCGUUAAUUGGUUUGAAUUAUAAAGAAUUUCAGGUAUUAGUUUGGAAAUUCAUCAAAGGACUCAAUGGAUGCAAGAUCAAGACAAUUGGAAGACCCUUUAAUAAUAGGAAAUAUAUGUAAGAUGAAUGCAUGGUGCACUUAGGAUUUCAUAUUUUUUCAUGCUCUUUAAAAACUAGGUAUAGGCAUUAAAGUUACAUUUCCGUCAAAACCCGGGUUUUAUCAAAUGAAACUUAGGAAAAUUGUUUCAUAAUUGACAUAUUAAUUGACCGAAAUACCUUGCCUAAGUGUUAGAAGAGAAAAGAAUAAAAAAAAAGAGGUUUUGAGGCAAAAAAUGGUGAACUGGUCAAGGUAUUAGUCAACUGACUCAACCGAUUAGGGCACCGGUCAAUCGAUUACACCUUCUUGAUCAAGGUCUAGUUGAGAAAUGCAAUAAAUCUUCUCUCUCUUCUUGUAGCUUUGCAUUCCUGGUCGAGGGAUAUGCCUUCUUGGUCGAGAUCCGAUUGAGGUUUGGUCAAGGAUUAGUCGAGGCGUAACGGUCACCUACCAUGCAUUUAUUGUCCAAUGGCUUGUAAACCGGUUGACACUCAACUCGACUAAUCAAGGCUACUUUUUGGCAUUUUUGGUUCCCAAUGCUAGAAACCUAUAAAUUGAGAACUCCGCUUCAUUUAUGAGGUAGAGAACACCUGCAUUUAUUUGUCUACCUACUUGUUUUUGCCUCAAAAGUUCUCAUUCUUUCCUUAGUGCAUUAAAUCUCCAUUUGCAUAUUCUUUAGUGCACCUUUGUGAUUCUUCCUAACAUUUAAGUUGUAUUUGAGCCCUUGUUGAGCUAGGUUGAGAGAUUCAAACUUAUCAUUUGAGUGUUAAAAGCUUCAAGUGAGUAACACUUGAAGGGAUUGUGUAAUAUCCCAUUAGAGUUGGAAUCCAAGUGUAAAGGUGAUUAAAAGCUUGGUUGAAGCUUCAAGUAUAGUGGAUUCUUCACUUAGUUAGGAGGUUGAGGGGAGUGGACGUAGGUAAGGAAGUGUUGAACCACUAUAAAAUCUGAGUUUGCUCUUUCUAACCUUAUCUCUUUAUAUUUGUGUUUCCUUUGCUUGAAUUCGUUGUGUUUGAAAAAUAUUUUUUUUAAACCCAAUUCACCCCUCCCCCCCUCUCCCUUCCCCUCUUGGGUGUUUUCUAUAUUAAGAUUAGCCUUUUAUUUUCUCAAAGUUUUUAAUGCUUGUUCUUUAGAUUAUAAAAUGUUAAAAUUUUGAUUUUUGCUUCUGUUGCAUAAGAUUUAGAGCUCUAGGGUAUUUUGCAUGCACCUAUACAAUCUAGGGUUAUGGGAAUAGAGAGAUCUAGGUUUCACAACAUAACUAAACACACUAGCACACUCACCAUAGGAAACCCAUCCUAAUGACUAGGGCAAGUCAUCCUUCCAAUAAGGAGGUAGUGUACUAUAGCCUUAAAUGGAUUAUUGAAGUCCAUGAACUAGUUGUGAAUGAGUCAUUAACUUGCAAGGAAUCUAUGACUUAGAUUUUCCAUGUAACUCCUAAUUCACUCAAGUCAUGUACAUGCAAGUAAUGUAGGUUUGAAUGCUUAACAUACAUAAUUCAUAAAUAGGAUAGUAAAUAGAAAAUCGAAGCCAUAAUGAAAGUAUUAAUGAACUCCAUUUAUGGUUACAUCAUAUCAAGCUUUUAAAGAAUCUAUCCCAAUAUCAUGAUCUUAUGAUGCAAACAUGAAAGCUUCACCUUAAUGCCCACAAUUACAAUUAUGAGAUAGUUCCAAGUUUUUUUCCACACACAUCUAAAUCUAGUGAAUUAAUAUGUAAUGGUAAAAUCCCACUUAGUGGCAUAAUCUAGUAGGUGGCAAGUCACUACUCAAGGUUACUAUCUUGUCGAGUCACUCAUAUCCUUAGCAAGAUCUUUAACAUCUAUAAAAACUCACUCCCAAUCAAGUAGAUAUUGUUUACUCUGAACUCAAAGGGACCUUAGAGAUUUAAGACACAUUUGCAUGGUUAAGAAGAGCUCUUACAUACAUAAUGCUAAGAACUUUUUCCCCUAUUCAAUGUAGGCUAUCAAAACCACCCCCAUGAAGACAUAAAGUCCUCAUUGUGUCCCAUAGGAUUAUAGGAAAAAUUGGAUUUUAAGGGAGCCAGUACUUCCCUAUGGGUCUAGUGGUUCCCACUCAAAAUCAUAUUCCUUUGUAAAAAAUUAUUUGAGGAAUAGUUGGAUUCUUUAUUUGUAUGUGUGUAUAAGAGCAUUUUGGUACAUACAGAAGAUUGCACUAGCACAUAUAAAUAGUCUUUUUAGAUUCGGAUAAUUAAUUAAUUGUAGCUCAAUAGAGCAAAUUAUUUAAUUAAGACCCAAUGAGUGAGAUUAAGUAACCCAAAUGUAAGAUUAGCUCAAGUCACUCAAACUAAGAGGUAAGCCUAUAUAAACUCCUUAAAGGGUUUAAGGCUUAGUACUUUUCAUCCAUUCAAUCUUCUAUCUUAAUAUCUAUCCCCACAGAGAGGAAUCUAACAUCCUUAUGUGUUAGGACAGAGGAAAGAGAGCUAUCAAGCAAAAGAUUGUGAGGUAUUUGAGAUUUAAAUUAACCUUUUCACCAAUUAGAUUCAAUUCCUUGAGCACUUAAAUCUAAUAUUCAUUGUUUUGAAUUAUCCCAUUACAUAGUUCUAGCAUUUAUGUGAAGAUAGUAGCAUGCACCUAAUGAUCUAGGGCUUGAAGUUAAGUAAUCUAGAUGUUCCAACACAUGAGAAGCCUGAAAUUUUUAAUAAAGCUCUCUUAUCCCUACUUGUAAUAUAUGGAAGCUACAGUGAAAUAGCAUAUGAAGUUUAUUAUCAAGAACUCUAUUUGAGAAUUAAUUGAACUAUUGUUAAGACAUAAGACCUUAAUGAAUAAGUAGGUUUUUAAGGUCAAACUUAAGGUAAAUGAUGCAAGGUGUUAAACUUAACUCAUGAAGAAAGGAUACAACCAAAAUGAGAGUGUAGAGUAUAAAAAAAAAAAAAAAAGAACUUCUCAUGAGAAGUGAGGUUUGCCCCAACUCUCCUUAUUCAAACCAUUAUCACAUCUUUGGAUUUUAAAUUAUAUCAAAUAAAAAUUCAAAUUGUUUUUCUAAAUGGAGAACUCAAUAAGAAGAUCUAUAUAAAUCAACUAACUUGUUUUAUGGCAACUAAAUAGAAAGGUAAAGUUAACAACUACAAAGGUCUAUUUAUAACCUACAAUAAUCAUCUAAACAAUGGUAUAUUACACUAAUGGGUUUAUGAUGGUCUAAGAACACUAUUGCAUGUUUGUUAAAUGGUGUAAGGGUAGAUUCUAUAUUCUAUUUUUUGUAUACAAAUGAAAUGUUGGUUAGGGAUGAUAAUGAGAUGGUUGCCUCUAAAGUGUGAUGGUCGUCAACUUUUAAAAUGAACAAUAUCCUUAAAGCAAACUAUGUGUUCAAAGUUAUGAUCCUAAUCAAUCAAUCAAGGAGACU